UUGCAGCUUUAUCUCUCAUGUGGAUAUCACUUUGUACUAAUAAAGAAAUAGAAACGAAAACCAAGAUCAUUUAUGAUGCUCCGAGUCGAUAAGCACGGUCUCCAACAACUAAUUUAACAAAAAGCAGCAUUUUGCAUAAGGUGCACUGAACCAUCUUAUAUAGGUGCUUCUUGACUUGACUUUUCCAUUAAUAAAAGAAACAGAAAAGAAAACUAGCAACACUCCCAUGCUCCUAGUGCUAAUAUAAAUGAGUCAAUCGCAAAACACCGCCUGUUGGAAUAUUAUUUAUAAUGAACAAUCUGACUUUUUUUCUUUCAAAAGGGAUUCUAGAAAAGCAAAUCCCAAAAUAAAUUUUCCUCACUUCUCAAACUAAAAUUUUCCAUCCCAUGUCUUGCAUUGGACAGAACAAAUUCGAAUCUGGUCAGGCAUUUCUUCAAAGACGUAGUGGGCAGCGAGUUGGAGAGCGAAUAUGGACCUACUCGGAGAUCGAGCUCACACUUAAACUCAAGAGAAAUCAGCGAGCAGUGUUCAAACUUAAGAAAAACCGACUCAUUUAGAUCCGACGCGAGUGAGGACUAAAGAAAUCGAGCUUGCUUUGCUCUUUUAAAAUCAAGCAGGAGGAGGCAAAAAAAAAGAAGAAGAAGGAAGGAACGAGAACUCAAUCGCAGGGGCCCUACCUGGCUUAGCUUCCCCGGGCAUCGUUGGCGGCGAAGGUUGAGAAUAGCGACUCCAAACUCGUGUCAGGCUUCAGUCGACUCCAUCGAGGUCAGGGACGGCGACGACGAAUGGCAGCGGGCGGACGAUGCUCUGGAGGUGGCGGACGACGUAGAUCGGCUGUGGCUCUGAGGUUUUGUGUGGGGCUUCAAAGGCAAUCGUUCACGGAGUAGAGAAAGACCAAAAUGCUUCUUCUUUUUUCUCCCUUUUUCGUGAGAGAAAAGAAGUAGGUGACAGUGAAGGAAGGAGUGAGGUAGGAAUCCGGGAAUGGGAUGCGAGAGGUGUCGCCGGCGGGAGGUAGUCGGACGGAGAUGGUGGAGGUGGCUGGUCAGGUAAGCUCAGGAGAAAGGGUGGGGAACGCUUUUUUUUUUUUUUUCCUUUCCAGAAAAAUCUCCCUGAAGAUGGUGGUCUCCGCUUCCUCCCUUUUCGAGAACGCCCUGCUUUAUAUAUAUAUAUGGGAAAUUGUGUCUCUUUUAAGAGAGAGCGGGAGAGAUCCCUAGAAAGAACUUCCCUUUCAGAUUCGAAGAAGCAGCUACUAGAGUAGAUGAAAGUCGAUAUGCUUCCGCAGAAUGCUUGCCGUCUGGUUGGGUUGCAGCUUUAUCUCUCUCGUGUAUAUCACUUUGUUCUUUUUGACCAUGACUUUCUUGAAUCACGCGGCAGUGAUAAUCAAAGAAAGCCAUAGAAAAGAAAGUAAAGGUGAAUUAUUGCCAGCAUAAUUUCCACGGAAGGUUUACGUGUGUCCUUUCUUUCUUUUCCUCUGUUUACUUGACUUGCUUUUUCUAUUAAUAAAAAAAUAGAAACAAAAAUCAACGAAUCAUUUUUGACGUUUCAAGUCAGUAAGAACGUAUUUAGUAAUGAUUCUAUUCCCGAAAACAUAUUCUGAUAAAAAAAUGAUUCUUUUUUAUUAUGUUUUCAGAAACAAUUUCUAAGCAUUUUAAGCCAUUUGGUAACUGUCCAAAAUUUAUGAUUCUGAAAUAGAAUUGCAUUUAGUGCCGUGCUUAUUGAUUCUGUUUUAAAUCAACUUUCUUUUAAUUUUUAAAUAUUUUUUAUAACUUUUUUACUUUUUUUUCUUUUAUUUUUUCCUUUUGUUCUUUUUUUUUUGUUUUUUCCUUUUUCUCCUAUUCUUCUUCUUCUUGUAGCCAGUGGCCGGAUUGGCGACCGGUUAGACGAGGGUCGGCAACCUCACCGAAGCGUCGCCGGCCCUCGGCGAGGCGAGCCGGGGCUAGGCGUCGUGAGGCUUGCCCAGCCUCGCCGACGAGCCUUACCAGGGCUAGGCAAGGCCCGCCUAGCCACCGGCGAGGUCGAGCCUGGCUAGUGGCUGGACUUGCCUCCGGCGAGCUCGCUAGACCUCGCCCUGGCCUAGCAAGCCUCCGCGAGCUCGCCGGACCAGUUGCUGGUGACUGGCGGCGACAGCGGACAGCGGCAGCGGGAUAGCGGUCGAUGAAGAAGAAGAGUUGGUUUUGAUUCUUUUUUUUGUUCCCGAAACAAAAAUCAUUUUUUUAUUCUUAAUUCUAUUCCAAAUCUGUUCCCGGAAACAAAAAUUUUAACAAACGCGAUUCUGUUCCAAAAUUACUCCCAAGAACAAAAAAAAUCAAAAUUGAGUACUAUUUGGCACGUUGCCAAACAGGCCCUAAAGCAUAUAGUCCACCAACUAAUUUAUUAAAAAGCAACAUUUUGCAUAAGCGGCAUGGAACCAUCCUAUUUAGUGCUUCUCGACUUAGACUUGGCUUUUUCAUAAAUUAAAGAAAUAUUAAAGAAAGCUAGCUAUACUCUCGUGCCCUUGGUGCUAAUAUACAUUAGUCAAUCGCAAAAAUAUCGCCUGUUGGAAUAUUAUUUAUAAUGAACAAUCUGACUUCAAAUUUCAAAAUAAAUUUUCCUCAAUUUUCAUACUAAAUUUUUCCAUAUCAUAUCUUGCCUAAAAAUUAUUGAGUCAUCACCCCCUCAGCCUAGUCACUUUGAUCUCACUCCUUUUCAACAUUUUACAUUUAUUUCAUACUUUUAAUGUCACAUUUAGAAUUUCUUAUCUAACAGGUUAGGAAAAUGCUUGUGUGACCAUCUAUUGCAGAAUAACGGUGGAACUAUCAAAGGCUAGUCACACAUCCUUUUAUUAGGAAACUAGUGGAUUUACUCAACCGGUUUAAUCAUUGACUCCUUGUUUUGUUCUUCUUCAUUUUUUUUUACCUCUAUGUCCCUUACGACAACCUCAAAUUUCAAAGACAAAAUUAGAAGGCCAUGUUGAAUCUUUUUUUUUUUUUCAAGAUUAUGACUUUCAUUUGUUUCUUUAAAUGAGGCAAGAAAAUCGUUCUCUUCUUAUGGCUUUUUCAUAUGGCGAAUGCAUUUUUUUCUCUACUAAUUGUUUUUGGAAUUCUCUACUAACUCAUUAUUCUUAUUUUGAUCUUUUCUUUACUUCAUUUUUCUAUGCAUAAUUGAUAUCAAUUGUAUAAAUUUUAGUUCAUCUGAGAGUCCUUCAAAAGCAUUUUGGUUUGAGCAAAGGAAUGAUGAGCAAUUUCAUUGCACAAUAAUUUUGUUAUGAGUUGCGAAGUCAAUGUUUUAAGUGUUUUUUCAUUUUUUUUUAAAUUUAAUGUAUUCAUAAUGACAUUAAUUAUUAUUUUAGUAAGCUAUAGUUUUUUUACUUAUAAUUAUUUAUAUUUCCUUCUUUAUUUUAUUUUUUCUUUCUUCAUAUUCAAGAAAAUUGAUUUCGUGGGUCUUCUUCUGAUUUUGUCUCUAAAUUUGAGCUUGUUGUCGGUAUUUAAGUAUUUGGCAUAGAAGAAGAAAAAAACCAAAAAAUGAAAUAUGGGGUCACAAAUUAAAACUGGUUAUUGGUUUCCUCCAAAGGAUUUGCCGUUGACUGUUCCACCGUUAUUCUGAAGCGGACGGUCAUGCUGGCCACUCCCAGAAUGCUUGCCGUCUGGUUGGAUUGCAGCUUUAUCUCUCAUGUAUAUAUCAUGUAUAUAUCACUUUGUUCUUUUGACCAUGACCUUCUCAAAUCACGCGGCAGUGAUAAUCAAAGAAAACCAUCAAAAAGAGAAGUAAAGGUGAAUUAUUGCACGCGAAAUUUCCGUGGAAGGUGCAUAAAAUUUUCGCGGGCCCUUUCUUUCUUUUUCUUUGUUGACUUGACUUUGCCUUUUCCACUAACGAAGAAACAAAAGCGAAAACCAACCAUCAUUUCUAAUGUUCAGACCAAAAAAAAAAAAUGUUUAGAGUCGAUUAGCAUAUUUUCUACCAUUUAAUUUAAUAAAAAGCAGAUAGCCAAUAAAAAGAAAAUUAAAGGACAAUCAAUGCAAGUGUCACUUCCAGGGCAUUUUAUAUAAGGUAUGUGGAAUCAUCCUAUGUGGUGCUUUUUGACUUGAUUUGACUUGCCUUUAACAUUAAUAAGAGAAAUAGAAAAGAAAACUAACAAUACUCCCUAAGGGUAAGGUAUGCAAUGGGAAUCGCUCCAAUCAGGAUUGGAUCAGAGCGAUCAGUUCUGGACAAUCUUAAAGGGUGCCGAUCCGAUCCCCAAUUUCUAUUUUUGGAAUCGGUGGCUGAUAAGUUCCGUUCCUGUUUCCAAGGUAGGAAUUGAACUAAUAGGACCGGACCAACCAUUCAUGCAUCAUUUUAAUUUUUAAAAAAUUUCUGAAUGACCAUUCUACCAUUGGCCCAAUUAGGGCGCAUUUGUUUAAAAUUGUUUCUAUUCCCCGGAAUACAAUUUUUUGUUAUUUUGUUCCGAGGAACAAAAAAAGAACAGAAAUACGUUUGUUUAUACUUUUGUUAUUUUUGGUAACUCAAGAAAUCCCGUAAGCCGACAACCGGCGAGCAAACCCUGGGAAGCAACUGUAGGACCCACCACCAUAGUACUCAAAGUAAGAAUCUCUAACGACGCCUCUAGGAUUCGAACUUCUCCCCUUCAUGAGGGGGAGAGAGCCCGAACCAGUUGCGUCGCUAAGGGUGGUGGUUGUUUACACUUUUGUUCCCGGAAACAAAAAAAUUAUUUUUUUAUUCCUAAGGAACAGAAACAAGAAGUAGAAAAAACUUAUUUCUUGUUCUCGGGAACACUUCUGAGAAACAUUUUUUUUUCUUCUUCUUUUUUCUCUUUCUUUUAUUCUUCUUCUUCUUCCUUUUGCCGGUCACUGGCCUUGGCCAUGGCCGGCGACCUCACCUGAGCGUCGCCAAGCAACGGUGAGGCUCAACCUCUUCAGCUGGCGCAAGGCCGGGCCUUGCUAGGCCAAGGCGAGGCCAACCUCACACCACCUGGGCGAGGCCAAGCCUCGCCGGUGGCCUGGCGAGGCUCGCUUGGCUAGCGGCAAUCUCGCCAGGCCACCGGCAAGAGCGAGGCUCGACUUCGCCCAGAUUUGAUGAGGCUCGCCAGACGUUGCCCAGCUGGUCACCGGUCAUGGUUGUGGUCGGCCAAAGAGAAAAAGAAAAAAAAGAAAAAUAUAAUACAAGUAUUGAAAAAUUUUAAAAAAAUAAAAAAAUAUACAAAUUUACCAAAUAUUUUUGUGUUUCUAUUCUUUUUAUAUUCCAGGAACAUAAAUUUUGUGCAGUUACCAAACGCGUUCUUCUGUUAAAAAAUUAUUCCCCGAAACAGAAAUAGUUUUUUAUUUUAUUUCUGUUCCCGGGAACAAUUUUUGAACUGAAACGUUAUUAAAAUGCGCUCUUACUUUCCCAACUCUUUCCCAUUAUGCCAUCACUUUCCCAUGUCUUUCCCUUCUGCCAUUACUUUCCCCAUUUCUUUCUCUUCCACUUCUCUUUUGCUAACCCAAACCGUGUGAAAUCAGCCCUUUCAUAGUUUCCCUUUUGCAAGCACAGCCACACCUCACGCCUUGGUUCGAGUGAGUUGCUCGACUCUCGCAGCCUCACCUCCCUAUCGCUCGACAUCCUCUCACGGCCUCACCUUAGGCCUCCUUUCCUUCUUGUGGCCUCGCCUUCCGCCUCACUCAAUGUCCUCUCAAGGCCUCACCUCAUGCCUUGCUCGUCGAGCUUUCCCUCUCACCUCACAGCUUGAUUGUCAAUAUAAUGACAACAAGUGAUUUGGUCCAUUGGAAUUGAUCCGGUCCGGUUCUUAGUUCUCGGACCCAUUGGUCCUGUCCAUGGUCCCAAAAAAUGGGAACCGGUCCUCUCGGUCCAAUUCUCGAUUCUUGGAUGGGACUGGAUUGGACCAUUAACCAAUCACUUCUUAUACUCACAUGCUCCUAGUGCUAAUAUACGUGAGUCAAUCACAAAAACAUCAGCCGUUGGAUAAUUAUUUAUAAUGAACAAUUUGACUUUUUCUGUUUCAUAAGGGAUCCUAGAUAAGCAAAUCCCAAAAUAAAUCUUCCUUACUUUUCAAAUUAAAUUUUUCCAAGCCAUAUCUUGCCUAAAAAUUAUCAAGUCAUUACCCCCUCAUCAAGUCACUUUGAUCUCACUCCUUAAAUUAUUUUUGUUUUUGACAUUUUACAUUUAUUUUAUACUUUUAAUGUCACAUUUAGAAGUUCUCAGCUAAUGGGUUAUCCACGUCGAAUAACUAUUUAGGGAAUACUUUUUUACUUUUAUCUCAUUCUUGUCGACCCUUUUAUUCCAUCUCAACACUUUCGGUUUUCUUAACCUCUCAGUUAAAAUUAUCACUUAUUCAUCUGAAGGUGUUUGUCAUUAGUGAUCGAAUAUUAUAAACCAACUAUAUUUAUGUAUUAGUCUUAUCUUCUAGUAAAAAUUGGAGCUUUACGACUUUGAAUAGCAAUGACGUAUAGAGGAUUCAUGAAAUGGGAUUUUCUAUUUCAAUGUCUCAGUGACAUUAUUUAGUGUAUGUACAACUACUUUUCCGCGACGUUCUUAUGUAGGAGCUUUUGGACACUUCUUGCUGAUAAAAGGAUCGCGAAAGGUGGAGAUUUUUAUUUUGCAUGGGUUAUAGUUUGAUUAGGGAAAAAGUAUCAAAAAAGUCAUAAAUCUAUGACAUUGACAUCAAUUCAGUCCUAAACAUUUCAAUUGGACCAUUGUAGUUAUAAACAUUUUCACAUUGGUAUCAUUUCAAUCAUCUGGCUAAUUUUGGCUUGCAUGUAAAUGCCAACCAGUGCUAGCCAGCCAGCAAACACUAAUGUGGCAAUUUUUAAAUAUUUUUAUUGUUAUUUUUUCCCAUUUUUUAUAUAAAAAAUUCAUCUUUUUCCUUUUCCUUUUCUUUUUCCUCUCCUUCCUCUUGGCCUUCUUCUCCCGCAAUGGUUGAUAAGCCUUCAAGCGAGGGCUGUGAAGCCCUUGCCGCCCGUUAGUAAGAGUCGAGGGCCUCGCCUAGGGCCGUGGGCGAGGCUACCUCUCUUGCGGCCUCGCCCACGGCUAGGCCAUGGCAAGGCUGGCCUCGCUUGCGGCUUUGGGUGAGGUUGGGUGAGGGUUACGAAGCCCUUGCCAACAACUAGCAAGUCACUGGAGGCUCGCCGGCCGCUGCGAGAGAAGAAGGCCAAGAGGAAAAAGAGGAAAAAAAAAAAAAGAGGCAAAAAAAGGAAAAAAAGGAAAAAAAUUGAAAAGAUAAAAAAUUAUUAAAAAGUUGCCACAUUAGCAUUCACUAGUCGGCUGGCAUCCACAUUAGCGUCAGCCAAUUAAAAUUGACUAGAUGGACUGAGUUGGUACGAAUGUGAAAAUGUUUAAGAUUAAAUUAGUCCAAUUAACAUGUUUAAGACUGAAUUGAUACCAAUACUAUAUGACUUUUUUUGUACUUUUCCCGUUUGACUAGUGGAUGAUGUUGUGAGAACUUGCGAUUUGAGUCAUUUCGAUUGUUUUUUUUCUCCUUUCAUAUCAAAUGAUAAUUACUGAAUCAUUUGAUAUAAAGUUUUUGUGUUCUAUCUUGGGUUGAAUUAUUGAAUUCACCUAGUACUAUAAUAGUAUUUUGGAGCUUCGUACAGAGCAUUAUGGAGAGUUCGCAUGUGGCUCAUUUGAUGGUUGCCAACUCACUUUCGUUUGCUUUAAUUUGUUCAUCCUUUUUUCUCUUCAUUCCAAGAAAUAACUUAUUAACUAUAAAGAGUACUUUAUCUGAACGUGAAUGUUCAAUGCAUGUAGGGAAAAGUAUCAAAAAAGUCAUAAACCUAUUGUAUUGAUACCGGUUUAGUUUUAAUAUUUUCAAUUUGACUAAUUUAGUAUAAACAUUUUCACAUUGGUACAAAUUUAGUUCAUUUGGCCAAUUUAGGUAGACAAUUGCUGACUUAAAUGCCGAAAGUCCUACUUGGUAGGGUGGUAUUGAUGUGGACACUUUAAAAAAAAAAUGUUUUUCAAUUUUUUUAUUAAUUUUUCUUCUCUUUUCAUUUUUUUUCCAAUCCUUUCUCUUUUUUUCUUUUUCCUUAUUUCCCUCCAUUGCUAGUCCCCACCUCCAUGAGGGUUGCUAGAGAUUGCCAACGGCCAAGGAGGGCAAGGGCCGAGACACCUUGCGAGCCUUUUGGCAAGGGCCAGUGAGGGCCGGCGACACCAUCAUAGGCCUUGCUUGGGUGAGAGCCUUUGCCACUGCCAAAGGCCUACAAGGUUGCCCCUUGGCAGCCUCUAGUGAUGGUCAAGCGAGGCUCUCUUCGCCAAAUUUGGUGUAGGAUAGCUUCCCCAACCUUAGCCAAAGGCCGACGAGGGCAUCUUAGCCCUUGCUCUCGUCAACGAUCAGGGAUCUCCACUGGCACCAUGGAGGUGGCGAUUGGCGGCGGAGGAAAAUAAGAGAAAAAGAAAAAAGAGAAAGGAAAGCAUAAAAAAAAAGGAAAAGAAAAGAAAAUUGGGAAAAAAUAAAAAAAUAUAUGAAAAAACAUAAUAAUUGUCCAUGUUAACAUCCGCUGUACCAUAUAGGAUAACUGGCAUCCAGGACAAUAAUUUCUGGCCUAAAUUGGCCGGAUGAAUUUAAUUGGUACCGAUAUGAAAAGGUUUAUGAUCGAAUUGAUCCAAUCAAAAAGUUUAAGAGUGAAUUGAUAUAAAUACAAUAAGUUUAUGACUUUUUUAGUAUUUUUCCCCCUUUGAAGAUUUGUGUAUUGAAUCCUAAACCUAUUAUUUGGAUAAUUAGUCAAAAGAAUUACAUUAGCAAAUUGUCAAAAGAUUUAGAACUAGGCAAAUUGUUAAAGAUUUUUUUACUAAAUUGACAUAAUUGAAAGGUUUGGAACUAAAUUAACAAAUGUCAAAAGGUUUAGGAUUAAAUUGAUGCAAUUGAAAUUAGAACUGAAUUGGUCCCUGUACAAUAAGUUCAACACUUUGUGGACAAUUUUCUUGAUAUGGAACAUUGAUGUCACUUUUAUAAUGUAUCUUUGCCUUAAAGAAGCACCCAUGCAACGAUGAUAAAUUUACGUACAACACUCAUUUCAUCAGUAAUUUAGAAGCCCUUAAAAAAGUUCAUGUGUCUUUUUGUUGAAAACAAAACCAUUUCAUUUCACCAAGGUUAAGCUCGGUGACAACUAAAGGGCUUCGGCACAUACAAGAUUCCAAAGGGUUUCGGGAGGGUUAAAGACCCAAUUGUAGGGCAAAGAUUUGCAUCUUUAGGCCUUAACAAUCUGGUGCCACUUGAUUUACAUUCGUAUUACAAUGGGCCAAAAGAACAUUAAGAAAAUGGGCCAGCGGACGCUGCAUUCAGUAAUAAGCGAAGUGGCUUCCCACGGAAAAGUAUCUAAGACAAUUUAUCGAGGUCAGGUCAAGUUGUCGGAUUAUAGCAAAGUACUUCACUUUGUCUUCUUCCCUUCGAGCAUAAAGUAGCUUCAGAGUUUCGAGGCAAGCCAGGGUUUCAACAUUCAUAGCUGAACUUUCCUUCACCAAUUUAACGAACCCAUCCGAUCUUGCCUGAGAAGUUGCGGCAAACACCGGCGAUGGAACCUUUUGUCAAGCCUUUAGCUGAUCAAAGAGUCUUUACAUGUUACAGUCUUACAGAGACCCUCCUAAACCAAGUUUAUAGCUAGUUACGCAUGAUAGCUAUCAUAUGUCACAUAUGUGGAUUUGGAAGCAAUGUGCCCAACCCUUCCCAUGAUAUAUUCGCCAUAUUUUAUUAAUAGAGAAGCCAACAAACUUUAGUAUAAUUCAUUACUAUUUUAGAAAUGGAUAUAAUAAUAUUGAAAUUUUUUUUAUCCAAAAGGAACUUUGCUUAGAGCGGCCUGGAUCUUAUUGUGAUGGCUGAAUAGCAUCCUUCAGGAUCAACGUCUUUUUUUUUUUCUUUUCAAUAUCUACGGUCUUUUUUCCCUGGAAAAGAUCUUCUGCCAACUUUAUCCAAGUCACCAUCAAAAUUUAUUUAAUUCAUAUCAAAGAUACACUGAUGCCACACCCUUAUUUCGUGCAAUAAAGCAAGAUUUGCGCUCCACCCACUGCACAUCUCAAAUUUUAUCUCCUCCCAAAUAUUCUCCCCCAAUUAGAAGCUUACUUUUAGGCCAAUGAUAAAUCCUAGAUAGAUCAAGUAAAGAACAUGGGAAUUUCACUUUAAAAAAAAAUCAUAUUUGCCAAGGUUGAAUAAAGAACAGAAAAAUUAAAGCAAAUAUCGUUGGUGUAAAUUUUGUUCACAAAUGGUCUCACCCAACGCCAUCCCAUCCAAAGAGAACCCAUGGAAAAGAAAGAUUUUACCUGAUCCGAUAUGUGACCUUUGCCGAGAUAAAAUGGAAACGGCCGAACAUAUCCAUCUUCUUUGCCCCUGGACUGCAAGGGUAUGGAGCCACUUGGAAAUCAACCUACAAGUGAAUGCAUAGGAGGUUACACAAAUUGAUGAGUGCCUGGCGCGAUUUAUAAGGAAAGACACGCACCUACCGUCCUUGGAAACGAUCUCAAACAUCCUAUGGCGGGUAUGGAAGGAGCGAAACAACUAUAUAUUUCGAGGUACUAAGUCGGAUGCCUACAAAGUGGUAAAUUUGGCCCGAUUUCAGCAAGAUAGCUACAAAAAAUGGGGCUUUAUGCAUCUUCAAGCAGGAAAGGAAGAGGAAAUUGAGACAUCUCCAAUCUAGAUAGCUCCGGCAGCAAAAUCCUUGAAGCUUUAUGUCGACGGGUCGAUCUGCGAGGGGUCGACAGAAGGAGCUGUCGCCUGCAUCAUCCGGGAUUCCUCCGGUAGCCUUGUGGAUCGCUUCACCAAACCAGUUUGGGCGGUAUCGAUUUUUCAGCUGGAAACCCUAGUAGUGCUCGAAGCUUUGAAGUACAUAAAACAGAAGCAGCUGGGGGUGGCUUUGAUGGAGUCUGAUAGCAGAAGUCUCGUGAAGUCCCUCAAGUACAUUGAUGAGUUCAACUGGGAAGCACAUGCGACGUGGACAGAAUGCAAGCAGCUUCUUCAACAAUUGUCGCUAGUGGGCCUACACUCCUAUCCUCGAUCUGCUGGCACUGUGGCAGACUGGGCCGCGCAACAACAAAGGAAAAAUACACUUCCUCCCAACUGGCUGGCUUCUCCACCUCUAGGCCUUCGGGCCUUAUUAUGUAAUGAUGCCCCAUCUAUUGGGUAUGCUGGUUUAGUUAUAAUAUAAAUAAUAUGCCUCAUUUCGACCCAAAAAAAAAAAACUACCACUAAUCUGAGGAGGAUUAGUGAAAUAAUGAAAAAUUACAAUCCCCAAAUUAAUGAUGAAUAAAAUCAUCUAUUGAAGUAUUUUUUAACACCGAUGAGGUAUGUUAUGAUUAACCAUCGGGCCUUAUUAAUUCUACGAAAAAGUUUGUGCAUACAUAUACACAAUGAUUGGACAAAAACUUGCAAUAAAACCAUAAACACGCUCCAUCCUUGAGCCAUAAGGACUACCGACACGAACAAAUAUCAUCAAUGUCAAUCGUUGGAUUUUUAAACUCGAUUACAUGCAUGAAAAUCGCUUUCAUUCAUCGAUUUUUUGCUUUUUUUUUCCUCUCAAUUUCUCUUAGCUUGAGGAAUUCCUCGACUCACAAAUUAUUCGAUUUUAUCAGCUUAAUGACUUAUUUUUGCUCUCGUCUGUCAUCUUUUUCUCUACUCCCAUUGUCUAUGAAAUGGAUUUAACUUUGAUUGCCCCGAAUCAACUCCCUCCAGAAAGCAAAACCUUGAAACUUCGAGGAUAGAAGUCCACGCGGCGCCACGCAAUUGGCACUGGGAAUCACACAGAGAAAAGGUUGGAAGUUAAGACCCUUUUCUCUUUCAUGCACGCAAGAAAUGUCAGAUGAGAAAAAACGUGAGUGGCCGUAGUCAAAGCCAACAAGGUGAACGACAGAGAGAAGAGAAAGGGUUGUCGUUUUGCAGCGGUUUGCGGUCGUAUGUUGAAUGAGAGAGAGAGAGAGAGAAGGGGGUGUUGGUUUGUUUUUGCAGGGGGUUUGGUGGGUGGUAACUUCAACCGGCAUGUUAAAGAAGACCGGAGAGAGACUGGUCAAAUCCCCGGUCAGAACUUACAUUUUCUUCUCUUCUUGAAAGGAGCCCAUCACGAUGUUAAUAGUGUUAGCUAGGUUUACUCCUAUGUGGAGGAUGCCCAAUGAGUUGCAAGCCUAAAAAGGGCUUGAGCCCAUAUAAUAAGUUAUAUGAGGAAAUAGAGUUUUUCACUAUCUAUAUAAAGAGGUAUUCGCAGAAAAUGAAACAGCAAUAAGAGAAAAAGAGAAAGCAGAAAAUCUUGGGUUUGGGGCAAUAUCUAAUUUACAUCAAGCUGGCGUCGGAGGUUGAUUCGUGAUCCGAUUGAGCUGAAAUUUUGUCAGCAUGUUCGUGGCGCAAUUUUAUCGAAUCUGAACGAUUUGAUUUUCGUUUGAAGCUCCCUACAUUAGGUUUUUCAUGGAUUGAUUAAAACCUGCGUUUUUGGUCAGAUUUAUCUUUGAUCUCUUGUGAAGUUCAUGUGUAUUGCCAAGAAUUAUAUUCUUGAGGUGUUUGCUGCUAUGUACCUCUAGUAUUUGCUAGAAAAGAACAAUUUUGUUGAUAGUGAAGAAUUUCGGGUGGACUCCGAUCCCGUGAUUUUUUAUCUACUCACAUCGAGGAGGUUUUCCACGUAAAAAUCAUCUUGUGUUCGUGUGCUUGGUAUUUAUUUUACUCUACUAUAUCGAUUCCUAUUAGGUUUACACAAGAGGGGAGAUUAUUUUAUUCCGCUGCGUUGAUUCGAUAUUGUUCGAAUUAUUACCAUUCUCCCAUCAAAGUGGUAUCAGAGCAACAAGUUAUUGCUUGAUUUUUCUGCCUUGUGUUAAACAAUGGAAACGAAUACAAGUAGAAUGGUUACAUUGAAUGGUUCGAAUUAUCAUAUUUGGAAAGGAAAGAUGGAAAAUCUUUUAUAUGUGAAAGAUUUUUAUUUGCCUGUAUUUGCUGAGGAGAAACCAGAGAAUAAAACUGAUGUUGAAUGGCCUAUAUUUCAUCGUCAAGUGUGUGGUUAUAUCAGGCAGUGGGUAGAUGAUAAUGUUUUGAACCAUAUUAUUGAGGAAACACAUGCACGUAGUUUAUGGGAUAAGCUCGAACAGUUAUAUGCUCGAAAGACUGGGAAUAAUAAGUUGUUUUUGAUAAAACAAAUGAUGGCUCUGAGAUAUCAUGAUGGUACUCGUUUGACUGAUCAUUUAAAUUCUUUUCAAAAAAUUAUAAAUCAGUUAGCUGCGAUAGGAAUCAAGUUUGAUGAUGAGAUACAAGCACUAUGGUUGCUUAGUACUUUGCCAGACUCAUAGGAGACGUUCCGAACAUAUUUGUUUAAUUUUGCCCUAGAUGGUACGAUUAUCAUGGAUUUGGCCAAGAGUAGUAUUUUGAAUGAAGAGAUGAGAAGGAAGAUACAUGGAUCGUCUUCUUCACAUUCUAAUGCCUUGGUUGUUGAGAAAAGGGGAAGAGUGAGUCUCGAGGUCCGAGAAAUAGAGAUAAAAUUCGAGACAAAAGCAGAGGUAAGUAUAAUAAAUUUGCUAAUGUUGAGUGCCAUUAUUGUCAUCAGAAAGGACAUAUUCAGAGGUUUUGUCGCCAGUUAAAAAGGGAGAAACAAAAGGAGAAAAGUAAAGAGAAGAAAAGUGAUAAUGACAAUGAUGACAAUCAUGUCACUGCACUUAAAGAAGAUUUUCUUACUAUUUUUUAUGGUGAUGUGGUGAAUUUUGUAUCUCAUGAGACUAGUUGGGUAAUUGAUAGUGGUACAUCCGUUCAUGCUACGUCUCGUAGGGAUUUCUUUACAUCAUACAGGUCAGGUGAUUUCGGAUCUGUGAAGAUGGGAAACAAUGGACUAGCUCAAGCUGUAGGCAUCGGUGAUGUGUGCCUAGAAACCAGCAAUGGCACGAGGUUAGUAUUGAAUAAUGUUAAACAUAUACUUGAUAUCUGCUUGAAUUUGAUUUCUACAGGCAAGUUGAAUGAUGAGGGGUAUUGCAGCACUUUCAAUAAUGAUCAAUGGAAGCUCACCAAAGGUUCUCUUGUUAUGGCUAGAGGUGAAAAAUAUUCUUCGUUGUACAUUAUGCAGGCAAAGUUGUCCACAGACAAAAUUAAUGCAGUAGACAGCGAAGAUGCAGCUGAAUUAUGGUAUAAGAGGCUCAGUCACAUCAGUGAGAAGGGUUUGUCAAUAUUGGCCAAGAAGAAACUCCUUUCAGGAUUGAAAAGUUCAGCGCUAAAGAAGUGUGCUCACUGUUUAGCAGAAAAACAAAACCGAGUUGCAUUUAAAAGCUUCCCUCCUUCAAGAAAGUCAGGUAUACUGAAUUUAGUGCAUUAUGAUGUUUGCGAUCCUAUGAAAACAAAAUCACUUGGUGGCUUUCUUUAUUUUGUUACCUUCAUAGAUGAUUUUUCAAGGAAAAUUUGGAUUUAUAUCUUGAAAACUAAAAAUCAAGUGUUAGAUGCUUUUAAGCAAUUUCAGGCUUCAGUUGAGAGACAGACUAGAAAGAAAUUGAAAUACAUCAUAACUGAUAACGAGGGAGAGUAUAUUGGACCUUUUGAUGAAUACUGCAGACAACAAGGUAUUCGACAUCAAAAGACACCUCCCAAGACGCCUAAGUUAAAUGGCUUAGCUGAGAGAAUGAACAGAACGUUGGUUGAAAGGGUAAGAUGCUUACUUUCACAGUCAAAGUUACCUGGAUCCUUUUGGGGUGAGGCUUUAAGUACAGUUGUGCAUAUAUUAAAUCUUACUCCAUGCGUUCCUUUAGAGUUUGAUGUUCCUAACAAAGUUUGGACAAGCAAAGAUAUUUCUUAUGAUUAUUUGCGUGUUUUUGGGUGCAAAGCAUUUGUGCAUAUUCCCAAAUAUGAGAAGUCUAAACUUGAUGUGAAAAUACGAUAGUGCAUAUUUAUUGGUUAUGGACAAGAUAUACUUUGCUACAGAUUUUAUGAUCCACUUGAAAAGAAAAUUGUAAGAAGCAGAGACGUGUUUAUGGAAGAUCAAACAAUAGAGGAUAUUGAGAAAUCGAAAAUGAUUUCAGCACCACAGGUUAGUGAUAAUCCAGUUGAUUUAGAUCCAGUUCCUCUUACAAAUAUUCCUACAUAGGUUGAUGAAGAGCAGCAGGAAGUCAAUGUUCUAAAUAACACAAAUGUUCCUCAACAUGUUGAAACAUAUAAUAAUAUUCCAGAACCAGAGGCUCAAUUAGAUGUUUCACUGGAUGUUCUAGUCCGGAGAUCCGUUAAAGACCGAUGACCUUCCACCAGGUAUUCUGAAGAUGAGUAUGUAUUAUUGACUAAUGCAGGUGAACCAGAGUGCUAUACAGAAGCAAUAGAAGAUGUGUAUAAAAGCAAUUGGUUCGAUGCUAUGCGAGAUGAGAUGCAAUCAUUUUAUGAUAAUCAUACUUUUGAGUUGGUGAAGUUACCUAAAGGUAAAAGAGCUUCGAAGAACAAGUGGGUAUAUAGGUUGAAGCAAGAUGAACAUACUUUACAACCACGGUACAAAGCUAGAUUGGUUGUUAAGGGAUUCGGUCAGAGAAAGGGUAUUGAUUUUGAUGAUAUAUUUUCUCCGGUAGUAAAAAUGUCUUCUAUCCAUGUGUACUAGGCUUGGCAGCUAGCCUGGAUUUGGAAAUUGAGCAAAUGGAUGUUAAAACAGCCUUUCUACAUGGUGACUUGGAGGAAGAGAUAUACAUAGAACAACCUGAGGAUUUCAAAGUGAAAGGAAAAGAGGAUUAUGUGUGCAAAUUGAAGAAAAGUCUCUAUGGCCUAAAACAAGCACCGAGGCAAUGGUAUAAGAAAUUUGCGUCAGUUAUGAUAGAACAAGGCUAUAGGAAGACUUCCUCGGAUAACUGUGUAUUUGUCCAAAAAUUUUAUGAUGAUGACUUUAUUAUUCUCUUGCUUUAUGUUGAUAAUAUGUUGAUUGUUAGCAAGAAUGCUUUAAGAAUUGAGUUAUUAAAGAAGCAGUUGAGCAAGUCUUUUGCCAUGAAAGACUUGGGCUCGGCGAAGCAGAUUCUUGGCAUUAGAAUUACUCGAGACAGAGAUGCUAAGAAGUUAUUUUUGUCGCAAGAGAAAUAUAUCGAGAAGAUCCUUAAGAAAUUUUACAUGGACAAGGUUAAAGUGGUUAGUACUCCUCUUGCUGCCCACUUUAAGUUAAAUGUGAUGCAAAGUCCUACAACUGAUAAAGAAAAGAAAGAUAUGGAAAGUGUUCCAUAUGCUUCAGUUGUAGGAAGCUUAAUGUAUGCGAUGGUAUGUACACGUCCAAACUUGGCGCACGCAGUUGGCGUUGUUAGUCGCUAUUUGUCAAAUCCAGGCAGAGAGCACUGGAAUGCAGUGAAGUGGAUUAUGAGGUAUCUUCGGGGAACUUCAAAUUUGAAACUCAGUUUCGGGACUGGGAAACUUGAGUUAGUUGGAUACACAGAUUCCGACUUGGCAGGAGAUAUUGAUACUCGUAAAUUACUUCUGGUUAUUUGAUUUCUUUUGCGGAUGGAGCUGUGUUAUGGAAGUCAAGAUUGCAAAAAUGUGUUGCACUUUCUACAACCGAAGCUGAAUUUAUUGCAGCGACUGAAGCUAGUAAAGAGAUGCUAUGGAUGAAGAAGUUCUUAGAAGAACUUGGGUUCAAGCAAAAGAUUUAUGUGCUAUUUUGUGAUAAUCAAAGCGCAAUUCAUCUUGGUAAGAAUUCAUCUUUUCAUUCUAGAUCAAAACAUAUUGAUGUUAGAUAUCAUUGGAUAAGGGAUGUUCUAGAUGAAAAGUUGUUGGAACUUGAGAAAAUUCAUACAUAUUAUAAUAGCUCUGAUAUGAUGACGAAGACUCUACCAAGAGAGAAGCUUGAACAUUGCCGAUUGAUAGUAGGGAUGAUGAAUCCCUCCACAUUCUCGUGAGGGGGAGAUUUGUUAACUAGAUUCACUCCUAUGUGGAGAAGGCCCAAUGAGUUGCAAGCCCAAAAAGGGCUUGAGCCUAUAUAAUAAGUUAUAUGAGGAAAUGGGGUUUCUCACUAUUUAUAUAAAGAGGUAGCCGCAGAAAAGGAAACAGUAACAAGAGAAAAAGAGAAAGCAGAAAAUAUGGGGUUUGGGGCAAUAUCUGAUUUACAUCAAGCUGGCGUCGGAGGUCGAUUCGUGGUCCGAUUGAGCUAAAAAAAUUUCAGCAUGUUCAUGGCGCAAUUUUAUCGAAUCUGAACGGUUUGAUUUUCCUUUGAAGCUCCCUACAUCAGGUUUUUCGUGGAUUGAUCAAAACCUGCGUUUUUGGUCAGAUUUAUCCUUGAUCUCUUGUGAAGUUCAUGUGUAUUGCCAAGAAUUAUAUUCUUAAGGUGUUUGCUGCUAUGUAUCUUUAGUAUUUGCUAGAGAAGAACAAUUUUGUUGAUAGUGAAGAAUUUCGGGUGGACUCCGGUCCCGUGAUUUUUUAUCUUCUCACAUCGAGGAGGUUUUCCACGUAAAAAUCGUCUUAUGUUCAUGUGUUUGGUAUUUAUUUUACUCUACUAUAUCGAUUCCUAUUAGGUUUACACAAGAGGGGAGAUUAUUUUAUUCCGCUGCGUUGAUUUGAUAUUGUUUGAAUUAUUACCGUUCUCCUAUCAAAUAGUACAUAAACCUUUAUUACGCUGCUUGUUAAUGCGAUAGCCGAGAGAGAGAUAGAAGUAAAUGUUUGUCGAGCGACUUCUUACAGCCAUCUUUCAUCAUUCUCAUCUCUCUUUUCAUUGCCUCUCUCAUGGGAUGGUGAAUAUAAAAAAAUUGUGCGCUCUUCCUAGUUCCCACGCAUCUCCUGUCUUCUUGACCAGUCCAGUGCAUACAUCACUUCUCAACACAUCUCUUCCCGACCCCUAUGUAGCCAGUGCCCGCCUCUCCUAAGGUUUGAAGCCUUCUGCAUGGCGUGGAAGAAUGGAAUAGAAACGAAUAUAGACUAACAAUCACAUGAGUAUUGCAAUUUCUUUCUGAAAAUCUUUUUAAAAAAGCAGUUUUUGUAAUUGGUACAUGCUUUUUUAAACCUCCCAUAAGAACCAUAUUCUGACUUUUAUCUGGAGAAUAUCCAACAAUAGCUUCCAUUGAAUGAAUAAUUGAUCUCAUCUAUUUUUCUUAAUCCAAAUAAUUGAAUUGGGUUUCUUUUGGAAAGUUCUUUUAUUAUUCCUUUUAAAAAUAGAAUGGUUUUCAUGACCGAUUUUUUUCUUUCUUUUGAAAGGUUUAAAAAAAGAUUUAUUCUUUCUUUUAAAACCUGUAUAACUAAAAAAGGAUUCUUUUGUAAUUUUAUAAUUUUUUUUCUGAGUUCUUUAAAACAGUUUCAAAACACGCUAGAGGCAGCCCGAAAUGAUCUCGAUGAGAUCAUAGUUUUAAUUAAGUUGCUUGAAGUUUUGGUGCUGAAUACAUUAGGUGAAGCAGAGAUAUUCUCAUGGUUAAUGCUGACAAGCUUUAAUGAUAGUGGUAACCUCAACCACGAUGAAAUCAGCAACGUUGGCUGCCGGAAGGGGCUGAACUCCUCGCUCGUGGAGGCCAACUAAGGGUGCGCAUGGAUUUGUUUCUGUUCUUUUUUUGUUCCUGGGAACAGAAACAAAAAAAGUGUUUCUGUUCCGGGGAACAGUUUUUGAACAAAAGAACAUGUUUGGUAACGUUUGGUCCGGGAAUAAAAAAUGAACAGAAACACGUUUGGUAAAUUUUAUUAUUUUUUUGUUUCUUUUAAUUUUUUAAACAUUUUUUUUAUUUUUUUAUUUUUCCUUUCUUUUUAUUUUUUCUUUUCUUCGGCCUGUCACCGGCCUCCGGCGACCGGCCGACAGGGCCGGCAGCCUCGCCCAGCCACGGCGAGGCUCGCUGGCCCUCGGCGAGGCCGAGCCUCUCUGUGGUUGGGCGAGGCUGACGGUCCUGUGGGCUGGGCGACGCCGACCGCUCCCCGGCCGAGCGAGGUUUGGCCUCGCCCGUGCCGGCGACGCCGAGCCUCGCCGGAUUUGGGCGAGGCCGAGCCUCGACGGCCGGUCGCCGGCCAUGGCCGAGGCCGGCGACCGGCCAAAAUGAAAAAGAAGAAAAAAAAAAAAGAAAAGAAGAAGAGAAGAAGAAGAGAGAGAAGAGUGGUUUUUGUUCUUUUGUUCCUUUCGAGAAGUGUUUCUUUCAGGAGAAACAACUUUUUUUUGUUUCUUUUUUCUGUUUCUAUUUCGUUCCAGAAACAAAAAAACAAAAAAAGAACAGAAACGCAACCAAACGCGUUUCUGUUCCUUUUUUGUUCCCGGGAACACUUUCCGUACAGAAGUGUGCCGGAAACACUUUUUUGGAGUGUUUCCAUGCACACCCUAAGCUUCCGCUUCUCAGCCUAAUCAUAUUUCUUUUGGUCAUAUCGGUCUAGUUAGGCAAAGGCAUAUUUUUCUUUUAAGAAAAGAGAUCAGUCUAUAUUAGUUUCUAUUCCAAUCCUUCAACACCAUGUGGAAGGCUUUGAACCUUUGGCGGAGGUGGGCAACCCGCUCCAUAGGUGUUGGAGAAGAGAUGUGUUGAGAAAAGAAGUAUGCACCGAUGUGUUGAGACCUUGUUUGUCCAGUAUUAAAGCUAUCAAUCUACGCAGUUUGCUAAAUCCGAAUUACCUGGUCAGACGUUUCUUCACUCGCAUUUCAUUUUAAAUUGUAGUAUUUUUUUCCGUCUCAAUAUUCGUUACUAAUGCAAUUUUCUUUUUCUUUAAGGAGAGGGGAGGGGGGUUGAAGGCGGUUUGGUUUGCUUGCCCAUGCAAGAGCUCCUUUUCUGCGUAAACAGAAUCUGCACGAACAAGACUCAGUUGUUCACCAAAUUUACGAAAUUAUUGUACAAGUUAUGCUCUUCAGUUAAGUAUACUGCCAUUAUUCCAUUAUUUCUGUUUACUGGGCCAAGAUCUUUACAAAUCGAACCGAGGGGUGAACAAAUUGCUCACCCUUCUGGGGAAGGUUUGCUCUCAGUUUCCUAUUUUGGCUUCUCUUGGCCUUCUAUAGCUUCUCUUUUAACCGUCUUUAAUGCUGCAUAUGAAAGCCUCAGCCUCAGCCUGAGUUUCAGUGGCUCUAAGAUUCACUCCUUUAUUGUUUGGAUUCUGAUGGAACAUAUUCUGUGAAUGCAGGCACCCACUAUCGCAGCUGCUGCAAACUUGAGAAUGGCAAGAAGGUCUCCAGUUCUCCCAUCUACCAGAUGGCAUCUAGUGAUCUUUCUCAUGCAGAGAAAUUUUCUACACAUGCUGGAUCCAUUGCAAGUGUUUUCCAUGUCUUAUGCUUCUGUCUAAUUAAUGUUUCUUAUCGGAGGUGAAGAUAGAAGAAGGGAAAAUUAUUGAUCGGAGGCACGAACCCCAACCCUUGGUUGGCAGGGGUGCUAGACAUCCUCUUCAUAUUGCAUGCUGAACAUGAAAUGAAUUGCUCAACCGUGCUGCUAGGCAUCUUGCAUUGAGGAAUUCCACUUCCAAUGCCGUAGGUGACAAGCCCUACAAGCGAAGCGCCGACGCAUUUUGCUGACAUAACCAACGACGAGUUCAAGGACCGCUAAGACUGGUAAAAAUGCUUUGUUCAGGUACGAGAAUGCGAAUAUGGUGCCCGCGGCUCUGGAAUGGAGGAAGAAAAGAGCUGUCAUGGGCAUCAAGGACCGAGGAAGUUGUUGUAAGGAAAAUAAAAUUGAUGUUUCGAUCCUGCAGAUAUUCACGUUUAGGUGCGUAAUCAAUGCAUAUUGCUAUUAUGUUCUAGGUCCAACACACAUGAUCGAAUGAUCAUAGCUACAUGUACUUAGUACAUUACAAAUUUUCCAAUAGCAUUUAGGCUUUGUUUAUUUUGCGAAAAAUAAAUAAUUAGGAAAAAAAAUUUUAAAAAAUGUAUCGCUUGAAAUGAUGAGUUAAUGCAAAAAGUAUUCUUAUGCACAACAAUUCAUGUCUAAACAUUUUUAUGAACGGUAAAAAAUUUCUUCCCUUUUUCAUUUAUAUAGGCGUUACAAAUUAUCAUUUUUAGGAAAAUAUUUUAUAAAUCAUUUAUUUUUCGCUAAAUAAAUGAAUCUCGGAUUAGUUGACUUUUAUGGCAUGUGUGAUUAUGCUGCCUCUCGAUUAAUCAAAUAGGAACUUGUUGGCCUUUCUCAACCGUGGCAGCCACCGAGGGCAUCCACCAGCUACAAAGGGGGCAAGCUAACCUCGAGCAAGAACUCGUAGAUUACGAUGUUAACGGCGAGGACCAAGGUUGCGAAGGUGGUCUCACGCAAUAUGGUUUUUAAUUCAUCAUAAACAGUGGAGGCCUUACUAUUGAGGCUAAUUAUUUACGACGGGAUAGACGGAACGUUGCAAGACCGCAAAAGAAGCCUCCCACAUGGCUGAAAGCCGCGGGCAACAAAGUCAUGCCUGCCAACAACGAGGCCACGCUGUUGAAGCCCGUGGCAGAUCAUCCGGUGUUGGUGUCCAUUGACGUCGGAGGGUGGAAUUUCCGAUUCUACUCCAUCGCCGUCUCAAGACAGCGAGAUCAAUUUAAAUCACGCCGUAAUGGUGGUCGGCUAUGGUAUGACAAGGCUGGUGAAGAACUAGCAUAAUUAAGUUGGUGAUGUGUUUUUUGGGCUAAGCCAUGUUGUGACAUAGUUGCCUAGUAAGUAAAAUCUAUGGAGGCAUAGUAAGUAAAAUCUGUCAAGGCCCAAGCUGGUGAUGUAUUUUAUGGGCCAAGCCAUGUUGUGUUAUAUGGGUCGAGGCCCAUACCUCUGUUUUGUGUUUUUGUAGCCCAAGGCCAUCGUUUCUACGCAAUUCGACUGUCUAUUUCUAGUCCCCCCCCCCACCCCCAAAAAAAAUUGUUUCUUCGGGAGAAAACUAGAGUGAAGGUGCGCAUUGUGGUGUAAUAAACGUGGCUCUAUGUCACCUUUUGUGGUUCAAAUUCAAGGAAAUAAUUGGAGGAUUUAAGUUUGAGUUAUUUCGAAGCAGAAAAAUAUCUAAUUAAAAGAGAGUGACCUGAUAUUAAGCUCACAUGUGAAAGGACGAAAUGCCGUUAGAUCUAAAAGAAAGUAGCAGCACUGACAAACGUCUUUCAGCCUGGGCUGCACAAGUUGAUGGUUUUCCUUCGGUUCAACUUCACGACCAAUCUACACGUCUAUGACACUACACAGAUUAGUGUCUCAUGACCUAAAAGACCUUUUCUUCAACAGGGGUUUAGUGCAAUCAGCCUGUGAUUCAGUCCAAUGUGGCUAGGACCCUUAUGAGGCAAAUACUAUACAAAUUGUUUAACAUGAAUAAAACUGGCCCUGUACUGCAAACUUUGCCAUCAUCAGAAGGGAAUUGGAGAAUACUCAAUUCAUUUAAACAAAGAAUAAAACUCGACCUACCAAUUAUCUCAGAUUUUAGAUAAAUACAUAUAAUGUUUAUUCAUAAUUGUCGUUCUGUGCUAAUUCUCGCAGAGAGACUACAAGAGCCAUCUUUGGCAGUCUUGAAACAACCAUCCACCUAAUUUAAGCUCGGUAUGCUUGGGCUUACACUAUAUAAAGGGGAAGAAGGGAUGCGUCCUCUGAGAAUUGUUGCCGCCAACAUUUUCUCUCGAUGAACUUGUGCCAUGUCAGUAGCAUGAUAAGGUAGCCUGCAUUUCACAGUGAUUUUUACUUGGUGUCAAAUGAUGCAAGCAUGCAACGACUCGAAAGUUCAACCAGAAAUGAGGGCAAAAGAUGAACGGAAAAGGAAGGCAUGGUGAGUAAAAUCUACUGGUCAGCAGACCUCAUAGUUGCUCCCUCAGUUAAGUUGUGAUUAAUUCGACAGCAAGAGUUGCAAGCUGACACUGGCAUAGUUUUUGGUGCCAUAGAACUCGGGGCCACGGGAGUCAUGGUUCCGACGCCUUCUAGGAGCGUGAGCUUAUAAUUUUCCUUUCAUAGUGUUUGACUAUCGGUGACUCUAGCCAUCUGACCAUCUUGCUGUACAAGCUGAUCAUCUUGAUCCAGAUCUGUUUGACUUGGACCAUCUUCUUGUGUAAGUGUAUUCUCUUCCUCUGCAUCUGUUUGAUCAUCUUCCUCUGAGUUUGUGCUAGUUCAAGACAAUCCUGAUAAACCAAAUUUAACACUAGUGACUGAUUGUCAUGAAGCAAAGACCCUCGGAUCAUCCUCUCGUUGCUUGCAUACUAGUCCUAACCCACUGUUUCUUACUGUUCAAUUUGACGCUUCAAGAUGACCCGAAAAUGACUCCGAUCAUUUCACAGGAGCUUUGUACUUCCCACAGCGUACUACGUGGGGGAUGCUUGAGCCGCACAUGGUCCAUUCCUAAUGAAUAGAAGCAUCCUAUGUACCAAAUCACCUUUCCACAGACCUUGCAAGAGAGGCUGAGCUCAACUCCCCCCUCCAAUCCAAAAACAAGAUGGACCGCUAAUCCCAGCAUUCUUCGCAUAUGUCCUGGGGUAUCAUGAAAGAUAUCGAAUCCUCUUUACCAUGGAGCCAUCAUUCCGGCAUCUAUCUUCCAGCAAUUACAAUGCACGCUUUUCCCAUGUUAUGGAAUUCCUGGUUUGCUGGUAACAUCCAUAUCAAGAUAAAAAGAAGGUGGAGGGAGGGAGGUGUGGAGGGAGAGACUAACCUUAUGUAACACAUCUUCCGCGUUCAACCCUAUGUGGAGUGGCUUGAUAAAUCCGGGACUUUUUUGGCAGAGAUUCGCAGCUAGCUGCUUUUAGGAUACAUGUACUUGAUGGAAGCUGUAGGAUUUCCAGUAGUUGCUCGCGUUUUCACACUCGCGAUUCCUAUAAAUAAUCAUGCUCACUGUCGCACGUUGGAAAGCUAGUAAGAUUGUUUCCACUUCCCAGACACAUAUGAACAUUCCUAGUUGGAGAUAACAGGAAAGGUUCUGGAGGAACCUUAAUCCAGACAUAACACAGCCCCGGGUCCAACCAAUUCAAAUUCUAAUGUCCAAUGUCCAUAUGUGGUCAGUUAAAUCCCCCUGCUUGCUAUGGAAACUCGAAAGGAUUAGAGCAACCUUGUGGAGUCGGGUACUUGAUGUAUCGCAACUUACGAACUCGUGCAUUUGUAGCCCUUUCUCUUCACCUGUCAAGGACUUAUUGACAACAAGAACAUGUACUUCAAUGACCGUAUGAAUAUUGCAGCAAUUAAGAACUUUCUUAAUGUAAUCAAUAGUCUGCCCCUCGAGGAAACUGACUAUAUCGAGAAAAAUCUCCUUUGCGUAUUCCUCCAGCCAGGCCAUCUUAAGCGCAUCAUUGAUGCUUUUUUUUAAGGAGUUUUGAUAAGUUUAUUCAGUGCACGUCCCAUUCACCUCCUCUUCUACUGCACAAAAUGGAACCCAGACACCUCGAGUGCAAAAGGAAGGCUUUUAGCAUUAUCAUUAUGCAAAAUGGUAUCCCUUAAGAUUCCUCUUUAUUUCUAAGUUCUCGCCCCUUCGAAAAGCUACUUACUGAAAGGUUCAAGGGCCUAUCAUCUAUAAGAGCUUCAACCAAAUAGAUUCAUCCCAACCUGUAAGUAAGAUGAUCCUUUUUCCCUCUACCAAACCACUCACAUCCUCCGACUAAAUCAUUUCAUCGUGUCAUGCUAUCGACAUAGGGAAGAGUAUACAUCUAAAAAAUAUGCCUACGUGGAGUAUAGAUUAUUUCACCAGUGUGUGUCUAAAAAAUUCAAUUAAUGUUUGAUAACAUCACUGAAUCCAUCAUCUGUCCUAAUUUUGUACAUAAUCAGUUACUUAUUUGAUUGGAAAAUCACUGAUAAAAAAAGAGAUAAGUUGAAAAUAUUUUCUUUACACUUGCCAUUCUAUAAAUUAAUUGAUAAAAAAACAAAAACUGAUCCUAGAUCAAUAUCGUAAAAUUUCACAUAAAAAAAACUAAAUAACUAAACGAAUUAUCUUUAAUAUCACAUCUAGGAACCAUCUAAUUUGAAAAUAUGAUUCGUACAAUUAUAGUAAAUUUUCAAUAAGUAACGAUAAUUAUGUGUGAUAAUCGUGGCGCAACCGAUUGAUAAAACUUGGAUAUACAUCGGGUCCUAAAAUUGGCGGCAGCAUUGACGCCGUCGCCACCGCAGGGUCGGCCGCUAAAAUAUCUGUUUUCUCGAGCAAACAGAUAAAAGAAGAGUAUAAGAUCAUCUUCCUUCGUGUGUGCUGUCCGCUCUCGACGGUUUCUCCAAUCUCCGGCGGAAAAUAGAGAACCUCUCUCUCUCUCUCUCUCUCUCUCUCUCUCUCUCUCUCUCUCUCUCUCUCUCACUUAGAGCAGAGUUGCCUGCGAGCGAUGGACGCGCUCCUCUCUCCGCCGCUCUCGGCGCCUCUCUCACGCCUCCGCUCCGCCGCUUGUCCGGUUCACUGGCCACCACCGUCCGCCAGGCUCGGCCUCCUUCUCAAUCCGGCUUCAGUUCCGCGAANNNNNNNNNNNNNNNNNNNNNNNNNNNNNNNNNNNNNNNNNNNNNNNNNNNNNNNNNNNNNNNNNNNNNNNNNNNNNNNNNNNNNNNNNNNNNNNNNNNNNNNNNNNNNNNNNNNNNNNNNNNNNNNNNNNNNNNNNNNNNNNNNNNNNNNNNNNNNNNNNNNNNNNNNNNNNNNNNNNNNNNNNNNNNNNNNNNNNNNNNNNNNNNNNNNNNNNNNNNNNNNNNNNNNNNNNNNNNNNNNNNNNNNNNNNNNNNNNNNNNNNNNNNNNNNNNNNNNNNNNNNNNNNNNNNNNNNNNNNNNNNNNNNNNNNNNNNNNNNNNNNNNNNNNNNNNNNNNNNNNNNNNNNNNNNNNNNNNNNNNNNNNNNNNNNNNNNNNNNNNNNNNNNNNNNNNNNNNNNNNNNNNNNNNNNNNNNNNNNNNNNNNNNNNNNNNNNNNNNNNNNNNNNNNNNNNNNNNNNNNNNNNNNNNNNNNNNNNNNNNNNNNNNNNNNNNNNNNNNNNNNNNNNNNNNNNNNNNNNNNNNNNNNNNNNNNCCACCAUCCCGUGACAGCCGCCCAUUGCUGUCAGUUGCCGCCCGCCAUCAUCUGCCGUCGUCGAUCGCCGCCGGUUGCCGGCAACUGGUCCGACGAGCUCGCCGGAGGCUCUCGUCUGGCCUAAAUAAAAAAAGAAAAAAAAGGAAUAGGAGAAAAAAAAAAGAAGAAGAAUAGGAGAAGAAGAAGAAAAAGAAUAAAAAGAAUAAAAAUAAAAAAUAAAAAAAGGGAAAAAAAGAGAAAAGGAAAAAAAGAAAAGGAAAAAUAAAAAAAUAAAAAAAGAAAACAAAAGAAAAAAAAAGAAAAAAAAGAAAAAAAGGAAAAAAAGGAAAAAAAGAAAAGGAAAAAAGGAAAAAUUAUAAAAAUUAAAAUAAAUUGAUUUGGAACAGAAUCAAUGAACACGGUACCAAACGCAAUUUUAUUCCAAAAUUAGAAAUUUUGUACGGUUACCAAACACGUUCUUUUACUGAUCUCUUUCUAUAAUUUGCUAGGAUUGCAAGCUUUUCACUUUGAAAUAUGGUCAGCUUUCAUGGAUGAGCGCCACCCCCUCCCGCUCUCUUUUAGAGCUGAUUUAGGCCCUGUUUGGCAACACUCCAAACAGUGAUUAUUUCUGAUUUUUUGUUCCCAUAAUCAGUUUGGGACGAGAAUCGCGUUUGGUAAAAAUUUUGUUCCCGGGAACAAAUUUGUUCCCAGAAUCAGUUUUGGAGUAGAUUUGAGAAUAAAAAAAAAAUUGAUUCUACGUCCGAGAAUCAAAAAAAGAAUCAACACGAUAAAACUCUUCUUCUUUCCUUCCGCCAUCACGCGACCGUCGCCCACCGCCGUCCGCCGCCGCUCACCACCGCCCGCCGUCGCCGGCCGCCGGUCCGGCGAGCUCGCCGAAGGCUCGCCUGGCCAGGGCGAGGUCCGGCGAUCUCGCCGGAGGCUCAUCGGCCGCCGGACCGGCGAGCUCGCCGGAGGCUCGCCCAGCCACUGGCGAGGUUCGGCGAGCUCGCCAGAGGCUCGCCCAGCCAUUGGCGAGCCUCGCCGGGGCUGGGCGAGGCCCGCCUGGCCACUGGUCGAGCUCGCCUAGCCUGACCGGGGCUAGGCAAGGCCCGCCUAGCCACCGGCCGGGCUCGCCUAGCCUGACUGGUGGCUAGGCGGGCCUCGCCCAGCCCCGGCGAGCCUCGCCCAGCCCCGGCAAGGCCCACCUGUCCACCGGCGACGCUCGGCCUCGCCAGAUCUAGCGAGGCCGAGCCUCGGCGAGGCUGGGCGAGCGUCGCCGGCAGCUGGGCGAGGUUGCCGGCGACCUCGGCCGACGAGGGCCAGCCUCGCCGAGGGCCGGCGACGCUCUGGUGAGGUCGCCGGCCCUCAUUCCGGCCGGUCGCGGACCCGGCGACUCUGCCACAGGAAGAAAAUAAAAUACGGAGAAAAAGGAAAAAAAAAUGAAAGAAGACUUGCAGAGACGCGAAGGAGAUGUAACAAGGUUAUAUACUAAGGAAAAAANNNNNNNNNNNNNNNNNNNNNNNNNNNNNNNNNNNNNNNNNNNNNNNNNNNNNNNNNNNNNNNNNNNNNNNNNNNNNNNNNNNNNNNNNNNNNNNNNNNNACAGAAUCAAUGGACACGUAUCAAACGCAUUCUAUUCAGAAUCAAAAAUUUUAUACAGUUACCAAACACGUUUUUUACUCAGAAUCAGUUUCCAGGAACAGAAUCGUUGCCAAACGCGCCCUAAGUGGCUAUAUCAAGAUGUUCUCCUCCUCUGGUAAAUGUUGUCUUCAGUUGCUGGGUCGGGAUGGCUUUAGCAGCUAGGGGGCAGGCAUAUUCAUAUGUUGUGGAUUGGAGCACAAAUAGAACAAUAAGCUACAUUUGAUUAAUGUAUACUUUGUGAUCAACUCUGGAGCUUUUUGCAGCAUGUUUUGAUACAGCACCAGAGUUUAUGCCUAUUUUUUCUUGGAAAAGGAACUGAAUCAGUUGAACACGAGUAUAUAAGUAGCAGAAUUUCGGACUAUCCCCAAGCAGAUCUUGAGAAUGAUUGAGCUGCCUAGCUUGCACAUUUUUGCUAGAAAUCAGUUAUUGGAUGCUUUGGGCCAGGGAUUCAAUCGAUCAUGUACAUAACACGCUUGGAUUAGGUGUUCCUUUUUUUCGGUUCAUGUAUCAAGAUUGAGGAUGUUGUGUCUGCCUUUCUUUUACCAUAUUACCCCUGAGAUUCUUCAAGGUAUACAAUUGUUCUGCUUGUACCAUCUUUGGAAACAUAGAUUGUGCAUGACAUCAUGUUACCGAGAAAUCUACUUCUGAUUGGUUUGUUAUUUUAGAGCCCCAUUGCUCUUAACUUUGGCUUAUUAACUGGAGUCGUAUCUACAAACCUGCCAGGCAUCAGUCAAGUUGGGUUUCUAUUCCUUUGGCUGUGGGAACUCGGUAGAACUACUAUAGCACCCUGCAAAGAGGAUCAAUGCAGAACUUAAAAAAGUUGAAAAAAAAAAUUGGAAUAUAGUUUUCAAAACACACAGUUACCUAUUAAAGAAAGAAAGUUUUCGAAAGCACACAUCUUCCAAAGGGGCAUGUUGGAUUAUAUAUCUUUAGCUUUCCCAUAAUGACCUUCAGAGUUUCAUAGAACUAGUUCAUUUAUGCCGUUCUGUGGUGGGAGAAACUAUGAAAACAGGAGAGAUAGAGAAAUCUUCCAGCUUCCUAUAGCUUUUAACAUUUGCUAAUCUUCUGUAUCAUAAUUCCAUUUUCAUCUUUGAUGGUUACUAAUGUAUGAUUAAAGGCACUACCGUGCCUGUCAAUCUACCUUGUGAGUUGUGACAUGGGAACAGAAGUUCCACGAGUAGAUGAACAUAGUGAACGAGCCUUUACCUGUUCUUAGUCAGGACCCUGAUCGCUUUUGUCGGUUGCCCCAUUUGUCUGGAGUUUUCACUGUUGCUUCGGCUUGGGAAGUUAUUCGGCCCGAGAGGUCAAUCCAUGGUUUUGGCCCCUCUUAUUUGGAAUAGCUCAAUAAUUCCCCGGCACCGAUUCCUUUUGUGGCUGAUUUCCAGAAAUAGACUGCCCACUCAAGUUUCGCUUCUUGCUUAUGGUAGGAUUUCCGAUGCUAAAUGUGCUUUUUGCUCUUGUCAUCCUAAUUCUGUAGAUCACCUUUUCUUUGGGUGUCGUAUUACUGGGGCUUUGGCUCUUUUUAGGGCAGCUAGAAGCAAUCUUCCUUGGCGAAACAACUUGUGGAGGGAUAACCUCCAAUGGGCCAUCAAGUAUUUAUUUGGUGAUUCCUUUCACAUUAUCAUCCCUCGGUUCGCUUUUGCAGCUUUAUGUGAUAUUAUUUGGAAUGAAAGGAAUAAUAUCCUUUUCUGUGAUCGGACUCUCUACGUGCCUACUAUGAAGAAACGGCUUGAUAAGGUUGUUAGGGAUAAGGCUUUGAAGAUUACAGCAGAGCUGGAGCCUCAAUCCGUCUAUCUUCUCGGAUUGAUCUGUUUCCUUCUUUGUGCUUUGUCUUUGUUUUGCGGAGGGUGUUUCCCUUCUUUUGUGCUUCAUUGGGUUACCAUGACACCCUUACACCCCUCUUGACGACCCUUUUGUCAUAUUGGGUGCAAGGCCUCCUUGGGUCUCCUUUCUUUUGUAUAUUCCCACUUUGGGUGAAAGUUAAUAUACACGUUACCUUUACCAAAAAUAAAAAAUAAAAAAUUUAAGGGUUUCUAAAUUAUUGAUGAAAUUAGCGCUAUACGUAAUUUCAUCAUCGUUGCAUGGGUGUUUCUUCAAGGCAAAGAUACAUUAUUAAUUUAACAAUCAGUGUUCCAUAUCGAGAAAAUUAUCUAAAAAGAUUUGAACUUAUUGUACAGCGAUUAAUUCGAUUUUAAAUCUUUCAAUUGUACCAAUUUAAUCCUAAAUUUAAACCUUUUGAUAUUUGCUAGUUUAGUUCUAAACCUUUUAAUUAUGUUAAUUUAGUAAAAAAAAUUACAACAAUUUGCUAGCCCUAAAUCUUUUGACGAUUUGCCAAUGUAAUCCUUCCAACCAAUUCUAUAAAUAAUAGGUUUAGGAUUGAAUAGACAAAUCUUCAAAAGGGGGAAAAGUACCAAAAAAAGCUCUAAAUCUAUUACAUUGGUACCAAUUCACUCUUAUAUCUUUCGAUUGGAAUAAUUUAGCUUUAAACAUUUUCGUAUCGAUACCAAUUGAAUUCAUCCAGUCAAUUUAGGCUGGUAAUUAUUGACUUGGACGUCGGUUGUUCUAUAUAGUUGUCCUAUAUGGCACGGCUGAUGUUAAUAUGGAUAAUUUUUUUAUUUACUUUUUCAUAUCUUUUAUUAAUGUUUUUUUUUCUUUUUUAUUCUAUUUUCUUCUUUUUUUCUUCCAUUUCCUUUUUCUUUUUUCUGUUUCCCUUAUUUUUUGCUCCACUAGUGGCCAAUGGAAAUCCCUAACUAUCAACAAGGGCAAGGGUCGAGAUGCCCUUGCCAGCCAACCUUUGGCCAAGGCUGGAGAAGCUAUCUUUGGCCAAGGCUGGAGAAGCUAUCUCACACCAAAUCUAGAGAAGGGGACCUUGUUUGACCAUCGUUAGAGGCUGGCGAGGGGCAACCUUGCAGUCCUCUGGCGAUGGCGAGGGCUCUCACCCAGGCAAGGCCUAUGAUGGUGUCUUAGCCCUCGGCGACCCUCAUUGAAAGGCCUGCGAGGUGUCUUGGCCCUUGCCCUCCCCAGUGUCUGGCUUUCUUCGUUAACCCUCAUGCUUGAGGCUCUAUAGCCUCUACCCCACCUGUUUUGUAGACCUUGUGUAUAGUUGACUAGUAUUGUAUAUGACUGGGUUUGAUAUGUAUAAAGGUGUGAUGUGGUUUUUGAAAAAUUAUGGCCUUACUUUUCUAUCCCAUCUUUGUGUUGUUUGGGGAUUAAUUAUUCGCUUCCGCAUGCGAAUUAAAAUGAAUGGGUUGGCGACGCGUCCUGGGACGUCGCUAUUUAAUUGACCACAGAGAGAUGGGCAUGCGCUCGGAGGAUCGGGGCAUGACAAUUCCCCUCUGCUUCUGCCAAAUAAAAAGGGACCAAAGACCACAAUCGCUAAGGGAAGGCCAUUAGCAUAGCCAAAAUACAUCUAUGAGAUCCCUGCUUAUGUCUUGUAUUUGGCUUUUUGGAAAAGCAUAUGAACUUAGAAGUUCAAAAGCUUCACCUUGAUCUAACGCUUUAAACUUCAUAUACCUUAUCUAACCCGUGAGAAGUUAGUACAUGUUUAUCUCUAAUCGUAAUAAUGAUCCCGCUAUCUUUUCCAAACCAUUUACAUUCUCUAGCUAAUGCAUUUAACUGGACGCCAUGAUCCGCAUCAUCAAGCACAAGCAUAAUCUUCCUGUAGCAAAGUCUAUCUCAUAUCAGGUUAACGCCUCCAUCCACACUUAAGACCACUAAAUUUUCUUUCAACAAUAUCUCAGAUACGAGUGUUUUUUGCAAAUGAACCAGGCCAUCAGGUCUACUGGAAGCUUCUCUAACAUUUGCAAGAAAGCUGCACUCAUCAAACUGACUAGUGAUACAUACUGUCAUGGACAGCUUUAGCGAUGGUGGUCUUCCCUAUACCUCCUGCUUCCCUUAUUCCUAUCAUCCGAACCUCAUCCAAGCAUGUACUUAACAAUGAUAUGACUUUCUCUACCCGGCAGCCUACACCGAGUGGGAUGCUUGGCAACACUCAAGGGUACUUGUCCUACUAUAAUGGAGAUCUUUGUGAUGAUGCUCAAGACCUCGUUGUUGAUGUAGGCGUUGAUGCCGCUGUGAAGCAGAGUCCAGUGUAGGUCAGCGAGGAAGCCGUGGCAGACGUCCCCGCCUCUGAAGUUGAGGAAGAUGUCCAACGGCCAUUUUGCUUUGGAAGAAGGAGGAGAAGGAGAAGGAGAAGACGACAUGGGAAGACAUAAUCGAACAGUCCGUUUCUUUUAACUUUAUUCAGCUUUUAAUUUUGGAUAAUAACCACAAAAUAAAAAAUCGACACGUUUAUUCCAAUUUUUUUUUUUAUGAUAUCAAAAAUCUCCUAAAAACAACGUACAUUUGUCAUCCUUUAAAAUUAUUUUUCCUUUUAUCCCUCCUCUUCCAUCUUUACCGCUGCCAUUUCCGUCAUCAUUGCCACUAUCAUCAUCUUGCCAAACCCAAGAAGAAAACAAAGGAGGAAAUUUAAUAAAAGAAAAAAAGAAAACGAAAAAAAAUACAUACAGAGGAGAUUUCACAUGAUUUUGACUAGUGGUGGUUUAAUUUAUAAAUUUCCUCCCUAAGUAUUGGUUUUGUUGUAACUGUAGUUUGGGGCUCCUGUGAAGAGGUUAUUCUUUUUCCUUUCAUCUUUUUGACAAGAAAUGCACUAAGCAUUUACGCACACAACUUCUUGCAAUUGAUGAAAGACAUGUAAGGUCCAAAAUGUAUCUAAGCUCCAUCUACAAGGAUCAGAAUGCAAUCCACUUGCUGUUGGAGAUGACCCAGAAAUUACUUAUGCUAGCUCUUCCAUUCCAAUUGAUGCAGAUUUCUAAGAUUAAACAACUUUGACUAACAAUUAUCUUUGGUUAUUUUGGCAAAAAAAACAUGUCAUAGAUAUCUUUUGUUGAUUGUCAUUAAUUGUUAUAUCAUCGUAACAUUGGGAGAAAUAUCAGAAAUUUUUUAAAUAUAUUGCAAUUGUAUUAAUUCCGUCUUAAACUUUUUUCUCAAUUCAAACCUAAAACUUUUGCAUUUACACUUGUUCAGUCCAUUUGGUCAAUUUUGCCCAACUGGCAUCAACUUGGUACUUUUUAAAUAAUAUUUUAAUAAUAUUUUGAAAUUUUUUGUAAUUUUCUUUUUCUUUUCUUUUCUUUAAUGUUGUCCUCUUCUCCUUUACUUAGGGCCUUGCUGCCUUGCUUGCCCAAAUCAAGUGAGGUUGUUGCAGCCCUCGCCUUGUUUGGGUGAGGGCCGUAGUGUCCUCGCUAGGCCAAAUCUAGCGAGGGUGUCAUGGCCCUUGCUAGAUCUAAGCAAGGGACAGCACACUCACGCCCUAGCUAGCGAGGGUUGGUUGGCGACCCUCACUGACCCUAAGAGAAGGGGAAGGGGAGAUUUAAAAAAAUAAAUAAAUAAAAGAUAAAAAUUAAAAGAAUUCAAAAAUUAUCUAAAAAGUGUCAUGUUAGUGCCGAUUGGCUAAAAUUGGUAGAAUGGACUAAAUCGACACAAAUGAAAAAGAUCUAGGACUGAAUUAAUAAAAAAAAAGUUUAGGGUUAAACUUGCAUAAUUAUAAUAAAUUUAUGACUUUUUUAGUAAUUUUCCCUCGUAACAUCAUUCAGACGAAUUAUAGUCUCCAAAGCUCUUAAGGGAUGGAUAAUUUGUAGACAGGAUGAGCAUCUAUGAAGUUUUAGCAGUAGAUUUUCCAGUUCUCCUGCAAUUUAAAUCCCGAAUUUUUCCUCAUUGUCUUUGGGGAAUUGCAUCGUGUGAGAUGCAGCUUGUCCAGUCCUCAAGAGUCACAACAAUCUUUAUGGCUUCAUCAUUGCAUACAUGAGGGAGAGGGGAGGAAGUCUAUAACUCGGGCUUCGCUCUAGAGCAAUUUAUGAGGUUACUUAUUAUUAUUAUUUUUUUGGCUUGCCUCAAACAUAAAUCCUUUUAUUCUCUAUUAGCAAAAACCAUAGAGCGGAUGUUAGUAUAAGGCUAUCCUUUGUCUUCAAAGACUGGUACCUUAUUAAGUGCCGAAUUGGGCUCCUAACGGGGAAGUCCAUGGGCCAUUCGGCAUUCGUCUCCAUCUUCUUCGCUGGCCAAUCCUCGCUCCGGUUCGAAUCGCCGCAACUCUCUGGCGCUCGAGCACCGUCUCGCAGCGGCAAAUCUCUACCUCGCUCGAUCAUCUCCGGCGGCAUUGAUUGUCUUUUGGCUAAAUUCUUGGUCGGAGUGUUCGUCAGUGGUUGUUUGCAGAAUCAGAGUAGACGUGAAUGUGGUAUGCGUUGAUGAACAGGUCAAAAAGCAAGGGAAGCAAGCGGAUGACAUGCAGUAUCGAGCUCAGCGUGAUGCUCUAAGCCUGAAAAUUGUCCAGAUGACUGCAGAAGAUAAUUGCUUUUUCGGGUCUGUGUUCCUUGUUAGAAAAAAAUCGCCGAAUUGUUUUCGUGAUUUUUUUUUUUUUUUUUUUGGAAUGUUUCCGGGAAUAGGUUUGUCUUGAAUGGUGUGCUCAUCGCAUUACCACUCUGUCGUCAGAACACAACACGCAUUGCAUUUUAUGGUACACCGGUUCUGGAAUACUAUCAUCGAUGUACUAGAAAUUCCUCUGCUGGGAAAACUAUUGCGUUUUCGUAUCAUGUAUCAUUCUGCCUGAGACACUGCAUCUGGAAUUGGAAACAUAUCUUGAAGAAGAGUUCUCUUUGUCGGGGCUUAGUCUCGAGGAUAUUAGAUUGACCCUUCUAAGAUCCAACUAAGUUACUUUGUAAAAUUUCAUGCCUAUUGUACAACGUCCUAGACAAACAAACCAUCUUCCUCAUUCCUGUUUUCAUUCCACGUAUUUGAAUUAUCCAUCCUCCAGGUAAUCUUGCUGCCUUGUAUGGAGCUUUUGGUUAUAGAAAUGCCUUUGCUAUAGUUGGAAUUUUCAUAGUUGUCAGCCCUUGUUAAUCAGGGCCCUUGCAGAUCAGUUGGAAGGCAAUGAAGAUGAACAUGGAAAGUACCGGAGUAUGGUUGUUAAGUACAUAUUGGUAUGUGGAGUGCUGAUUUCUCUUUUUCAAGUUGUAGAAAUUAUGUUUGUAAGGGUUUUUUUUUUUUUUUUUUACAUGGUGAUGUUGUCCUCAUUUGUAUUAGGGCUCAGCAAUCCGAAUCAAAACUUUUAUUCGGUGCAUUUUGUUCUUGAACCUUUUUGUAAGUAUUGAUGGAUUUCUCACUUAUAUAGACACCGAAAUAGCAUGCCUUUUGACGAAAAAAACAAGUUAAAAUGGGUACUUUAUAUUGAAGCUUACAAUUCUGCUGCCAAUGGUUAUUUCUGAUGAUUUUCAGUUCACAGUCACAGUUGCAUUGAGCUAUACCAACACAAGGAUCACCUGAGCAAUUUGACAUUCUUAUUUUACUAGGGAGGAAAACCUGUUAAGUGUUAACUGUGAUUUGGAUGGUCUAUCUUGGCCUAAACUAACAGGUGUAGGAGGAAGCUGGACUCUGUAGUUAUCCGCAUUGUUGUCGCCUACAGGAACGUGUGAUUGCUACUUUAGGGUGGCAAUAUUAUGCAAAUCGACAUAUUUUUCGAAGGAGAUUUGACAAAAUCAAAAAAAUGAGAGAAUUAAUACUAACGUAAUCGACUUUUUAGCAUGCAUGAUAAAACUGUAAUGUUUUGCAAUGCCACAAAUUUCUAUUUCUACAAGAGUUUCUAAACAAAAAUAUUUAUUUGAUAACGACACAAAAUUUUUACCAUAAAAAUAGAAAUUCACUUGAUGAUGACACAAAAUUUCUCCCUUUUGGAUGGUGGCUACUGGCAGCGGUGGCCGGCGAUCGGCAGACGGCAACAGUAGCAACACACGGCCAACGGACAUCGGCUAGCUGAUCGGCUGCCGUCUGGCAACUGGUGGCGACCGGCGAACAGUGGUCGGCAGCGACGGAUGGACGACCGACCAGCGACGGAUGGACGACCAGUUCGUCGUAAAAACGAACGAUGCGAAAAAAAUUUAUUUCUUAUUUCUGGAACAGAAAUAGAAAAGUAAAAAAAAAUUUGCUUCUGAUUUCUAUUCCAAAUCUAUUUCUGGAACAAAAUCUAUUUCAGAAAUAGAAAAAUAAAAUAAUUUUAUCAAACGGAUUUCUAUUUCAGAAACAAGUCUGGAAUAAAAAAAUUGUUUCUGAAACAGAAAAAUUUUGAUUUAUCAUGCACCCCCUUCUUGAUUACCAUGUGGGGUUGGAAAGCAAGUGGAUACCUAUAUAAUGCAAAUCUGCUUUAAAAUCAUUAUUCAUUGUGUGAGAUAUUGAGCAUGAGAUACAUGGAUGGAUGACAUCAUGUAUUUGCAUUGAAUAUGGACUGACAUUUGCGUACAAUGCAAACCCAAUGCCACACGUGACAAAGUGUUACGUCGUGGAAGCCACCUCUUGAACCUCGUUGGGAUAAUUUGUCACAUGGUUUGAGCCACCUCUAACUUUAGAAUCCUAUUAUAGUGUCAUCACUUGCAUACAUCAACAUGUUUAGCUAUAUAAUAUUGUUGUAGCAAAUUCGCUCAAUGUAAGUUGAUUUGACUGUCAAGCGACUGGGAAAACAAAUAACAAGCUUACUUUCUGAUUCUAGCUUGGCUCUAUGAAGUGAUUAAACUAUCCAUAAAGUAUUUUUCCAAAGAUGGCUUUGAUGGUGUGCUUGGAUGCGUGGAUGUGUGGAUGCGUGCUAGCUCUUGGAAGCAAUGGAUGAAAUGGUUUGACAGAGACCGAUCUAAAUGAAAGGAAUCGCAAAUUGCUUAGAAAUUAAAGUCGAAGUGCUGCAAGGAAUAAAGGAAAGCAAAGCAAAGAACACUAAACUCAAAGCCGACUGAAAUAAACUGAAAACGAGAUUACUAAUUUACUAGGACAUUAACAUUGCUGGAAUUGAAAUUAAUCACAGUUUGUACAAAUGACGUUCGAAUGGAGACAAUGACAUGAACGUUACAACGAUACUCGAAGGGAAAUCAGCAGUAAUUUUGGCGGGGUUUUGGUGUAAUUUGAACAUAUCUUCUUCCUCUGCAUCUCUUUUUUUUUUUUUUUUCGUAAGUCUUAAAUUCCCUUUGAUUAUUACUAGGUCGAUGAUCAUUUCUUAACUAAACUGCUUUCAUAUAUCCAUGAUUUCCUACCUCAACUGCCUUCAUGUAUCCAUAAUUUCCCGACCUAACUAAAUUUCCGAUUCCUCAGCAUUUCUCAGCAGCUACUUUGUCUUGUUCUAGCUUGGUGAAGUUUAUAACUGCUUCUGCUUCUUUUGAAUUCAAAGUAGGUUGAAGACUCUCUUUCUCAAACUUCGGCGGAAUGGUCUUUCAUGAGCAUAAAAACGAAAUUGAAUUUGAUACAGCUUGGCUUGUGAUUUUUUACUACCAACAUAUUGUUGACUUAUUGUUAUUAUUAGACGACAAUUCAGUCACACAACCAAAGCACAAAGUAAACCGAAGCACCAAGGGAGAAAAGAAAUCUCUGUCGUCAAAGGAUGAACCAUCAAUUCAGCUAUAUAUGAUCAGCAGUCCAGCACGUUGAACGACAACAUCCAUAUCACUCCAUCCGAUCUCAAAUUGAUCAACGACAAAGACAAAUUCGUCAUUAUCAUCUGUGAGGCAAAACGUCGAACAUGCGGUGAUCACUAAGGGCGAGGUGUUCUGCAAAUAGGAAUUCCCAUCAAUUGGCAAGGAAUAUAACAUGAGAAAUCCCUCCAAAAAAAAAAAAAAAUGCUAGAGCGGAAUCGACGAAUUCGAGACCAAAUAAUGGACAAGAAUUCGACAUAACAAUUUGAAGCUCUCGGCAAAAGGGCAAUACAGAACAAUCGUAUGAUUGAAUUUCGAUGAAUCGACCGCGUCCUACCUUGGGGGAGACCCGAUCCGAAUGGUUACCUGCUAAUAAAUGAAAGACACUCAAAAGACUUGGAGAAUCUCACGAAGACGAAGCUAAGGCGACGAAUCGAUUCAGCGACGAAAUUGCUCGACGAAGAUAUUCAGCUGCAACUAGCUUCAACCGCGGGCGCGAACACUGGAUUCGGUCCAGAGCGCUUAAGAUAUUUUUCUCGGUCUGGGCGUGUGUUCUUGCUUCACUUGGUUCCUCAGCCUCUCCAGCACGCACCAAGCGAGGGAGAAAGAGCACGAGAGAAGUUUCGAUUGGUUGUGAUGAGCGCCCGUUCUCUGCUCCGUCACGGCCGAGGUUGCGGUUACCGGCGAGGGAGAUUUGACGGCGGCCGUCACCGAUCGGAGAUGGCGUAGACGAUCGAUUGAGGGUGAUGGAGCUCAAAGGAAGAGGCGAUUGCUCCGAAUAGCUAGCCGGAAGAAUGGAAUGAGUCUCCGAAGCGCCACCGAAUCGGAGCGAGGCCUUUUUUUUUUUUUUACAUACGUCACAAAAAAUGCACGUUCGGUUUGUCGGGCGAAAUUUUAGACAUCAACAAUUAGUAACAUUUUAAAGUAGCUAACUUUAUUAAUUUAAAAUAAGAGUUUACCAUUGAUAUUUGAUAGCGAUCGUGUUUUUAGCUUAAUAAACUCUACAUAAUCCAAUUAUGAGGUUGGCAGUAUUGUGAAAUUAAUUGAUAGAUAAUCAAGUACAUGAAGUUCUGUAUAUUAUAUCACUUGAGAGUUAGUUCUAUAUGAGCUUCAUACAUUUUUUUUUGCUAGCUAACUAGGUGAUAAGUUGUCGUAGUUAUAGUUUCUUCUAUACUUUUUACAAUUAGUUUUGUUGUCGGAAGUAGUAAUGAACCAUGCUGGUCGUUGCAUCCUCAAUCACAUCCUUCAUGUUGUGUAUUUUACCAACCAUUUCUUUUCAUGAUUUAAUGAUUUAAAUAAUAUAAAAUAAGAUAAUCUUGACUAUAACAUGACUAUUUCACCGGUUUUAGAUUUUGCAACGAAAUAUCUUUCACUAAAUUUUAUAUUUUGCUUUUUAUUAAAAGAGACUUAGGUUCUAUGCUAGUAUUGGAUAGAGAGAGUCAAAUACUAAUGGAGCUAUAUAUGAUAUGGUUUCGAAUCUUAUAAAGUUGCUUAAUAUGAGGUCAAAAUCAAUCAUAGCCAAUGUCGAAAUCCAAUCAACAGUUUGAUCCAAACUCACUUUAACAUACUAAUGAAAACCCAUUAAAAUCAAAGUGGUUUGUACAAUGUUGAAGCCAAUUUGACAACAAUGGAUAUUAACAAAAGCACCUAAAAAGCACUACUUUCAAAUGAGUUUGAGGACACAACAUUAGAAUCUAAUUAACGAUGUUGGAUGGUGGGAAUAACACAUAGUAAACACCACUUCUAGAAAAAUAUGAGAAUACAACGUUAGAAUCUAAUCGACGAUACUGGACGAUGUUAAUAAUACCUAAUAGACACUACUUCUAGAUGGAUAUGAGGACAUAAUAUCGAAAUCUAAUUGACGACGUUGGACGGUGAUAAUAACACCUAGUGGCACUACUCCUAGAUGGAUAUAAGGACAUAACAUCGAAAUUUAAUCGAUGACAUUGGAUGGUAGGUUAAUACUGGAAUUUUAUCAAUAGUACUACCUAGGAUAUAGACACUCACCGGAAUUGAAUCUACGACGGGAAUCUUAAAUUACAGCUAAACUAGACUAGGUUAAGAUAAAAAGGUAAGAUAAAGUAGUUUUGUGUGUUGUUCGAGGAACUUCUCUAUUGGAUUGUUUGCGGUAUUUAUAGGCCAAUUUGAUAACCAUUAGUGAUUGAUUGCUUCCUUCUUAAACAUCGCUCACGUUCUAUGCUAAACCGUUUUAUCCAUAUCUGGUUGCUUUCUAAUAUGUUUGAUGAUGUUCUCAUGGCUUGUUUAGCAAAUAAUAAUCGCUCCUUUGAUUUUGGCGCCUUUUUAAGCAUCAACCGUUCUUGUUCAAACUUUGCCAUCAAUUCCAUCUAAAUGCUAUGUCUUCAACAGGGUUUCUUGGCUUGGACACGUGGCAACCAAUUGCUUUAUCAUCGAAUCACGUAUCUCUACUUGUAAGCUCAUCGAAAUCUAGUCCAAAUGCUCUUGAAAUCCUUGGCUAUCAUUCGUUUCUAUGACAACCAUGGACUGGGCUGAUGUAAAUCACGACCCGCAAAUGACAGCGAGGAUGAUUUCAAAGGCUUUUAUCCCUUGUGAUCAGCACGUGAUAGUAGGGAUAUUUUUGGAUGUCAACAGUGACAAUAUAAUUCAAUCCAUCACUUGACAUCACAUACAACUUUUACAGUAGAUUUGAUCAUAUAAUUCUUUCAUUUGUUUGGGAUCACACAUAUUACAAACAAAGCAAGCAUGUAAAAGCAUUUCACAUUAUUUUUAAUUACUAGAACUUCGUAUAAAUUUCUUAAAAUUUGUAGCAUUUUGUAUUAAAUGCUAAAUAAUUUUGGGAUCAAAAGCUAAGGUAUAAUGCAACAAGACAAGAAGUAUAGCAAAAUGGUAUUGUCGUAUUCACUACAUGCAAAUAGUAUCUUCACUAUCUUGAACUUUCAAAUAUCAAUUUCUUGCAUACAUGCAAUGCUUUGAUAUUUGCCAUGCUGGAGAAAUUUGAGCCAAUUAUGAUUCCCUCUUCUAACUCUAAGGCUAAAUAGUAGGUAACUCUCGUCAAAUUGACCAAAAUAAACUCUUCCCUCCAACACUCCCCAUAGUGCAUUUGGUUUGAGAAUCUAAAUCCAUACAUGAUUCGAGUCAAAUGAACUAAGAGGCUCCUAAUAUCUCAUCCGCCUUUGGCAGUGAACAUGUGGCAUGAUGUCAAAAGAUAAUUUCCUCUUCUUCUUCUUCUUCUUCUUCUUUUCCAUCUUUUACACUGCAAACACUACAGUUCUUACCAAAAAAAAAAAAAAAACAAUACAGAGAACCACCGCCACAACUCUCAGAGCAGUUCCGUGACUUAAGCAGGGGGACCCAGCUAGUGGGUUACUAGGCUAGUCUCUCUCGAGGUAUAGUCGAUGCUGUGCUCCCGUAAGGUGAGCUAGGCCAGAUCCCCGGCAUAAAAAAAUAAUAAUAAUAAUACAGAGAACCAAUGUUGUAAACUUGUAGUGCAAGUCAUGUGAAGCCAAAAAUGGUACCGUCUUCAACAAGGAUGAACUCCUUUGGUAUCUCUCCUCUGGGGCAAACAUUUUGGUAAUAAGGAGGAAUUUGGGAAUAAUGAUGCUUUUGUUAUAUAGGCAUACUGUAAAAUGUAUGUGAAUUUCUAAUUAGUUCAAGAAGAAGAGUUUAAUUUUGAGUAAACUAGUUGGCUGGCAUACGUAUCCUAUCAUAUUAGGAUGAUGGUAGUGAUCGAAAAUGGGAAAGCCUACACAAUUUGAUUUAUUAUGUGUCUAGCAUAGCUCCUUUGGGAACUCCUAGUAAUUCAACCACAACUAGAGCUCUAUAAUAAUUAGACAUAUUGAUCCUUUGUUGCAUUAUAUACAUUACUCAUGUAAUAUAAAUCAUUCCCUUAUCAGUUUUGUAGCCACCCCUAAUAUUACAUUAGACAUACUGAUCCUUGGUUCCAUGAGAUAAGUGCACCUAGCCACUCACUCAGUGUCUAGUAUAACAAACUUUCUUAUUAAAUACUUCGAUAAAGUUCUAAUUUACAAUAAUUGAUAUACUUGUUAGCCAUGUAUUUAAGGUUUAUCUUAUGGUUAUGUUCAACCAUUUUAUAUUAUGAAUUUAGAAGAAUUUUAACAGGAAAUACACGAUGCAUGUUUUCAAAUAUUUUAUGAAUUAUUUUAAAUUUUUAUGAAUUUUCUGGAUUUUUAAUUUUUUAAUUAUUUUUAGUUUAUUAUUAUUAUUACUUUUAAAUUUUUUUUACUUGUUAAAUACAGACAACGACUUCGGGCUGGCUCUGGUCUCGUGGGUCUGGGCCAUGGACACAAAUGGGCUAAUUCAAAAAAAGCCCAUUCGAAUAGAAUAUCACCAAGUCCAUUUCGUUGAAAUUAAAAAGCACUAAGCUCAUCUUGCUAAAAAAACUCAGCCCAAGCACCUCUAAGACUAAGACCAGCCCGAAUCUACUAAAACCACUUAGGCCCAAGAUCCAUCAAAUAACCCACGCCGAGCCUAAAUCCACGCAACCCAUUCACGCUUCCUUCCUCCUUUCUCAUCUAAUUUUCUUCCUUUUUAUUUUUUUCAUUUUUUCUCUCCCUUUUUUAUUUUUAUUUUUAUUUUUAUUUUUCUAUUUUCCAUUUCUCUUCCCUUCCCCUGUGCACCACCUUCUUCCCGUGAACGACUUCUUCCUUGCGACCUUCUUUUCAACCUAAUCCCACCAUUUUCCGAUGAGCCCUCGCCGGCGCUCAGGCCACCGCCGAGCCACCACUCGGCGUCGGUCGUUCAGUCCGACAACGCCAGUCACUGCCAGCCAUCACUUGGUCGCCGGUCGCCCGUCCCUCGCGGGCCAUAACCGAACCUCAACGGCAACUUUAAUGUCACCGAAACACGUAAUUCAAAACGGCAUCCAUUUCAACAGAACAAGCACACAAAUGGAGGGAAUAACAAACUAACUACGGCGUCCUCUAAUUGCGGGCUUCUCCAGCUAAAGGAAUGGCAAUCUCCGGCGAAGCGUUCACGGCCAGACUCGGACGAUGAGAAAUAUGCCACCAAAAGAAUCAAAGAAAACGCCGAUUCAGUCUCCCGUUUAAUGAUUCCAUAACGAAUAGAGCACGGAAAAAUAACAUUUCGAGCAUCUCGCUAAAAUUGAAUUCGAUUUUUCAUUGAGACAUUCCGUCGAACGGUCCAUGUGCAGUUCUGAAUACCACCUGUAGGUUCGAGAGCUUGCUGCGAUAGACGAUGACAAGCGAGUCGGCUUCCCCGGGAGGUCGCGAGGGUGAUUGAGACGGACCACCGACGAGAUGAAAGAAUUCUCUCCUCUCGGUUUCCGAUUUCUCUUCGAAACACCUCCGGCUCCACCACUCCGAGCCGAUCCCCUCUCUCUCUCUCCCCGCUCUUUCGUUUCUGCCCCAUCCUUACCUUUACAAGAAGAAGGAAUGGGGCUCCUAACGGGAAAGCUCAUGGCCCUUCCGGCAUCUGUCUCCAUGUUCUUCGCUGGGCAAUCCUCGCUAUGGUUUGAAUCGCCGCGACUGCGGUGUUCGAGCGCCGUCUCCCGGUGGCAAAUCUCGACCUCGCUCAAUCAUCACCGGCAGCAUUGGUCGUCUUCUCUCCGCAGCGAUGGUACAGAAGCAGCACCGCAAGUCCAACGCUAAGAAACAGCCUCACGUAAGCGAUUUCCUUCGCUACUUAUGGUUGCAAUUUCCAUCUAUUUAGGCAUCUGUGACUAUUGCUUGCUCUUCGAAGAGGCCGCAUAUCUUGUCUCCAAAGAAAUUCAAAAGUUUCAAUUGCCGUGAUAAUCCGUUUGUUGCGCCGACGCCUCUGAAUUGAGCUUUGGUGGACGUGCGUUUGGCUAAAUUCUUGGUUGAAGUGUUCGUAGGUGGUUGUUUUCGGAUUCUGAGUAGACGUGAAUGUAGUAUGCGUUGAUGAACAGGUCAAAAAGCAGGGGAAGCAAGCGGAUGACACGCAGUUCCGAGCUCAGCUUGAUGCUCUGGGCUGAAAAUUGUCCAGGUGACUGCAGAUAAUAAUUGCUUUUGCAGGUCUGUGUUCCUUGUUAGAAAAGAUCACCGACUUGUUCAUGAUUUUUUAUUGAAUGUUUUCAGGAAUUGGUUUGUUUUGUAAGAUAUUAGUAAUCCUCUCUGCUGUAGAAGUUUAGUAGUAUGCUCAUCGCAUUACCACUCUGUCGUCAGAGCAUAACACGCAUUGCAUUUUAUGGUAUACUGGUUCUGGAAUACUAUCAUCGAUGUCCUAGAAAUUCCUCUGUUGGAAAAACUAUUGCAUUUUAGUAUGAUGUAUCAUUCUGCCCGAGACACUGCAUCUGGAAACAUAUCUUGAAGAAGAGUUCUAUUUGUUGGGGAACACAGCUCUCUUACCUUAGUCUCGAGGAUAUUAGAUUGACUCUUCUGAGAUCCAAGUCAGUUACUUUGUAAAAUUUCAUAACUAUUCUACAACUCCUAGACAAACAAAACAUCUUCCUCAUUCCCGUUUUCAUUCCAUGUAUUUGAAUUAUCCAUCCGCCAGGUAAUCUUGCUGCCUUGUAUGGAGCUUUUGGUUAUAGAAAUGCCUUUGCUAUGGUUGGAAUUUUCUUAGUUGUCCACCCUUGUUAAUCAGUGCCCUUGCAGAUCAGUUGGAAGGCAACGAAGAUGAACAUGGAAAGUACCGGAGUAUGGUUGUUCAGUACAUAUUGGUAUGUGGAGUGCUGAUUUCUCUUUUUCAAGCCAUAGAAAUUAUGCUCGUAAGGGUUUUUUUACAUGGUGAUGUUAUCCUCAUUUGUAUUAGUGCUUAGCAAUCCAAAUCAGAACUUUUAUUCGGUGCAUUUUGUUCUUGAACUCUUUUUGUAAGUAUUGAUGGAUUUCUCACUUAUAUAGACAUUGAAAUAGCAUGCCUUUGGAAGAAAAAACCAAGUUAAAAUGGGUAUUAUAUAUUGAAGCUUACAUUUCUUCUGCCAAUGGUUAUUCCUGAUGAUAUUCAGUUGGCAGUCACAGUUGCAUAGAGCUAUACCAACACAAGGAUCACCUGAGCAAUUUGACAUUCUUAUUUUACUAGAGAGGAAAAGCUAUUGUGUUAACUGUGAUUUGGAUGGAGUAUCUUGGCCUAAACUGACAGGUGCAGGAGGAAACUGGACUCUAUAGUUAUCCGCAUUGUUCUAGCUUACAGGAACGUGCGAUUACUACUUUAGGGUGGCAAUAUUAUGUAAACCGACAUUUUUUCGAAGGAGAUUUGACAAAAUCAAAAAAUGAGAGAAUUGAUAAUAACGUAAAAUAAAUAAACUAUUUAGCUUGCAUCAUAGAACUGUAAUGUUUUGCAAUGCCACAAAUUGAUAGUUUUGCUUUUUUUCAAGUUUCAACAGGAUCCUUCAUUUUCAUUGGUUUUACUUAUAGUGAUGUGUUUAAGGAAAAAAAAAAAAAACUUGUUUGAAGAAUGGACCUGAUAUAUGCAUCUAAGCUGGGAAUUGUUAAUGACAGAACAAUCGUGAAAUGUUGAACCAUUUAUUGAGGAUGAUGUGCCAUUUGAGGAGUAUUGCAAAACCAUGGACAAUGAUGGCACGUGGCUGGUCAUAUGGAAUUGCAAGCAGCUUCUCUUGUUACACGGAGUAACAUUUGCAUUCACUGGGUAAGACUGACAAUGAUGUCAUCAAUUAUUCACCUACAUUGAGUUUUUGGGUUACAUUAUUUUCAUUCCUUCAGGGGAAACAUCUAGACUAAAUAAGGAUGUCAUUAGACUCGUCAAUCGUUAACCUUGAAUUGAAGUUUCCCUGUUUAAGCAUGCAUCCUAGAAUUCGAUGACCAUUGAAGAACCCAUGAUUAUCGGUUUCCAGACUCAUUCACUUAUUGAUAUAACGGCUUUCUUCCCCAAUAUGGCCCUCCUUUAUCCAAGAAGUUAUUUCCCAUCAUUGUUUAGAUCAAAAGACCACGUAGGAUGUUGUUUUAGUAAUCGUUAUAGCUUGUUAUUUUCUGUUUGGUUAUAAUUUGUUACUCUUUAGACUGAAAAGUUGACUCAUCUGAGGCGCAAUGUUAUCCGGCAUGCCUCAUGAUGUCUAUUGUGGCAAAAGCAUGUAGAAAGACCAUUGGUGAUGAUGUGCAAAAGAUUUUAUUCAGAGAUGGAUUGCACCGUGAGUCCCAACGGGUGCAUAUAAUCCUAAUUCAAAGAAGACUUGAUAUAUCAAAUUUGUUACAACAUUGCUGGCUCAUCGAAUGUUCUGUAUGUCCUCGAUGAAUCUACACAUUAGCAACAAUAAAUUUUGAUGCAUGCCGUGCACGCAUAUAUUUUUCGUUGACUCCAGAUGGAAUCACUCGUUACUUGAUGCAGAACAUGUCGCCUUGGUGGUACAUACGCAAUUUUGAUCAGCCUGAUGCUCGUAUGAUCCAUUUGCGAGUGUUCUGAAUCUAGGGCCUGAUGUUGCUUUUUGCCAAGCAAGUGCUCAAAUGCUGGGAUGAGAUCUGGCUCUGUUUGUAUACACUUAAAUAAAUUACCAUACCUUACAUUUCAAUUUCCCUCAAAAGAUAUGAAAAAAAAAUGUUUUAAUUUGCAAGAGAUUAUGAAAAGAUUAUAUGUUUCUCCUGGUCAAUUUUGUUUGUUUUUAAAAGGUUUUAGGUGUCGAGUUCUAUAAAGUCAAAUUGCGAGAGCUGCAAGAUUUGAAAAAAUAACCAAAAAAAAACUAUAGGUACAAUUCGUCCAAACAAACCGGCUCAUUACAUCAAAGAAGGUAGUGCAGCUUUUUUGAGGGAGACUGCUGAUUUUUGAAAUUAUUUUGGCAUGCAAGGACAGCAUAAGUUGCAGAUAUGAGUGUUGUUGCGGUGUUUGUUAGAUCAAACCAUGGAAGCUCUUUUGCUAGUUUGAGAGAUGUUUUGACGUGGUCACAGGGGGAUAAAUUACUGGCUAAGCAUAUGUGAUAGGAGACCAAAUGUCACUUUAGCUUUUGUUUCUUCAGUAAAUUUUUUAUUGAAUAUAGAUAUACUUCAAUGAAUGGCAUGCCAGGAUACUCUAAGAUAAGAUUGAUUGGCUCUGUUGAGGGAGUCAUCGUGACUUGGAUUGUCAUGAGGGUCAUGAAAUCUAGGGGAUAUAUGACAUUCCACACUUUACUAUCGUAGAUGAAUGUCAUCAUGCGAAGCAAGUAAGCAUAAAAAAUGUGCGUUGUGCCCUUAUUGUUUUGUGGACAGGGAAAAUCUUUUAGUCUUUUUGUACUGAUUGGUGUUUGUAUGUGCAUUAUUCUAACUUAUAGAUUUUGCUUUGUUUUAUUAGAUCUUAUCAUGAUGAGGAACAUUACAACAGUGUGAGGUUGAAGGAAGACUCCGGAGAUGGGCCAGCUAGGCCAAUCACAAUCAAGGUCGCUACUGGAAUUUAAUUUUAGUUUACUAAGUCAGUACAGAAGUUGGAAAAAUUUGUGAAUUGAAGUAUGUGAUUUGAUAAUUUCUUUUGCUGAAAGGCUGAUUCUAAUCUCUCAUCGUGGUCUGGCCAAGCAAAAGCUGGGUCAAACAAGUCUAAAUCAGGAGCUGGUAAGGAUACGACUGACGCAGGAUCCAUCAAGCUAGUCAUGGCAGGAAGUGGUUGUAAGAACAUUGAGAAAGUUGAGCAGGUUAUGUUCUCUCUUCUUCUGCUUGCAUGUUUGCAUUAAUUGUUUACCUCUCAUUUGCUAGGUGAUACUAGAAUUAGAAUGCAAUGUUUUGGACCUUUUUCUGGUUUCUGUGUGACAUGUGAUACUUCUACACACAUUGCUGCAAAUGUAGGUGGAUGUUGAUGCUGCCAUAGAGCAUUUGAUAGCAGAAUGAGGCAUUGAAGAUUUUUCAGAGGAAACUCUUUGGCCUCCCUGCAAUGCAGAUGCUUCUUAUGGUAAUGGCUGGUCAGUAAUUCUCUCUCUAGAUUUUCUUUAAUAAUUUAACUUCGCAGUUUCAGAGAUACUGUGUUAAGCUUCAUUAGAAGCUUUCUUGGAGUCAUUUUGAUGUGACUGGUGGGAUUAGCAUACUUUGUCUUGUCACCCAUGGAUUUUUGGGGUCGUCAAACAUGCUAUACCCAAAACUAUUUCAUAAUUUUGUUGUAUUUAGGUGAUGAUGCCAAUGGAAAUUCGGAGGAACAGAGAAAGGAACCUGUGGAAGAGACCUAUAAAGAGAAUCCACCUAGCAAUAGUGCUAAACGGACUCAUGAUGAUGGCAGUGCCCAGCAAGAAGACAAGGUUUCCGCAAAUAAUGAUUGUGUUAUAUCUUUUACCAUUUUAGUUUAAGCUCAAACAUGAGAACUGUUGAUCAUGCGUCUCUUCAUUUUUAUUUGCUUGUUUUAUUUUGAAAUGGAGAAAAUCCCAAGAAACAAGACUUGUCCGUGUGGUUCAAAAAAGAAAUAUGAGUCCUGUUGCGGGUCAGGGACGGCGAAAGUCUCUGCAAUUGCCAAGUAUUUCUCGUUCUAUCUGUGCUUUCGAUGUCAAGUUAUAGUUUAAGCUCGUCUUUUGUUGAAGUAUUUUUCCUGUUUCCCUGUGAUUGGAGUUGAUACUUAUCUUGAAAUUAUGGCUUAUGUAUCCAACACGGUAUCAAUUACGUUCCUUAAAAUCAUGUCUGCAAUAUUUUCUCACUCCUACGCUUUGUCGAAUAAUGUGUACUUACAAAAACAAAGAGAUUUCAUUUUUUUUAUGUCUAAAUGUUGUUUUGCAGUGAUCAAGCUUUUGAAUCCAGGAAAAGUAAAAAGGAAAAGAAGCGAGGCAAGAGAGGGUCUUGACACAUCUGCACUUUCUAGCGGAUCUUAUGAAGGGCCACCUGAUAUGGGGACUCUUUGCAUCUGACCUUUUCCCAAAGUAUGUGCACCAUCAUCUAUUGAAUUUCGGAUAUCGGUAUGUGUGCAGUCUUUCAGAUAUCUGAUUAGACAAUUUUUUUCCUAUCUAUAUUAGCACGUAUUCGAUGUAUGCAUCUCUUCUCUGACCUUUGGGAUAAGUGCACUUUCUAGUUUUUGACCUGUUGCCAAAUUUAGGAAGAUCUAUAGGCGCAAAAUUUUUAAAGGUGUUACUUCUCUUGGAUAGUCUGCUCGUCUGAUGCAUAAUAUGCUGGCAAUUGUGAUUUGGAGAUUCUUUGCACACACAAUUGAUGCGAAUGCAUGUAGUGCCUACCCCGGUAGAUUUGUUGGCAUUGGCGAAGGUGAGUUUGGGAAGCAACCAAAAGGAGAUAAGGAAAUUCAGUAAUUACUGUCCCAGGGCUAAACCUUUUCAUGAAUAUAAAAGAGAUGUUCACGUGAAUUUGACGAGUGAUGGUUUAAUUUAUAGAUUCCCUUCCAAAGUAUUGGUUUUGUUGUAACUGUAGUUUGUGGUUCCCGUGAAGAUGUUAUUAUUUUUCCAUUUAUUUCGUUGACAAGAAAUGCACUAAUCAUUUGCUCACACAACUUCUUGUAAUUGAUGAAAGACACGUAAGAUCCAAAAUGCACUUAAGCUCCAUAUAAGGAUCCGAAUGAAUCCAUUUGCAGUUGGAGAUGACACAGAUAUUACAUAUGCUAGCUCUCCUAUUCAAAUUGGUGUAGAUUUCUAAGAUAAACAACUUUGACUGACAAUUAUCUUUGGUUAUUUUGGCAAAUAAGCAUGUCUUGUAGAUCUUUUGUUGGUUGUCAUUAGUUGUUAGACGAAUUAUGGUCUCCAAAGCUCCUAAGUGAUAGACGGUGUGUAGAUAUGAUGCGCUGUGAAGUUUUAGCAAUAGAUUUUCCAAUUAUCCCACAAUUUAAAUCCCAACUUGUUCUUCUCAUUGUUUUUGUGGAAUUGCAUUGGGUCAGAUGCGGCUUGUCCAGUCCUCAAGAAUCACAACAAUCUUGCGGCUUAAUCAUUGCAUCCACGGGGGAGUAGGGAGAGUGUCGAAUUGUGAGCAAAGAACUGAUGCGGAAAGAAGUCUAUAACUUGAGCUUCCCCCCAAAGCUACUCAUGAGGUUACUUAUUAUUUUUUGUCGGCUUGCCCUCAAAUAUAAAUCCGUUCAUUCUGUACUAACUUCAAUAUGGAGCACAUGUUAGUCUGAGGUUAUCCUCUGUCUUCAAGGGGCGGUACCUAAUUGGUCUUGAAUGCUACUUUGUCCCAAAAUGGGGUUACUUUUUCAUCUACCAGCUUAACAAGCGUUGAACCUGACAUGGUGAUGCUGCUCUAAUAAUGUAGGGAGUUAAGCGAUCUGUUAAACUAAUAAAACUGUAUGUGUAGAUUCAUUUAUUCCAUGUAAGAAGUGAAAAACACUUGAUACUCUUGCAAGAUAGCAAGGUGUGCCUUGUGAGCCCCAUUUUCAUUCAAAUGGCGAUCCAACAUAUAGGAGGGCAUAAUUGCUAAAUGAUAUGCGAGAAUGUAGACAUCACGAGAAACUUCAAUGCGAUAAAAGCAUCUUCGGCUUGGCUGAUGCCGUGAUGCUCCGUGGAUGUCUAGGCCCAUAAAUGGACUUUUCCUGUCACGUGCCGUUGUCAAACCAGUUUAGUCAACCUUCGUCUUUAUUGUCCUUGAGAAGGUGAUCUGUAAAAGUCAAUAGACCAAACCUAGGUCCCUACCAUGAGAUGAGUGUACUUAGCCAUUAACUCAUUUCUAGUAUAAUAGACUUUCUUGUUAAAUACUUCAAUAUGGUUCUGAUUUACAAUAAUUGAUUUAGUUGUUAGCCAUGUAUUUAAGUUAUAUCUUCUGGUUAUGUUCAACCAUUUUGUAUUAUGAAUUGAGAAGAACUUUAACAGGAAAUACAUGAUGCGUUGUUUUCAAAUUUCUGAUCCAUUGAUUUUGUAGAUUUGCUUUGCCGGGUUCAUUCCAAACAGAGCAUAGGAGGGCCAGUAGUAGAUCAACAAUAGCUUAGAGGAAAUAUAGAUAGUGAAAGAGAAUGAUCAUUGAAGAGUGCUAAUCAAGUUUAGAAUCACCACAAAAAGAGGUGUGUCGUACAAGGUCAUGAUGUUAUACAAAGCGAUAGGGAUGUGUGGUGUGAUAAGCAAAUCAAUUUCAAAAUUUAAGCAUUAAGUAAGACGACUGCCAUUUAAUACAAUCAAUUUAAUUAGCUGGUCACAUCAUGUUGAUCAUUAGCGAUCUGAUUGUCGAAUAAAAUAUUUUUCUCAAACAAGGGGAUAGUCCCCCGAAAAGUUUUCGAAUGCUAGAACUCUGAGAUUCGCAAAAAUUUUGAGGAACCUCCCUUUGAAGAAACGCAAGGACUUUCCAAGAAGUGCCACUUUUGAUAUACUCUUAAUAGUUGCUAAAUAGACAUACCAUCACUUACGAGUUCAUCUAAGGAAUUUACUAUGCUAUUGGAUAAUUACUAAAGUGAUAGGAUCAUCGAGAUAUGAACUCCACAAUCAAAUUACUAACCUUAAAAGAAAGUUACUAAAUAUAGGCAUAGCGAUGAUCAUGAGGACUCCAUGGUACUUACAACUGUUGGAAAAAUAAUUUACGAUGUACAAAUACUAUUGUUACAAUAAAGAGGGAAAUUACUGUAUCAAUGGAGAAUUGCAAUAUGACGGUACCCUCAAGUUAGGAAUAACGAAGAGAUGUUUGUGACGGAAAGUUAUCAAUCAUAGGCACAGUACAACUUUUGAGGAUUUCAGUUGAUUUACAAUUGUUCAGGAAUAUUUACUGAGAAAUUUCGUUAUUUAUUAUGACUAUUUGAUGAAAUUUACUAUAUUAAUUUUAAGUUUACUAACGACUAAGAUUUUUGACCAAAAAAAAAAAAAACGACUAAGAUUAACAUACGGGUAUAACAAAGAUUUUUUUUUUUUUUUUUUUUUUGGCAAUGGGGAAGGAUCAACAUACGGGUAUAACAGGAAUAUGUAUAAAAAGACAUAAGUAGUGCCGCAAACCUUUUCUGCUUCUUCUAUAAACUGCAUGAAAAAAAUUUGAAAUUUCCCAAGCGAAGGGAAAUGAUCCUGGGAAAUAAACUACGAAUAUGGUUUUUUAAGGGAUAAAGCAAACCACAAGUCCUAAAACUUGCUGGAAAAAUGCAAUUAAAGUCCUAAUUUAAAAAAAAAAUACAAUCGAGUCAUAAAACUUAUCCAAUUAGUACAAUCAAUAACUUCCGUCAGCCCCGUCCAAUUUGAGUAUUGGAAAAUACUAGCACGUCAUCUUUUGAUAUGUUUUGAGUACACACGCCGGAGAUGCUCCAGCCCAACAUGGUGCCCCGUUAAAAUGAUUUGAAGCGUCUUGUGUGCCCAGUCUCCCACUAUUCCUUCACAUAUAUUUGAAUAGGACAUGAGAGAUUGAAUUGAACGCCAUUUGCUACUCCAUCAACAAGACAGGUGUCCCAGGGUAUCAAGAAAUGUAUGCCAAUCCUAACUUGCUUCGUUGGCUCCUUAAUGAUAGCUUCCUUAGAGCUGCAAGCCAAUACUACUCCACUCCCCUCUUCUUAUUUAAUCUUUCAUAUGCUUCCCGUUCCUCAUCUGCUUCCAAUUCCUCCAGUCGGCGAGGGAGAAAUUUCCGGAAGAACUCUUUAUGCUCUAUUUCACAUAGUGAAGCUAGAUCCACUAAUUGAUUGCCUCCAAGCGCAACCUUCAAAUCAUCAUCCAAUUGCUCACAUAUUAGCACAUAUCCCAACUUUUCCACAGUUCUACCUGACACUAUGAGUGUAAGUUUAAAUUGUAAGUAAUCCUCAUCAAAUUCAAGAAAAUUAACUGCUCCCUCCAGCAAUCCCCAUAGCACAUUUGGUUUGAGAUAUUGAAUCCACAUUUGAUCCGAAUCAAAUGAACCAAGAGAUCCCGACAGCACAUUUCGUCUUUGGCCAUUAACAUGGGGCACGAUGUUGAAAAAUAUUUCCUUUUCUCCAUCUUCUACACUAAAAGCAACACAUAGAGCUAAUCCAAAGAACUUAUCAUAAAAGUCCUGUGAAACCAUAAAAGAUAUGGUACCGCCUUCAAUGGGGACGAACUCCUUUGGCAUAUCUCCUCCGGGGAGAAUAUUUUUGUAUGAAGGACGAAUUUUGGAAUAGCGAUACUUCUGUUAUACCAGUAAAUUGUUAGACAUACUCAAGUUGAUAAUCAGUUCCAAUGCAAAAGUUUGAUUUGAGAAUUUUUCUUGUAAUUCAACAAAAGCUAGAGUUUUAUAAUAAUUAAACAUAUAGAUCCUUCCUUGCCUUAUAUGUAAUACUCAUGAAAUCAUUCACUUGCGAGUGUUGUAGCCACCCCUAUUACAUGUAAGUGCAGAAUCACCUUAUGUUAGAUUUGCUUGUUUGUAUAGAAUUUUGAGUUUUUGCAUUAUACAAACACAAUGCACCCGACAUACACUGCAACAAAUCAAUACAUGCAUGAAUGCGCGCGCCCUCGUGGAGGGAGAGAGAGAGGGAGACAGAGAGAGACCUCAACUGAGAAGUCAGCCAUAAAAUCCCCGCUGUCAAACUUCAUAUCGUGGUAUGUUUCCCAUUUCCUUCUACGGCCUUUAUUAUCUUCAUGUUGUCUCCACCGCUAUUGCAUAUAGGUGCAAAAUCACAAUACAUUAGCUUGUUUUGUUUACUAGCAUUUGCAGCUUUUGCAUUAUAAAAACACAAAGCACCCAUAUCAAUCAAGCACACGCACAUCACAAUGGCGGGGAGGGAGGGAGGGAGGGAGGGAGGGAGACCUUAAAUGAGAGAGAGGCCGAACUUUUUUCCCCUGUGGUUGUUUGUUUAUCAUCAUGCCAAAUCUCAUAGAGCAAACCCAGAUCCAGUGACUGGUCAUCUUGAUACAAAGCCUCCAAAUCGUCCUCUAAUGGCUUGCAUAUUAAUCGAAAUCCACACUUGCUUACAAUUGCAUUAUCGGAUGCUAUAAUGCCAAACUGGAAAGAACAAGAGUCAUCUGGACCAAAAGCGUCUCCUUGCCAUAGCCGCUCCAUUUUAAGAUACAAAAGCCACACAUGAUCCGAACGCCAUGAAAAACGUUGAACGCGGACUUCCGGGUUGGAUAUGCCAUUCAUGCAUGUACGGAGCACCAAUUGGGCAUUUCGUUUACCUUCCUUUGUUCGACAUACAAUGCAGAAAGCUACUGCUAGGAACUUCUUACGCAAGUCCUUUGAAGCUUUGAAAGACAUAAAACCCUCUUUAUUCGGGAGCAACCAUUGCGGCAUCUCUCUUCCAGGCAUUAAAAUAUGGGAAAACGAGGAGGAUAAAAAUCCCUGUCACAGAUGUAAAUUGUCAAGACAGUAUUUCAAAUUUGGCACUUGAAAAGAGGAGUUUAAAGGAAUUAAGUGGGUCGACAAGUUUAGCUAUAGUUAGCAACACAUGUACACUUCGUAUUAAUCGGAAGGGGGGGAGGGGGGUGUGAAGGAAGGAGGGGGAGGGUGUCUAACCUCAUCACGGACCGGUUUGCCCCAGAAUGGUUCAAUAUGGUUAACGGCCCAUAUGUUAGAGGGGAUUUUACUUAGAGAUUCACAAUUCACUGCAGCCAAGUUGUGCAAUUGCCCUGGAAUCUUGCCAAUCUCUUGCAGCUGUCGGCAGUCCGUAACAUCCAAAAAGCGUAAAUUAUGUAGCUGGCCGCACAUUGGAAGCUUAGCAAAAUUGUUUUCGGACAAACACAAUUGUCUUAAGUACGGAAAACAUGAAUGAUUCUCUAGGAACUCUACUUCUAAUAGAUUGCAUCCACUAAGCCCUAAGAUCACUAACUUAUGAAAUCCCGUCUCGCUAUGCAGAUCACUCAAAUUCUCCUCCUUUUUUGGAAACUUGAUUAGUUUUGAACAACCAUCAAGUAUCAAGCUCUCAAGAUCUGGCAACUUGUAAAUGCUAGAUGGGAGGUUUGUCAAUUUCUUGCAAUUAAGUAAACUCAAAUUCUUCAAAGAGACAAGAUUUUCUAUGGACGUAGGAAGUUCCUCAAUUGAAGUCCCUUUUAAAUAAAGUUCUUGCAAGCCUUUGAUUUUAUCAGGAAUAUCAGGGAAUCUUUGCAACUUUGAGCAAUCGGUAAGAUUGAGAAGUUGAAGAUUCUUAGAUUGGAAAACAUCAGGGAGAUGAUGAAGGUUAGAGCACCCCUUUAAAUUCAACAACAGUAUCUUGGUGUGAUAUGCAACUGAUUCGUGAACACGCUCCAAAUUUUUGCACCCAUGGAGAUCCAGUUCCUCAAGAUUUGGAGUCAAAUCAAGGUCCGGCAUACAAACCAUCUACGGACAUUCACUAAGCUUAAGGAACUUCAAAUUUUUAAAGUCCUGCAAGAAAUAUCCAGAUGGAAAAAAAAAAUGAAGAUAAAAAUAUUUGAUGAAAAACACUUGAUCAUAAUUCAAGCCCCGUGUGAUCAGAAAUUAGUUGAUCAUAUGGUGUAUAUAGAGCACUCCCUCUCCCUUUUUAAAUAUGAGUUUAUUGAACGAUCCUUGGCCAAAAGAGAAGAUAAAAAAAGAAUAACACUUUAAUUCCACCACACACUACAGCUCUAUCAAGCGACAUACAAGAGAAAUUAGUCCAACGCUAAGAAGUGUGGCCACUUCUACUAUAUAUAUACGUUCAGAAACAAUACAUGUAAUUCAGAGAGAGAGGGUAACCUCAAGUGGGAGCACAUGGGCCACGGUCAAAUUCUUAGCCAACUAAUUCAUGACAUGAAUUUAAGCUAACAUAGGUAGCACUUGAUGGAUCUAAUUCAUGACACGAAUUUAAGCUAAUAUAGGUGGCACUUGAUGGAUCUAUAACCUUAUGCAGAGAUGCGCAAAACUACCAUAAAGGCAGUGGAAGCUCAGAAAUCUCUCAUGUCAUCACUUAUUAGGUCAUGGAGGUUGGUCGAUCGAUUUUCGAGAAUGGUAUCAUGCAGUAGACCCUUGAUGUGUUACUUGUUGCUGAACUUUAUAUUAAUGAAAUUGUGCCCCUACAUGGCAUUCCAAAGACAACCCCUUCUUAUGUCAAGUUUAUCAGUCACUUUUGGUAUACAUUACGAAAAAUGGGGACUUAGCCUCAGUUUAGUUUUGCUAGCCAUCUUUAUAAGGAGUUCUAGUAGAAAACAUGUAAAACGUUGGGAUAUGUUAUUGGUUCAAGCCGAAUUUGCAUAUAAUAAUUCGAUGAGUCAAACCAUUAGAAAAUGCCAAUUUGAUGUUCUGUAGCGAAAGCAUCUUUUAAGUCCUUUAUAUCUUACAUCAUUUUUUUUUUUUUUGGUAAAGUUUAUAUCUUACACCAUUGUCCAUCACUAAUAUGAAGGAAGAGCUAAGGCAAUCAGUAAGUUACUUGAGGAAGUGAGGAAGAGAAGUUCGAAGCAAACUAUCAGAUAUCCCAGUCAAGUAAACAAACAUAGAAAGCGUGCUGUUCUUAAAGAAGGUGAUCUUGUCUGGAUUCAUUUGAGAAAAGCGCUUUCCACCUAGUCGUCAUACUACGGAUGGUUCUUCUCUAGUUUGGGAACGCAUUGAUAAUAAUGCAUACAAAAGUGAGCUUUGCGGAGAGAAUGGUGUUUCCACUAGUUUCAAUGUUGCUGAUCUAUCACUAUGAAGUUGGCCUCAAGGAGGAGUCUUUUCAAGAUUUCAAGAUUCUCUCUUGUGAAUAGAAUAAUAGGGAUAAAAUAUAUUUUCUUGAUCAGUGAACCUGUUUUAUAUUUUUUAGGAUUGUUUUAGUCUUGAUUACAAUAUGAUAAUAUUGUAGCCUGUUUGAAUUUUGUAGUUUGUGUUCAUUUUUCUUUAUUUGGAGGUUACUCAAAGGUAUCUUAGACUCCUAUUUAUAAGUGCCUUUCGGUCUGUCAUAGUGAACAUGAUGAAUUUAUUAAAUGAAGUUUCAUUCUAUUUUUCUUUCUCUGUGUCCUUUGGGUGGACUAACGAGUGAUCAAGAGAGUGUUGCAUCCUUGGACUGGCCUCCUAAGGUAGUCUCUUCCCAUCCUCCAUUGUGGGGUUUUUCCACUUCAUUAAGAUUGAAAAACCCCUUUUUUAUUUAUUUGUUCGUUCAACACAUUCCGACGUCAGUCUGGCCGACAAGUAUGACAGCAAAAUUGAAAGCCCACGAAGUUUGUCUCAUGUGAGGCAUAGAAGUGAAAACUAUAAGAGUACGCACAAGAUUUGAAAAAAAAUUGAUAUUUGAAAGCAAAACCACCAAAUUAGAAAUAUUCAAAUGGAAAGAAAUUGUUGGUCAAUAAACAACACGCAAACAUAGAAUAUAUGUAGGAUAUUUCAAAAUUGAAAUUUGCAAUAAGAAACUUGUAGGAUUAGAAAAGAUCAAAAUUUAGAUUGUGAAACAUGAGAGAUCAAAUAAUUAAUAGUUUAAGCACCUCUCUAUGAAUAUUAUAUUUGUAAAAUAAGUAAUCGAGAUAUUUUGGGGAAGAAUUUAAAUUGAAAUCCUGUGGAAGGUCACCUUUACCUUGUACAUACAUGACUUUAGAUUAGAUUUAGGUUUAAAUAUACUUAAAUUAGCAAAGCAAGCCCCUUACUUCUCUUUAGAAAGCUUUAUUAGUUAUGCGUGAAAGGCCGGGUUGCACUACUAGCGUCCUCGAUGUGGUGCGCUAGCGCGUCUAUAAAGUAAGACUCUUCCAUGGAAUUGUACUGCACAAGCCUUUAUUUAAAAAAUUGGGAGAAAGAAUGGCUGGUCAAUCUAUCUCCCCUGAGAGUUGCUUUUCGUCCGAUGAUUUCUCACUUAGGAAUAAAUGGAGUAAGGGCGCAAUCGAAUGGCCUGAUUGAAAGGAAAGGAGGGGAACGUGUUACAUACUUGGAAGGAGAAGGAGAAACUCCCGGUUAGAUUUGAAAAUGAAUAUUUUAUCCAUAAAGAUGAAGAUAACUUUCUUGGAGCUCCGCUUAUUCCUCCUCCUAAAAAUAAGGUACUUGCCAGAAAUCUCUGGUUAGGUCGGUACAAUAAAAAGAGACGGCACUUUUGGGGCUAACUUACAGUUAGAGCUGGAAAAAUGAGUCAUAAACCCAUAUUAUAACCAGUUUUUAGUUAAAUGGGUCAUAUAUAGGUCAAGUGAAAGUUAAAUAUGGGUCAAAAAUGGGUUUGAGAAAGUAAAGCACAAAAAAAAAAAGGGGUCUAAAUGGGUUAUAAGUAAUAACCCACUUUGAACCCAUGGGCCAUGGCCUUCUUUAAUUUUAUAAAAUGUUUUUUUUAAUAAAAAAUCGAAAUUAUAAUUAUUUUUUAUAUUUCAAUAUUAUUUUUUUAUUUUUAUUUUUUCUUUCUUUUUCUUCAUUCCUUAGCCGAUGGUCAGCAAGGCGAUGGCCGGCCGCCAACCGGCGACAGGCCAGGCGAGGCUCGAGCUCGCUCGGCGAGCUGAGCCUCCCCCGACGCUGGUGAGCUCGAGACUCGCUGGAUCUGGCGAGAUCGAGCUCGCCAAUGUCAAGCAAGGCCAAGCCUUGCCGAAUAUGGCAAGAUCGAGCUCGCCAGCGUCGAGCAAGGCUCGACCUCUCCAAUCUACAGGGCCAAGGCCCCGCCCGACGCCGAUGAGCUCGAGUCUCGCCACAUAGGACGAGGCUCAGCCUCGCUAGCAUCGGGCGAGGCUCGAGCCUUGCCAGAUAUGGAGAGACUCGAGCUCGCUGGCGUUAGGCAGGGCCUCGACCUCGCCAGAUCGGCGAGGUCGAGCCUCGCCCGACGACUAGCGAGACUCGAGCCCUACCCGACGCCGGCGAGCUCAAUCUUGCCUACGACGGCCGGCGGCCUGCCGAAGAAAAAGAAAAUAGAAAAGAAAAAAUAAUUAUUAAAAAAUAAAAAUUAUAUUUUAAAAAAUAAAAAUUCGAUUUUUUUAAAAAUAUUUUAUAAAGAAUUAUAAAAAAUUUCCAUUAAAUUUGCAUUGCAUAAGUAUUGUUAAAACAUUUUUAUGUAUUAUAAAAAUUUUCCAUUAAAUUUGUAUUGCAUAAAAAUUGUUAAAAAAAUUUGUAUUCAUAAAAAUGUUUUAACAAUACUUUUUUUUUUAUAAAAAAAUCAUAAAAAUGAGCUUUUUUAGAUUUAGUUAAAAAAAACUUUAAUGUUAUAGUUUUUAGUUAUUCAAUGGUAUGUUCACAAUUUUUGGUUAUUCAAUGGUAUGUUCACUUCAAAUAAGAGAAGCAUGUGCAUAGUCUAAUUUUUUUAUAAAUAUUUCAAUUUAUAGGUUUUUUUUAACUUUUUUUGUUUUAUUUACUAUUUUUAAUUUAAUUUAAAGUUUCAAUCCAAUUAGCAUAUAGUAGAAAUGGGUUUUUCUAAAAUAUUAAUAGGUUUUAGCAAUACGGAUCGGGUCGAAUAUAGGUCGGGUAUGGGUCGGGUACGAGUCACUAGAUUUACACUGCAAGAAUAUGGAUCAAAACGGAUUAAAUGGGUCAAAUAUGGAUCGACCCAUUUCGACCCAACCCACCCAUUUGCCACUCUUACUAGUAUAGACUUAACUCCCUUAAAGAUCCUUUAUUGCAUGAUUUCUAUAUAUCUCUUUUCAUUAUCGGCUGCAUUCUAUCAUAGAAACAACAACGUGAGAUUCAAUCAAAAGUACUUAGCAUGCAUUCGCUUCAAUGAUAAAGCAAAUAAGCAAGAAAAAUCUUAUUCUAUUUUCAUAUGCAAUUUAGAAAAGAAUCUAGUAAGCUCGUCUCUUAUAUAAAAUAUAGAAUCUUUGAUGAUAUUUUCAAUAUCUAUCAUUUCAAAGGCAUACAAAUUGAAUCCUCAAUUCAUGUUUAUUAAAGUACGAAGCACAUUUAUCAUUCAAUUGUUAACUUAUGUCAUCAAUAAGUUCUUGUUCCAAUUUUCGGUAUUAAAGUUACUGAUCACAUAUGUUGCAUUCAGAGUUUUCAAUAAUUCAUACACAUAUCCAUAAUCGUAUGCAUACAAAUAUAGAUAUAUAAGAGAUAAGUAAAGAAAGACAAUUAAUUUUAAAUGCGCACCUUGAAUUGCUCCCUCACGACUUGGAUGUUGGUUUUGUGCAGAUCAAGCCCAACCAACUUCUUUGGACAAGAGGAAAAUUCGGGAAACCAAGGACAUUCAGGCCAUUCAAACCAUCUCCGUUCAUUAGGAAGACAGAUAGGACCUUGGAAAGAGUUAUGCACAUUAAUCAUGAUGAGCAACCUCAAUCUUCUCAUGUUUUUGAAAGCAUUGGGACCUAUGUCUAUUGCUUCCGUCUUGGGUAAACCCAAAACUAUGGCUUUUACUGCAUUUGUUCCCUGCAUUUAUAGAACUUGCAUUGCAAUUAGUAUACAAAGUCAGAGAAGAAGAGAGUAAAAUCAGUGUUUAAACCACCAAAACUUACCAUAUCCCCCGAUAGAACAUCAUGAACAUCUUCACAAAGCCAUAACCUGCUGCGUCUUCCAGGAUCAUCGCGACAUUCUUGUUUAACAAUAUCCAUGCCCAUCAACUGAAUCAAGUCAUGCAUUUGUAUUGUCUCCCUCUCUUUCGUUAUUAAGGACUUCUCAACAAGAACUUGUACUCCAAUAGUUGUGUCAAAGUCGCAACUGUUAAGGACUUUCAUGAUGUACUCUAUAGAUCGCCCCUUGAAGAAACAUGCAAUAUCAAGGAAUAUCUCCUUUGCAUAGUCCUCUAGUCCAUCAUAACUUAACUUGAGAACAUCAUUGAUGGUUUUGUCAAGACUUUUAACAAGUUUAUUCAAUGCGCUUUCCCACUCUUGCUCUCUUCUACCGCGUAGGAAAGAGCCCAAUACCUCAAGUGCUAAAGGAAGUCCAUUAGCAUAAUGCAAAGCACUAUCCACAAGAUCCCUCCUUAUUAGUAUUUCCUUACUUCUAAGAAAAGCAUGUUUGUUGAAAAGUUCAAGAGCUUCCCAAUCCACUAGAGUUUUUACUUCAUAGAUAUGAUCUUCACCCAUCUCAUGAAGAGUUAAUAGAUGAUUAUCUCUUGUUGUGAUGAUCAUUCUGCUUCCUUUACCAAACCAUUCACGCUCUCCAGCUAAAGCAUUUAAUCGUUUUACGUCAUUCACAUCGUCAAGAACAAUGAGGAUUCUUUUUCGGCAAAGUCUAUGUUGCAUCAAAUUAAUACCUCCAUCAACACUAGACACUGUUAAUUCUUUUCCCACUAAUAUCUCAGACAACAAUUUUUCUUGCAAAUGAACUAAAUCCUUGGAAUCUUUUGAAGUUUCACGAACGUUUGCCAAAAAACAUGAAGCCUCAAAUCCUCUGAAUAUAUCAUUGUAAAGGGCUUUGGCUAAUGUUGUUUUUCCUAUGCCUCCUUGUCCCCAUAAUCCUAUCAUGAGAACAUCAUCACGAGACUCAAGAUUUAACAUUGAUUUUAGCUUUACCACUUGUCGAGGUAUUCCAACCGGAUGCUUGGCAACGUGUAACGGUGUUCGGUCUAGCUGCAUAGAGAUCUCCUGCACAAUUCUCUUGAUAAGAUCCGCUUCCGCUUCAUCUCUGACAAAAUACGGAAAGGUACUAGAUACAUCAAUUUCCAAAGAUAAUUAACUUUCGUGGAAAAAGAAGAAGAGAUUCAGCAUAUAAAAAAGAAAAAACAAAGCAGUGUCACAUCAAUCACUACUUAGUACUUACUUAUCCUUGAAUUCCCACCCAGACAAGCUACCCGCAUCAAGGAGAGCCUUCUCCCAUCUCUUCACUUUCUCUGAAUCUCUCCCAAACUUGUUCUCAUGCUUAACCAUAGCUUCUCGGUAGUUCCCUCUUGGCGUUCUCACUUCUCUAGGAUCCACUUUGUAAAACACCGGAAAUACCGUGAGUCCUCUUUUCUCCUUGCACUCCAUGAUUUUCUCCACCUCUUCCAAACACCACGGUGAGGAAGCAUAGUCCUUGGAGAAAAUGAUGAUCGCGAUACAUGACUCCUCAAUUGCCUUCAUAAGCGCCGGCUUUAUACAGUCGCCUUUCCGAAGCUCCUCACUAUCAACAUAACUGUAAAUUCCUUUUUGGGCAAGCACUGUGUAGAAAUGACUGAGGAAGCUUUUUCGAACGUCCGUACCUCUGAAACUCAGGAAGAUGUCAUAAUUCCCUUUCAGAUCUGAAGAAGCAGCCAUUAGAGGAGAUGAAGUUUGAUGUGCUUCCUCAGAAUGCUUAGUGUCUGGUCGGGUUGCAGCUCUAUCUCUCAUAUGGAUAUCACCUUGUACUAAUAAAGAAACAGAAACAAAAACCAGAUCAUUUCUGAUGCUCUGAGUCGAUAAGCAUAUACUCCACCAACUAAUUUAACAGAAAGCAGCAUUUUGCAUAAGGUGCACGGAACCAUCCUAUAUAGGUGCUUCUUGACUUGACUUGCCUUUUCCAUUAAUAAAGAAAUAGAAAAGAAAACUAGCAACACUCCCAUGUUCCUGGUGCUAAUAUACAUGAGUCAAUCGCAAAACACCGCCUGUUGGAAUAUUAUUUAUAAUGAACAAUUUGACUUUUUUCUUUCAAAAGGGAUUCUACAAAAGCAAAUCCCAAAAUAAAUUUUUUUUCCAUACCAUGUCCUGCAUUGAACGGAACAAAUUCGAAUAUGUUCAGGCAUUUCUUCAAACACGUAGUGGGCAGCGAGUUGGACAGAGAAUAUGGACCUAUUCGGAGCUUGAGCUCACACUUAAACUCAAGAGAAAUCAGCGAGCAACGUUCAAACUUAGGAAAAACCGACUCAUUCAGAUCCGACGCGAGUGAGGACUAAAGAAAUCGAGCUUGCUUUGCUCUUUUAAAAUCAAGCAGGACGAGGCAAAAAAAUAAAAAAUAAAAAGAAGGAACGAGCAAUACACAGUGCCNNNNNNNNNNNNNNNNNNNNNNNNNNNNNNNNNNNNNNNNNNNNNNNNNNNNNNNNNNNNNNNNNNNNNNNNNNNNNNNNNNNNNNNNNNNNNNNNNNNNUCGCGAAGCCCUGCUUUUUUUUUUUUUUUUUUCCUUUUAAUGGGAAAUUGUCUCUUUUGAGAGAGAGCGUGAGGGAUCCCCAGAAAGUCGAAGAAGUGGCUACUAGAGGAGAUGAAGGUCGAUGUGCUUCCGCAGAAUGCUUACUGUCUGGUUGGGUUGCAGCUUUAUCUCUCUUGUGUAUGGGCUCGUUUAGUUCGGUUUUUGGAAAUGCCCCCCCCCCCCCCUCAAUACCUUUGAAGUUAAAAGGUUUUUCAAAAUGCUAAACUGUUUAGUAAACUAUAACAGAAAAACGCUUUAGGGAAAUGCAAUACUGUUUGGUAAAUAUAUAUUUAAAAAACCUUUUAGUGUGACCAAAUUAUAUUUUUAGUUUUAGUAUUUUUAAAAUUACAAAAAAAUAAUAAUUAUAUAAUAUUUUAUAUUUUUAUAUUGAGAAUAAUGUAAAAGAUAUAUAUUAGUAAAUUUAAUUAAAAAUUAUAUUAAAAGAAAUUAAUUAUAGAUUAAAUGCAAAGCUCAACUUUUGGCUUAGGAUUCUUUUAGGUUUGUUUUCAACUUUGAAUAAUUUUUUGUAAUUAUUGUAGUAUUAAUCAUCUUCGUUAAUUAAUGAUAAUUCUAGUGUAUUGAUAAAAAGUUGGGCUAUUAAUUGUCAAAAAAUAAAAAUGACAAAAAAAAGGUGAACCUAACAUUUGCAAAGGGUUUUUAUUAUUUUUAAAAAAAUAAAAAUAAAAUCCUAUAAAACUUCGUCACUGAUCAAUAGCGAUUGGGGUGUGAAGAAGAUGAUUGGUUUAAAAAACAAAGAAGAAGAAGUCAAUGGAUAAAUAGUAGAUGUGGACUUGCAUUUCCGAAAUGCUGAAAGCCCAAAGCAGGUCUCCACUUACUUUGAGCUUUCAGCAUUUUAAAGGCCAGCAUUUAGUUAAGGACACCUCAAAAUACUGAACCAAACACCUAAAUUUUUUCUUAAUGGGCUUUCGAGGCUAAAUGUCUCUUGGGAAUGCUAAACUAAACGAGGCCUAUAUCACUUUGCUCUUUUUGACCCAGACUUUCUCGAAUCACGCAGCAGUGCUAAUGAAAGAAAGCUAUAGAAAAGAAAGUAAAGGUGCAUUAUUGCAUGCGUAAUUUCCUCUGAAGGUGCAUAAAAUUUACGCGUGUCCUUUCUUUCUUUUCCUUUGUUGACUUGACUUGUUUUUUCUACUAGUAAAUAAAUAGAAACGAAAACCAACGAACAAUUCUAAUGCUCCGAGUCAGUAAAGCAUACUCUCAAUCGAUUAAUUUAAUAAAAAUCAGAUAGUAAUAGAAAAUAAAAUAAAAGGACAAUCAAGGCACACGUAACAUCCGUGGGAGGUGCAUAAAAUUUAUGUCGUAUCCUUAUUUUUUUUUUCUUUUUGUUUUCCUUUCUUGUCUUGACUUUCUUUCUCUACUAAUAAAAAAUUAGAAACGAAAAUCAAUCGAUAAUUCUAAUGGUUGCAUAUUCUCGACCGAACUAAUUUAAUAAAAAGCAUAUAGCGAUAGAAAAGAAAAUGAAAGGACAAUCAAUGCAUGUGUAAUUUCCAUAGCAUUUUGUAGAAGGAGCAUGUAACCCGGUUCUUGACUUGACUUGCAUUUUUCAUUAAUAAAAGAAAUAGAAAAGAAAACUAACAAUACUCCCCUGCCCUUAGGUCCUCGGCAUGACCUUAAACUGCAGCGCUCCGGGGGGGACAACCCCGAUAGCAAGGCCCCUAAGCACGGGUCGGUGCCUCACCCCCGCGCUUCCGUGGGAACCUCGGCGCACAAGGGGGUACUAGCAGCUCCCACGCUAGGAAAAAUAUAGUGGCUGGGAUGAAUAUCCCGUAAGACCCCGAGGGAGACAACCCCAAUAACAAGGCCCCUGGGCAUGGGUCGGUGCCUCCCCCCCGCGCUUCCGCGGGAACCCUGGCGCACAAGGGGGUACAAGCAGCUCCCACGCCUGGAAAAAUAUUGUGGCUGGGCUAACCGUUCGUAAGAUUCAGGACCUGAGCAGGUCCUUAAACUGCUCACGGAGGAAACAGGUGGGAGAACCACCUAGGGAUGGGAGACCCCAUGCUGUCCUCCUAUUUCCUCCCCUUAAGGAAGAAAAGAAUCCAAGGGGAAUUAGGGGGGUCGUAGGUGGUGAGUGUAAACACCACGUCUGGGAAACCAGCCUACGACUGGACUGGCUUGGGGUAACCAACCCCCGACCCUCGCCCGACGUGAUACGGCGUAGGUGCAAUGCCUACAGGACUCUGGACGCCCCUUCGGGGACGGUUCCUCAACCAACCGUUCCAGGGUCUUCCCCCGGUUGAGGAACCGUCCCCUGCCCUUGGCGUGCACACAUAAUUUCCAUUUCCACAGCAUUUUGUAUAGGUUGCAGAGAACUUGCUCCUUGACCUGACUUGCAUUUUCCAUUAAUAAAAGAAAUAGAAAAGAAAACUAGCAAUACUCCCAUGCCCUUAGCGUCAAUAUACAAGGGUCAAUCGCAAAAACAUAGCCCAUUGGAUUAUUAUUUAUAAUGAACGAUUUGACCUAAUUUUUCUCUCGGAAGGGAUUCUAGACAUGCAAACCCUAAAAUAAGUUUCCCCAACUUUUCCCCCACUUUUCAAACUAAAUUUCUCCCUAUCAUAUCUUGCCUAAAGAUUAUCAAGUCAUCACCCCCUUAGCCAAGUCACUUUGAUCUCACUCCUUAAUUAAUUUUGUUUUCUACAUAUUAUAUUUAUUUUAUAUUUUUAAUGUCAUAUUUAGAAUUUCUCAGCUAAUGGAUUAUCCACGAUUGAAUAACUAUUUAGGGAAUACUUUUUUCCAUUUUUAUUUCAUUUUUGUUGAACCUUUUAUUCUAUGUUAACACUCUUUUUUCCUAACUUCUUAGUAAAGAUAAUCACUUAUUCAUUUGAAGGUGCUUGUCAUUAGUGAUAAGAUGUUGUGAACCAACUAUAUUACGAUAUCGGCUUUAUCUUUCGGUAAAAGCUGGAGCCUUAAGAUUUUGAACAGCAAUGACGUAUAGAGGAUUCGUGGAAUGGGAGCUUUUGCUUUGAUGUCUCAAUUAUAUUAUUUAGUGCAUGUACAACUGCCUUUCGGCGACGUUCUCAUGCAAGAGCUUUUGGACACUUCUUGCCGAUAAAAGGAUUGCGAAAGGUUGAGAUUUGUAUUUUGCAUGGGUUAUAGUAUGACUGAUGGAUGAUUUUGAGAGAACUUGUAAUCUAGGAGUGAUUUUGAGUGUUUUUUUCCUCCUUUCAUAUCAAAUGAGAAAUACUCAAUCCUUUUAUAUAUAGUUUGUGCACUCUCUCUUGGCUUGAAUUACUAAAUUCAUCUAGAACUAUCACGGUAUUUUGGUACUCUGUGGAGGGCUUUAUGCAGAGUUGACAUGUGGCUCAUUUGAUGGUUUCCACCUCCCUUUCGUUUGCUUUAAUCUAUUCAUCCUUCUUUUUCUCUUCAUUUCCAAGAAGAACUUAUUAACAAUAAAGAGUACUUUGUCCAAACGUGGAUGAUGUGUACCAAGGCACCGUGGCACGGGGAACAACAGGCAAAUGUCGCGAGCGUGAUUUUGGUGGCUAAAAUUCGCAUGAUUAUUUGGUAUGCUUUUCAUGAUUUGCUUACUAGAGAUAUAUUAGUAUACAAUGGGAAUGAAGAUAUCCAAAUUCAGAGUGCAGGCCUAUUAGUUAACUUGAGAGAAUAGCUUUGACAUGCAAAUUAUUUUAAAUAUUUUUCACAAGAUGUAUUGUUUAUGCAAGUAUGAAGAUAAUAGUGCUGAUUUGAGAAAUGUGUUUUGAUUUGAGUAGGUCUUCACCAAUAAUUGGUACGUUGUAUUUUUCUUUAUGCACUAGACAUUCUAGUUACAAAUUGGAUAAGUAUUACCUUUUCCUUUCAUUGCUGGGGCAUGAAAAUAGACCAAGCCUUUUAUUUAGUUGAAAGUGACGCGAUUGGUUCAAUGUAUAAAUUCAAAGAAAGUAGAAAAUUUCUACAAGAACACCUGUAAAUGAUUUCUUGGUACACCAAUAGCUUAGUUUUUGAUAUUUUGGAGAAGGAUCUUCCACUCGAGUAGGGCCCAUUUCAUUGGACACUUAGCGAUGAUAAUCCCAGACAAAUCAAAGUGCAAGUCCUUUUCAAAAACAUUAGAUAAUUUGGAUGAGAGAUCCUAAGAAAGAUUUUGUCUAAGUGUUCCAUACAAAUUAUUUAGUCCAAAAGAGGAUUUCCGUGUUAAUCAAGCGCACUAAUUACGCCAAUCAUUAUGAAUUUAAUGUGAUUUGACAUAUCUCUUAUUGUCUUUUUUGCUUAGUCAAAAGCGCAGGGGAACAUUUGCUCAUCACUUUCAUGGUAGCUUCACUUCUUGCGACUUUACUCUGGAAAGAAAAAUGAUCAAAGUUGAUUUUGAUGCUUAUAUCCGGAGUAAAUCCAAGGACAGAGUAAGUCCAGUGACAGAUUUCCAUUGCAUUUCUAUUACAAAAAUGUUCAUAUUCCAACCCUUGAAAAUAUCACAUGCUCAUGAGCCAAUGAACAUUCGAACAACUGACGAGCUCAAAGAUUUAUUUCAUAUUAAUGUAGUUACUUCAAGCUAUUAUUAAAGUAAUACCUACUCUAGGCUCUCUUUAAAAAAAACAACCUCAUUCAAGCUGUUAUUUGGAAUUUUCAUUAGUUUUGAAAGAUGCCUUGUGUUUCGAACUAAGAUGAAUUAUAAAGCUGCAAGCCUACAAUAAGCCAUGAUUUUAUUGAAUUUUUUUAUCCAAAUUCUUUGGCUAACUUUCUGAAAAUAAGCCCCAAUGCCAGUGUCACUUCUUCGGCCCCAAUAUAAUCAACUCGGCCUAUUUCAUUUUCAGGACUUCAUCUACUUCGCCAGUUCACCAGUUCGAACUGCAUGACCACAAUUUGUUCGCUCGCAUGUGCUUAAAAGUCAUUAGUCGCUAGAACUAACUUCACAAGCCACACUAGCAAUCACCUGUCAGCCCAAUUUCCUUCAAUUUGGUAUUGACAUUUCCAAAUUGCGAAAUUGCUUUUUUCAAAUCAUUAAAUUAUUUUCUUUAGUGGAAAAUCCUGAGCAUAAGUGAUAAACAAGUUAAAUAUUAUUCGUGUUGACAUUAAGUGCCAUUUAAAAUGAGAUGUCGCAAAAAUGGGAACCAAAUGAGUCCCCAAACAUUACUUUGAAUGAUUUUACUUUAGAGUAACGUUUACUUAUUAACCUAUUUUUACUUGUAUAGGCACAUACCUGGACCUCGAUUUGAUAUGAAAUCGAACUAUGUAAUACGUGCAUGGACUUUCUGACAUCAUACUUCGACCGCGAUUCAUAUUUGAUGAAAUCGAGUUGUGUAAUACGUGCAUUGACUUUCUGACAUCAUAGGACCUUGAUCCAUAUUUGCAUUAACUCGGUCCUCAUGACAUCUUUUUUGCUCCUUUUCUUUGUUUCUUUGUUUUUUUUGGGCUUAGACACGGGCUGAACACCAGUCUCACAUAUAAGAUCUAUGGGCACAGGUGAUCAGGUUUAUUGCCUUAAGAGGCUUCGAUCAAAAAUUCAAACUUGUCUCAAUUCCUCUCAUGCUAAAUCCACAAUUAUUUCUCUUGUUUUUAAUUCUUCUUCUUCUUCUUUUUUAUCAUCUUCUUCCCUAUCAUCUUCCUUAUGCAUAUCUCGAAAAGCUCUGCUCUACUAAAUAAACAAACUCAACCUCAUCAGCGAUCGACGUAUUUGAGCAUUGAAUGGAACGUCACCGUUGUCUGGCUUCGGUAUCCUGGAGCACCACCAUCCUCUCUCUCUCUCCAUGUUGCCUACUCCUCCUAUUCCCACGGUAAUCGCAGCUCUACUCCUCCUCAUCGUUCUUCGCACAAGCAAUGUCUCCUUCCACAUUGACCGCAGCUUCACCACCAAGUCCACCGAUGCCUUCAACACCACCUGGUUGUUCGAACGCACACUGCCAUGGAGGACAAAAUGCACUGAAUAGGCAACUUUGGAAAUCUGGAUAAUGCAUUGCAACCAUUUGCUUCAAAGGUACAAAUGUUUGGUGGAAGCUCUAGGAUCUCCAAUAGUUGUUUACAAUCAUCUAAUUUGAGGACCAUCAACUCAAACUUGCUAAUGCAUGUAGGAAGACUAACAAAAUUAUUUUUUGAGAGAUGCAAAAAAAGUAAAGGACAACACAUGUCAACUGUUCACUUUCCUCUCCAUUUGGGCGAUUCUGGCACUAUUCACUCCAGCUGGUUUUUUGUGGAUUCUGGUUGAUUCCGCUGGUAUCUGGAGCUGAUUUUUCGUGGGCUAGGUCAUCUGGGGACCGCCUACAAACCCCAGGUAAGCUUGGCUUGGUUGGUUUUCGUUUAUCAAGAUGGGAGCUCUCGAUCAGAAUUUCUGGUGCGCCUAGCUUUUCCCGAUUCUGGUCUCUGUCUUCGUGGGUGGCUUUGACUGAUUGGUGUGCUAAUUGCUGGUGGAUCUCCUUGUCCUUGAAGGCCCUUCAGCCCCUACAAACACCUGGUAUGGCCUGAUUGCUCUCCUUGAUUUAUUCUGGGGUUUGGGCCGGUGCUGUGUUGGGGUACUGUGCUGUUUCGUAAUGGCAUCCUCUUCGAAUCUCCUAAGUCAGUUGGGCCGUCCAAAUGAGGAGUCCCAAGCGGGCUCUAGGCGUGGUAGGAGCCGCCUUAGAUCUACUUCUCGUGGCCCUAGAGUGGCUCGUCCUGCUGGACAAAAAUGGAGUGAGCAGAAAGCCCCUCCAACCCGUUCAUGGGUUAAUGUUGCUAGGCUCUCGGCAAAGGGAUAUGAACUUAGCUUCGUGCCUCCAACUUCUGUUGGAAAAAGAGGAGUGGUGCAUGCGGCAGAUCCAAAAUAGAAUCAUUGUUUGAUGGGGUAUUUCAUUGGCAAGAAUGUGCCGUUCAAAAUGACUGAGUCAGUCCUUAAGGAGACGUGGGGCUCCCAUUUAACUGAAAUGCUUGCUGAUGAUGAAGGAUUUUAUUUCUUCUUUAUUCCUGACCCUGAUUACCACAGGAAGAUUCUUGAGGAAGGUCCAUUGACGGUGAAUAGAGUGCCACUUAUUCUGAAACAAUGGGAUCCCACUCUUGAGCUGAGGAAGGACUUGCAAUCCUCUGUGCCCGUUUGGAUCCGUAUGAAAAACAUACAUUUUGCUUAUUGGUCUGCUCUUGGGAUAAGCCAGAUAGCGAGUGCAGUCGGUAGACCCUUAUAUGUGGACCCAUUGACUGAAAAAAUGAAACGUUUGUCUUUUGCAAGAGUAUGUGUCGAAGUGUCGGCUAAGUUAGAGAAAUUUGAAUCUGUGGAGGUAUUUCUGAAUGGGGAGUCCUUCAUUGUUCCUAUCUUGUACGAAUGGAUACCCAUUGCGUGUCCGAAAUGCCAGGUCUUUGGCCAUAACUGUGAGGAGAAAGAAGUUCCAGCACCCGUAGCAGAUAAGUCCCAUGAUGAUGUUGCUGAGGAAGCUCGAGAUGCUGUUGUGCCUACGGUGCCCCCCUCGAUUCCUCCCGCCCAGCCUCGUAAGGUGUCUUAUGCUGACCAGCAGGAUGGCUGGAAGCAGGUAACUCGGAAGAAGAGGCAACCGUCAGGGUCUAAUGGGAAGGACUCUUCGACUCCUAUCUCUUCUUUGAAGUUUAUGGAUAAAUCAGAUUCUUCUCAAGCUUUAAGCAAGUCUGCCUAGAAAAAUAAAGGUGCUUUGAUUCCCAGCCCUACCGGACCUCCUUCCACGAUGAUUCCUGUUGAGCCGAUCCCAGAAUCUGCUUAUAUUGGGUCUGGCUCUACUGUUGAAGAAUCUGAGAAUGCGGCUAGUGCAGUAAGUAGCAGCUCAGAUGAGGAACCUGAUGGUCCUAGUGAAUUGGUUACAAAUGUUAAGCAUUCUGUUGUUUCUGAGGAAGCCCCUGCUAAAAGGAACUCGCCCAAGACUCCGUCUGUCCUAAAGUUGGCCGCCCCUCCUACCCCAGCGUUGGCUGCUCCUCCUGACCCUCCUCAAGGCACUAGCCGAAGGAGAUCACGUCGGUAACUUCUAUUCUCAUCGUAAUACAUUAUAUAGUUAUAUAUAGCUAUGUAUAUUGGAGUUUGGAAUAUUAGAGGACUUGGUAGCCAUCUCAAACAAGCUGAAAUCAGAAACUUUGUUAGAUCUCAUAAUCUAUGUUGUGUUGGUAUUGUGGAAACAAAGAUUUCCUAGGGUGCCUUUAGUGCGAUCUCUGCUGUUUUGUUGCCAGGCUGGAAGUGGGAAAACAACUAUAAUCAUUCCUCGAAAGGAAGAAUUUGGGUGGGGUGGAAUCCCCGUGAAGUCUUGUUUGUUACGAACUCUUCUUCGGAUCAAGCUAUUCAUGGAAAGUUAUCUUGCUUAAAUUCUGGUAAGGUUCUCUUCCUUACGGUGGUCUAUGCUGAGCAUAGUUUUGUGGCUAGACGUCCUCUUUGGGCUGACAUUAUUCAGACUAGCUCUCUCCUUUCGGGUUUCCCUUGGAUACUAGCAGGAGACUUUAAUGCAAUUCGUGACCCUUCGGAUAGAUUGGGUGGUUCUAAUGGUUGGAUCCCAGCUUUUGAUGAGCUGCGUGAGUGCCUCAUACAAGCUGGUCUUGACGAUCUCAGGUAUACCGGGAAUAGAUUUACUUGGGCUACUUCCAUGGGUGCCAACUGUAAGCAAAGAAAGAUUGAUCGUGUUCUCGUUAAUUCUUGUUGGACUGCUGAAUUUUCCUUUUCUGAGGCCUCUUUGUUGGCCUCUGGCAUUUCAGAUCAUUCUCCAAUGAUUAUUAAGAUUAUGCUUGCCCCUAAGUCUUGCAAGCCUUUCAAGUUCUUCAAUUUCUGGUUUUCUCAUCCGGAUUUUACUGAUGUGGUUUUGCAAGCUUGGAGUUCUCCCUUUGUGGGUUCUCCAAUGUUUAUUCUUUGCUCCAGGCUUCGGCUUCUCAAAUGUAAGUUGAAACAGAUCAACAAGGAGUCCUUCUCGGACUUGUCCUCUAGAACGGCUGAAGCAAGAUGUGCAUUGCUCCAAACCCAAUAUGCUCUUCAGAAUGACUAUUCGAAUAUUCAACUUGCUGAAUUGGAAAAACAACAGCUCCAAUCCUACUCGAAUUUGCGCCUUCAAGAGGAAUCAUUUUAUAGACAAAAGUCUCGGGUGCGGUGGUUGAAAGAAGGUGAUCUUAAUACUAAAUUUUUCCAUAACUCGGUAAACAAGAGACAACUUCACAAUAGAAUUAUCUCGCUCUCCGAUGGGAUUGUUUCUACCUCAAAUCCCUCUGAAGUUCAAAACCUGUUUGUUGACCACUUCCGGGAGUUAUUGGCCUUCUCUCCCCCUGCUGCGAGGCCUUCGGUGGAGGAAAUGCGUGCGGUGUUGAAGCACACCCUUGAUGCGGAUCAAGUUCGCUUUAUUUCUAGCCCCAUCUCGGAGACUGAAAUUAAAGAUACUCUAUUCUCUCUUGCGGUGGGUAAGGCCCCUGGCCCUGAUGGAUACAAUGUGGAAUUUUUUAAACAUUCUUGGGAGAUUGUUGGACCUUCUGUUAUUCUGGCAGUGAAAGAUUUCUUUGAGACGGGCAUAUUGUUGCGGGAAAUUAACACAACUAUUUUGGCCCUGGUCCCCAAAGUCCCGAAUGCUUCCAAUGUGAAUGAUUUUCGGCAAAUUGCUUGCUGUAACACAUUAUACAAGUGUAUUACCAAGCUUAUUGCUAAUCGGCUCUCUCAGGUGCUACCUUCUAUCAUUAGUCUACCUCAAAAUGCCUUUGUAAAAGGUAGACACAUCAGUGACAAUAUUUUACUUGCUCAGGAGCUGUUUUGUGGUUUUCACAAUGAUCCUUACCGGCCUAAAUGUAUUAUUAAAGUUGAUUUUAGGAAGGCCUACGAUACGGUGGAUUGGAGGUUUAUUGAAUUGUGUCUGCAGGCUUUCGGUUUCCCCCAGGAGUUCAUUGCCCGGGUUAUGAUUUGCAUUCGUACCCCCAAGUUCUCGGUUGCAAUUAAUGGGGAACUCCAUGGGUUCUUUUCAAGUGGGAGGGGUAUUCGUCAGGGUGAUCCCAUGUCGCCGUAUAUUUUUACUCUUGUGAUGGAAGUCUUUACAGGUAUUCUGGACAUUCAAACUUCACAUUCGGACUUUGGUUUUUUCUGGCGUUGCAAGCCCACCCGACUUUCUCAUCUUUUCUUUGCUGAUGAUGUACUACUCUUCGCUGAAGCUAACUUAUCGUCUAUUGAUCUUCUCAAGAAUGGUAUCGAGAAAUUUUCUAGCUAGAGUGGGCUGAUUCCGAAUCUUCGGAAGAGUGAAGUUUUCCUUUCUGGAGGCUCCUCUAACCUUCAUGAGGAUAUCCUCAAUAAGUUGGGCUAUCAGUUGGGCACCUUUCCUUUCCGCUAUCUAGGAGUACCGGUUAUUUCAGCUAGAUUAAGGAAAGCUGGCUGUGUCUCCUUGGUUAAUUCAAUCACGGCUCGUGUUCAAUCUUGGACCAAUAGAUUCCUCUCUUUUGCGGGGCGUCUUCAACUUAUAAGGUCGGUGCUUCAUUCUAUACAAGUCUUUUGGGCUAAUGUGUUCUUUCUGUCAUGUUCAGUUCUAAAUCGAAUUGAGCAAUUUUUCCGCCAAUUCUUGUGGAGAGGCCCCUGAGAUGGGUGCAAGUGGUGCUAAAGUCUCGUGGUGUAAUGUUUGCCUUCCCAAAAAUGAAGGGGGCUUAGGUAUUCGUACUCUAAGGGAGAACAACAUUGCGUCCAUGCUCAAACAUAUUGGAUUCUUUUCUCGGAUAAAGAAUCCCUGUGGUGUAAGUGGAUUCAUUCCAAUUUCUUGAAGCGGAAAAUUUUUUGGGUGGUUCCUUGCCCUACUCAUUGCUCUUGGGCUUGGAGGAAGUUAUUAGAUCUUCGUGAUCAAUUUCAGCAAUAUUUCAGAUGGAACAUUGGAAAUGGGAGGUCGGUCUCCUUUUUGGUUCGACCCUUGGCACCCAAAUGGUCCUUUAUACAAGAUCUUUUCUAAUCAGGAUAUUUAUCGCUCGGGUAUAUCCCGCUCUGCUUCAGUUGCUGAUGGUUUUGCUACUCCUAUGGGCUGGUAUAUCAUUAACAUCAUGGCUAAUUGGUGGAAUCCCCUUCCGGUAUUCAACCAAGAGGAGGAUCGGUUUCAAUGGCUUCCGCACCCAUCCGGUCGCUUCUCCAUUGCUUCUGCCUGGGAUUUGAUCCGUCCGAAGCAUAAUGUCAUCUCGUGGGCUUCUUUUGUUUGGAAUACUGCCUUGCCUCCAAGAUAUCAAACGCAUCUUUGGCUUAUUUCGCGCAAUCGGCUGCCGACUCAGGUUUUGCUCAUCUCUUAUGGUAGGAUCCCCCCUACAAAUUGCCCCCUUUGUUCAUGCAGACCUGAUUCUAUAGAUCAUUUGUUCUUUGCGUGCCGUGCUUCGGAUAGUCUUAUUUCAUUUUGGGUGGCAAGAUUCAACCUAGUGUGGCGAAACAAGCGUUGGGUGGAUAAUUUGGCCUGGGCUUCCAAGCGGUUUAUGGGGAAGAGUUUUUAUCAGAUCCUGGCUCGGUUUAGUUUUGGUGCAAUGUGUUAUAUCAUUUGGAAAGAGCGGAACAAUGUGCUUUUUCGGAAUCAGACUCUCUUUCUUCCAGCGAUGAAAAUGCAUCUUCAGAAGGCUAUCAAAGAUAAGGCUAUGACCUUUAAGCAUGUUCCCGAUGUGCCCAUGAAUAGAAGACUUCAACGAAGCUGGAACAUCCAUCCUUCUAUUUUUGAUUGAUGGAGGUUUUCUAGUUUUUGUUGUCUUUUGUUUCCUUUUGUUGUUGUUGCUCCUUUUUUCUGGGAACCAUGGCACCCCUACACUCGCUCUAGACUUUUGUCUUCUUGAGUGUCUGUUUUUGUUGGUGCCAGGCCUCCCUCUUGUCUUUUCUUGCAAAAUCUAUUUAUUACUUACCUUUACCAAAAAAAAAAAUAUUUAAAAAAGAGAAGCAAGCAAGACUCUGAAGGAAUCAGCCUGAGACAGAUUGCAGCCACUAAGCUUCAAGGAGACUAGAUUCGGAAAUCCACGUCUACCAUUAGGUAGAUUGGAGCUCUCACUGUUCUCUAUAAACAAGCCAAACUUUGAAGAAUUUUUUAGAGAAAGGUGCUCUAGACUUUGCAUCUCGCAAAUGCUACUAGGAAGACUGAUAAGACAAUUGCAUGAAUUCAGAAGAAAACCUUAACAUAGACUAGUUUUUCAGAUGACAUAGGAAGUUCUUUUAUAGAAGUCUGAGAUAAAUUAAGUUUUUUCAAGCUCUCCAUCUCAUCAAUAUCAGGACACUUAUCGGGUUUAGAGCAGCUAAUUACGUCAAGUGUUUGAAGGUAUUUUAGCUUCAGUUUUCUUGGAAGCUCCUUGAGAUUCGAGCACCAACUUAAGUUCAUUGUCUCCAAAUUUGGGACCUCUGAGAAGUCCGGAACACUAAUCAAUGACUUACAGCGGCUGAAAUUCAGGAACUUCAGAUUUCUGAAAUGCUACAAAUUGAAAAGAGCAGCUGAAUGAGAUUCUGAUCAAUUUCACUUUGUUAAAGGCACUUAAAAUGAAAACCAUCAAGGAAAGCUUGUAUCAGGUACGUUUAAGUUCCCGCCCAAUUCUUUAAUCUAGCUGUUAUGCACAUCACAAUAAACAAGUUUCUAUACCCCAGCACUAAACUUGAGAGUUCCAAAAGGAUAUUCAGUCCAUUCAAGCCACCGUAAAUCGUCAGGAAAACAUAUGGGACCUCUGCUGCUUUGUGCAUCCAGAACUAUGAGCAAUCUCGGUCUCCUCAUAUGGGUGAAAGCACUGGGACUGAUAUCUAGCUCUUCUUGUGUUGGCUAGUCCAGCACUAUGCCUUUAACAGCAUUGGUUCCCUAUUGAGGUAAAAAUAAUGAUCAUUAUUACCCAACCCAAUUAGGUUAUAGCAUGUAAAUUAAGGCAGAUAAGAUUAUCAAUGGUUUCAUACGAAGUUCUCACAGUAUUGUCCAACAAUACUUCAAAAACAUCAUCGUAGCACCAUAAUCUAGUCCGUUUCCCAGGAUCGUCUGGACACUCUUGUUUAAUGAUAUCCCUCCCAACCCAUCAGCUGAAUCAAGUCAUGUGUUUGUACUGUUCUCUGAUUCUCAAUGGUCAUUAAGGAUCUCUCUAUUAGCAUCUAAAUCUCAACUAAUGUCUUUAAACCACAACUAUCAAGAACUCUAGUUAUUUAAUCACUAUCCCUCCCCUUAAAGAAACAAGCAAUGUCAAGGAAAAUGUCCUCCUCAUCAUCCUCCGACGAAUCAAAACUUAUCUUCAUAACACUGUUUAUAUCUUUAUUAGGACUUUUAGCAAGUUUACCCAAUGUACUUUCCCAUUCCCCUCUGCUUCUGCCAAAUAAAAAAGGACCAAAGACCACAAUCGUUAAGGGAAGGCCAUUAGCAUAGCCCAAAAUACAUCUAUGAGAUCCCUGCUUAUGUCUUGUAUUUGGUUUUUUGGAAAAGCAUAUGAACUUAGAAGUUCAAAAGCUUCACCUUGAUCUAAUGCUUUAACUUCAUAUACCUGAUCUAUCUGGUGAGAAGUUAGUACAUGUUUAUCUCUAAUCGUAAUAAUGAUCCCACUACCUUUUCCAAACCAUUUACAUUCUCUAGCUAAUGCAUUUAACUGGUCCCCAUGAUCCACAUCAUCAAGCACAAGCAGAAUCUUCCUAUAGCAAAGUCUAUCUCAUAUCAGGUUAACGCCUCCAUCCACACUUAAGACCACUAAAUUUUCUUUCAACAAUAUCUCAGAUAAGAGUGUUUUUUGCAAAUGAACCAGGCCGUCAGGUCUACUGGAAGUUUCUCUAACAUUUGCAAGAAAGCUGCACUCAUCAAACUGACUAGUGAUACUGUCAUGGACAGCUUUAGCGAUGGAGGUCUUCCAUAUACCUCCUGCUUCCCUUAUUCCUAUCAUCCGAACCUCAUCCAGGCACGUACUUAGCAAUGAUAUAACUAUCUCUACCCGGCAGCCUACACCGAGCGGGAUGCUUGGCAACACUCAAGGGUACUUGUCCUACUAUAAUGGAGAUCUUUGUGAUGAUGCUCAAAACCUUGCUGUUGAUGUAGGCGUUGAUGCCGCUGUGAAGCAGAGUCCAGUGGAGGUCAGCGAGGAAGCCGUGGCAGACGUCCCCGCCUCUGAAGCUGAGGAAGAUGUCCAACGGCCAUUUUGCUUCGGAAGAAGAAGGAGAAGGAGAAGGAGAAGGAGAAGAAGACAUGGGAAGACAUAAUCGAAUGGUCCGUUUCUUUUAACUAUAUUCAGCUUUUAAUUUUGGAUAAUAACCACCCAAAAAAAAAAACCGACACGUUAAUUCCAAAUUUUUUUAUGAUAUCAAAAAUCUCCUCAAAACAAAGUACAUUUAUCAUCCUUUAAAAUGAUUUUUCCUUAUAUCCUCCUCUUUGAUCUUUACCGCUGCCAUUUCCGUCAUCAUUGCCACUAUCAUCAUCUUGCCAAACCCAAGAAGAAAACGAAGGAGGAAAUUUAAGAAAAGAAAAAAAGAAAACGAAAAAAAAUACAUACAGAGGAGAUUUCACAUGAUUUUGACUAGCGGUGGUUUAAUUUAUAAAUUUCCUCCCUAAGUAUUGGUUUUGUUGUAACUGUAGUUUGGGGCUCCUGUGAAGAGGUUAUUCUUUUUCCUUUUAUCUUUUUGAAAAGAAAUGCACUAAGCAUUUGCGCACACAACUUCUUGCAAUUGAUGAUAGACGUGUAAGGUCCAAAAUGCAAGGAUCAGAAUGCAAUCUAUUUGCUGUUGGAGAUGACCCAGAAAUUACUUAUGCUAGCUCUUCCAUUCCAAUUGAUGCAGAUUCUAGAUAAACAACUUUGACUAACAUUAUCUUGGUUAUUUUGGCAAAAAAACAUGUCAUAGNNNNNNNNNNNNNNNNNNNNNNNNNNNNNNNNNNNNNNNNNNNNNNNNNNNNNNNNNNNNNNNNNNNNNNNNNNNNNNNNNNNNNNNNNNNNNNNNNNNNNNNNNNNNNNNNNNNNNNNNNNNNNNNNNNNNNNNNNNNNNNNNNNNNNNNNNNNNNNNNNNNNNNNNNNNNNNNNNNNNNNNNNNNNNNNNUUUAAAUAAUGUUUUAAUAAAAUAAUUUUUGGAAAAUUUUUGUAAUUUUCUUUUUUUUUUCUUUUAUUUAUUGUUGUCCUCUUCUCCUUUACUUAGGGCCUUGCUGCCUUGCUUGCCCAAAUCAAGCGAGGUUGUUGCAACCCUCGCCUUGUUUGGGCGAGGGCCGCAGUGUCCUCGCUAGGCCAAAUCUGGUGAGGGUGUCAUGGCCCUUGCUAGAUCUAAGCGAGGGGCAGCGCACUUGCGCCCUAGCCAGCGUGGGUUGGCUGGUGACCCUCACCGAUCCUAAGGGAAGGAGAAGGGGAAGGGGAAUUUUUUUUUAAAAUAACAGAUAAAAGAGAAAAAAAAAUAAAAAGAUAAAAAUAAAAAGAAUUCAAAAAUUAUCUAAAAAGUGUCAUGUUAGUGUUGACCAGCUAAAAUUGGUAGGAUUGACUGAACCGACACAAAUGAAAAGGAUCUAGGACUGAAUUAAUAAAAAAAAGUUUAGGACUAAACUUGCAUAAUUAUAAUAAAUUUAUGACUUUUUUAAUAAUUUUCCCUCAUAACAUCAUUUAGACGAAUUAUAGUCUCCAAAGCUCUUAAGGGAUGGAUAAUUUGUAGACACGAUGAGCAUCUGUGAAGUUUUAGCAGUAGAUUUUCCAGUUCUCCCACAAUUUAAAUCCCGAAUUUUUCCUCAUUGUUUUUGGGGAAUUGCAUCGUGAGAUGCAGCUUGUCUAGUCCUCAAGAGUCACAACAAUCUUAUGGCUUCAUCAUUGCAUCCAUGAGGGAGAGGGGAGGAGGUCUAUAACUCGGGCUUCGCUCUAGAGCAAUUUAUGAGGUUACUCAUCAUUAUUUUUUUUGGCUUGCCUCAAACAUAAAUCCUUUUAUUCUCUAUUAGCAAAAACACAGUGCGGAUGUUAGUAUAAGGCUAUCCUUUGUCUUCAAAGACUGGUACCUUAUUAAGUGCCAAAUUGGGCUCCUAACGGGAAAGUCCAUGGGCCAUUCGGCAUUCGUCUCCAUCUUCUUCGCUGGCCAAUCCUCGCUCCGGUUCGAAUCGCCGCGACUCUCUGGCAUUCGAGCGCCGUCUCGCAGCGGCAAAUCUCUACCUCGCUCGAUCAUCUCCGGCGGCAUUGAUUGUCUUUUGGCUAAAUUCUUGGUCGGAGUGUUCGUCAGUGGUUGUUUGCAGAAUCAGAGUAGACGUGAAUGUGGGAUGCGUUGAUGAACAGGUCAAAAAGCAGGGGAAGCAAGCGGAUGACACGCAGUUCCGAGCUCAGCGUGAUGCUCUGAGCCUGAAAAUUGUCCAGAUGACUGCAGAAGGUAAUUGCUUUUUCGGGUCUGUGUUCCUUGUUAGAAAAAAAUCGCCGACUUGUUUUCAUGAUUUUUUUUUUUUUUUUGGAAUGUUGCCGGGAAUAGGUUUGUCUUGUAAAAUGACAGUAAUCCCCUCUGUUUUAGAAGGUGAAUGGUUUGCUCAUCGCAUUACCACUCUGUCGUCAGAACACAACACGCAUUGCAUUUUAUGGUACACCGGUUCUGGAAUACCAUCAUCGAUGUACUAGAAAUUCCUCUGCUGGGAAAACUAUUGCGUUUUCGUAUGAUUUAUCAUUCUGCCUGAGACACUGCAUCUGGAAACAUAUCUUGAAGAAGAGCUCUCUUUGUCGGGGCUUAGUCUCGAGGAUAUUAGAUUGACCCUUCUGAGAUCCAACUAAGUUACUUUGUAAAAUUUCAUGACUAUUGUACAACGUCCUAGCAAAAAAACCAUCUUCCUCAUUCCCGUUUUCAUUCCACGUAUUUGAAUUAUCCAUCCUCCAGGUAAUUUGCUGCCUUGUAUGGAGCUUUUGGUUAUAGAAAUGCCUUUGCUAUAGUUUAAUCAGGGCCCUUGCAGAUCAGUUGGAAGGCAAUGAAGAUGAACAUGGAAAGUACCGGAGUAUGGUUGUUCAGUACAUAUCAGUAUGUGGAGUGCUGAUUUCUCUUUUUCAAGUUGUAGAAAUUAUGUUUGUAAGAGUUUUUUUUUUUUUUUUUUACAUGGUGAUGUUGUCCUCAUUUGUAUUAGUGCUCAGCGACCCGAAUCAGAACUUUUAUUCAGUGCAUUUCGUUCUUGAACUUUUUUGUAAGUAUUGAUGGAUUUCUCACAUAUAUAGACACCAAAAUAGCAUGCCUUCGGAAGAAAAAAACAAGUUAAAGAGGGUAUUUUAUAUUGAAGCUUACAUUUCUGCUGCCAAUGGUUAUUUCUGAUGAUUUUCAGUUCACAGUCACAGUUGCAUAGAGCUAUACCAACACAAGGAUCACCUGAGCUAUUUGACAUUCUUAUUUUACUAGGGAGGAAAACCUGUUGAGUGUUAACUGUGAUUUGGAUGGUCUAUCUUGGCCUAAACUAACAGGUGUAGGAGGAAGCUGGACUCUGUAGUUAUCCACAUUGUUGUAGCCUACAGGAAUGUGUGAUUGCUACUUUAGGGUGGCAAUAUUAUGUAAAUCGACAUAUUCUUUGAAGGAGAUUAGACAAAAUUAAAAAUGAGAGAAUUGAUACUAACGUAAUCAACUUUUUAGCAUGCGUGGUAAAACUUUAAUGUUUGCAAUGGCACAAAUUGAUAGUUUUGUUUGUUUCAAGUUUCAACAGAAUCCUUUAUUUUCAUUGGUUUUUUCUCAAAGUGAUGUGUUAAGGAAAUAAAAUCCUUGUUUGAAGAAUGGACCUGAUAUGUGCAUCUAAGAUGGGAAUUGUUAAUGACAGAAAAAUCGUGAAAUGUUUGAACCAUUUAUUGAGGAUGAUGUGCCAUUCGAGGAGUAUUGCAAAACCAUGGACAAUGAUGGCACGUGGGCUGGUCAUAUGGAAUUGCAAGCAGCUUCUCUUGUUACACGGAGUAACAUUUGCAUUCAUCAAGUAAGACUGACAGUGAAGUUAUCAACCAUCACCUACAUGAAGUUUUGUUGGUUACGGUCUUUUCAGUCCUUCAGGGGGAACAGCCAGAAUAAAUAAGGAUGUAAUUAGACUCGUCAAUUGUUAGCCUUGCUACUGGGUUUGAAGUUUAGCUGUUUAAGCACGCAUCCUAGAAUUCGUGACCAUUGAAGAUCCCAUGAUUGUUGGUUUCCUGACUCAUUCUUCACUUAUUGAUAUAAUGGCUUUCUCCCCCAAUAUGGUCCUCCUUUAUCUGAGAAGUUAUUCCCCAUCAUUGUUUAGAUCAAAAGACCACUUAGGAGGUUGUUCUCAUAAUGGUUAUAGCUUGUUCUUUUCUGUCUGGUUAUAAUUUGUUACUCUUUAGACUGAAAAAUUGACUCAUCUGAAGCGCAAUGAUAUCUGGCAUGUCUAGCGAUGUCUAUUGUCGCAACAGCAUGUGGAAGGACCAUUGAUGGUGAUGUGCAAAAGAUUUUUUCAGAGAUAUAUUGCACCUUUUAGCACAAGGAGUUCUGACGGUUGCAUAUAAUCCUAAUUCAAAGAAGACUUAAUAUAUCGAACUUGUUACAACAAUGCUGGCUCAUUGAGUGUUCUAUAUGUCCUUGAUGAAUCUACACAGCACUAAUUAGUUUUGAUACAUGCCGUGCAUGCAAAUAUCUGUUCGUUGACACCAAAUUGAACAAUUUAUCUCACUCCUUACUGGAUGCAGAACAUGUCACCUCGGUGGUACAUAAGCAAUUUUGAUCAGCCUGGUGCUUGUAUGAUCCAUUUGUGAGUUUUCUGAAUCUAGAGACUGAUGUUCUUUGCUAAGGCAGUGCUCAAAUACUGGGAUGAGAUCUGUUUGUAUACACUUAAAUAAAUGACCUUUUCUUACAUUGUAUUUUCCCUCAGAAGAUUUGAACAUAAAACAAUGUUUUUAUUUUUUAAGGGAUUAUGAAAAGAUUAUAUAUUUCUCCUGGUCAAGCUUGUUUAUUUUUAAAAGGUUUUAAGUGUUUCGAGUUUCAUAAAUGUCAAAUUGCAAGAGUUGCAAGAUUUUUUUUUUUUUUAAACACGAAAAGCUAUAAGUACAAGUCGUCCAAAUAAACUGGCUCAUUACACGAAAGAAGGUACUGCAGCUUGUUCAGGGAGACUGCUGAUUUGUGAAACAAUUUUGGCAUGCAAGGACAACAUCUCAUAAGUUGCAGAUACGAGCGUAGUUGUGGUGUAGUUAGAUUUAACCAUGGAAGUUCUUUUGCUAGUUUGAGAGAUGUUAGUUGUGGUGUAGUUAGAUUUAACCAUGGAAGUUCUUCUGCUAGUUUGAGAGAUGUUUCGGUGUGGUCACAGGGGGAUAAAUUACUGGCUAAGCAUAUGUGGUAGGAGACCGAAAUGUCACUUUAGCUUUUGUUUCUUCAAUAAAUUAUUUUAUUGAAAUUCCCAUUUGUAAUCCUUCAAUGAAUGGCAUCCCUGGAUAUUCUAAGUUAAGAUGGAUUGGAUCUGUCUAGGUAGCCAUCUUGACUUUGGAUUGUCACGAGGAUCAUGAAAUUUAGUGGAUAUAGGAUAUUCCACACUUUACCAUCUUAGAUAAGUGUCAUCAUGCGAAACCAGUAAGCAUAAAAAAUGUGCGUUGUGCCAUUAUUGUUUUGUGGAUAGGGAAAGUCUUAUAUUCUUUUUGUACUGAUGGUGUUUCAUUAUUUGAACUUAUAUAUUUUGCUUUGCUUUAUUAGAUCUUAUCAUGAUGAGGAACAUUACAACCGUGUGAGGUUGAAAGAAGACACCAGAGAUGGGCCAGCUAGGCCAAUUACAAUCAAGGUUGCUACUGGAAUUUAAUUUUAGUUUACUAAGUUAGUAGGGAAGUUGGACAAAUUGUGAAUUUAAGUAUGUGAUUUGAUAAUUUCUUUUGCUGAAAGGCUGAUUCUAAUCUCUCAUCGUCCUCUUGCCAAGCAAUAGCUGGGUCAAACAAAUCUAAAUCAGGAGCUGGUAAGGAUAUUACUGAUGCAGGAUUCAUCAAGCUAGUCACGGCUGGAAGUGGUUGUGAGAAUAUUGAGAAAGUUGAGCAGGUUAUGUCCUCUCUUCUUCUGCUUGCUUGUUUGCAUUAAAUGUUUACCUCUCAUUUUCUUGGUGAAUCUAGAAUUAGAAUGCAGUGUUUUGAACCUUUUUCUGAUUUCUGUAUAACAUGUGAUACAUUUACAGACAUUGCUGCAAAUGGAUGGGGAUGUUGAUUCCGCCAUAGAGUAUCUGAUAGCAGAACAAGGCAUUGAAGAUUUUGCAGAGGAAACUGUCCGGUCUCCCUGCAACACAGAUGCUUCUCAUGGUAAUGGCUGGUCGGUAUUUAUCUCUCUAGGUUUUCUUUAAUAAUUUAAUUUUGCAGUUUCAGAGAUACUGUGUUAAGCUUCAUAAGAAGCUUUGUUGCAGUCAUUUUGAUGUAACUGGUAGGAUUAGCAUACUUUAUCUUGUCAUCCAUGGAUUUUUGGGGUAGUCAAACAUGCUAUAACCAAAACUAUUUCAUAAUUCUGUUGUAUUUAGGUGAUGAUGCCUAUGGAAAUUCUGAGGAACAGAGAAAGGAACCUGUGGAAGAGACCUAUAAAGAGAAUCCCCCUGGCAGUAGUGCUAAACGGACUCAUGAUGGUGGCAGUGCCCAGCGAGAAGACAAGGUUUCCACAAACGAUGAUUAUUUUAUGUCUUUUACCAUAUUGGUUUAAGCUCAAACAUGAGAACUAUCAGCGAUGCGCCUCUUCAUUUAUAUUUGCUUUUUUUUUUUUGGAAAUGCAGAAUAUCCCAAGAAAUGAGGCUUGUCCAUGUGGUUCAAAAAAGAAAUACAGGUCCUGUUGCGGGUCGGGGACAGGGAAAAUCUCUGCAAUUUCCAAGUAUUUCUCAUUCUUUCUGUGCUUUAUAUGUCAAGUGAUAGUUUAAGCUUGUCUUUUGUUGGAAGUAUUUUUUCUGUUUCCCAGUGAUUGGAGUAGAUACUUAUCUUGAAAGUUUAUGGCUUAUGUAUCCAACAUGGUAUCAAUUACCUUCCUUAAAUUCAAGUCUGGAACAUUUUGUCACCCCUGUGCUUUGUUGAAUAAUGUGUACACUUUGGAAAAAAGUUCAGACAUGAGUAAUUUGAAUUUAUACUUGCAAAAACAAAGACAGCAGUGAAGAUUUCUCCUUUUUUAUGUCUAAAUGUUGUUUUGCAGUGAUCAAGCUCUUGAAUCCAGAAAAAGUAGAAAGGAAAAGAAGCGAGGCAAGAGAGGGUCUGACACAUCCGCACUUUCUAUUGGAUCUGAUGGAGGGCCACCUGAUGUUGGGGCUCUUUGUAUCCGAUCUUUUGCCAGUUUGUGUGCACAAUCAUCUAUUGAAUUCAGAUAUGAGUAUGUGUGCAGUCUUUCAAAUAUUAGGUUAGAUUAGAUACAAUUUUUUUCUAUCUAUAUUUGCAUGUAUUUGAUGCAUGCAUCUCUUCUUCGAUCUUUGGGAUAAGUGCACUUUCUAGUUAUCCACCUGUUACCAAAUUUAGAAAGAUCUACAGUUACAAAGAUUUUUCAAUGGUGUCACUUUUAUUGGAUAGUUUGCCCGUCUGGUGCACAUAAUUCAUGCGCAUGCACGUAACACCUACCCCAGUAGAUUUGUUGGCACAGGUGUAGGUCAGUUUCGUCAGCAACCAAAGGGGAAAGAAGAUAAGGAAAUUCAGUUAUUGGAUUGCUGUCCCGGGGCUAAACCUUUUCAUGAAUAUAAAAGAGACGUUCACAUGAAUUUGACAAGUGAUGGUUUCCAAAGUAUUGGUUUUGCUGUAUUGGUAGUUUGGGGUUCCUGUGAAGAUGUUUUUCUUUUUCUUUAUAUUUCUUUGAUAAGAAAUACACUAAGCAUUUGCGCACACAACUUCUUGUAAUUGAUGAAAGAUUUGUAGAUCCAAAAUACACUUCAAGCUCCAUCUACAAGGAUCCGAAUGCAAUCCUUUCGCAGUUGGAGAUGACACAGAUAUUACAUAUGCUACCUCCUCCAUUCAAAUUGGUGCAGAUUUCUAAGAUUAAAUAACUUUGUUAUUUUGGCAAAUAAAUGUGUCUUAGAGAUCUUUUGUUGGUUGUCAUUAGUUAUUAUAUCAUCAUAACAUCAUUUAGACCAAUUAUUGUCUCCAAAGCCCAUAAGUGAUGGAUAAUGUGUAGAUAUCAUGAGCAUCGGCAAAGUUUUAGCAGUAGAUUUUCCAGUUAUCCCACAAUUUAAAUUCUGAAUUUUUUCUCAUUGUUUUUGUGGAAUUGCAUUGUGUCAGAUGUGGCUUGUCCAAUCCUCAAGAAUCAAAACAAUCUUGCGGCUUCAUCAUCGCAUCCACGAUGGAGUUGGGAGAGAGUUGAAUCGUGAGCAGAAAACUGAUGCUGAAUGAAGAAUAACUUGAGCUUCUCCCUAGAGCGACUUAUUAGGUUACUUUGUUUUGUUGGCUUGCCUAAAAAAUAAAUCAUUUCAUUCUCUAUUAGCUGCAACGUAGAGCACACGUUAGUCUGAGGUUAUCCUGUCUUCAAAGACGGUCACCUUAUUAUUCUUGUAGACUACUUUCUCCUAAAAUGGGGAUAUAAAAAAUCCGUACAUUUUCAUCUAAAAGCUUAAUAAGCUUCAGAUCUUGCAUGGUGAUGCUGCUCUAAUAAUUUAGGGAGUUAAGCGAUCGGUUGAGCUAAUAAAACUCCACGUGUAGAUUAAUUAAUUCCAUGUAACAAGUCAAAUACACUUGAUACUUUUGCAAGAUAGCAAGGUGUGCCUUGUGAGCCCCAUUUUCAUUCAAAUGGGGAUCCAACAUAUGGGAGGGCAUAGUGCUAAAUGAUAUGGGAGAAUGAAGACAUCACGAGAACUUUAAUGCGAUAAAAGCAUCUUCAGCUUGGCCUACACCGUGAUGUUCUGUGGAUGUCUAGGCCGGUAAGUGGACUUUUCCCAUCAUGUGCCGUUGUCGAACAAGUUUGUUCAACCUGCUUCUUCAUCGUCCUUGAGAAGAUGGUCUCUAAACGCCAGUUGACCAAACCUAGGUCCCUUCCAUGAGAUAAGUUUACCUAGCCACUAACUCAGUGUCUAGUAUAACAGACUUUCUUAUUAAAUACUUCGAUAAAGUUCUGAUUUACAAUAAUCCAUAUAGCUGUUAGCCAUGUAUUUAAGGUCUAUCUUGUGGUUAUGUUCAAACUUUUUGUAUUAUGAAUUGAGAACUUGAACAGUAAAUACAUGAUGCGUUGUUUUUAAAUCUUUGGUCCAUUGAUUUUGUAGAUUGGCUCUGCCGGGUUCAUUCCAAUAUGAGUAUCGAAGGGCCGGUAUUAGAUCAACGAUAGUUUAGUUGGAAUAUAGAUAGUGUAAGAGGAUGAUCAGUGAGGAGUGCUAAUCAAGUUUAGAAUCACCCCAAAAAAGAGGUGUGUUAGUACAAGGGACAAGGUCAUGAUGUUAUACGACGCAGUAGGGACGUGUGGUGCAGCAAGCAAAUCAAUUUCAAAAUUUAAGCAUCAAGUAAGACGACCGGCAUUUUAUCAUAUCAAUAUAAUUGGCCGGUCAUAUUAUGUUAGUUGUUAGCGAUGUGACUAUUGAAUAAAAUAUUUUUCUCAAACAAGGGGAUAGUCUCUUGAAAGGUUUUCGAAUGCUAUAACUUGCAAGCUUGUGAGAACUUUGAGGAAACCUACUCCCUUUGAAGAAAUGCUACUCAUCAUCAUCUAAAGUUGCAAGGACUUUCUAGCAAGUACCACUGUUGACAUGCACGUAGUAGUUACUAAAUAUCCAUACCAUCUCUUACAAAGAAGGAAUUUACUAUUCUAUUGGAUAAUUUCUAAGUGGUAGGAUCAUCAAGAUAUAAACUCUACAAUCAAAUUACUAACCUUAAAAAAAGUUACUAACUAUAGGCGUAGCGAUGAUCAUGAGGACCCCAGGGGACUUAUGACCAUCGGAAAAAUAAUUACAAUGUACAAAUACUAUCAGUUACAAAUAAAGAGGGAAACUGCUGUAUCAAUGGAGAAUUGCAAAAUGAUAGCACCCUCAACUUAAGAAUAAUGAAUAGAUGCUCACGAUGGAAAGUUAAUAAUCAUAGGCACAGUAUUACUUUCAAGGAUUUCAGGUGAUUUACAAUUGUUCUAGAAUAUUUACUGAGAAAUGUUGUCAUUUAUUAUGACUAUUUGAUGAAAUUUACUAUAUUAAGUUGGAGUUUACUAACGACAAAGAUUAACGUUUGGGCAUGACAAAGAUUAUUCUUUGGCAAAGGACAAAGAUCAACAUAUGGGUCUAACAGGAAUAUGUAUAAAAACACGUAAGUAGUGCCGCAAGCCUUUUCUGCUUCUCCUACAAACUGCAUGAAAAAACCUUGAAAUUGCCCAAGCAAGGGAAAUGAUCCUGGGAAAUAAAAUAUUAAUACGGUUUCAAAAGGGAUAGAGCACAGUAGAAGUCCUAAAAUUUGCUGUAAAAAUGGAAUCAAGUCUUACAACUUCAAAAAAAAAUUACAAUCAAGUCCAAAAACUUAUCUAAUUAGUACAAUAAAAAACUUCCGUCAACUCUGUCCAAUUUGAGCAUCGGAAAAUACUAGCAUGUCAUCUUUUGAUAUGUUUUGAGUACACAUGCCGGAGACACUCGAGCUAGACGAGGUGCCCCGUUCUAAUGAAUUGAAGUGUCUUGUUUGCCAAUUCACCCUCUAUCCCUUCACAUUAAUUUGAAUAGGGCAUGAGAGAUUGAAUUGAUCGCCAUCCGUUACUCCAUCAACAAGACAGAUGUCCAGCCAAUACUACUUCACUUGCCUCUUCCUGAUAGAAUUGAUCGCCAUCCGUUACUCCAUCAACAAGACAGAUGUCCAGUUCCUAAUUUGUUUCGCUGGUUUCUUAAUGACAGCUUUCCUUAAGAGCUGCGAGCCAAUACUACUUCACUUGCCUCUUCCUGAUAGAUCUUUCAUAUGCCUCCAGUUCCUCCAUUCGACGCGGGAGAAAUUUGCGUAGGAACUCUCUAAACUCUAAUUCCCAAAGUGAAGCUGGAUCUACUAAUUGAUUGUCUUCAAGCACAGCCUUCAAUUCAUUAUCCAGUUGCUUGCAUCUUAGCACAUAUCCCAACUUUUCCAUGGUUCCACCCGACACUAUGAGUGUAAGGCUAAAUCGUAAGUAAUCCUCGUCAAAUUCAAGAAAAUCAACUGCUCCCUCCAACAUUCCCCACAACACAUUUGGUUUGAGAUACUGAAUCCAUAUGUGACCCGAAUCAAAUGAACCAAGAGUUCCUGAUAGCACAUUCCGUCUUUGGCCGUUAAUGUGGGGCACGAUGUUGAAAAAUAUUUCCUUUUCUCCAUUUUCUACAUUGAAAACAACACAGAGAACCAAUCCCAAGAACUUAUCAUAAAAGUCCUCUGAAACCAUGAAAGAUAUGGUACCGCCUUCAACAGAGACGAACUCCUCUGGCAUAUCUCCUCCGGGAAUAAUAUUUUUGUAGGAAGUAUGAAUUCCGGAAUAGCGGUACUUCUGCUAUAACGGUAAAUUGUUAGACGUACUCAAAUUGAUAAUGAGUUCAAAUAGAAGAGUUUGAUUUGAGAGUUUUUCUUGUAAUUUAACUAAAGCUAGAGUUUUAUAAUAAAUAAACAUGUUAGAUCCUUCCUUGCCUUAUAUGUAACACUCAUGAAAUCAUUCACUUGCGAGUUUUGUAGCACCUGUAUUACAUGUAACUGUAGAAUCACUUUAUGUUAGAUUUGCUCGUUUGUACAGAAUUUUCAGUUUUUGCAUUAUACAAACACAGUGCGCCCCCCAUCCGCUCCAACAAAUCAACACAUGCACUUAUGAAUGCGCGCGCAUCUGGACGGAGAGAGAGAGAGAGAGAGAGAGAUACCUCAACUGAAAAGUCAGCCAUGAUAUCGGCGGGAUGGGAUCCACCCCGGGUAGCGUCGUCUUCUUCUAUUUCACUUUCACGGUCUUCCUCUGAACUUGUCAUAUUGUUAUCUUCAUGGGUCCGCCACCGCUAUUACAUAUAGGUGCAAAAUCACAAUAUAUUAGCUUGUUUUGUUUACCAGCAUUUGCAGCUUUUGCAUUAUACAAACUCAAUGCACCCAUAUCAAUCAAACACACACACAUCACAAUCGCGGGGAGGGAGGGAGGGACACCUGAAGUGAGAGAUGGGCCGAACUUUCUUCCUCUGUGGUUGUUUCUUUAUUGUCAUGCCCAAUCUCAUAGAGCAAAGCUGGAUUUAGCAACUGGUUGUCUUGAUACAAAGUCUCCGAAUCGUCCUCUAGCGGCUUGCAUAGUAAUCGAAAUCCGCACUUUUUUACAAUUGCAUCACCUGAUGAUCUAACACCAAACUGGAAAGAACUCGAGUCAUUUGGACCAAAAGGGUCUACUCCCCAUAGAUUCUCCAUUUCAAGAUACGAAAUUUGUACAUGAUCUGAAUGCCAUGGACAAUAUAUGCCUCCACACUUAGGCGUUCUUUUGCCAUUAAUGUAGGGAAAGAAUAACAAAUGGCCCUCUUGUUUGCCUUGCUUUGCUUGAUAUACAGUGCAGAUAGCUAAUACCAAGAACUUCUUAUACAAGUCUUUUGAAAGCCAUGAAAGAUAUAUAACCCUCUUUAUUCGGGAGCAACCAUUGCGGCAUCUCUCCUCCAGUCAGAAAAGUUUGGCAAAACGAAUUGGACAAAAGGGUCUGUCAAAGAUGUAAAUUGUUAAGACAGUAUUUCGAAUUUGGCACUUGAAAAUGAGAAGUUUCAAUGAGUUAAGUGGGUUGACGAGUUUAGAUAUGGUUAACAAUAUAUGUACAUGACUCUGCAUUAAUCCACCGGUUCGGGGGGGGGGGGGAGGGUGUUGAGGAGGGGAGGGGAAAAAAGACAGAGUCUAACCUUAUGAAGGACUGGGUCAUGACAUAAUAAGUCAAUAUGGUUAGCGGCCCAUAUGUCAGAGUGAAUUUUACCUAGAGAUUCACAAUUCCCUGCGACCAAAACCUGCAAUUGCCCUGGCAUCUUACCAAUCUCUUGUAGCUGUCGGCAUUCUGAAACAACCAAUGUGCGUAAAUUAUGUAGCCGCCUGCAUGUUGGAAGCUUAGCAAAAUUGUUUUUGGACAAAUACAAUUCUGUUAAGUACGGAAAACAUGAAUUAUUCUCUAGGAACUCUACUUCUAGUAGAUUGCAUCCUUCAAGCCCUAAGAUCAGUAGCUUAGGAAAUCCCAUCUUGCCAUGCAGAACACUAAAAUCCCCCUCCUUUGGAAAUUUGAUUAGUUUUGAACAACCAUCAAGUAUCAAGCUCUCAAGAUUUGGCAACUUGUAAAUGGUAGAUGGGAGGUUUGCCAGUUUCUUGCAAUUAAUUAAACUCAAGUUCUCCAAAGAGACAAGAUUUUCUAUGGAAGUAGGAAGUUCCUCAAUUGAAGUCCCUUUUAAAUAAAGUUCUUUCAAGCCUUUGCUUUUAUCCGGAAUAUCAGGGAAUCUUUGCAACUUUGAGCAACCAGUAAGAUUGAGAAUUUCAAGAUUCUUGGAUUGGAGCACACUAGGGAGCUGAUGAAGGUUAGAGCACCCUUUUAAAUUCAACAAACGUAACUUGGCGUGAUAUGCAACCGAUUCGUGAGCACGCUCCAAAUUUUUGCAUCCAUGGAGAUCCAGUUCCUUGAGAUUUGGAGUCAAAUUGAGGUCCGGCAUACAAUCCAACGAUGGACACUCACUGAUAUUAAGGUACUUCAAAUUUCCAAAGUCCUACAAGAAACAAAAUGGAAACAAAAAAUGAAGAUAGAAAUAUUUAAUGAAAAACACUUUGGAUCAUCAUUCAAGCCUAGUGUGAUCAGAAAUUAGUUGAUCCUAUGACGUAUAUAGAGCACUCCCUCUCCCUUUUUACAUGAGUUUAUUGAGUGAUCCUUGGCCAAAAGAGAAGAUAAAACAAGAAUAACACUCGUAAUUCCAGUACAUGCUAGAUGAUCUUUAUGAGGAGUUUUAGCAGAAAACAUCUAACACAUUGGGAUAUGUUAUUGGUUCAAGCCGAAUUUGCAUAUAAUAAUUCGAUGAGUCAACCUAUUGGAAAAUGCCAAUUUGAUGUUGUGUAACAAAAGCAUCUUUUAAGUCCUUUGGAUCUUACACCAUUAUCCUCCUAUAAUAUGAAGAAAGAGCUAGGACAAUAAGUUACAUGAGGAAGUAAGGAUCCCGGUCGAGCAAAAAGAAACAUAGAAAAGCCUACUGUUUUUGAAGAAGGUGAUCUUGUCUGGAAUUCAUUUGAGAAGAACACUUUCCACCUAGUUGUCGUGCUACGGAUCGUUCCUUUCUAGUUUUGGAAACAAUAAUGCCCCCAAAAGUGAGCUUUGUGGAGCGAAUGGCAUUUCCACUAGUUUCAAUGUUGUUAAUCUAUCUCUAUGAAGUUGGCCUCGAGGAGAAGUCUUUUCAAGAUUUCAAGAUUCUCUCUUGUGAUUAGAAUAAUAGGGAUAAUAUAUAUUUUCUUGAUCUGUGAGACUGUUUAUACUUUUUAGGAUUGCUUUAGUCUUGAUUACAAUGUGAUAGUUUUGUAACUUGUUUGAAUUUCGUAUUUUAGGUUCAUUUUUCUUUACUUGGAGGUUACUCAAAGGUAUUUUAGGCUCCUACUUAUAAGUGCCCUCUCGGUUUCUCAUAGUAAACACAAUGAAUUUAUUAAAUGAAGUUCCAUUCUAUCUUUUUCUCUGUCUUUCUCUCUGUCCUUUUGGGGGAUUCAUGAGUGAUCAAGAGAGUGCUGCAUCCUACUAAGGUGGUGAUUUGACUGAGGGAGACCUAGAUUAUGUAGUCUCUUCCUGUCCUCCAGAGUGGGGUUUUUCCACUUCAUUAAGAUUGAAAAACCCCUUUUAUUUAAUUGUUCGUUCAACACAUUCCGACGUUAGUCUGGCCGACGAGCAUGACAGCAAAACUGAAAGCCCACGAAGUUUGUCUCAUUCGAGGCAAAUGAAGUAAAAACUAUAAGAGUACGCACAAGAUUUGAAAAAAAAUUGAUAUUUGAAAAAUUGAGCAAAACCACCAAAUUAGAAAUAUUGAAUGGAAAGAGAUUGUUGGUAAAUACACAAUACACAAACAUAGAAUAUACGUAGGAUAUUUCAAAAUUAAAAUUUGCAAUAAGAAACUUGUUGUAGGUUUAGAAAAGAUUAAAAUUUAGAUUAUGAAACAUGCGAGAGAUCAAAUAAAUUAAUAGUUUAAGCACCUCUACGAAUAUUAUAUUUGUAAAAUAAGUAAUCGAGACAUUUUGGGGAAGAGAUUAAAUUAAAAUCCUGUGGAAGGUCACCUUUACCUUGUACAGUAGUAUAAAUAUAAUUAAUACAUACAUAAAUAACUUUAGAUUAGAUUUAGGUUUAAAUAUACUUAAAUUAGCAAAGCAAGCCCCUUACUUCUCUUUAGAAAGCCUUAUUAGUCAUGCGUGCAAGCCAUGUCGCGUUACUAGCGUCCUAGAUGUGGUGCGCUAGCGCCUCUAUAAAGUAAGACUCUUCCAUGGAAUUGUACUCCACAGGCCUUGAUUUAAAAAGCGGGAGAAGGAAUGGCUGGUCAAUCUAUCUCCCCUAAGAGUUGCUUUUCAUCCUGUGAUUCCUUACUUAGGAAUAAGUGGAGUAAGGGCGCAACUGAAUGGCCCGACUGAAAGGAAAGGAGUAAAACGUGUUACGUACUUGGAAGGAGAAGGAGAAGUAUAAACUCUCAGUUAUAUUUGAAAAUGAAUAUUUUAUCCAUAAAGAUGAAGAUAACUUUCUUGGAGUUCCGCUUAUUCCUCCUCCUAAAAAUAAAGAAGUACUUGCCAGAAAUCUCUAGUUAGGUCGGUACAAUAAAAAGAGACGGGACUUUUGGGGCUGACUUACAGUACAGACUUAACUCCUUUAAAGAUCUUUUAUUGCAUUAUUUCUAUAUAUCUCUUUUCAUUAUCGGCUGCAUUCUAUUAUAGAAACAACAACAUGAGGUUCAAUCAAAAGUACUUAGCAUGCAUUCGCUUCAAUGAUAAAGCAAAUAAACAAGAAAAAUCUCAUUCUAUUUUCAUAUGCAAUUUAGAAAAGAAUCUAGUAAGCUCGUCUCUUAUAUAAAAUAUAGAAUCUUUGAUAACAUUUUCAGUAUUGAUCACUUCAAAGGCAUACAAAUUGAAUCCUCAGUUCAUGUUUAUUAAAGUACUAAGCACAUUUAUCAUUCAAUUGUUAAAUUAUGUCAUCAAUAAGUUCUUGUUCCAGUUUUCGGUAUUAAAGUUACUGACCGCAUAUGUUGCAUUCAGAGUUUUCAAUAAUUCAUAUACAUAUCCAUAAUCGUAUGCAUACAAAUAUAGAUAUAUAAGAGAUAAGUAAAGAAAGACAAUUAAUUUUAAAUGCGCACCUUGAAUUGCUCCCUCACGACUUGGAUGUUGGUUUUGUGCAGAUCAAGCCCAACCAACUUAUUUGGACAAGAGGAAAAUUCGGGAAACCAAGGAUAUCCAGGCCAUUCAUACCAUCUCAGUUCAUUAGGAAGACAGAUAGGACCUUGGAAAGAGUUAUGCACAUUAAUCAUGAUGAGCAACCUCAACCUUCUCAUGUUUGUGAAAGCAUUGCGACCUAUGUAUAUUGCUUCUGUCUUGGGUAAAACCAAAACUAUGGCUUCUACUGCAUUUGUUCCCUGCAUUUGUAGAACUUGCAUUGCAAUUAGUACACGAAGUCAGAGAAGAAGAGAGUAAAAUCAGUGUUUAAACCACCAAAACUUACCAUAUCCCUUGAUAGAACAUCACAGACGUCUUCACAAAGCCAUAACCUGCUGCGUCUUCCAGGAUCAUUGCGACAUUCUUGUUUAACAAUAUCCAUGCCCAUCAACUGAAUCAAGUCAUGCAUCUGUACUGUCUCCCUUUCUUUAGUUAUUAAUGACUUCUCAACAAGAACUUGUACUCCAAUCAUUGUGUCAAAGUCACAACUGUCAAGGACUUUUAUAAUAUACUCCAUAGAUCGCCCCUUGAAGAAACAUGCAAUAUCAAGGAAUAUUUCCUUUGCAUAGUCCUCUAGUCCAUCGAAACUUAACUUGAGAACAUCAUUGAUGUUUUUGUCAGGAUUUUUGGCAAGUUUAUUCAAUGCGCUUUCCCACUGCUGUUCUGUUCUACAACAUAGGAAAGUGCCCAACACCACAAGUGCUAAAGGAAGUCCAUUAGCAUAAUGCAAAGCACUAUCCACAAGAUCCCUACUUAUCACUAUUUCCUCACUUCCAAGAAAAGCAUGUUUAUUGAAAAGUUCAAGAGCUUCCAAAUCAUCUAGAUUUUUAACUUCAUAGAUAUGAUCUUUACCCAUCCCAAGGACAGUUAAUAGAUGGCUAUCUCUCGUAGUAAUGAUGAUUCUGCUUCCUUUACCAAACCAUUCACACUCUCCAGCUAAAGCAUUUAAUUGUUUUAUGUCAUUCACAUCAUCAAGAAGGAGGAGGACUCUUUUCCGGCAAAGUCUAUGUUGCAUCAAAUUAAUACCUCCAUCAACACUAAACACUGUUAACUCUUUUCCCACUAACUCGGACAACAAUUUUUCUUGCAAGGGAACUAAAUCCUUGGAAUCUUUUGAAGUUUCACGAAUGUUUGCCAAAAAACAUGAAGCCUCAAAUCCUCUAAAUAUAUCAUUGUAAAGGGCUUUGGCUAAUGUUGUUUUUCCUAUGCCUCCUUGUCCCCAUAAUCCUAUCAUGACAACAUCAUCACGAGACUCGAGAUUUAACAUUGAUUUCAGCUUUACCACUUGUUGAGGUAUUCCAACCGGAUGCUUGGCAACGUGUAACGGUGUUCGGUCUAGCUGCAUAGAGAUCUGCUGCACAAUUCUCUUGAUAAGAUCCGCUUCCGCUUCAUCUCUGAAAAAAUCCAGAAAGGUACUUGAUACAUCAAUUUCCAAAGAUAAUUAACUUUCAUGGAAAAAAAACAGAAGAGAUUCAGCAUAUACAAAAGAAAUAACAAAGCAGUGUCACAUCAAUCACUACUUGGUACUUACUUAUCCUUCAAAUCCCACCCGGACAAGCUACCCGCAUCAAAGAGAGCGUUUUUCCAUCUCUUCACUUCAUCCGAAUCUCUCCCAAACUUUCUCUCAUGCUCAACCAUAGCUUUUUCGUAGCUCUCUCUUGGUGUUCUCACUUCUCCGGGAUCCACUUUGUAAAACACCGGAAAUACUGUGAGGUCUCUUUGCUUCUUGCACUCCAUGAUUUUCGCUACCUCUUCCAAACACCACCGCGAGGAAGCAUAGUUCUCGGAGAAAAUGAUGAUUGCGAUACGCGAGUCCUCAAUUGCCUUCAUAAGCGCCGGCUUUAUACAGUCGCCUUUCUGAAGCUCCUCGCUAUCAAUGUAAGUGUAGAAUCCUUUUUGAUCAAGAGCAGCAUAGAAAUGACUGAGGAAGCUCUUUCGAACGUCCGGACCUCUGAAACUCAGGAAGACGUCAUAAUUCCCUUUCAGAUCUGAAGAAGCAGCCAUUAGAGGAGAUGAAGUUUGAUGUGCUUCCUCAGAAUGCUUAGUGUCUGGUCGGGUUGCAGCUUUCUCUCUCAUGUGGAUAUCACUUUGUACUAACAAAGAAAUAGAAACGAAAACCAAGAUCAUUUCUGAUGCUUCGAGUCGAUAUGCAUAGUCUCCAACAGCUAAUUUAACAAAAAGCAGCAUUUUGCAUAAGGUGCACGGAACCAUCUUAUAUAGGUGCUUCUUGACUUGACUUGCCUUUUCCAUUAAUAAAAGAAAUAGAAAAGAAAACUCGCAACACUCCCAUGCUCCUGGUGCUAAUAUACAUGAGUCAAUCGCAAAACACCGCUGUUGGAAUAUUAUUUAUAAUGAAAAAUCUGCCUUUUUUCUUUCGAAAGGGCUUCUACAAAAGCAAAUCCCAAAAUAAAUUUCCCUCACUUUUCAAACUAAACUUUUCCAUACCAUAUCUUGCAUCAAACGGAAGAAAUUUGAAUCUGUUCAGGCAUUUCUUCAAACACGUAGUGGGCAGCGAGUUGGAGAGAGAAUAUGGACCUAUACGGAGCUCGAGCUCACACUUAAACUCAAGAGAAAUCAGCAAGCAACGUUCAAACUUAAGAAAAACCGAGUCAUUCAGAUCCGACGCGAGUGAGGACUAAAGAAAUCGAGCUUGCUUUGGUCUUUUAAAAUCAAGCAGGACGAGGCAAAAAAAGAAGAAGGAACGAGCAUUCAAUCAUGGGGCCCCUACCUGGCUUGGAUUCCGUGGCCAUCGUCGGCGGCGAAGGUUGAGAAUAGCGACUCCAAACUCGUGUCCGGCUUCAGUCGACUCCACCGAGGUCAGGGACCGCGACGACGAAUGACAGCGGGCGGAGGAUGUUCGGGAGGUGGCGGACGACGUCGAUCGGCGGUGGCUCCGAGGUUUUGUGUGGGGCUUCAAUGGCGACCGUUCCCCGAGUAGAGAAAGACCAAGAUUCUUUUUUUUUUUCGUGAGAGUAAAGAAGUAGAUGAGGGUGAAGGAGUGAGGUAGGGUUCCGGGAAUGGGAUGCGAGAGCAGUGGCCGGCAGGAGGUAGUCGGACGGAGAUGGAGGAGGUGGCUGGUCGGUUGAGUUCAGGAGAAAGGGUGAGGAAUGCCCUUUUUUUCUUUUCCAGAAAAAUGUCCCUGAAGAUGGUGCUCUCCUCUUCCUCCCUUUUCGUGAACACCCUUGCCUUUCUUUUUUUCUUUUUCUUUUUAAUGGGAAAUUGUGUCUUUUUGAGAGAGAGCGUGAGAGAUUCCUAGAAAGAACUUCCCUUUCAGAUUCGAAGAAGCGGCUAUUAUGGAAGAUGAACGUUGAUGUGCUUGCGCAGAAUGCUUACCGUCUGGUUGGGUUGCAGCUUUAUCUCUCCGGUGUAUAUCACUUCGUUCUUUUUUACCAUGACUUUCUCGAAUCACGCGGCAGUGAUAAUCAAAGAAAGCCAUAGAAAAGAAAGUAAAGGUCAAUUAUUGCACGCUUAAUUUCCGGGAAGGUGCAUGAAAUUUGCGCGUCCUUUCUUUCUUUUCCUCUGUCGACUUACUUGACUUGCUUGACUUGCUUUUUCUACUAAUAAAGAAAUAGAAACAAAAACCAACGAAUCAUUUCUGAUGCUCCCUUGUCGGCAAGCAUAUUGUCCGCAAGUAAUUUAAUAAAAAGCAACAUUUUGCAGAAGGGGCGAGGAACCAUCCCAUAUAGUGCUUCUCGACUUGACUUGCAUUUUUCAUAAAUUAAAGAAAUAAAAAAUAGAAUUAGUUAUGCUCCCAUGCCCUUAGUGCUAAUAUACAUGAGUCAAUCGCAGAAACAUCGCCUGUUAGAAUAUUAUUUAUAAUGAACAAUCUGGCUUCUUUCUUUCAUAAUAGAUUCUAGACAAACAAAUCUCAAAAUAAAUUUUCCUCACUUUUCAUACUAAAUUUUUCUAUACCAUAUUUUGCCUAACAGUGCAAAUGAUAAAAUUUCUACUUCUCUAUUUCUCUAUUUCUCUGUUUCCUGGAAUAUGUUUGAAAUCGAAAUCCGUUUAGUAAUGUAAUUUAAUUUUUCUAUUUCUGGAACAGAUUUCUAUUCCAUAAAUAGAUUUGAAAAAGAAAUCAUAAGUUAAAAUUUUUAACUUCUCAAUUUCUGAAAUAGAAAUUGAGAAAUCAAUUUAUGGCCAGAAAUCAAAUUCUGUUCUAGAAAUUUUGUCAUACGCACCAUAAAGAUUAUUGAGUCAUCACCCCCUCAGCCUAGUCACUUUAAUCUUACUCCUUAAUUUUUUUUUUCAGCAUUUUACAUUUAUUUUAUACUUUUAAUGUCACAUUUAAGAUUUCUUAGCUAACAGGUUAGGAAAAUGCUUUCGUGACCAUCGACUACAGAAUGACAGUAGAACUGUCAAAGGCCAGCCACAUAUCCUUUUGGAGGAAACCAGUGGACUUCUUGAACCAAAUUAAUCAUUGACUCCAUGUUUUGUUCUUCAUUUUUUUCUCUUUUUUUUUUUUUUGACUUCUAUGUUCCUUACGGCAACCUCAAAUUUCAGAGACAAAUAUUAUAAGGUCACAUUGAAUCAUUUUUCUUGAAGAUUAUGACUUUCAUUUGUUUCUUUAAAUAAGAUGAAGAAGAAAUAUUCUAAUUGUUAAUGCUGACAAGCUUUAAUGAUAAAGGUAACCUCGACCACGAUGAUAUCGACAACGUUGGCUGCCAGAAGGGGCUGGACUCCUCGCUCAGGCCAACUAAGCUUCUGCUUCCCAGCCUAGUCAUAUUUCUUUUCGUCAUAUCGGCCUAGUUAGGCAAAGGCAUAUUUAUCUUUUAAGAAAAGAGAUCAGUCUAUGUUAGUUUCUAUUCCAAUCCUUCAACGCCAUGCGAAAGGCUUUGAACCUUUGGCGGAGGUGGGCAGCCCGCUCCAUUGGUGGCUGAGAAGAGAUGUGUUGAGAAAAGAAGUAUGCACCAAUGUGUCAAGACCUUGUUUAUCCAGUGAAAAAGCUAUCAAUCUACGCGGUUUGCUAAAUCCGAAUUACCUGAUCAGAUGUUUCUUCACUCACAUUUCAUUUUAAAUUAAAACAUAUUUUUUUCCUAUCUCAAUAUUCGUUACUAGGGCAAUUUUCUUUUUCUUUCGGGAGACAAGAGGGGGGUUGAAGGCGAUUUGGUUUGCUUGCCCUAUGCAAGAGCUCCUUUUCUGCGUGAACAAGUUCUGCACGAACAAGACUCAGUUGUUCAUCAAAUUUACGAAAUUAUCGCACAAGUUAUGCUCUUCAGUUAAGUAUACCGCCAUUAUUCCAUUAUUUCUGUUUACCGGGCCAAGAUCUUUACAAAUCAAAGCGAUUGAACAAAUUGCUCACCCUUCUGGGGAAGGUUUGCUCUCAGUCUCCUAUUUUGGUUUCUCUUGGCCUUCUAUAGCUUCUCCUUUAACUGUCUUCAAUGCCGCAUAUGAAAAUCUCAGCCUCAGCCUCAGCCUCAGUGGCUCUAAGAUUCACUCCUUUAUGUUUGGAUUCUGAUAGAACAUAUUCUGUGAACACCAACAGUUUUCCAUGGCAUGUAAUCUUCCUCAUGCAGAGAAAUUUCCUACACAUGCUGGAUCCAUUGCAAGUGUUUUCCAUGUCUUAUGCUUCUGUCUAAUUAAUGUUUCUUAUCGGAGGUGAAGAUAGAAGAAGGGAAAAUUAUUGAUCGGAGGGACGAAUCCCAACCCUCGGUUGGCGGGGGUGCUAGACGCCCGCUUCAUAUUGCAUGCUUAACAUGAAAUGAAUUGCUCAACCGUGCUGCUAGGCAUCUUGCAUUGAGGAAUUCCACUUUCAAUGCCGUAGGUGACAAGCCCUACAAGCUAAGCGCUGACGCAUUUGCUGACAUAACCAACGACGAGUUUAAGGACCGCUAGGACCGGUAAAAGUGCUUUUUUUUUUUUUUUGGUAAAGGUAAUUAUAUAAAUAGGGAAAGCCAAAAUACACAGAAAUCGACCCCAAGAACUUUCACUCAUAAUGCGAACAUGCAGGAUGAGUGGAAGGGAGCCGAAAUAAAAGAAAGAGAACACAGAAGCAAAAAACACAGCUGAACAAACAGCAAUACAAGCCUAGGCAAAACGCCACAAGGCAGAGAAAUAACAUAGCAAACCACCUAACUAGGUAAGAUGAGUGUUGCUUUCGUCAAAAACAUAAGGGUUAAAACCCCACCCACACUGAAGCUGCCUGUUUGUAUGGUUGUCCGGCAGCUUGCUAAAGGUAAGAACUUUAUCCUUAACAACUUUGAUAAGGAGCUUCUUCAAAGCAGAGACCUCCAGCACUUUGCCACGAAAGAUGAUGUUGUUCCUUUUCUUUCAGAUUAAGUGGCACAAGGCUCCAAAAGAAAAUCGGGCAAUGGAGUGGAAAAAAUCCCUACCAUAGAGGAAUCUCAGGGCCCAACGGAUGGUCUUCGCCCAAGGCAUAUUAUGCCAAGGAAGAUUACACCACGCAGCCUAGAAAAAAGCAAGAGUCGCAGGGAUACGACAUUCGAAAAAGAGAUGAUCAAUCGAGCCCAGAGUAGCAUUACAAAAAGCACAUAAUUCAUAGCUGAUUUUGCCAUAAGAUCAUAGAAGAACCUGAGUAAAAAUGGAGGAAGAAAGGAGGUAAAAAUGCUUUGUUCAGGUAUGAGAAUGCAAAUGCGGUGCCUGCGGCUCUAGAAUGGAGGAAGAAAGGAGCUGUCAUGGGCAUCGAGGACCGAGAAAGUCAUUGUAAGGAAAAUAAAAUUGAUGUUUUGAUCCUACAGAUAUUCACGUUUACGUGUGUAAUCAAUGCAUAUUGCUAUUAUUUUCUAGGUCCAACACACAUGAUUUUUUUUUUUUUUGGUCAGUCUUACUCUAUUCCUACUUUACACUCACUCGCAGACUUAUGCCUUGCCUCCUGCAGGGCGUGGGAGUCGCAACCCACUCUCGAAACUUACGCGUCCCUACCCCCAUCCCCCCCUGAGGAGGUGAGGAUUUGAACCCCUCACCUCCCCCUUCCAUGUUGGAAGGGUGGCCACUGGGACGAACCCCCAGUGGUUGGUCCAACACACAUGAUCGAAUGAUCAUAGCUACGUGUAGUUAGUACAUUCCAAAUUUUCCAAUAGCAUUUACACUCUAUUUAUUUCGCGAAAUAUAAAUAAUUAUAUAUAUUUUUUUAAAUUAUCGCUUGAAAUAAUGAGUUAAUGAAAAAGAUAUUCAUCAUGCGCAAUGAUUUAUAUCUAAAUAUUUUCAUAAAUGGUAAAAUUUGUAUUUCCUAUUUAUUUAUAUAAGAGUUAUAAACGGCCAUUUUUAAUAAAUCAUUUAUUUCCACUAAAAAAAUGAGUCUCGGAUUAGUUGACUUCUUUGGCAUGUGUGAUUAUGCUGCCUCUCAAUUAAUCAAAUAGGAACUUGUUGGUCUUUCUCAACCGUGGCAGCCACCGAGGGCAUCCGCCAGCUACAAAGGGGGUGAGCUAACCUCCCUAUCGGAGCAAGAACUCGUAGAUUACGAUGUUAACGGCGAGGACCAAGGUUGCGAAGGUGGUCUCACGCAAUAUGGUUUUCAUUUCAUCAUAAACAGUGGAGGCCUCACUGUCGAGGCUAAUUAUUCCUACGACGGGAUAGACGGAACUUGCAAGACCGCAAAAGAAGCCUCCCACAUGGCUGAAAACCGCGGGCAACGAAGUCAUGCCUACCAACAACGAGGCCACGCUGUUGAAGCCCGUGGCAAAUCAUCCGGUGUUGGCGUCCAUUGAUGUCGGAGGGUGUAAUUUCCAAUUCUACUCCACCGCCGUCUCAAGACCGCGAGAUCAAUUUAAAUCACGCCAUAGUGGUGGUCGGCUAUGGUACGACAAGGCUGGUGAAGAACUAGCAUAAUUAAGUUGGUGAUGUGUUUUAUGGGCCAAGCCAUGUUGUGACAUAGUUGCAUAGUAAGUAAAAUCUAUGGAGGCAUAGUAAGUAAAAUCUGUCAAGGCCCAAGCUGGUGAUGUGUUUUAUGGACCAAGAAAUGUUGUCUUAUAUGGGUCGAGGCCCAUACCUCUGUUUUGUGUUUUUGUAGCCCAAGGCCAUCGUUUCUACGCAAUUCCACUGUCUAUUUCUAGUUCCACAUCUCCUCCCCACAAAAAAAUUGUUUCUUCAGGAGAAACCUAGAGUGAAGGUGCGCAUUGUGGUGUAACAACGUGGCUCUGAUGCCAGCUUUUGUGGUUCAAUUCAAAGAAAAAGACUAGGGUUGAAGGGGAUGUUGGAGAUUUAAGUUGAGUUAUUUCGAAACAGAAGAAUAUCUAAAUUAAGAAUCUUAAAAGAAAGUAGGCCAAGCAACUUGACAAACAAAUGUCUUUCAGCUGGGCUGCACAAGUUGAUGGUUUUCCUUCGGUAGAACUUCACGACCAAUCUACAUGUCUAUGACACUCUACAGAGAUUAGUAUCUCAUGACCUAAAAGACCUUUUCUUCAACAGGGGUUUAGUGCAAUCAGCUUGUGAUUCAGUCCUAUGUGGCUAGGACCCUUAUGAGGCGAAUGUUAUACAAAUUGUUUAACAUGAGUAAAACUGGCCUCGUACUGCAAAUUUCGCCAUCAUCAGAAGUGAAUUGGAGAGUACUCAAUUCAUUUAAAAAAAGAAUAAACCUCGACUUACCAAUUAUCUCAGAUUUUAGAUAAAUACAUAUAAUGUUUAUUCAUAAUUGUCGUUCUGUGCUAAUUCUCGCAAAGAGACUACAAGAGCCAUCUUUGGCAGUCUUGAAACAACCAUCCACCUAAAAUAAGCUCGGUAUGCUUCGGCUUACACUAUAUAAAGGGGAAGAAGGGAUGCGUCCUCUGAGAAUUUUUGCCGCCAACAUUUUCUCUCGAUGAACUUGUGCCAUGUCAGUAGCAUGAUAAGGUAGCCUGCAUUUCACAGUGAUUUUUACUUGGUGUCAAAUGAUGCAAGCAUGCAAUGACUCGAAAGUUCAACUAGAAAUGAGGGCAAAAGAUGAACAGAAAAGGAAGGCAUGGUUAGUAAAAUUUACUGGUCAGUAGACCUCAUAGUUGCUCCCUCAAUUAAGUUGUGAUCAAUUCGACAACAAGAGUUGCAAGCUGACACUGGCAUAGUUUUUGGUGCCAUAGAACUCGGGGCCAUAGUAGUCUUGGUUCCGACGCCUUCUAGGAGCAUGAGCUUAUAAUUUUCCUUUGAUAGUGUUUGACUAUCGGUGAUCCUAUCCAUCUGACCAUCUUGCUGUACAAGCCGAUUAUCUUGAUACAGAUCUGUUUCACUUGGACCAUCUUCCUGUGUAAGUGUAUUCUCUUCCUCUAAAUCUGUUUGAUCAUCUUCCUCUGAGUUUGUGCUGGUUCAAGACAAUCCUGAUAAACCAAAUUUAACGCCAGUGACUGAUUGUCAUGAAACAAAGACCCUCGGAUCAUCCUCUUGUUGCUUGCAUAUUAGUCCGAACCCGCAGUUUCUUACUGUUCAAUUUGACGCCUCAAGACAACCCGAAAAUGACUCCCAUCAUUUCACAGGAGCUUUCUACUUCCCACAGCGUACUAUGCGAGGGAUGCUUGAGCAGCACAUGGUCCAUUCCUAAUUAAUAGAAGCAUCCUAUGUACCAAAUCACCUUUCGAUAGACCUUGCAAGAGAGGCUGAGCUCAACUCCCCCCUCCAAUCCAAAAACAAGAUGGACUGCUAAUUCUAGAAUUCUUCACACAUGUCCUGGGGUAUCAUGAAAGAUAUCAAAUCCUCUUUACCAUGGAGCCAUCAUUCCGGCAUCUAUCUUCCAGCAAUUACAAUGCGCGCUUUUCCCAUGUUAUGGAAUUCCUGGUUUGCAGGUAACAUCCAUAUCAAGAUAAAAAUAAGGUGGAGGGAGGGAGGUAUGGAGGGAGAGACUAACCUCAUGUAACGACACAUCUUCCACGUUCAACCCUAUGUGGAGUGGCUUGAUAAAUCCGGCACUUUUUUGGCAGAGAUUCGCAGCUAGCUGCUUUUAGGAUACAUGUACUUGAUGGAAGCUGUAGGAUUUCCAGUAGUUGCUCGCAUUUUCACCCUCGCGAUUCCUAUAAAUAAUCAUGCUCAAUGACGCAUGUUGGAAAGCUAGUAAGAUUGUUUCCACUUUCCAGAUACAUAUGGACAUUCCUGGUUGGAGAUAACAGGAAAGAUUGUUGAGGACCCUUAAUCCAGACAGAACACAGCCCCAAGGUCCAACCAAUUCAAAUUCUAAUGUCCAAUGUCCAUACAUGGUCAGUUAAAUCCCCCUGUUUGCUAUGGAAACUCGACAGGAUUAGAGCAACCUUUGAGAGUCGGGUACUCGAUGUUUCGCAACUCACGAACUCUUGCAUUUGUAGCCCUUUCUCUUCACCUGUCAAGGACUUAUUGACAACAAGAACAUGUACUUCAAUGACCGUAUGAAUAUUGCAGCAAUUAAGAACUUUCUUAAUGUAAUCAAUAGUCUGCCCCUCGAGGAAACUGACUAUAUCGAGAAAAAUCUCCUUUGCGUAUCCUCCAGCCAGGCCAUCUUAAGCGCAUCAUUGAUGCUUUUUUUUAGGAGUUUUGAUAAGUUUAUUCAGUGCACGUCCCAUUCACCUCCUCUUCUACUGCACAAAAUGGAACCCAGACACCUCGAGAGCAAAAGGAAGGCUUUUAGCAUUAUCAUUAUGCAAAAUGGUAUCCCUUAAGAUUCCUCUUUAUUUCUAAGUUCUCGCCCCUUAGAAAAGCUACUUACUGAAAAGUUCAAGGGCCUGUCAUCUAUAAGAGCUUCAACCAAAUAGAUUCAUCCCAACCUAUAAGUAAGAUGAUCCUUUUUCCCUAUACCAAACCACUCACAUCCUCCGACUAAAUCAUUUCAUCUGUCAUGCUAUCGACAUAGGGAAGAGUAUACAUCUAAAAAAUAUGCCUACGUCGAGUAUAGAUUAUUUCACCAGUGUGUCUAAAAAAUUCAAUUAAUGUUUGAUAACAUCACCGAAUCCAUCAUCUGUCCUAAUUAUGUACAUAAUCAGUUACUUCUUUAAUUGGAAAAUUACUGAUAAAGAAAGAGAUAAGAUGAAAAUAUUUUCUUUGUGCUUGCCAUUCUAAAAAUUAAUUGAUAAAACACAAAAACCGAUCCUAGAUUGAUAUUGUAAAAUUUCACAUAAAAAAAAAAACUGAACAACUAAAUAAAUUAUCUUUAAUAUCGAAUCCUAGGGACCAUCUAAUCUGAAAAUAAGAUUCGUACAAUUAUAGUAAAUUUUCGAUAACUCACGAUAAUUAUCCGUGAUAAUCGUGGCGCAACCGAUUGAUAAAAUUUGGAUAAACAUCGGGUCCUAAAAUUGGCGGCAGCAUUGGCGCCGUCGCCACCGCAGGGUCGGCCGCUAAAAUAUCUGUUUUCUCGAGCAAACAGAUAAAAGAAGAGUAUAAGAUCAUCUUCCUUCGUGUGUGCUGUCCGCUCUCGACGGUUUCUCCGAUCUCCGGCGGAAACCAGAGAACCUCUCUCUCUCUCUCUCACUUCGAGCAGAGACGCCUGCGAGCGAUGGACGCGCUCCUCUCUCCGCCGCUCUCGGUGCCUCUCUCACGCCUCCGCUCCGCCGCUUGUCCGGUUCACUGGCCGCCGCCGUCCGCCGUCCCAUCUGCCGGGCUCGGCCUCCUUCUCAAUCCGGCUUCAGUUUCAGCGAAUCGGGCUUCCGGUCCCUGCAAAUCGCCCGCUGUCGCUGCUGCCGCCAGCGGAGGCGCUCUCGCGGCCAAUCCCGUGCCGGUUCGCGCUCUCUCUCUCUCUCUCGUUUUGUGUUUCUAGUACUUGGCGCUUGCGAUCGGUUCGGAAUCUCUUGAUGUUGUUUGUGCUUCGUGAUUCUUUGGUGGAAUGUAUUUGUAAUCUCUCUUACUGGCGCUGUGCUUGUGAUGUGCAACCUCGGAUGAGUUUGAGUCGAUGGCGUUUGUUGGGAAGUCGAUUCUCUUGUUGCGGUUAUGAUCGUAUGACGUUGCAUUACAGGGGAUUAGCGAGUCUCUCUCGUUCAGCAAUCGCAAAAAGUUGCUUCCUUUAGUUCACUCAGCGUUGCAAAUGACUAUACUAAGGACAUGUUUGGUAACCAUCCAAACAGUGCCUGAUUUUGAUUUUUUAUUCUCAGAAUCAAUAUGGGACAAGAAUUGCAUUUGGUAAAAUUUUUGUUCCCAGGACCAAAUUUGUUGCCAGAAGAGAAUCAAGAAUAAAAAAAAAGUUGAUUCUAAUCAGAAAAAAGUUGCUUCCUUUAGUUCACUCAGCGUUGCAAAUGAUUAUAAUAAGGGCAAGUUUGGUAACCAUCCAAGCAGUGCAUGAUUUUGAUUUUUUAUUCUCAUAAUUAAUUUGAGACGAGAAUUACAUUUGGUAAAAUUUUUGUUCCCGGCACCAAAUUUGUUCCCGGAAACAGAUUGGGAAGAGAAUCAAGAAUAAAAAAAAAAAAAGUUGAUUCUUGUUUCAGGAACAAAAUUGAAAAUCAAAACUCUUCUUCUUCUCUUUUCUUCUUUUUCAUUGACCGCCAUCCCGCGACCGCCGCCCGCCACCUGCCGUCGUCUGUCGUCGUCGGUCGCCACCGGUCGCCGGCAACUGGUCCGACGAGCUCACUAGAGACUCUCGUCUGGCCUGAAAAAAAAAAGAAAAAAAGGAAAAAAGAAAAAGAAAAAAAGAAUAGGAGAAAAAAGAAAAAAAGAAAAAAAAAGGAAGAAGAAGAAUAGGAGAAGAAGAAUAAAAAGAAUAAAAAGAAUAAAAAGAAUAAAAAGAAAAAAGAAGAAUAGGAGAAAAGAAAAGGAAAAAAAAAAUUAAAAAAUAAAACAAAAGAAAAAAAAAAGGAAAAAAUUAUAAAAAUUAAAAUGAAUUGAUUUGGAAUAGAAUUAAUGAACACGGUACCAAACGCAAUUCUAUUCCAGAAUUAGAAAUUUUGUACAGUUAGCAAACGCGUUCUUUUACUCAGAAUCAGUUUUCAGGAACAGAAUAAAAAAUAAUCAUUUCUUAUCAGAAUUUGUUACCGGAAUAAAAUCGUUACCAAACGCGCCCUAAGUUUCUCUUUCUAUAAUUUUCUAGGAUUGCAAGCUUUUCACUCUGAAAUAUGGUCAGCUUUCAUGGAUGAGCGCAGCCCCCUCCCCCCCUCUUUUAGAGCUGAUUUAGUGGCUAUAUCAAGAUGUUCUCCUCCUCUGGUAAAUGUUGUCUUCAGUUGCUGUGUCGGGAUGGCUUUAGCAGCUAGGGGGCAGGCAUAUUCAUAUGUUGUGGAUUGGAGCACAAAUAGAACAACAAGCUACAUUUGAUUAAUGUAUACUUUGUGAUCAACUCUGGAGCUUUUUGCAGCAUGUUUUGAUACAGCACCAGAGUUUAUGCCUAUUUUUUUCUUGGAAAAGGAACUGAAUCAGUUGAACACAUGAGUAUAUAAGUAGCAGAAUUUCGGACUAUCCCCAAGCAGAUCUUGAGAAUGAUUGAGCUGCCUAGCUUGCACAUUUUUGCUAGAAAUCAGUUAUUGGAUGCUUUGGUCCAGGGAUUCAAUCGAUCAUGUACAUAACACGCUUGGAUUAGGUGUUCCUUUUUUUCGGUUCAUGUGAUCAAGAUGGAGGAUGUUGUGUCUGCAUUUCUUUUAUCAUAUUAUCCCUUAGAUUCUUCAAGGUAUACAAUUGUUCUACUUGUACCAUCUUUGGAAACAUAGAUUGUGCAUGACAUCUUGUUACCGAGAAAUUUGCUUCUGAUUGGUUUGUUAUUUUAGAGCCCCAUUGCUCUUAACUUUGGCUUAUUUAACUGGAGUCGUAUCUACAAACCUGCCAGGCAUCAGUCAAGUUGGGUUUCUAUUCCUUUGGCUGUGGGAACUCGGUAGAACUACUAUAGCACCCUGCACAGAGGAUCAAUGCAGAAUUUAAAAAAGUUGAAAAAAAAUAAAAAUUGGAAUAUAGUUUUCAAAACACACAGUUACCUAUUAAAGAAAGAAAGUUUUCGAAAGCACACAUCUUCCAAAGGGGCAUCUUGGAUUAUAUAUCUUUAGCUUUCCCAUAAUGACCUUCAGAGUUUCAUAGAACUAGUUCAUUUGUGCCGUUCUGUGGUGGGAGAAACUAUGAAAACAGGAGAGAUAGAGAAAUCUUCCAGCUUCCUAUAGCUUUUAACAUUUGCUAAUCUUCUGUAUCAUAAUUCCAUUUUCAUCUUUGAUGGUUACUAAUGUAUGAUUAAAGGCACUACCGUGCCUGUCAAUCUACCUUGUGAGUUGUGCCAUGGGAACAGAAGUUCCACGAGUAGAUGAACAUAGUGAAUGAGCCUUUACCUGUUCUUAAUCAAGACCUUGAUCGCUUUUGUUGCUUGCCUUUACCUGUUCUUAACAGAAGUUCCACGAGUUGUGACAUGGGAACAGAAGUUCCACGAGUAGAUGAACAUAGUGAACAGAAGUUCCACGAGUAGAUGAACAUAGUGAACAGAAGGUCCGGAGUUUUCACUGUUGCUUCGGCUUGGGAUGUUAUUCGGCCGAGAGGUCAAUCCAUGGUUUGGGCCCCUCUUAUUUGGAAUAGCUCAAUAAUUCCCCGGCACCGAUUCCUUUUGUGGCUGAUUUCCAGAAAUAGACUGCCCACUCAGGUUUUGCUUCUUGCUUAUGGUAGGAUUUCCGAUGCUAAAUGUGCUUUUUGCUCUUGUCGUCCUAAUUCUGUAGAUCACCUUUUCUUUGGGUGUCAUAUUACUGGGGCUUUAGCUCUUUUUUGGGCAGCUAGAAGCAAUCUUCCUUGGCGAAACAACUUGUGGAGGGAUAACCUCCAAUGGGCCAUCAAGUAUUUAUUUGGUGAUUCCUUUCACAUUACCAUCUCUAGGUUCGCUUUUGCAGCUUUAUGUGAUAUUAUUUGGAAGGAAAGGAAUAAUAUCAUUUUCCGUGAUCGGACUCUCUACGUGCCUACUAUGAAGAAACGGCUUGAUAAGGUUGUUGGGAUAAGACUUUGAAGAUUACAGCAGAGCUAGAGCCUCAAUUCGUCUAUCUUCUUGGAUUAAUCUGUUUCCUUCUUUGUGCUUUGUCUUUGUUUUGCGGAGGGUGUUCCCCUUCUUUUGUGCGUCAUUGGGUUACCACAACAACCUUACACCCCUCUUGACAACCCUUUUGUCAUAUUGGGUGCAAGGCCUCCUUGGGUCUCCUUUCUUUUGUAUAUUCCCGCUUUGGGUGAAAGUUAAUAUACACGUUACCUUUACCAAAAAAAAAAAAAAAAAAGGGUUUCUAAAUUAUUGAUGAAAUUAGCGCUAUACGUAAUUUCAUCAUCGUUGCAUGGGUGUUUCUUCAAGGCAAAGAUACGUUAUUAAUUUAACAUCAGUGUUCCAUAUCGAGAAAAUUAUCUAAAAAGAUUUGAACUUCUUGUAUAGCGAUUAAUUCGAUUUCAAAUCUUUCAAUUGUACCAAUUUAAUCCUAAAUUUAAACCUUCUGAUAUUUGCUAGUUUAGUUCUAAACCUUUUAAUUAUGUUAAUUUAGUAAAAAAAUUUACAACGAUUUGCUAGCCCUAAAUCUUUCGACGAUUUGCCAAUGUAAUCCUUCCAACCAAUUAUAUAAAUAAUAGGUUUAGGAUUGAAUAGACAAAUCUUCAAAAGGGGGAAAAGUACCAAAAAAGCCCUAAAUCUAUUACAUUGGUACCAAUUCACUCUUAUAUCUUUCGAUUGGAUCAAUUUAGCUUUAAACCUUUUCGUAUCGAUACCAAUUGAAUUAGUCCAGUCAAUUUAGGCUGGUAAUUAUUGACUUGGACGCCGAUUGUCUUAUAUGGUUGUCCUAUAUGGCACGGCUGAUGUUAACAUGGAUAAUUUUUUAUUUACUUUUUCAUAUUUUUUAUCAAUGUUUUUUUUUCUUUUUUAUUCUAUUUUAUUCUUUUUUUCUUCCAUUUCCUUUCUCUUUUUUCUGUUUCCCUUAUUUUUUGCUCCACUAGUGGCCAGUGGAAAUCCCUAACUAUCAACAAGGGCAAGGGUCAAGAUGCCCUUGCCAGCCUUUGGCCAAGGCUGGAGAAGCUGUCUCACACCAAAUCUAGCGAAGGGGACCUUGUUUGACCAUCGCCUUUAAUGAGGGGCAACCUUGCAGUCCUCUGGCGAUGGCGAGGGCUCUCACCCAGGCAAGGCCUAUGGUGGUGUCUUAGCCCUCGGCAACCCUCAUCGAAAGGCCCGCGAGGUGUCUUGGCCCUUGCCCUCCCCAGUGGCUGGCUUUCUUCGUUAACCCUCAUGCUUGAGGCUCUAUAGCCUCUACCCCACCUGUUUUGUAGACCUUGUGUAUAGUCGACUAGUAUUGUAUAUAAAUGGGUUUGAUAUGUAUAAAGGUGUGAUGUGGUUUUCGAAAAAUUAUGGCCUUACUUUCCUAUCCCAUAUUUGUGUUGUUUGGGGAUAUUAUUCGCUUCUGCAUGCGAAUUAAAAUGAAUGGUCAGCGACGCGUCUAGGACGUCUCUAUUUAAUCGACCACAGAGGGAUGGGCACCCGCUCGGAGGAUCGGGGCAUGACAAUUCCCCUCUGCUUCUGCCAAAUAAAAAGGGACCAAAGACCACAAUCGCUAAGGGAAGGCCAUUAGCAUAGCCCAAAAUACAUCUAUGAGAUCCCUGCUUAUGUCUUGUAUUUGUUUUUUUGGAAAAGCAUAUGAACUUAGAAAUUCAAAAGCUUCACCUUGAUCUUAUGCUUUAACUUCAUAUACCUGGUCUAUCCCGUAAGAAGUUAGUACAUGUUUAUCUCUAAUCAUAAUAAUGAUCCUGUUACCUUUUCCAAACCAUUUACAUUCUCUAGCUAAUGCAUUUAACUAGUCCCCAUGAUCCACAUCAUCAUGCACAAGCAGAAUCUUCCUGUAGCAAAGUCUAUCUCAUAUCAGGUUAACGCCUCCAUCCACACGUAAGACCACUAAAUUUUCUUUCAACAAUAUCUCAGAUAAGAGUGUUUUUUGCAGAUGCACCAGGCCGUUAGGUCUACUGGAAGUUUCUCUAAUAUUUGCAAGAAAGCUACACUCAUCAAACUGACUAGUGAUACUGUCAUGGACAGCUUUAGUGAUGGUGGUCUUCCCUAUACCUCCUGCUUCCCUUAUUCUUAUCAUCUGAACCUCAUCCAAGCACGUACUUAACAAUGAUAUAACUAUCUCUACCCGGCAGCCUACACCGAGCGGGAUGCUUGGCAACACUCAAGGGUACUUGUCCGACUAUAAUUGAGAUCUUUGUGAUGAUGCUCAAGAUCUCGCUGUUGAUGUAGGAGUUGAUGCCGCUGUGAAGCAGAGUCCAGUGGAGGUCAGCGAGGAAGCCGUGGCAGACGUCCCCGCCUUUGAAGUUGAGCAUGAUGUCCAACGGCCAUUUUGCUUCGGAAGAAGGAGAAGGAGAAGGAGAAGGAGAAGGAGAAGACGACAUGGGAAGACAUAAUUGAACGGUCCGUUUCUUUUAACUUUAUUCAGCUUUUAAUUUUGAAUAAUAACCACACAAAAAAAAAAAAACCGACACGUUCCAAUUUUUUUUUAUGAUAUCAAAAAUCUCCUAAAAACAACGUACAUUUAUCAUCCUUUAAAAUUAUUUUUCCUUAUAUCCCUCCUCUUCCAUCUUUACCGCUGCCAUUUCCGUCAUCAUUGCCACUAUCAUCAUCUUGCCAAACCAAGAAGGAGGAAAUUUAAGAAAACGAAAAAAAAAAAAAAAUACAUACAGAGGAGAUUUCACAUGAUUUUGACUAGUGGUGGUUUAAUUUAUAAAUUUCCUCCCUAAGUAUUGGUUUUGUUGUAACUGUAGUUCGGGGCUCCUGUGAAGAGGUUAUUCUUUUUCCUUUUAUCUUUUUGACAAGAAAUGCACUAAGCAUUUACGCACACAACUUCUUGCAAUUGAUAAAAGACGUGUAAGGUCCAAAAUGCACCUAAGCUCCAUCUACAAGGAUCAGAAUGCAAUCCAUUUGCUGUUGGAGAUGACUCAGAAAUUACUUAUGCUAGCUCUUCCAUUCCAAUUGAUGCAGAUUUCUAAGAUUAAACAACUUUGAGUAACAAUUAUUUUUUGUUAUUUUGGCAAAAAAACAUGUCAUAGAGAUCUUUUGUUGGUUGUCAUUAAUUGUUAUAUCAUCGUAACAUUGGGAUAAAUAUCAGAAAAAUCUUAAAUAUAUUGUAAUUGUAAUAAUUCUAUCUUAAACUUUUUCCCAAUUCAGACCUAAAACUUUUGCAUUUACACUUGUUCAGUCCAUUUGGUCAAUUUUGCCCAACUAACAUCGACUUGGUACUUUUUAAAUAAUAUUUUAAUAAUUUUUUGAAUUUUUUUGAAUUUUCUUUUUUUCUUUUCUUUUCUUUAAUGUUGUCCUCUUCUCCUUUACUUAGGGCCUUGCUGCCUCGCUCGCCCAAAUCAAGCGAGGCUGUUGCCCUCGUCUUGUUUGGGCGAGGGCCGCAGUCUCCUCGCUAGGCCAAAUCUGGGGAGGGUGUCGUGGCCCUUACUAGAUCUAAGUGAGGGGCAGUGCACUCGCGCCCUAGCCAGUGAGGGUUGGCUGGCAACCCUCACCAACCCUAAGGGAAGGGGAAGGGGAGAUUUUUUUUUUUUAAAUAAAAGAUAAAAGAGAAAAAAAUUAAAAGAAUUCAAAAAUUAUCUAAAAAAUGUCAUGUUAGUGCCGACUCACUAAAAUUGGUAGGAUUGACUGAACUGUCACAAAUGAAAAAGAUCUAUGACUGAAUUAAUAAAAAAUAGUUUAGGACUAAACUUGCAUAAUUAUAAUAAAUUUAUGACUUUUUUAGUAAUUUUUCCUCAUAACAUCAUUCAAACGAAUUAUAGUCUCCAAAGCUCUUAAGUGAUGGAUAAUUUGUAGACAAGAUGAGCAUCUGUGAAGUUUUAGCAGUAGAUUUUCUAGUUCUCCCACAAUUUAAAUCCCGAAUUUUCCCUCAUUGUUUUUGGGGAAUUGCAUCAUGUGAGAUGCAGCUUGUCCAGUCCUCAAGAGUCACAACAAUCUUAUGACUUCAUCAUUGCAUCCGCGAGGGAGAGGGGAGGAAGUCUAUAACUCGGGCUUCGCUCUAGAGCAAUUUAUGAGGUUACUUAUUAUUAUUAUUUUUUUUGGCUUGCCUCAACACAAAUCUUUUUAUUCUCUAUUAGCAAAAACAUAGAGCGGAUGUUAGUAUAAGGCUAUCCUUUGUCUUCAAAGACUGGUACCUUAUUAAGUGCCAAAUUGGGCUCCUAACGGGAAAGUCCAUGGCUCAUUCGGCAUUCGUCUCCAUCUUCUUCGCUGGCAUCCUCGCUCCGGUUCGAAUCGCCGCGACUCUCUGGCGCUCGAGCGCCGUCUCGCAGCGGCAAAUCUCUACCUCGCUCGAUCAUCUCCGGCGGCAUUGAUUGUCUUUUGGCUAAAUUCUUGGUUGGAGUGUUCGUCAGUGGUUGUUUGCAGAAUCAGAGUAGACGUGAAAGUGGGAUGCGUUGAUGAACAGGUCAAAAAGCAGGGGAAGCAAGCGGAUGACAUGCAGUUUCGAGCUGAGCGUGAUGCUCUGAGCCUGAAAAUUGUCCAGGUGACUGCAGAAGGUAAUUGCUUUUUCAGGUCUGUGUUCCUUGUUAGAAAAAAAUCGCCGACUUGUUUUCAUGAUUUUUUUUUUUUUUUGGAAUGUUUCCGGGAAUAGGUUUGUCUUGUAAAAUGACAGUAAUCCCCUCUGUUUUAGAAGGUGAAUGGUAUGCUCAUCGCAUUACCACUCUGUCGUCAGAACACAACACGCAUUGCAUUUUAUGGUACACCGGUUCUGGAAUACUAUCAUCGAUGUACUAGAAAUUCCUCUGCUGGGAAAACUAUUGCGUUUUCGUAUGAUUUAUCAUUCUGCCUGAGACACUGCAUCUGGAGACAUAUCUUGAAGAAGAGCUCUCUUUGUCGGGGCUUAGUCUCGAGGAUAUUAGAUUGACCCUUCUGAGAUCCAACUAAGUUACUUUGUAAAAUUUCAUGACUAUGUACAACGUCCUAGCAAAAAACCAUCUUCCUUAUUCCCGUUUUCAUUCCCGUAUUUGAAUUAUCAUCUCCAGUAAUUUGCUGCCUUGUAUGAGCUUUUGUAAAGAAUGCUUUGCUAUAGUUUAUCAGGCCCUUGCAGAUCANNNNNNNNNNNNNNNNNNNNNNNNNNNNNNNNNNNNNNNNNNNNNNNNNNNNNNNNNNNNNNNNNNNNNNNNNNNNNNNNNNNNNNNNNNNNNNNNNNNNNNNNNNNNNNNNNNNNNNNNNNNNNNNNNNNNNNNNNNNNNNNNNNNNNNNNNNNNNNNNNNNNNNNNNNNNNNNNNNNNNNNNNNNNNNNNNNNNNNNNNNNNNNNNNNNNNNNNNNNNNNNNNNNNNNNNNNNNNNNNNNNNNNNNNNNNNNNNNNNNNNNNNNNNNNNNNNNNNNNNNNNNNNNNNNNNNNNNNNNNNNNNNNNNNNNNNNNNNNNNNNNNNNNNNNNNNNNNNNNNNNNNNNNNNNNNNNNNNNNNNNNNNNNNNNNNNNNNNNNNNNNNNNNNNNNNNNNNNNNNNNNNNNNNNNNNNNNNNNNNNNNNNNNNNNNNNNNNNNNNNNNNNNNNNNNNNNNNNNNNNNNNNNNNNNNNNNNNNNNNNNNNNNNNNNNNNNNNNNNNNNNNNNNNNNNNNNNNNNNNNNNNNNNNNNNNNNNNNNNNNNNNNNNNNNNNNNNNNNNNNNNNNNNNNNNNNNNNNNNNNNNNNNNNNNNNNNNNNNNNNNNNNNNNNNNNNNNNNNNNNNNNNNNNNNNNNNNNNNNNNNNNNNNNNNNNNGUCUAUCUUGGCCUAAACUUACAGGUGUAGGAGGGAAGCUGGACUCUGUAGUUAUCCACAUUGUUGUAGCUACAGGAACUCGUGAUUGCUACUUCACGGUGGCAAUAUUAUGCAAAUCGACAUAUUUUUCGAAGGAGAUUUGACAAAAUCAAAAAAUGAGAAAAUUGAUACUAACGUAAUCAACUUUUUAGCAUGCAUGAUAAAACUGUAAUGCUUUGCAAUGCCACAAAUUGAUAGUUUUGCUUGUUUCAAGUUGCAACAGAAUCCUUCAUUUUCAAUGGUUUUUUCUCAUAGUGAUGUGUUUAAGGAAAUAAAAUCCUUGCUUGAAGAAUGGACCUGAUAUAUGCAUCUAAGCUGGGAAUUGUUAAUGACAGACCAAUCGUGAAAUGUUUGAACCAUUUAUUAAGGAUGAUGUGCCAUUUGAGGAGUAUUGCAAAACCAUGGACAAUGAUGGCACGUGGGCUGGUCAUAUUAAAUUGCAAGCAGCUUUGCUUCUCUUGUUACACGGAGUAACAUUUGCAUUCAUCAGGUAAGACUGACAGUGAAGUUAUCAACCAUCACCUACAUGAAGUUUUGUUGGUUACGGUCUUUUCAGUCCUUCAGGGGGAACAGCCAGAAUAAAUAAGGAUGUAAUUAGACUCGUCAAUUGUUAGCCUUGCUACUGGGUUUGAAGUUUAGCUGUUUAAGCACGCAUCCUAGAAUUCGUGACCAUUGAAGAUCCCAUGAUUGUUGGUUUCCUGACUCAUUCUUCACUUAUUGAUAUAAUGGCUUUCUCCCCCAAUAUGGUCCUCCUUUAUCUGAGAAGUUAUUCCCCAUCAUUGUUUAGAUCAAAAGACCACUUAGGAGGUUGUUCUCAUAAUGGUUAUAGCUUGUUCUUUUCUGUCUGGUUAUAAUUUGUUACUCUUUAGACUGAAAAAUUGACUCAUCUGAAGCGCAAUGAUAUCUGGCAUGUCUAGCGAUGUCUAUUGUCGCAACAGCAUGUGGAAGGACCAUUGAUGGUGAUGUGCAAAAGAUUUUUUCAGAGAUAUAUUGCACCUUUUAGCACAAGGAGUUCUGACGGUUGCAUAUAAUCCUAAUUCAAAGAAGACUUAAUAUAUCAAACUUGUUACAACAAUGCUGGCUCAUUGAGUGUUCUAUAUGUUCUUGAUGAAUCUACACGGCACUAAUUAGUUUUGAUACAUGCCGUGCAUGCAAAUGUCUGUUCAUUGACACCAAAUGGAACAAUUUAUCUCACUCCUUACUUGAUGCAGAACAUGUCACCUCGGUGGAACAUAAGCAAUUUUGAUCAGCCUGGUGCUCGUAAUGAUCCAUUUGUGAGUUUUCUGAAUCUAGAGACUGAUGUUCUUUGCUAAGGGAGUGCUCAAUACUGGAUGAGAUCUGUUUGUAUACACUUAAUAAUGACCUUUUCUUACAUUGUAUUUUCCCUCAGAGAUUUGAACAUAAAACAUGUUUUUAUUUUUUNNNNNNNNNNNNNNNNNNNNNNNNNNNNNNNNNNNNNNNNNNNNNNNNNNNNNNNNNNNNNNNNNNNNNNNNNNNNNNNNNNNNNNNNNNNNNNNNNNNNNNNNNNNNNNNNNNNNNNNNNNNNNNNNNNNNNNNNNNNNNNNNNNNNNNNNNNNNNNNNNNNNNNNNNNNNNNNNNNNNNNNNNNNNNNNNNNNNNNNNNNNNNNNNNNNNNNNNNNNNNNNNNNNNNNNNNNNNNNNNNNNNNNNNNNNNNNNNNNNNNNNNNNNNNNNNNNNNNNNNNNNNNNNNNNNNNNNNNNNNNNNNNNNNNNNNNNNNNNNNNNNNNNNNNNNNNNNNNNNNNNNNNNNNNNNNNNNNNNNNNNNNNNNNNNNNNNNNNNNNNNNNNNNNNNNNNNNNNNNNNNNNNNNNNNNNNNNNNNNNNNNNNNNNNNNNNNNNNNNNNNNNNNNNNNNNNNNNNNNNNNNNNNNNNNNNNNNNNNNNNNNNNNNNNNNNNNNNNNNNNNNNNNNNNNNNNNNNNNNNNNNNNNNNNNNNNNNNNNNNNNNNNNNNNNNNNNNNNNNNNNNNNNNNNNNNNNNNNNNNNNNNNNNNNNNNNNNNNNNNNNNNNNNNNNNNNNNNNNNNNNNNNNNNNNNNNNNNNNNNNNNNNNNNNNNNNNNNNNNNNNNNNNNNNNNNNNNNNNNNNNNNNNNNNNNNNNNNNNNNNNNNNNNNNNNNNNNNNNNNNNNNNNNNNNNNNNNNNNNNNNNNNNNNNNNNNNNNNNNNNNNNNNNNNNNNNNNNNNNNNNNNNNNNNNNNNNNNNNNNNNNNNNNNNNNNNNNNNNNNNNNNNNNNNNNNNNNNNNNNNNNNNNNNNNNNNNNNNNNNNNNNNNNNNNNNNNNNNNNNNNNNNNNNNNNNNNNNNNNNNNNNNNNNNNNNNNNNNNNNNNNNNNNNNNNNNNNNNNNNNNNNNNNNNNNNNNNNNNNNNNNNNNNNNNNNNNNNNNNNNNNNNNNNNNNNNNNNNNNNNNNNNNNNNNNNNNNNNNNNNNNNNNNNNNNNNNNNNNNNNNNNNNNNNNNNNNNNNNNNNNNNNNNNNNNNNNNNNNNNNNNNNNNNNNNNNNNNNNNNNNNNNNNNNNNNNNNNNNNNNNNNNNNNNNNNNNNNNNNNNNNNNNNNNNNNNNNNNNNNNNNNNNNNNNNNNNNNNNNNNNNNNNNNNNNNNNNNNNNNNNNNNNNNNNNNNNNNNNNNNNNNNNNNNNNNNNNNNNNNNNNNNNNNNNNNNNNNNNNNNNNNNNNNNNNNNNNNNNNNNNNNNNNNNNNNNNNNNNNNNNNNNNNNNNNNNNNNNNNNNNNNNNNNNNNNNNNNNNNNNNNNNNNNNNNNNNNNNNNNNNNNNNNNNNNNNNNNNNNNNNNNNNNNNNNNNNNNNNNNNNNNNNNNNNNNNNNNNNNNNNNNNNNNNNNNNNNNNNNNNNNNNNNNNNNNNNNNNNNNNNNNNNNNNNNNNNNNNNNNNNNNNNNNNNNNNNNNNNNNNNNNNNNNNNNNNNNNNNNNNNNNNNNNNNNNNNNNNNNNNNNNNNNNNNNNNNNNNNNNNNNNNNNNNNNNNNNNNNNNNNNNNNNNNNNNNNNNNNGUAUUUUUCCUGUUUCCCUGUGAUUGGAGUUGAUACUUAUCUUGAAAGUUUAUGGCUUAUGUAUCCAACAUGGUAUCAAUUACCUUCCUUAAAUUCAAGUCUGGAACAUUUUGUCACCCUUGUGCUUUGUUGAAUAAUGUGUACACUUUGGAAAAAAGUUCAUACAUGAGUAAUUUAAAUUUAUACUUACAAAAACAAAGACAGCAGUGAAGAUUUCUCCUUUUUUUUUUGUCUAAAUGUUGUUUUGCAGUGAUCAAGCUCUUGAAUCCAGAAAAAGUAGAAAGGAAAAGAAGCGAGGCAAGAGAGGGUCUGACACAUCCGCACUUUCUAUUGGAUCUGAUGGAGGGCCACCUGAUGUUGGGGCUCUUUGUAUCUGAUCUUUUGCCAGUGUGUGUGCACAAUCAUCAAUUGAAUUCAGACAUCAGUAUGUGUGCAGUCUUUCAAAUAUUAAGGUUAGAUUAGACACAAUUUUUUUCUAUCUAUAUUCGCAUGUAUUUGAUGCAUGCAUCUCUUCUUCGAUCUUCGGGAUAAGAGCACUUUCUAGUUAUCCACCUGGUGUCACUUUUAUUGGAUAGUUUGCCCGUCUGGUGCAUUUUAUACUGGCAAUUGUAAUUUAGAGAUUCUUUGUACACGUAAUUCAUGCGCAUGCACGUAACACCUACCCCAGUAGAUUUGUUGGCACAGUUGUAGGUCAGUUUGGUCAGCAACCAAAGGGGGAAGAAGAUAAGGAAAUUCAGUAAUUGGAUUGCUGUCCCGGGCUAAACCUUUUCAUGAAUAUAAAAGAGACGUUCACAUGAAUUUGACAAGUGGUGGUUUAACUUUUAAAUUCCCAUCCAAAGUAUUGGUUUUGCUGUAUUGGUAGUUUGGGGUUCCUGUGAAGACGUUUUUCUCUUUCUUUAUAUUUCUUUUAUAGGAAAUACACUAAGCAUUUACGCACGCAACUUCUUGUAAUUGAUGAAAGAUUUGUAGAUCCAAAAUAAGCUUCAAUCUCCAUCUACAAGGAUCCGAAUGCAAUCCUUUUGCAGUUGGAGAUGACACAGAUAUCACAUAUACUACCUCCUCCAUUCAAAUUGGUGCAGAUUUCUAAGAUUAAAUAACUUUGUUAUUUUGGCAAAUAAAUGUGUCUUAGAGAUCUUUUGUUGGUUGUCAUUAGUUAUUAUAUCAUCAUAACAUCAUUUAGACCAAUUAUUGUCUCCAAAGCCCAUAAGUGAUGGAUAAUGUGUAGAUAUCAUGAGCAUAGGCAAAGUUUUAGCAGUAGAUUUUCCAGUUAUCCCACAAUUUAAAUUCUGAAUUUUUCUCAUUGUUUUUGGGAAUUGCAUUGUGUCAGAUGUGGCUUGUCCAAUCCUCAAGAAUCAAAACAAUCUUGCGGCUUCAUCAUUGCAUCCACGAUGGAGUGGGGAGAGAGUCGAAUUGUGAGCAGAAAACUGAUGCUGAAAGAAGUCUAUAACUUGAGCUUCUCCCUAGAGCGACUUAUUAGGUUAAUUACUAUUUUUUGUUGGCUUGCCUAAAAAAGAAAUCAUUUCAUUCUCUAUUAGCUGCAACGUAGAGCACACGUUAGUCUGAGGUUAUCCUGUCUUCAAAGACGGUCACCUUAUUAUUCUUGUAUACUACUUUCUCCUAAAAUGGGGAUAUAAAAAAUCCGUACAUUUUCAUCUAAAAGCUUAAUAAGCUUCAAAUCUCGCAUGGUGAUGCUGCUCUAAUAAUUUAGGGAGUUAAGCGAUCGGUUGAGCUAAUAAAACUCCACGUGUAGAUUAAUUAAUUCCAUGUAACAAGUCAAAUACACUUGAUACUUUUGCAAGAUAGCAACGUGUGCCUUGUGAGCCCCAUUUUCAUUCAAAUGGGGAUCCAACAUAUGGGAGGGCAUAAUUGCCCACUGAUAUGGGAAAAUGUAGACAUCCCGAGAACUUUAAUGCGAUAAAAGCGUCUUCGGCUUGGCCUAUGCCGUGAUGUUCCGUGGAUGUCUAUGCCGUGAUGUUCCGUGGAUGUCUAGGCCGGUAAGUGGACUUUUCCCAUCAUGUGCCGUUGUCGAACAAGUUUGUUCAACCUGCUUCUUCAUUGUCCUUGAGAAGAUGGUCUCUAAACGCCAGUUGACCAAACCUAGGUCCCUUCCAUGAGAUAAGUUUACCUAGCCACUAACUCGGUGUCUAGUAUAACAGACUUUCUUAUUAAAUACUUCGAUAAAGUUCUGAUUUACAAUAAUCCAUGUAGUUGUUAGCCAUGUAUUUAAGGUCUUCUCUUGUGGUUAUGUUCAAACUUUUUGUAUUAUGAAUUGAGAACUUGAACAGUAAAUACAUGAUGCGUUGUUUUUAAAUCUCUGGUCCAUUGAUUUUGUAGAUUGGCUCUGCCGGGUUCAUUCCAAUCUCAGUAUCGAAGGACCAGUAUUAGAUCAACCAUAGUUUAGUUGGAAUAUAGAUAGUGUAAGAAAAUGAUCAUUGAGGAGUGUUAAUCAAGUUUAGAAUCACCACAAAAAAGAGGUGUGUUAAUACAAGGGACAAAGUCAUGAUGUUAUAGGACGCGGUAGGGACGUGUGGCGUAGGAAGGAAAUCAAUUUCAAAAUUUAAGCAUCAAGUAAGACGACCGGCAUUUUAUUAGAUCAAUAUAAUUGGCUGGUCAUAUUAUGUUAGUUGUUAGUGAUGUGACUAUUGAAUAAAAUAUUUUUCUCAAACAAGGGGAUAGUCUCUCGAGAGGUUUUCGAAUGCUAUAACUUCCAAGCUUGUGAGAACUUUGAGGAAGCCUACUCCCUUUGAAGAAAUGCUACUCAUCAUCAUCUAAAGUUGCAAGGAAUUUCUAGCAAGUACCACUGUUGAUAUGCACUUAGUAGUUACUAAAUAUCCAUACCAUCUCUUACGAAGAAGGAAUUUACUAUUAUAUUGGAUAAUAUCUAAGUGGUAGGAUCAUCAAGAUAUAAACUCUACAAUCGAAUUACUAACCUUAAAAGAAAGUUACUAACUAUAGACAUAGCGGUGAUCAUGAGGACCCCAUGGGACUUAUGACCGAUGGAAAAAUAAUUACAAUGUACAUAUACUAUUAGUUACAAAUAAAGAGGGAAACUGCUGUAUCAAGGAGAAUUGCAAAAUGAUAGCAUCCUCGACUUAAGAAUAAUGAAUAGAUGCUCACGAUGGAAAGUUAAUAAUCAUAGGUGCAGUAUUACUUUCGAGGAUUUCAAGUUAUUUACAAUUGUUCUAGAAUAUUUACUGAGAAAUUUCGUCAUUUAUUACGACUAUUUGAUGAAAUUUACUAUAUUAAGUUGAAGUUUACUAACGACAAAGAUUGACAUUCGGGCAUAACAAAGAUUAUUCUAUGGCGGGCAAAGAUCAACAUAUGGGUCUAACAGGAAUAUGUAUAAAAACACGUAAGUAGUGCCGCAAGCCUUUUCUGCUUCUCCUAUAAACUGCAUGAAAAAACCUUGAAAUUGCCCAAGCAAGGGGAAAUGAUCCUGGGAAAUAAAAUAUUAAUACGGUUUCAAAAGGGAUAGAGCACAGUAGAAGUCCUAAACUUUGCUGUAAAAAUGGAAUCAAGUCUUACAACUUAAAAAAAAAAAAUUACAAUCAAGUCCAAAAACUUAUCUAAUUAGUACAAUAAAAAACUUCCGUCAACUCUGUCCAAUUUGAGCAUCGGAAAAUACUAGCAUGUCAUCUUUUGAUAUGUUUGAGUACACAUGCCAGAGACACUCGAGCUAGACAUGGUGCCCCGUUCUAAUAAAUUUAAGUGUCUUGUUUGCCAAGUCACCCUCUAUCCCUUCACAUUAAUUUGAAUAGGGCAGAGAGAUUGAAUUGAUCGCCAUGCGUUACUCCAUCAACAAGACAGAUGUCCAGUUCCUAAUUUGUCUCUCUGGCUUCUUAAUGACAGCUUCCUUAAGAGCUUCGAGCCAAUACUACUCCACUUGCCUCUUCCCGAUUGGUCUUUCAUAUGCCUCCAGUUCCUCCAUUUGACCGCCGGAGAAAUUUGCAUAAGAACUCUCUAUACUCUAAUUCACAAAGUGAAGCUGGAUCUACUAAUUGAUUGUCCUCAAGCACAGCCUUCGAUUCAUCAUCCAGUUGCUUGCAUCUUAGCAUAUAUCCCAACUUUUCCAUGGUUCCACCCGACACUAUGAGUGUAAGGCUAAAUCGUAAGUAAUCCUCGUCAAAUUCAAGAAAAUCAACUGCUCCCUCCAACAUUCCCCACAACACAUUUGGUUUGAGAUACUGAAUCCAUAUGUGACCCGAAUCAAAUGAACCAAGAGUUCCUGAUAGCACAUUCCGUCUUUGACCGUUAAUGUGGGGCACGAUGUUGAAAAAUAUUUCCUUUUCUCCAUUUUCUACAUUGAAAACAACACAGAGAACCAAUCCCAAGAACUUAUCAUAAAAGUCCCGUGAAACCAUGAAGGAUAUGGUACCGCCUUCAACAGAGACAAACUCCUCUGGCAUAUCUCCUCCAGGAAUAAUAUUUUUGUAGGAAGUACAAAUUCCGGAAUAGCGAUACUUCUGCUAUAACGGUAAAUUGUUAGACGUACUCAAAUUGAUAAUGAGUUCAAAUAGAAGAGUUUGAUUUGAGAAUUUUUCUUGUAAUUUAACUAAAGCUAGAGUUUUAUAAUAAAUAAACAUGUUAGAUCCUUCCUUGCCUUAUAUGUAAUACUCAUGAAAUCAUUCACUUGCGAGUGUUAUAGCACCUGUAUUACAUGUAAGUGUAGAAUCACUUUAUGUUAGAUUUGCUCGUUUGUACAGAAUUUUCAGUUUUUGCAUUAUACAAACACAGUGCGCCCCCCAUCCGCUCCAACAAAUCAACACAUGCACUUAUGAAUGCGCGCGCAUCUGGACGGGGAGAGAGAGAGAGAGAUACCUCAACUGAAAAGUCAGCCAUGAUAUCGGCGUGUCUGGAUACAUCCCGGGUACAGUCGUCUUCUUCUAUACUUUCACGGUCUUCCUCUGACCAUGUUUUUCUGUUAUCUUCAUGGUUCAGCCACCGCUAUUACAUAUAGGUGCAAAAUCACAAUAAAUUAGCUUGUUUUGUUUACCUGCAUUUGCAGCUUUUGCAUUAUACAAACUCAAUGCACCCAUAUCAAUCAAACACACACACAUCACAAUCGCGGGGAGGGAGGGAGGGACACCUGAAGUGAGAGAUGGGCCGAACUUUCUUCCUCUGUGGUCGUUUCUUUAUUGUCAUGCCAAAUCUCAUAGAGCAAAGCUGGAUCUAGCAACUGGUCGUCUUGAUACAAAGUCUCCAAAUUGUCCUCUAGCGGCUUGCAUAGUAAUCGAAAUCCGCACUUUUUUACAAUUGCAUCACCCAAUGAUCUAACACCAAUCUGGAAAGAACUCGAGUCAUUUGCACCAAAAGGGUCUACUCCCCAUAGCUCCUCUAUUUCAAGAUACGAAAUUUUUACAUGAUUUGAAUACCAUCGACAAUAUAUGCCAUCGCCUGUAGUCAUGUUUUUGCCAUUAACGUAGUGAUAGAAACGCAAAUUGCCCUCUCGUUUGCCUCGCUUUGCUCGAUAUACAACGCAGAUAGCUAAUACCAAGAACUUCUUAUACAAGUCCUUCGAAGCCGUGAAAGAUAUAUAACCCUCUUUAUUCGGGAGCAACCAUUGCGGCAUCUCUCCUCCAGUCAGAAAAGUGUUGUUGCGAAACAAUUUGGAAAAAAUGGGCUGUCAAAGAUGUAAAUUGUUAAGACAGUAUUUCGAAUUUGGCACUUGAAAAUGAGAAGUUUCAAUGAGUUAAGUGGAUUGACGAGUUUAGAAAUGGUUAACAAUAUAUGUACAUGACUCUGCAUUAAUCCCCUGCUCUUCUUGGGGGGAGGGGAGGGNNNNNNNNNNNNNNNNNNNNNNNNNNNNNNNNNNNNNNNNNNNNNNNNNNNNNNNNNNNNNNNNNNNNNNNNNNNNNNNNNNNNNNNNNNNNNNNNNNNNGGGGCUAAAUACGGGCCAGAAAUGGGUGAGGACCACGAACAAUUGUCGACAGUUUUAGUCCUAGGUGGAAUGAGCAUUACACUUGGGAGGUUUCGAUAUAUGCAGCGUGAUCACCAUAGGGGUUUUCGAUAAUGGCCAUAUCCAUGGGGGAGGAGAUAAAGGUGGAGGUGGAAAAGAUUCAAGAAUUGGCAAGGUAAGGAUUCGACUGUCCCACGCUCGAAGCUGAUAGAAUUUACACACACUCCUACCCCCUUCUGGUUCUACAUCCUUCGGGGGUGAAGAAAAUGGGCGAGGUUCAGAUGGGGGGGGGAGGAGAGAGAGAGAGGUCUAACCUUCCGAAUGACCAGGUCAGGACAUGAUAUGUCAAUUUUACUUAGAGAUUCACAAUCAUCUGCCAUCAAUCCCUCCAAUUGCUCUGGCAUCUUACCAAUCGCUUGUAGCUGUCGGCAUUCUGAAACAAACAAUGCGCGUAACUUAUGUAGCUGCCUGCAUGUUGGAAGCUUAGCAAAAUUGUUUUUGGACAAAAACAAUACUGUUAAGUACGGAAAACAUGAAUUAUUCUCUAGGAACUCUACUUCUUGUAGAUUGCAUCCUUCAAGCCCUAAGAUUUGUAGCUUAGGAAAUCCCGUCUUGCCAUGCAGAACACUAAAAUCCCCCUCCUUUGGAAACUUGAUUAGUUUUGAACAACCAUGAAGUAUCAAGCUCUCAAGAUUUGGCAACUUGUAAAUGGUAGAUGGGAGGUUUGCCAGUUUCUUGCAAUCAAUUAAACUCAAGUUCUCCAAAGAGACAAGAUUUUCUAUGGAAGUAGGAAGUUCCUCAAUUGAAGUCCCUUUUAAAUAAAGUUCUUUCAAGCCUUCGAUUUUAUCCGGAAUAUCAGGGAAUAUUUGCAACUUUGAGCAACCAGUAAGAUUGAGAAUUUCAAGAUUCUUGGAUUGGAGCACAUUAGGGAGCUGAUGAAGGUUAGAGCACCCUUUUAAAUUCAACAAUUGUAGCUUGGCGUGAUAUGCAACUGAUUCGUGAGCACGCUCCAAAUUUUUGCAUCCAUGGAGAUCCAGUUCCUUGAGAUUUGGAGUCAAAUUGAGGUCCGGAAUACAAACCACCGAUGGACAUUUACUGAAUUUAAGGUACUUCAAAUUUCCAAAGGCCUACAAGAAACAAAAUGGAAAAAAAAAAUGAAGAUAGAAAUACUUAAUGAAAAACACUUUGGAUCAUCAUUCAAGCCCAGUGUGAUCAGAAAUUAGUUGAUCCUACGACGUAUAUAGAGCACUCCCUCCCCCUUUUUACAUGAGUUUAUUGAGCGAUCCUUGGCCAAAAGAGAAGACAAAACAAGAAUAACACUCGUAAUUCCAGUACACGCUAGAUGAUCUUUAUGAGGAGUUUUAGUAGAAAACAUCUAAAACAUUGGGAUAUGUUAUUGGUUCAAGCCGAAUUUGCAUAUAAUAAUUUGACGAGUCAAACUAUUGGAAAAUGCCAAUUUGAUGUCGUGUAACGAACGCAUCUUUUAAGUCCUUUGGAUCUUACACCAUUAUCCCCCUAUAAUAUGAAGAAAGAGCUAAGACAAAAAGUUACAUGAGGAAGUAAGGAUCCCAUUCAAGCAAAAAGAAACAUAGAAAAGCCUGCUGUUUUUGAAGAAGGUGAUCUAGUCUGGAAUUCAUUUGAGAAGAGCACCUUCCACCUAGUCGUCGUGCUACGGAUCGUUCUUUUCUAGUUUUGGAAAGCAUAGACAAUAAUGCCCCCAAAAGUGAGCUUUGUGGAGCAAAUGGUGUCUCCACUAGUUUCAAUGUUGUUAAUCUAUCUCUAUGAAGUUGGCCUCGAGGAGAAGUCUUUUCAAGAUUUCAAGAUUCUGUCUUGUGAAUAGAAUAAUAGGGAUAAAAUAUAUUUUCUUGAUCUGCGAGACGUUUAUACUUUUUAGGAUUGCUUUAGUCUCGAUUACAAUAUGAUUAUAUUGUAACUUGUUUGAAUUUCGCAUUUUAGGUUCAUUUUUCUUUACUUGUAGGUUACUCAAAGGUAUCUUAAGCUCCUACUUAUAAGUGCUCUCUCAGUCUCUCAUAGUAAACACAAUGAAUUUAUUAAAUGAAGUUCCAUUGUAUUUUUUUUUCUCUGUCUUUCUCUCUGUCCUUUCGGGGGAUUCAUGAGUGAUCAAGAGAGUGUUGCAUCCUUGGAGUGGCCUACUAAGGUGGUGAUUUGGCUGAGGGAGACCUAGAUUAUGUAGUCUCUUCCUGUCCUCCAGAGCGGGGAUUUUCCACUUCAUUAAGAUUGAAAAACCCCUUUUAUUUAUUUGUUCGUUCAAUACAUUCCGACGUCAGUCUGGCCGACAAGCAUGACAGCAAAACUGAAAGCCCACGAAGUUUGUCUCAUUUGAGGCAUAUGAAGUAAAAACUAUAAGAGUACGCACAAGAUUUGAAAAAAAAAUUGAUAUUUGAAAAAUUGAGCAAAACCACCAAAUUAGAAAUAUUGAAUGGAAAGAGAUUGUUGGUAAAUACACAAUACACAAACAUAGAAUAUAUGUAGGAUAUUUCAAAAUUAAAAUUUGCAAUAAGAAACUUGUUGUAGGGUUAGAAAAGAUUAAAAUUUAGAUUGUGAAACAUGUGAGAGAUCAAAUAAAUUAAUAAUUUAAGCACCUCUCUAUGAAUAUUAUAUUUGUAAAAUAAGUAAUCGAGACAUUUUGGGGAAGAGAUUAAAUUAAAAUCCUGUGGAAGGUCACAUUUACCUUGUACAAUAGUAUAAAUAUAAUUAAUAAAUACAUACAUAACUUUAUAUUAGAUUUAGGUUUUAAUAUACUUAAAUUAGCAAAGCAAGCCCCUCACUUCUCUUUAGAAAGCUUUAUUAGUCAUGUGUGAAAGCCGUGUCGCGCAACUAGCGUCCUAGAUGUGGUGCACUAGUGUCUCUAUAAAGUAAGAAUCUUCCAUGGAAUUGUACUCCACAAGCCUUUAUUUAAAAAAGCGCGGGAAGGAAUGGAUGGUCAAUCUAUCUCCCCCUGAGAGUUGCUUUUCAUCCCGUGAUUUCUUACUUAGGAAUAUAUGGAGUAAGGGCGCAACCGAAUGGCCCGAUUGAAGGGAAAGGAGGGGAACGUGUUACAUACUUGGAAGAAGAAGGAGAAACUCCCAGUUAUAUUUGAAAACGAAUAUUUUAUCCAUAAAGAUGAAGAUAACUUUCUUGGAGUUCUGCUUAUUCCUCAUCCUAAAAGUAAAGAAGUACUUGACAGAAAUCUCUAGUUAGGUCGGUACAAUAAAAAGAGAGGGGACUUUUGGGGCUGACUUACAGUAUAGACUUAACUCCUUCAAAGAUCUUUCAUUGCAUUAUUUCUAUAUAUCUCUUUUCAUUAUCGGCUGCAUUCUAUUAUAGAAACAACAACAUGAGGUUCAAUCAAAAGUACUUAGCAUGCAUUCGCUUCAAUGAUAAAGCAAAUAAACAAGAAAAAUCUCAUUCUAUUUUCAUAUGCAAUUUAAAAAAGAAUCUAGUAAGCUCGUCUCUUAUAUAAAAUAUAGAAUCUUUGAUAACAUUUUCAGUAACGAUCAUUUCAAAGGCAUACAAAUUAAAUCCUUAGUUCAUGUUUAUUAAAGUACUAAGCACAUUUAUCAUUCAAUUGUUAAAUUAUGUCAUCAAUAAGUUCUUGUUCCAAUUUUCGGUAUUAAAGUUACUGACCGCAUAUGUUGCAUUCAGAGUUUUCAAUAAUUCAUAUACAUAUCCAUAAUCGUAUGCAUACAAAUAUAGAUAUAUAAGAGAUAAGUAAAGAAAGACAAUUAAUUUUAAAUGCGCACCUUGAAUUGCUCCCUCACGACUUGGAUGUUGGUUUUGCGCAGAUCAAGCCCAACCAACUUAUUUGGACAAGAGGAAAAUUCGGGAAACCAAGGACAUUCAGGCCAUUCAAACCAUCUCAGUUCAUUAGGAAGACAGAUAGGACCUUGGAAAGAGUUGUGCACAUUAAUCAUGAUGAGCAACCUCAAUCUUCUCAUGUUUGUGAAAGCAUUGGGACCUAUGUAUAUUGCUUCUGUCUUAGGUAGAGCCAAAACUAUGGCUUUUACUGCAUUUGUUCCCUGCAUUUAUAGAACUUGCAUUGCAAUUAGUAUACGAAGUCAGAGAAGAAGAGAGUAAAAUCAGUGUUUAAACCACCAAAACUUACCAUAUCCCCUGAUAGAACAUCACGAACAUCUUCACAAAGCCAUAACCUGCUCCGUCUUCCAGGAUCAUCGCAACAUUCUUGUUUAACAAUAUCCAUGCCCAUCAACUGAAUCAAGUCAUGCAUCUGUACUUUCCUCCAUUCUUUAGUUAUUAAGGACUUCUCAACAAGGACUUGCACUCCAAUAGUCGUGUCAAAGUCGCAACUGUUAAGGACUUCUAUAAUGUACUCUAUAGAUCGCCCCUUGAAGAAACAUGCAAUAUCAAGGAAAAUCUCCUUUGCAUAGUCUUCUAGUCCAUCGUAACUUAACUUGAGAACACCAUUGAUGGUUUUGUCAGGACUUUUAGCAAGUUUGUUCAAUGCGCUUUCCCACUCCUGUUCUCUUCUACCACAUAGGAAAGAGCCCAAUACCUCAAGCGCUAAAGGAAGACCAUUAGCAUAAUGCAAAGCACUAUCCACAAGAUCCCUCCUUAUCACUAUUUCCUCACUUCUAAGAAAAGCAUGUUUAUUGAAAAGUUCAAGAGCUUCCCGAUACCAUAGAGUUUUAACUUCAUAGAUAUGAUCUUCAUCUAUCCCAUGGACAGUUAAUAGAUGGUUAUCUCUCGUAGUAAUGAUGAUUCUGCUUCCUUUACCAAACCAUUCACGCCCUCCAGCUAAAGCAUUUAAUUGUUUUACGUCAUCGACAUCGUCGAGAACAAGGAGGACCCUUUUGCGGCAAAGUCUUUGUUGUAUCAAAUUAAUACCUCCAUCAACACUAGACACUGUUAAAUCUUUUCUCACUAACUCGGACAACAAUUUUUCUUGCAGAUGAACUAAAUCCUUGGAAUCUUUUGAAGUUUCACGAACGUUUGCCAAAAAACAAGGAGCCUCAAAUCCUCUGAAUAUAUCAUUGUAAAGGGCUUUGGCUAAUGUUGUUUUUCCUAUGCCUCCUUGUCCCCAUAAUCCUAUCAUGAGAACAUCAUCACGAGACUCAAGAUUUAACAUUGAUUUCAGCUUUACCACUUGUCGAGGUAUUCCAACCGGAUGCUUGGCAACGUGUAACGGUGUUCGGUCUAGCUGCAUAGAGAUCUCCUGCACAAUUCUCUUGAUAAGAUCCGCUUCCGCUUCAUCUCUGACAAAAUCCGGAAAGGUACUAGAUACAUCAAUUUCCAAAGAUAAUUAACUUUCGUGGAAAAAGAAGAAGAGAUUCAGCAUAUAAAAAAGAAAAAACAAAGCAGUGUCACAUCAAUCACUACUUAGUACUUACUUAUCCUUGAAUUCCCACCCGGACAAGCUACCUGCAUCAAGGAGAGCCUUCUCCCAUCUCUUCACUUUCUCUAAAUCUCUCCCAAACUUGUUCUCAUGCUUAACCAUAGCUUUUCGGUAGUUCCCUCUUGGCGUUCUCACUUCUCUAGGAUCCACUUUGUAAAACACCGGUAAUACCGUGAGUCCUCUUUGCUCCUUGCACUCCAUGAUUUUCUCCACCUCUUCCAAACACCACGGUGAGGAAGCAUAGUCCUCGGAGAAAAUGAUGAUCGCGAUACAUGACUCCUCAAUUGCCUUCAUAAGCGCCGGCUUUAUACAGUCGCCUUUCCGAAGCUCCUCACUAUCAACAUAACUGUGGAUUCCUUUUUGGGCAAGCGCCGCGUAGAAAUGACUGAGGAAGCUCUUUCGAACGUCCGUACCUCUGAAACUCAGGAAGACGUCAUAAUUCCCUUUCAGAUCUGAAGAAGCAGCCAUUAGAGGAGAUGAAGUUUGAUUUGUUUCCUCAGAAUGCUUAGUGUCUGGUCGGGUUGCAGCUCUAUCUCUCAUAUGGAUAUCACUUUGUACUGAUAAAGAAAUAGAAACGAAAACCAAGAUCAUUUCUGAUGCUCCGAGUCGAUAUGCAUAGUCUCCAACAACUAAUUUAACAAAAAGCAGCAUUUUGCAUAAGGUGCACAGAACCAUCCUAUAUAGGUGCUUCUUGACUUGCCUUUUCCAUUAAUAAAAGAAAUAGAAAAGAAAACUAGCAAGAUUCCCAUGCUCCUGGUGCUAAUAUACAUGAGUCAAUCGCAAAACACCGCCGGUUGGAGUAUUAUUUAUAAUGAACAAUCUGACUUUUUUCUUUCAAAAGGGCUUCUACAAAAGCAAAUCCCAAAAUAAAUUUUCCUCACUUUUCAAACUAAAAUUUUCCAUCCCAUGUCUUGCAUUGAACGGAACAAAUUCGAAUCUGUUCAGGCAUUUCUUCAAACACGUAGUGGGCAGCGAGUUGGAGAGAGAAUAUGGACCUAUUCGGAGCUCGAGCUCACACUUAAACUCAAGAGAAAUCAGCGAGCAACGUUCAAACUUAAGAAAAACCGACUCGUUCAGAUCCGACGCGAGUGAGGACUAAAGAAAUCGAGCUUGCUUUGCUCUUUUAAAAUCAAGCGGGACGAGGCAAAAAAAAAAAAAGAAGGAACGAGCAUUCAAUCGUGGAGGCCCUACCUGGCUCGGAUUCCGUGGGCAUCAUCGGCGGCGAAGGUUGAGAAUAGCGACUCCAAACUCGUGUCAGGCUUCAGUCGACUCCACCGAGGUCAGGGAAGGCGGCGACGUAUGGCAGCGGGCGGACGAUGUUCUGGAGGUGGCGGACGGCGUCGAUCGGCUGUGGAUCCGAGGUUUUGUGGGGGGCUUCAAUGGCGACCGUUCCCGGAGUAGAGAAAGACCAAGAUGCUUUUUUUUCUUUUUUCUUUUUUCGUGAGAGUAAAUAAGUAAGUGACAGUGAAGGAGUGAGGUAGGAUUCCGGGAAUGGAAUGCGAGAGGAGUCGCCGGCGGGAGGUAGUCGGACGGAGAUGGUGGAGGUGGCUGGUCGGUUGAGUUCAGGAGAAAGGGUGGGGAAUGCUUUUAUGACCUUUCCAGAAAAAUGCUCCCUGAACAUGGUGGUCUCCCCUUAAUCCCUUUCCGUGAACGCCACCCGCCUUUUUUAUUUUUUAUAUUUUUUAUGGGAAAUUGUGUCUCUUUUAAGAGAGAGCGCGAGUCCCUAUAAAGAACUGCCCUUUCAGAUUCAAAGAAGCGGCCAUUAGGGGAUGAAAGUUUGAUGUGCUUCCGCAGAGGCCGAGGGUAGUGGAGGCAGGCGGCGUAACUGGCGGGGGGCGGCGGAUGGCGAGGAAGAAGAAUAAUAAAAGAAAAAGAAAAUAAAGAAAAAGUUACCUUGCUUAACUUUUUAUUUCUUUUCAAAUCUAUUUUCAGAUUACUAUUCUAUUUUGAAGAAUAGGAAAAUUAAUUAACAUUACUAAAUGAAUUUUUAUUUUUAAUUUUCAAAAAAAGUGAAAAAACAUUAAAUGGAAAACCAAAGGAUAAUUUAUUGCACGUCUAAUUUCUUGCCUAAAGAUUAUUGUGUCAUCACCCCAUCACCCAAGUCACUUUGAUCUCACUUCUUAAAUUAUUUUUGUUUUUGACACUUCACAUUUAUAUUAUACUUUUAACGUCACAUUUAGAAUUUCUCAAUUAAGGGGUAUCAACGAUCAAGUGACUAUUUAGGAAAUACUCCUUUCCUUUUUAUUCCAUUUUUAUUUAACCUUUUAUUCCAUGCUAACACUCUUUUUUUCUUGACUCUUUAAGUAAAUAUUAUCACUUAUUCAUCCGAAGGUGUUUAUCAUUAGUGAUUAGAUAUAAUGAAUAAACUAUAUUACAAUACCAGCUUUAUCUUCCAAUAAAAAUAGGAGCCUUACAACUUUGAAUGGCAAUCAUGUAUAGAGGAUUCCUGGAAUGGGAUCUUUUGCUUCACCAUCUCAGGGAUAUUAUUUAGUGCAUAUACAGUUGCCUUUUCACGAGUUCUCAUGCAGGAGCUUUUGGACAAUUCUUGCCAUAAAAGGAUUGCGAAAGGUUGAGAUUUCUAUUUUGCAUGGGUCAUAGUUUGACUUGUGGAUGAUGUCGUGGGAACUUGAAAUCUAUGAGUGAUUUCAAGUGUUUUUCUUUCUUUUUUCCUUUCCUUUCAUAUCAAAUGAAAGUACUAAAUCCUUUUAUAUAAAGUUUGUGCAUUCUCUCUUGAUUUGAAUUACUGAAUUCAUCUAGUACUAUUAUAGUAUUUUGGUGCUCCGUAGAGGGCCUUAGGAUUCACCUUAGAAUCAAGAAUUACCCAUUAAGGAUUGAUUCCGAAGAAUUGGAACCGAGAACUGCUCAUUGAUUCUAUGGAUUCACCUAGCCCAUUCUGAUUCCUAGGUGGGUCCAUGAAAUCAAUCCUCAAUUCCAAUCCCUCACCACCACUUUGGCAUCCCUCACAUGCUUCGAGCAUGAUGGAGUACCUGAGAUGCCAAGAUGUGGGCAACACCUACCUCUUACCGCCACUUUUGUCGAUGGCAUGAAACAAGGUCUCCUUAGUUGGAUGAUGUUUUCUAAGCAUUGCAAUCAAAAGAGAGAUUUUUUAAUGGGUCGGCAAGAAUGAUUUAAAGAUUUGAAUAGAAGACAUCAUAUCACUUUGUUUUCACAUUAAAUAGAGUGGGUAACUAAUUACUUAAGGAGUACUUACUAUCUGGUUAAUGACAUGAAACACGCUGAGUAUAUGGUUGCACGUGUUCAAACAUAAAAGGCUCAUCUUCCAUUCUUUUACUAUUGAGAAUUGGAGAUUGUGUAAACAGGGUACGAGUCAAGCCAUACUGCAAACCAAUAGAAAAAACGAAUUGAAUACCAAACACCCAUGUCCUACAACGAGAUGUUGCAACUAAUAGAAAUAUCAAGCCUCUCCAGUUAUAAUUUAUCUAGUAAGCUGAACAUGACCGUUCAAAACAAAUAAGAAAAAGAAAGUCAUGUCAACCAAAAAGUUUACAUUUUAAAGCUCCAACAUUGUACACGCAACAGUGAUGUGAGAAGUUGAUAACAAAUGUUCAUCUUAUAACAUGUCUUUGUUUUCUUUAUCCAAUCAAUUGCCCUUUUCAGUUGCCAUAUCUAAUUAAUCCAAGUAAUAGACAUCAUUGAGAAUGGCAUUAGCCAAUGAGAUUGCGAUUCGCUCCAGGGAAAAAAAAUGAAAAGCAAAACAUACGGAUAAUUGUCCAAAAAGUCCUAAACCUUGUAUGAUAGUCAACUCAAUUUAAAAAUUUUCAAUUAUGCCAAUUUAGUCCUAAACAUUUUGAUAAUUUGUCAAUUUUGCCAUAAGCCUUUCAAUUAUAUCAAUUUAGUCUUAAAAUUUUUGCAAAUUUAUCAAUUUAGUCCUAAAACUAUUAUUUCAAUAAUUGGCCGAGAAAACUACAUUGACAAUCAUGGCCAAAUGAAUCUGGUCAAGAUUAGUUCAGAGGUUGUCUCACCAACUGGGCGUUUAACCAUUGUCAAUCUAGGACAAAACGACAGUUUGCCAGCCAUUAUGGUCAUUAACAAAUCUCAUCUGGCCUAAAUCAUCUCAAUAAAAUAGUGAAAAGCCACUCCCUAUUUUAAAAUAAAGCAAAGUGAAGAGAGGCAAAGUGAAGAGGCAAGUUGCCGCCUCUCUUCACAUAGAAUACAUGCACAAUACUUGCUAGCUGGCAUGCACCCCAAUUUCCCGCUGAGUACGGAUUAGAAAGAGAAAGAAACACGAGCCUAACUAUUAUUUGUUUCUUUAAACGGUCUUCAAUCAAGCAUCAGAUUGAUUUUCAUUAGAGUGUGUUUAUUUCGCGAAAAAUGAGUAAUUUAGAAAAUAUUUUUCAAAAAAUAAUUGUUUGUAUCAAUUACAAAAAUAACUAAAUAAAAAAUGUUUUCAUUGUCUACAAAAAUAGAUAAGCAUAGAUUAAUAUCAAAAUUGAAAAUAUUUUUUGUUGAUCAAUUUUCUAAAUGAUAAAAGCAAAUUAACUUUAGGAAAAUAUUUUCUAAAUCAAUCAUUUGCCACGACACAAAUGCACUCUAAAUCAUGAUCCAUCUAGACAACUUCCCAUAAUAAUUAGCAACACGGAUAUUUACUUUGAUAGGUAUCAAACAUUUGGUACUAGAAGUAUGUUGGAACGGAAGGACAAAAAAAGACUUAAAGAGUUUUUUUCACAAGGGCAAGAUUUUUGUUCAGACGAUUUAGGUGGGUGGGUUGGAUUACUUUUCUGUCAAUUUCUGAGGAGAUUUAUUCUGAAGAUGUGAAACGAUUUCAUGCUCAUUUUAUCAAAUAAUUUACAAGUUCUAUGUGAAUGGGACAUUGACUCCUCUUGAACAUUAGUUCGAGGGUGAUAUGAGGCAUUUAGCUGUAAAAGAUACUUGCAUGACUAUGAGAAACAAUAUUUUUUUCUAAGCAAGUGAGGCAAUUAGUUCGUUCCUAAGAUGUAACAUUUGGAUAGCAUCAUGCAUAUUAUACAUUCGAUUGUGAAAGUCCACUUUGCUUGAAAUUCUCCUAUUUUGCGGGCAACCACUCGAUGAAAUGGACACUCUCAAAACACUAUGUGUAAAAUUGGGCAUUAACACAAGUAUACUUGAUCAUUCUUCCUAUAUAGUGUUUAUGAUAUAGGAAAUGUAAAAAAUUAUAACAAAAAUCUAGGGUUACAAAUGCAUUAUUACAAGUCUCUUAUAGAAUUUUAACUCUCUCUCUCUCAAUAAUCCAUGUAAAUGGAGUUUCCGCCAAAUCUAAAUCACCACACAAAUUCAGUUGAUAUUAAUUAUUGCAUGUGUUCAAACACAAAAAGCCUCAUCUUCCAUACUUUUGCUAUUGAGAACUGGACCUUGUGAUAAAAACCGACUACGUUUCAGGUCAUAUUGUGAACCAAUAAAAGAACAAAUUGAAUACCAAUUUGAUGCGCAAAUUAACGUAUACCCUCUUUAUUAAUACAGAACAUCCAAAUCCUAGUAUGAGAUGUUGCAACGCUUCAACAUCACACACGUGCCAAUGACAUGAAAAGUCAACAACAAAUGUUUAUAUGGCAAUAAAGAUUCUUGCUUUCUUUGCCAAUCUAAUCGCCUAUUUCAGCUACCAUAUUUAUUUCAUGGAUGUGAUAAAUAUCAUCAAGAAUAUACAUCAUGACACCGAAUGGCAUCACUCAAUGAGAUUGUAAUUCAAUUAAGGAAAAAAUUGAUGAGAAAAACUUCCUACACAAUAUCAGAAUGAGGAUUAUAGGAACAUAAUUUAUUGCGGCAAGAGCCUUCUAUGAUCAAGAUAUCACAUGGAAAAAUGGGAAUUUCAAUCUUAUACAGUCAUUGGGGAAGCAUACGCCCAACUUAGGUUCGAUACAUAUCUUUACAAAAUCAUGAAGGAAAUAACAAAAAUCGUGCAUGGUCACUUUAUUAGUAAAAUUCAUCAAAUCACAAAGCACAAAUAUUUGCUCAUUACAAUUUUUCUUGAUGAACUCAUGACAUGCGUGACCCUAUCACAUAAUUUCAGUGUUCAAUCGAAUGAAGUCGACAUAAAACGAGCUCUCACAACGGUAAGUUCUAGUCUAGAAAAGUUGUUAAAGACGCACAUAGGGAACAGCGAGAGGGGGGCAAAGAGAAAAGAAAAGGCCAAAAGCAGUUCACUUCCCUUAGAACUACACCCUUAACAAAAUUCUGAUUAAUUUGACACGGUAGGCUACCACAAACAAUUUGGAGCAAAUAAAUUGAAAGCACUUGCAUUACUUCAAGGUAGGCCACACAUCACUUCUUCUCAAUGAGUAUAUCAAAUAGAACAAAAUAUGCAUAUUUGGAUACAUGUUGGGAGUUAUAAUUAAAAAAAAAAAAGUCAUCGUGUUUAAGCUCCAAAAUUAAUGAGGACAUAAAAAUAAAAGUUCAGGCUGGAAAAAAAAAUAAUUGCUAGAGCAUGGAAGUCGUUCCAUCGUUACACAAGGAAGUAAAAUUAGAGCCAACGUGAAUGUGGGAGUUGUAACCAACUCUUCGGCAUGUGGUUGUCAAAUCACACCAGUUUCUCAUGGGGAAAGAAGAUAGGAAAUUAUUUUGUGAUUGUGUAAUAGACAAUACAAAGCGUCCAGCUUAUCUUUGACCAUUUUAGACACCAUAGAUUCUCAAUCAAUAAAACGAUGAAAGAUACCAAAACAAAAGUUCUUAAUUAAAUCAAGUAAGUAAACAUAGCAACGAAUCAAACAUUGCUAGUUCCUUAUUAACAAAAAUAUUUUGAUUGAUCUUUGUUAGUAUAACGGUUUUUGGGUUAUUGUGAAAAUAACGAUAUGUUGUGAGUACAAAUUUUUGAAGGAAUGGAUCUCAUAAUAAUUUCUAAUUGUUUGUUAUUUAUUUUUUUGUGGCCCAAAAGAUGCUGUCAAUCUCAUAGUAAAUUAAGAACAGUACAUAAACAAUUCUCAUUUUAAUUAAUUGCACCAUCAAUGAUGAUUUUUUUUUGUUGGUUGCUUGAAACUGUUCGUCACUUGAAUUAUAUAGAGAUUUAACAAACAUGAUUAAUUUAUCCUUCUCUUCUCUGGCGACCAAAGUUCUUGGAGAAUUCUUCUUUUUUGUGGGCUAUUGCCUGAUGCUAGGAAAAAAAAAUUGAUCACACUUAGUGCGUAUGAUAAAAUUUCUACUUCUCUAUUUCUCUGUUUCUCUAUUUCCCGGAACAGGUUUAGAACAGAAAUCCGUUUGGUAACGCAAUCUGAUUUUUCUAUUUCUAGAACAGAUUUCUAUUCCAGAAAUAAAUUUGAAUAAGAAAUCAGAAUCUAAAAUUUUUAACUUAUAAAUUUCUGAAAUAGAAAUUUAUCAAUUUCUAGCCAGAAAUCAAUUUCUAUUCCAGAAAUUUUGUCAUACGCACCUAAUGAAUCAAUUUGUACAUCUCUUUCCGAUGCUAGUUUUCAUGUUGAUCAAUUUAAACUUUUUAGUUUGACUUUUUAACACUCCUCCAUAGCAUGAGAUAUUGUUGUUUGAACCAUGUAAUACGUGCUUAGACUUCAUGACAUUAUACUUUACUUGCAUUAACUCAGUCCUCGCUUAAUCUUUUUUUUUUUUUUUCCUUUUUUGAUUAGUCAAAAGCUCAAGUGAAUAUUUGCUCGGUCACUUUCAGGAAAAAGGAAGAAGUAAAAUGAGGUUAGCUAAUUCGCUGGAGAGCUCACGUGAAGAGGAGUUCGUGCUAGCUUCACUUCAAGACAAAGACGUAAAAAUGAUAGUUUUGAUAGCUCAUUCUCUUUCAUUGUACUCUGAGAUGUAUAUCUGUGCUCUUAUCGUUCGCUUAUAAAUGUAGUUUUUCGAGUGAAUCACGUAAAUUUAUUGUGGGGUUUCUUGACUCUUGAUUUUGUUUUUGUAAGGCUUUUUGAUUGCGCAAAGGUUUUAGUUCUGGGACUCGGUUUGCCACUUGUCCUAAAUGAACAUUGUUUUAUUGAUGAAAAAUUAUUCGAUGGAAUAUAACAUAGCACGUGGGUUUUACCGUCUUUUUCUUGUGUCUGGCGGAUUCUGUUCACAAUGAGCAUGGGAAAUUGCGAAAGUUGCUAAUGAAAUGUGGAUUUUUGGUCAUUCCAACAGAUUAAGACAACCAUAAUCUGCCCUUCCAAUCAAGCACAUGGCUCACAGAAUCAAUAAUGGAGCGCCAAGCACAUGAUGCCUUAAGAAAUAUUAUCAUCAUGUCCAGUGGUACACACUUCCCUUAGCCAAAUGAAUCUGGUCAAGAUUAGUUCAGAGGUUGUCUCACCAAUUGGGCCUUUGAAUAUUGUCAAUUCAGGACAAAACAACAGUUUGCCCGUCAUCGUGGCCAUUAAGUAAUCUCCUCUGGCCUGGCCUGAAUCAUCUCAAGCUCGCUUUCCCUUAUUUCAUAUAAAGCAAAGUGAAGUAGCAACGUUGCUUCCACUCCUCGCAGAGAAUACGUACACAACACUUCCUAGCGGGCAUGCACGCCAAUUUCCCACUGAGUACGAAUUAGAAAGGAAAAUAUAUACGAGCUGUAAUUAUUAUUUGUUUUGUUACACCAUCUUCGAUCGAGCAUCUGAUUAAUUUUCAUUAAAUCAUAAUCCAUCUUGACAACUUCCAUUAUAACUACCAACGCAGAGAUUUGCCUAGAUAGAUAUCAAACAUUUGGUACUAGAAGUGUGUAGGAAGGACGAAAGAUAGACUUUGAAUUUUUAACACGGGUAAGAUUUUUGUUUAGACGGUUUAAGCCAGUGGGUUGUAUUGGUUUUCUGUCAAUUUCCAGGAGAUUUAUUUUAAAGCUGUGAAACGAUUUCAUGCUAAUUUGAUCAAACAAUUUACAAGUCCUAUGUGAAUGAAACAUUGAUUACUCUUGAACAUCCACUGAGGGUGACUUGAGGCAUUGAGCUGCCAGUUAUACUUAAAUGACUAUGAGAAAUAACAUUUUUGCUGAACAAGUGAGCCAAUUAGCUGGCGACCUGAUCCUUGACCGUAUGAUGAAAUGCCCUAGCCCAAAAGAACAAGAUUUUCCGCAUGGUAUGGCCUUUACUCUGGUAAUACUUUUGAUGCCGAUCUCAAGGAUGAGACUACUGGAGUUCUAACUGACCACCAAUUUAUUGGAUAGUCUACACCAAAUGUAUGGACAUCAAGAAGAGACAAGUUUGGAUGAGUAAGAAUGAUUGGGAUGGCCAACUCAAACCUGAGAGGUAUCGCCACCAUUAGGGAUGAGCAUCGGUCCAAGGUUAACUCUGAACCGACCCUGGAUCGGCCCAACCCUGCCGGUCCUGGUCCGGUUCCUAGGGAGACUAGGUCGGUCCAAUUCGGACCAAUCCUGACUAUAUAUAAAUAAUAUAUAUAUCUAAUAUAUUAUUUAUAAUUUUUUUAUAUAGAGAAAAUCUUAAAAUAAACGGCGUUAACAAUAUUAAACAACUUUUUAGUGAGGAGUUCAAGUAAUUUUACAUUAUUUUUUUAAUAAUUUAGGUUUUUAAUGUCUUUUACGGCGUCAAUAGUCAUAAUUUACGAAUGAGAAAAAUAUUUUUGCGAGGAGUUCUCACGGCGUCCAAAAAGGUAGCUCAUGGCAUCAUCUUCUAAUAUUCGUUCUCUUCUUUCUUAUUUGUUCUCUUAGUCUUCAAUUUACUAAAAUUGAAAAAAACUUCUUCACUCACCACUCGACACUUGCCUCACUCGCUUUAGGUCACUCGUGCUGCUCACCGCUCGAUGCUCGCUUGGCUUGUUGCUCCCCGCUCAAUAUUCGAUGUUCAUUCUGUUCGAUGCUCACCCCACUUGACCCUCACCGCUUACCUUUCUUAGCUGACCUUGCUCAUCAUCGAACCCAUUGGGUCGGUAUGGUCCUCGGUUGCCCUUUUAAUGAGUACAAAAAAUGAAAUAAAAAAUUAUUGGUUAGUCCUGGGUUGACCUUGAAACUGGACCGAACCUAUUGGAUCAGUCCGGUCUUCAAUUACUUUUUUAAGGAGUAUAAAAAACGAAAUAAAAAAUUAUUAGUUGGUUCCAGGUUGACCUUGAAAUUGGACCAAAUUCAUUGGGUCAGUCCGGUCCUUGGUCCCAAGCUCAAUAGAGUGGGUCAUGGUCCCAAAAAUUGAGGACUAGCAUUGUGCGGGUUGAUCCUAGGGUUAAGGGGUGGACCAACCCAACCCGGAUCAUGCUAACCCCUAGCCAACAUUGUCCUAUUAGAUGAGCCAACGAAGUUGGCAUGAGGACGAAAAUGAACAUGAUCCAUCAGUAGAGACUCUCUCCACCAAGCUUGCUUUCCUUAUGGUUUCAAUUUCAUCAAGGACUUAAAUUGCAUUAUGAAAGUUUUUUAAUUAUGUUUUCCCCGUUUAUAAUUGUAGGGGGACUUUCUGCAUUUGGAUUUUCUAUUUGAUUAAUUUAAUGUGAUUUUGUUAGCAUAAAAAAGGAAGAGAUUGUUGAUCCUAAUUUAAUUCUGAUGAUUAAAAUUCUCACCCAAAUAUGUUAUUGAUUAUUUGGAAUUAUAAAUGUUGUAUGUAAGUUUUUUUUUUUUUUGGAGAGUUUCGAAAGGGUAAAACAAACCAUCUUUGAGUACUGUUUAUUCAACAAAGCUACCGAACUUUCGUCCAAGCAAUUCUAGAAUGCACGAAUUUUUCCAUUUGUGCACCCAUAAUUGAUGCAUUAUAAACGAGGGAUCAGCUAACAUUCGAUUGAGGCCAUCCAUCACAAACUUAGUUUCUCAUUUUUGAUUUCUCAUUCAUAAGAAAACAAAGUCAUGUCCAGUGUCCACAUCAUUCUUUCUAGCAGUAACGCAGAAAGAUAAAAUAAUCACAACUCCAGCAACGUUACCUUCUCAAGAGGUACAUAACCAGAGCUCACAUAUUUUCAAACACAGAACAGAAACUUCCCCCGAUGCUCUGUUGUCUCUCUUGCGAUUUGUUAGGCUCCAUUAGAGUUUUCAACUUAGGACAGUUUUCAAGAAUUGACUUCAACUUUCCAACCAUAGUUGGAACUUCUAAACCUGUGAAGAACACGUCAUUACUAGAUCAACAGAAAAGCGGACAACACAAUAAUGUUUGAGGGAAAAAAAAAAAACAAAUAGGUAUCAAUGGAUACCUACGAACAAGAUGAGAUUAUACUAGAGUCUGCCUCCCAAACACAAUAAGAACAAUUCUCAUCCUGGACUAGUCUACAAGACACGACUACAUUACACCGGUUUAAUUCCAGCAUUACACCGAGAGACAAAGCAUUCCUUCCAAUAGUUUUAACAAUAGAUCGAAGAUCACUUCGCUUUGGAACAAGCUGCUACUUAUUUUAAAAAACAAAAUAAGAGCUCUAAUUUCACAAAACUGGUAUUCGGGACAUUUAACUCUCGAGUUAAAAAAAUGGGUUUGGUUUUUCUUGGGAGGAGGGGGGUGGUUUAAAGCUGGAUUCAGGUAGGCAAAAUGACAAACAUCUGGUGGACGUCACCCAGAGGGGUUUCCUCAGACGAAGGUGAGGGGGACCAGCACUGGCGGUAGGAGAUGAUCUUGUUCACGUAGUUGUCAAUGGCUUCCGAAGCUCUAAACUCUCAAUCCACGGCUAAGCCACUAUUCAUCUUCACGGAUGAUUUUCUUCCGUUCUUACCUCGUGGAAUUUUGGACUGUACAGAGCAGUCCAAGGGGACUCCAUCACCCUCGCUCUCUUGCCUCACCAUUAUCAUUUCCACCGUCGGGACUUCAUUAUCCCCCUUGUAAUUGUGCCACAGCCUUCGUUCGAGCGCAAAGCAAAACUCACGACGUGUCAAAAAACGCUUUUGAAGAAGACGAGUUGACAGAGUACCGCGGCUGCAAAGGAGAGUUGCGACGCACGAGAGAUCAAUCGAGCUUCUUUGAAGUCAUCGGAAGAAAAGAGAGAGGAGGAAAUACAGACGAUGAAGAUUCGAAGAAGAUAAAAAGGUUUGAUCCAAGACCUGAUCUUCAACUAUUCUGAUUUGCUUUUUUUAUUUCCUACUGUUUUUACAGACUCAUCAGCGUUUACCAAGUGACGAAUCAAGUGCCCACGUAAUCCGCCACGUCAACCGUCGCCUCAUUUUGUAUACCAUGAGGCAGUAAAAUUUUAGUAGCUCUGGUAUCUUUAGAAUAAAAUUAGGUUGUUUGAGAUUCAAAUUGGCUAUAAAAAGUGCAAGAAUUAAUGGGACAUUAUAAAACCCAAAUACCUUUUUAUCUAUCUUCUCAUUCUUUUAUAUGCGAAAAACGUGACACCUCAUUUAGUAAAUGUGGCUGACGGAUAAUCUUUAUACAUCAUUUAUUCACUCAACUCAUAAGAUAACCACUAAAUCGGUUUUCCAAAAAUAUGGCAUUAUUAGAGUCAUGGAAGGUAUCAAUCAAAUACACCCUUGAACAUUAAGCAAGCUUGCUCUCUCAUAUUUUCGUGUUGAUCAAGCCAAACAAUACUUAAAUUCAUAUUGAGAAUUUUCGGUUUUAUGAUUUGAGUAAGAAUUAAGUCUAUCCACCAAAAUUUCGCAAGGAAAAUUUGAACAGCUAUCACCAAAUUUAGGUCUGGUACACUGCUCUUCAUAAUAUCAAAAGGGAAAGUAGAAACUAUUAGUUUGAUUGAUAUUUUUGAGUCAUAAUUCGCUUUCUAAUGUUCGCACCCAACAAUUAGUUUGAUGGCGAAGCUUGCAUUAAUACGGAUUUUGAAUUGGAAUUUAGCAAGCAAACAUAUAACAAGUUCUUCUAGAGCCAGCUCAAUCUAGUAUGUAGAUUCGACGCAUUCCUUCGUCUCUAGAUUGGCUGCUCUUAUUGAUUACCAUGUGGGGUUGGAAAGCAAGCGCAUACCUUUAUAAGGCAAACUGCUUUAAAAUCAUUAUUCAUUGUGUGAGAUAUCGAGCAUGAGAUACAUGGAUGGAUGACAUCAUGUAUGUGCAUUGAAUAUGGACUGACAUUUGUGUACAAUGCAAACCAAAUGCCACACAUGACAAAGUGUUACGUUGUGAAAGUCACCUCUUGAACCUCGUUGGGAUAAAUUAUCACAUGAUGGGAGCCACCUCUAACUUAAGAAUCCUAUUAUAGCGUGAUCGCUUGCGUACAUCAACAUGUUUAGCUAUAUAAUAUUGUUGUAGCAAAUUCACUCAAUGUAAGUUGAUUUGACUGUCAAGCGAUUGGGAAAACAAAUAACAAGCUUACUUUCCGAUUCUAGCUUGGCUCUAUGAAGUGAUUAAACUAUCCAUAAACUUUUUUUCCAAAGAUGGCUUUUGAUGGUGUGCGUGUAUGCGUGCUAGCUCCUGGAAGCAAUGGAUGAAAUGGUUUGACAGAGACCGAUCUAAUAACAGGACUAGCAAAUUGCUUAGAAAUUAAAGUGGAAGUGCUGCAAGGAAUAAAGGAAAGCAAUGCAAGAGCACCAAACUCAAAGGAAGAGCCGACUGAAAUAAACUGAAAACGAGAUUACUAGGACAUUAACAUUGCUGGGAUUGAAAUUAUUCACAGUUGUACAAAUGACGCUCGAAUGGAGACAAUGACAUGAACGUUACAACGAUACUCGAAGGGAAAUCAGCAGUAAUUUUGGCGGGGUUUUGGUGUAAUUUGAACAUAUCUUCUUUCUCUGCAUCUCUUUUUUUUUUUUUUCCGUAAGUCUUAAAUUCCCUUUGAUUAUUACUAGGUCGAUGAUCAUUUCUUAACUAAACUGCUUUCAUAUAUCCAUGAUUUCCUACCUCAACUGCCUUCAUGUACCCAUAAUUUCCCGACCUAACUAAAUUUCCGAUUCCUGAGCAUUUCUCAUCAACUACUUUGUCUCGUUCUAGCUUGGUAAAGUUUAUAACUGUUUCUGCUUUUUUUGAAUUCGAAGUAGGUCGAAGACUCUCUUUCUCAAAGUUCAGCGGAAUGGUCUUUCAUGAGCAUAAAAACGAAAUUGAACUUGAUACAGCUUGGCUUGUGAUUCUUUACUACCAACAUAUUGUUGACUUAUUGUUAUUAUUAGACGACAAUUCAGUCACACAACCAAAGCACAAAGUAAACCAUCAAUUCGCAAUAUAUGAUCAGCAGUCCAGCACGUUGAACGACAACAUCCAAAUCACUCCAUCCGAUCUCAGAUUGACCAACGACGAAGACAAAUUCGUUAUUAUCAUCUCUGAGGCAAAACGUCGAACAGGUGGUAAUCACUAAGGGCGAGGUGUUCUGCAAAUACGAAUUCCCAUCAAUUGGCAAGGAAUAUAACAUGAGAAAUCCCUCCAAAAAAUUGCUAGAGCGGAAGCGACGAAUUCGAGACCAAAUUUGAAGCUCUCUGCGAAAGGGCAAUACAGAACAAUCGUAUGAUUGAAUCUCGAUGAAUCGACCGCGUCCUACCCUGAGGGAGAUCCGAUCCGAAUGGUUACCUACUAAUAAAUGAAAGACACUCAAAAGACUUGGAGAAUCUCACGAAGGCGAAGCUAAGGCGACGAAUCAAUUCAGCGACGAAAUUGCUUGAUGAAGAUAUUCAGCUGCAACUGGCUCCGACCGCGGGCGUACACAUUGGAUUUGGUCCAGAGCGCUGAAGAUAAGAGAGAGAGAGAGAGAGAGAUUUUCUUGGUCCGGGCGUGUGUUCUUGCUUCGCUCAGUUCCUCAGCCUCUCCCGCCCGCACCAAGCGAGGGAGAAAGAGCACGAGAGAAGUUUCGAUCGGUGGUGAUGAGCGUCCGUUCUCUUCUCUGUCACGGCCAAGGUUGCGGUUACCGACGAGGAAGAUGGUGCAGACGAUCGAUUGAGGGUGACGGAGCUGAAAGGAAGAGGCGAUUGGUCCGAAUAGCUAGCUAGAGGAAUGGAAUGGGCCGGACUAGGUCUCCGAAGCGCUACCGAAUCGGAAUGAGGCCUUCUUUAUUUUAUUUUAUUUUAUUUUUUUGUAUUUGGUUAAUUUUUAUUCAUCCAUCAUUUUUUUAUUGCCCAUUUAUUUAUUUAUUUAUUUAUUUUUAUAUACGUCACAAAAAAUGCACGUUCGAUUUGUUGGGCGAAAUUCUAGGCGUCAACAAUUAGUAACAUUUUAAAGUAGCUAACUUUAUUAAUUUAAAAUGAGAGUUUACCAUUGAUAUUUUACUAGCGAUCGUGUUUUUAGCUGAAUAAACUCUACAUAAUCCAAUUAUGAGGUCGGCAGUUUUGUGAAAUUAAUUGACAGAUAAUUGAGUACAUGAAGUUCUGUAUAUUAUAUCACUUGAGAGUUAUUUAUACAUUUUUUAUUUUUUUUGGGCUAGCUAAAUAGGUGAUAAGUUGUCAUCCGAAGUAGUGAUGAAUCAUGCUGGUCGUUACAUCCUCAAUCACGUUCUUCACGUUGUGUAUUUUACCAAUAACUUUUUCCCACGAUUUAAUGAUUUAAAUAAUGCAAAAUAAGAUAACCUUGACUAUAAUGCGACUAUUUUGCCGGUUUUGGAUUCUGCAAUAAAAUAUCUUUAACUAAGUGUUAUAUUUUGGUUUUUAUUAAAGGAGACUUAGGUUUUGUGCUAAUAUUGGAUAAAGAGAGUCAAAUGCUGACAGAGCUAUAUAUCACAUAGUUCCCAAUAUUAUAAAGUCGCUUAAUAUGAGGUCAAAAUCAAUGAUAACCACUGUUGAUAUCCAAUCAACAAUUUGUUCCAAACUCACUUUAACAUACUAAUGAAAACCUAUUAAAAUCAAAGCAGUUUGUAUAAUAUCGAAAUUGAUUCAACAACACUAGAUAUUAACAAAAGCACAGAGAAAGCAUUGCUUUCAAAUGGGUUCGAGGAUACAACGUCGGAAUCUAAUCAAUAACGCUGGACAGUGGGGAUAAUACCUAAUAAACACAUCUUCUAAGUGAAUAUGAGGACGCGACGUCGAAAUAUAAUCAACAACACUAGAUGGUGGUAACAACACCUAGUAGACAUUGUUCCUAGAUGGAUAUGAAGACAUAAUAUUGGAAUCUAAUUGAUGAUGUUGGACGAUGGUAAUAACACUUAGUGGGUACUGCUCCUAGAUGGAUAUGAGGACACAACGUCGGAAUCUAAUCAACGACGUUGGAUAAUUGGUUAGUAUUAAAAUCUAAUAUACCACUACCUAGGAUAUGGAUACUUGUUGGAAUUGAAUUUACGAUGAAAAUCUUAAGCUACAACUAAACUAGACUAAGAUAAAAAGGUAAGAUAAAAUAGUUUUGUGUGUUGUUUGAAGGGUUUCUCUAUUGGAUUGCCUACGGUAUUUAUUGGCCAAUUUGUAAUUUUUGGUAGUUGAUUGCUUCCUCCUUAAAAGUUACUCCAUGUUCAACGACGAAUCGCCUUCUGGUUGCUUUCUAAUUUGUUCGACAAUGUUCUCAUGGCUUAUUUAGCAAGUAUUAACCGCUCAUUUGACUUUGGCGCCCUUUUAAGCAUCAACCAUUCCUGCACAAACUUCGUUGUCAAUUCCAUCUAAAUGUUAUGUUUUCAACGGCAUCUCUUGACUUGGACACGUGGCAAUCAAUUGCUCUAUCAUCAAAUCAUGUAUCUGUAUUUGUAGGUCCAUUGAAAUCUAGCCUGUAGGCUCUCGAAAUCCUUGGCCAUUCUUUGUUUCUAUGACUACCAUGGACUAGGCUAACCUAAAUCAUAGCCCAUGCGUGACAACGAGGGUGAUUUCAAAGGCUUUUAUCCCUUGUGAUCAACAUAUGAUAGCAUGGGUAUUUUUAGGUGUCAACAGUGACAAUUUAAUUCAAUCCAUCACCUGACAUCACAUACAGCUUUUAUAGUUGAUUUGAUUAUAUAAUUCUUUCAUUUGUUUGGGAUCACACAUAUCACUAACGAAGCAAGCAUGUAAAAGCAUUUCACAUUAUUUAUAAUUACUAGAACUUCAUAUGAGUUUCUAAAAAAACUGUAGCAUUUUGUAUUAAAUGCUAAAUAAUUUAGGAUCAAAAGCUAAAGUACAAUGAAGCAAGACAAGAAGUAUAGCAAAAUAGUACUGUCAUGUUCACUACAUGCAAAUAAUAUCUUCACUUUCUUAAACUUUCAAAUAUCAAUUUAUCGUGUACAUGCAACACUAUGAUAUUUGCCAUGCUGGAGAAACUUGAGCCAGACAUGAUGCCCUCUUCUAACUCUAAGGCUAAAUCACAGAUAACUCUUGUCAAACUGACCAAAUUCAACAACUCCAUCUAACACUCCCCACAGUGCAUUUGGUUUGAGAAUUUUAAUCCAUACGUGAUUCAAGUCAAAUGAACCGAGAGGCUCCCAAUAGCUCAUUUCGCCUUUGGCCAUGAACAAGUGGCACUAUGUUGGCAUCUCUCCUCCAAGGCGAACAUUUUGGUAAUAAGGAGGAAUUUGGGAAUAACAAUGCUUAAGGAGGAAUUUGGGAAUAACAAUGCUUCUGUUAUAUGGGCAUAUUUUUAAAAGGAUGUGAGUUUGUAGUUAGUUCAAGAAGAGUUUGAUUUUGAGCACAUUCCUAGUAAUUCAACCGCAGCUAGAGCUCUAUAAUAAUUAGACAUAUUGAUCCUUAGUUGCAUUAUAUACAUUACUCAUGCAAUAGAAAUCAUUCCCUUGUCAAUUUUGUAGCCACCCCUAACACUAAAUUAGACAUAUUGAUCCUUGGUUCCAUGAGAUAAGUAUACCUAGCCACUCACUUAGUGUCUAGUAUAAUAGACUUUCUUAUUGAAUACUUCGAUAAAGUUCUGAUUUACAAUAAUUGAUAUAGUUAUUAGCCAUGUAUUUAAGGUCUAUCUUGUGGUUAUGUUCAACCAUUAUGUAUUAUGAAGGAGCAUAAUUUUAACAACAAAUACAUGACGCAUUAUUUUCAAAUAUUUUAUGAUUUUUUUUUUAAUUUUUAUGAAUUCUCUUGAUUCUUAAUUUUUUUUAUAUUUAUUAGUUUAUUAUUAUUAUUUAUUUUUUAUAUCUUUUAAUUCAGACUAACACUUCGGGCUGGCUCUGGUCUCGCGGGUCUGGGGCCGAGGACACAAAUGGGCUUAUUCAAAACAAGCCCAUUUGAAUAGAAAAUCACCAAGCCCAUUUCGUUGAAAUUAAAAGGCACUAAGCCAAUCUUGCUAAAAACAAAAAACUCAGCCCAAGCACCUCUGAGACUAAGACCAGCCCGAAUCGAUUAAAACCACUCAGGUCCAAGAUCCAUCAAAUAACCCACGCCGUGCUUAAAUCCACACGACCCAUUCACGCUUCCUUCCUCUUUUCUCAUCUAAUUUUCUCUUUUUCUUUUUUUAUUUUCUAUUUCUCUUCCCUUCCCCUGUGCAUCACCUUCUUCCCGAGAACGACUUCUCCUUUGCGACCUCCUUUUCAACCUAAUCCCACCAUUUUCCGAUAAGCCCUAGCCGGCGCUCAGGCCACCGCCGAGCCACCACCCGGCGUCGGUCGUUCAGUCCGACAACGCCAGUCACCGCCGGCCAUCACUUGGUCGCCGGUCGUCCGUCCCUCGCGCGGGCCAAACCGAACCUCAACGGGGGCCAAACCGAACCUCAACGGCGACUUUAACGUCACCGAAACACUUCUAACAGAACAAGCACACAAAUGGAGUGGAUAGCAAACUAACUACGGUGGCCUCUAAUCGCGGGCUUCUCCAGCUGAAGGAAUGGCAUCUCCGGCGAAGCGUUUACGGCCGGACGCAGACGAUGAGAAAUAUGCCACCAAAAAAUCAAAGAAAACGCCGAUUCAGUGUCGGUUCAAUGAUUUCAUAAUGAAUAGAGCACAAAAAAGUAACAUUUCGAGCAUCUGGCUAAAAUUGAAUUCGAUUUUUCAUGGAGACGUUCCGUCGAACAGUUCACGUGCAGUUCGGAAUGCCACCUCUAGUUUCGAGAGCUUGCUGCGACGAACGGCGACGAGCCAGUCGGCUUCCCCGGAAGGUCGCGGGGGUGAUGAUCAAGGCGGACCACCGACGAAAUGAAAGAAUUCUCUCCUCUCGGUUUCAGAUUCCUCUUCGAAACACCUCCGGCUCCAGCCCUCCGAACCGAUCCCCUCUCUCUCUCUCUUCUUCUUCCUCUUUCGUUUCUGCUCCAUCCUUACCUUUUCAAGAAGAACAAAUUGAACUCCUAACGGGGAAAGCCCAUGGCCCAUACGGCAUUCGUCUCCAUCUUCUUCGCUGGCCGAUCCUCGCUGCGGUUCGAAUCGCCGCGACUCUCUCGUGUUCAAGCGCUGUCUCCAGGCGGCGAAUCUCUGCCUCGCUCGAUCAUCUCUGGCGGCAUUGAUCGUUUUCUCUCCGCAGCGAUGGUGCAGAAGCAGCACCACGAGUCCAACGCCGAGAAGCAGCCUCGCGUAAGCCAUGUCCUUCGCUUCUCUUGGUUGUUGCAGUUUGCAUUUAUUUGGGCACUCGUGACUAUUGCUUGCUCUUCGAUAUCCGAAGAAAUCCGAAAGUUUCAAUUGCUGUGAUAAUCUGUUUGUUGCAGCGAGGCCUCUGAAAUUGAGCUUUAGUGGAGGUGUUUUUGGCUAAGUUCUUGGUUGGAGUGUUCGUCGGUGGUUGUUUUCAGAAUCUGAGUCGACGUGAAUGUGGUAUGCGUUGAUGAACGGGUCAAAAAGCAGGGGAAGCAAGCGGAUGACACGCAGUUCCGAGCUCAGCUUGAUGCUCUGGGCCUGAAAAUUGUCCAGGUGACUGCAGAUGGUAAUUGCUUUUUCAGGUCUAUGUUCCUCGUUAGAAAAGAUCACCGUAUUGUUCAUGAUUUUGUUGAAUGUUUCCAGGGUUUGAUUUGUUUUGUUAGAUAACAGUAUUCCUCUCCGUUUUGGAAGAUUUAUGGUAUGCUCAUUGCAUUACCGCUCUGUCGUCAGAACACAACACAGUGCAUUUUGUGGUACACUGGUUCUGGAACACUAUCAUCGAUGUACUAGAAAUUCCUCUGUUGGAAAAAUUAUUGCAUUCCGUAUAAUUUAUAUCGAAGAAGAGCUCUAUUUUUCGGGGAAUGUAACUCUUUUAACUUGGUCUUGAGGAUAUUAGAUUGACUCUUCCGAUAUCCAACUAAGUAACUUUGUAAAAUUCUAUUACUAUUGUAUCGCUAUUGUACGACACCUAGAAAAACAAACCAUGUUCGUCAUUCCUGUUUUCAUUCCACAUAUUUGAAUUAUCCAUCCCCCUUUUCCCAUCGUGCGCCAUUGUUAAACGAGAUUGGCCAACCUGCUUCUUCAUUGUCCUCGAAAAGGUGGUCUGUAAAAGCCAGGAGACCACACCUAUGUCCCUUCUAUGAGAUAAGUGUGCCUAGCUAUUAAUUAAGUGUCUAGUAUAAUAGACUUUUUUAUUAAAUACUUAGAUAAUGUUCUGAUUGAAAAUAAUCGAUAUAGUUGUUAGCCAUUUGUUUAAGGUCUAUCUUAUGGUUAUGUUCAGCCAUUUUGUAUUAUGAAUUGAGAAUUUUAACAAGAAAUACACAAUGUGUUAUUUUCAAAUCUUUGGUCCAUUGAUUUUGUACUCCACUGGGGUCAUUCCAAUCAGAGUAUAGAAGGGCCAUUAUUAGAUUAAGGAUAGUUUACUUGGAAAAUAUAUAUAAACACACACACACACACACACACACACACACACACACACACACACACACACACACACACACACAUAUAUAUAUAUAUAUAUAUAUAUAUAUAUAUAUAUCGAAGAGUGCUAAUCAAGUUUAGAGUCACCACAAAAAAGAGGUGUGUCAGUACAAGGGACAAGGUCAUGAUGUUAUAUGACGUGCAGUGUGGCAAGUAAAUCAAUUUCAAAAUUUAAGCGUCAAGUAAGAGGACUGGCAUUUUAUAUGAUCAAUUUAAUUGGCUGGUCACAUCACGUUAGCCAUUAGCGAGAUCAAUUUAAUUGGCUGGUCACGUCACGUUAGCCAUUAGCGAUUUGCCUGCUGAAUAAAAUAAUUUUCUCAAACAAGGAGGUGGUCCCUCAAAAAGUUUUCAAAUGCUAGAAUUCCCAAGCUUGCGAGAACUUUAGGAAACCUGCUCCCUUCGAAGAAAUGCUACUCAUCUUCUUUUCUUGAGGUAUCAUCAUUAUUAGUUGGAGGUGGAUCGAUAGUCAUUUCACUUGAUGGAGCAUCGGGAACUUCACCCUGUACUAAGCUGUGACUUUCCUCAAUAGUUACAUCCUGCUUGGCCUGCCAAUCACUGGACACUUUAAUUUCUUUUGCGAAGAAGUAGCAUCCUCAUUCUCUUCCUGCAAUUUGGAUCUCAGUUUCAUCUCUCCCGAUGGAAGGCUUCCACUUGCAAUAGAAUCUGAAUCAGAAGCCAUCAUCUUCUGCCGUUUACGCAAGCAAACUGGAACUCGCUCAGCAACUCGCUUGCUGUUCCUCUUACGAAGUCCACUUUUUCCAGCACUUCUAGUCUUGCGAGGAGACAAAACACGUGCUGAACCAUCCUGUCUGGGUCCUGUCUCUGAAUCGCUGCUUUCUGAGGCACUUUUCGCAUUCGAUGACGCACUUUCACUCUGACAUUGUUUCAACCGUGACCUAUCAGAUGAGCUGGCAGAUUUCUUCCUAGUUAGAACAUGAGACUUGGAGCCAUUAGAUGAAGGAUUUGGUUUAUCUUCGGGAUCACCAGACCCAGGAGAACUCACUGUUGCACCUUUUACUAACUUCAAAGCCUGAAAGAGAAAAAAAAUACGAUGAACAACUGGACUAUUUUCCCCUCAUCGUGCUAGAUACAAAGCAUUGGUACACUAAAUGCAUACCGAUCUGUAACAACGAGGACCACAUGGUACAUUUUCUUCAUCAGUAUGGCUCCAUAUAGGUUGUUUAUCCACCUGAUAAAGAAGUUUGAAAAUGACGACUAAGAUGUAAUUUCUUUUAAACUAAGAAUACUGGUAAAAGAUGAUAUAAGAUUCAGGAAAAAGUAGUUCCAAGGGAGUUUCUUACGGGUAACACAAGAUCCUGAGAACAUCCAUGUAAUCUGCAAUCAAAAACCUGCAAAUACAUAAAUAAUAAAGAGACAUCCUGAGCAAUAGAAUGAAAUAGAACACAGAAAGAUAUGACAAAAUGCAGGAGAGAUCACUUACAAGACAUCUACGACAAAACAGGUUAUCAAAAGAAUCUAGAGCAGCGUCAAGAUCUUUAUCGAGAAAAGAACUCACUGUCUGAGAGGUUUCUUCAUUAUCCCCAUUCUUAGAGCGGCCCACAUCCUUCUCUUCCUUAAUAAGGACUUCAUAUCUUGCCUGUAUAAGAUGUUUGAUGGUGUUUCAUUUCUAUGUAAAGCCAGCAGAAAGCAAAUAGGCAACGGCUGGACCAUAGUUACACAAUGACCAGUUCUUUUCGUAAUCACAAAAAAGAGAAGCAUAAUGAAUGUAGAAAACCAAUCUAUCAAGAAACGUCAGAGCACAGUGAAUUGUUUAUAUUAUUUAUGCUCAUACCUUGACUUCAGAAGGGCUUCUAGAUAAACAAUUUGCCAAUGAUUCCAAAACUGAAUCAGAUAAACCGAGUUCUUUGAUGGUCAUGCUGGCAAAUUUAGAAAAUCAGAAGAAGAUUACAUCUCCGAUAUUUUUCCAAUAUCAUAUCUGUUGGCAGAAAGAAGACUACAAUUCCAAAUAUUUAAAAAGCAGCAAAAGAAUCCUUCCUAACAUAGGCAAUGCUGAUUAGAUGCAAAUGCCAGCUGCUGAAAGGACGAUCGAUGUAAAUUGUGAUGAGCAGAUACUAAGGAAGUUCAUUCUAGCAUCAAUAGUUAAAAUUGGCACAGACAGAGAAACUGAAAAGAUUCCAAAACCGCUUCAAAGGCACAACGGGUAAACCUGACAACAGGUCGUCUUCCAUCAAAAACAACUAAUCAUGCUUAAUGUGUGAGGCAGGAGAAGCCAGCAACCAAGAAGUGGAAAUCCCAUUUCUUUAGCUCUCACUUAUGGAAUUAGGCCCAAAAACAAAGAAACUUUGAUGUUUAUCUCCAUGUCCAAAAAUAUUUGAAGUGGCAAAUAUGACAGUCAUCCACAAUAAAUCAUAGGACAAAUUGAAAUUCACGUUUCCAAGAUCCUUUAUAGAAUAAAAGCCACACCUAAGCUAGAAUCCCACCACUAAUAUAAAAAAGUUAUGACCAAAACGUACAGUCAACCCAAUAAGGCUCUUAGUCUUCCCUAAACAUUGUCAGAGCGGGAACACGAAAAGGAAAGGUGACAAAACACUUUGAAUGAAAAAAAAAAAAGUCCAGAAAGACAGACUGAGAUUUGUAAUAAAAACCAAAUGAAGAUGCUUUCGCAAAUUAUGCUACUAUGCCUUUGAACAUAAAACGAGGGUACUUCAUAGAAUUGAAACCUAAGACACUCGGUCUAAGUAGAUCCAAGUAUGCACCUUGGAAAGAUUUUCUUAGUCCCUUGAAAAUUAAAUCUAACAAUUAUAUAGAGAAAAGACACGUCCUAGGAAACUUGUCCAACCAGACAAAAGGCCAGACAGGGCAUCCCAGUGCAAGAGGUUUCUAUGUAUGGGAAUCAGAUGAAGGUCAAUGCGUGAAGUCUAGGCCCUGCAUCACAGGGAGAAUAAUUCCCUGACUAGCCAAAACAAGAACUCCAGAACAGUUAGAUAACUAAAUAUGAACACACAUGAAGAUGACAGAAAAAAAUCAGUUAUACCAACCGAAGAAUAAAAUCUUCAGAAUCCACAAACUCUCGCUUGUCCUCUUCUUCUUCAAUCGCCUCCUCUUCACUAUCACUGCAAAUAAGUGCUUCCCCGCCAUUCUGAUCAUAAUAUAUUCUUCUUCGACCCACAACUGACUGAUCCUCAGUCAUUCUCUGAUUUCUGCACUAGAGUAAAAAGGAUAAACAAAGUACUCCAGAAAACAAGCCAACAACUAAUUUUAGCAACUUCUUCAAAGAGGGGUGACUAUAGUAUCUUAUGAAAUCAUGCGAGUUGAUGUUCAGACUUAGCCCACCCUUUCAAUCACUUUCUUCUAAUACAGAAUCAAUUGAGGAGAACCCAGAGAGCAAAGGCCUUAUUAUUAAACUUAGGAAGUGGUAAAAAGCCAUAGAGUUUUUGCACACGCAGGGUGGAAAAAUCAGACAGAAAGAAAUCCUAGAUAGGGAAGAGAAAUCACAAUCUCACUAACCUGUCCAGAAAAAUCCAUGUUGUGAAAGGGAGUAAUCUUUUCACUUCUGGAAGCUUGAUCGUGCGAACAGCAUUCUUCGCAGGGAUACUAGAUCCAAGAAGAACUGGCGUAGAACCAUGAGCAUCCUCCAGGUAGUUAUUGCUAUCUCUAUCGCCAUUGUUUGCAUUAAUACCAUUUAGCAUGCCAAGUGCAUCUGCUUGCAUCUUUUUCAGUAGGGCUUCACUAUUACCAGCGAUGUUGUCGCAUGUAUGAUCAUUUCUUUGCUUAGACGAAUUAAAUAUUUCUUCUGUAACACGUGCCAGCUUCCGUCUGUUUUCUUCAAUUCUUUUCUGGAAAACAAAAAUAGGAAUAGAAAUUAUGUGGAGUUCAUGUUGGUUUUCUUAAGAACAUAAUGAACUAACACAAUCAAGAAGAAAAAUUCUACCACGGCGUACCUUUAUAAUAACAGCCCGAUCAGCAGCAACUUGUUUCUUGAAACCAUCAAUAACAUUUGCUAUCUCCUUGACAGCCGAGACUGUUUCAAGUGGCCUUAGAGCCUGCAGAAAACCAAAAUUCAUGCAAUGCUUAAUGUAAAUGGCCUGUGGGUAAAUACAUUCUCAGCUCCACCGUGACAGCACCCAGCACACGCACCCCGGGUGCGCUUUGUGAUGAGAAGGAUUCGGAUUUUUUUUUUUUUAGCAUUUUAGGGGGUGUUUGUUUGUGUUCCUUAAGUUUGUUUAUGAACACAAAUUCUAGUUUUUAGAACAUUUUCAAGAAACAAUUUUUCUCUCCUAUUUUUUUGUUCUUUUUCUUUUAUUCCUUUUUUUUUUUUGGCUGAUUGCCAGCCUCGGCCAUGACCGGCGACCAGUCGUCGAGGGCCGACGACCUCGCCGGAGCAUUGCCGACCCCUGGCGAGGCCGAGUGUGUCACCGACCCCUGGUAAGGCUUAGCCUCGCCGGAUCUGGGCAAGAUCGAGCUCCCCUAACCAAGGUGAGGCCGCCAGCCCUCAUCGGCCGAUCGCCGGCCAUGGCUGAGGCUGGCGAUUGGCCAAAAGGAAGAAAAAAAGAAAAAAAGAAAGAAAAAGAGGAAAAAUAAAAUAGAAAUAUUAAAAAAUUAAAAGAAACAAAAAAGAACACAAAUUUACCAAACAUGUUUCUGUUCUUUUUUUAUUCUAGAAAUAAUUUUACCAAAUGUGUUUUUCUGGUCAAAAUUUGUUCCUCGGAACAGAACAGAAAAAUCUAGAACAAUUUUUUAACAGAAACGUUACCAAAUGCAUUUCAACUUCGAAAAAACUAAUUAUUUAUUUAAAAAAUAAUUAAUUUUUUGGGGAAUAGGUGGGGUUUUGAUAAACAUGCCGGAGAUUGUAAAGGGAAAAAGAUGGCAUUGACCCCAAAAACAAAAGAAGAGAGAGAGAGAGAGAGAGAGAGAGAGAGAGAGAGAGAGAGAGAGAAAUUAAGAUAAAAAGUGGGGGGAAGUAUAAAUAUUUUUUUAGGGGGAAAAGGUGACGUGGCGAGGGGAUUUUGAAAAUUAGGGGAGCCUUUGAGGGUUUUGAGUUUUGAAUAGGUGGGGACAGUUGGGACGUCGAUGUCUUCAUCUUAGGGCGCGUUUGGUAACGAUUCUUUUUCCGAGAGUAGAUUCUGAUUAGAAAUGAUUUUUUUUCAUUCUGUUCUCGGAAACAAAUUGUAAUCAUUUUAAGUCAUUUGGUAACUAUCUAAAAUUUCUGAUUCUGGAAUAGAAUUGCGUUUAGUACCGUGCUCAUUGAUUAUGUUUCAAAUCAAUUUCUUUUAAUUUUUAAAUAAUUUUUUACUUUUUUCCUUUUCUUUUUCUUUUAGUUUUUUUUUUCUCCUAUUCUUCGUCUUCUUCAAGGGACCGGCGACUGGCCUGACGAGGGCCGACGACCUCAUUGGAGUGUCACCGGGCCUCAGCGAGGCCUGUCUGGCCAUCGGCAGGGCUAGGCGAGCCUUGCCAGGGCUGGGCGAGCCUCGCCGGUGGCUGGGCUUGCCUUCGGCGAGCUCACUGGACCUCGCUAGAUUGGUUGCCAGCGACUGGCGAACGGCGGUGGCGGCGUCGAUGGGCGGUGGCGACAGUGGCGAACGGUAACAGAGGAGGGGAGAGAAGGGUUUCCCUUUUUUUAUUCUUUUUUUUUGUUCCCGGAACAAGAAUCAAUUUUUUUUAAUUCUUCAUUCUACUCCAAAACUGUUCCCGGGAAUAAAAAUUUUACUAAAUGCGAUUAUGUUUUCAAACUAAUCCUAGGAACAAAAAAUCAUAAUCAGGCAUUAUUUAGCACGUUACCAAACAUCCCCUUAACUUUUGGAUGUACGAGUGAGCUAAGCCCCUGAGCUCUGCCUCUCUUGUCAAUAUGGACAAGAUUCGAUUGGACAACUUAUUUGUCCGAAUUCAAGGGGAGAUAAUUGUUUUGACUUUUCAAGUUCUACCACAUGUCCUUGCAAUCCUCAAAUCGGUCCGCCAUAGCCCCAAUCGAUGAUCUCAGCUGGUUUUCUUGUUGAAUGAUUUGGGGUGUGCAAAAUAAUGGAAAGCCAUCAGGAUUCUCUAGAAUUGAAUUGGAUCGGAUCGGAUCAAAAUUAGUAGUUUUUAUGAGGAUUGGUCUGAUUAGCUGAUCCAAUUUUCGGUUUCAAUUUAGUCAAAUCAACAAGUACUAAUCCAAUUUCUAGUUUUAGGUAAUGGAUUAUAUUUAAAAAAAUAUAUACCUCAAUUAUUUAAUUAUUUUAUAGUUUUUCAACCAAAUAUAUAUAAUUAUUGAACAUUAUUUACUAAUUUUGUCUAUUGGGUGUGUAAUAUGAGUAACUCCCUAAUUUUCUUUUUCAUUAUAAUAAUCCAUUUACUUGUUUUAUCAACCAAAACAAAAUAAAAAACGAAGAGGAAUGAGAGAACCAAUUGGAAAUGUUUGUAAAUGUUACGGUGCUUUAUCAUCAUGACACGAAAUUAAAAGCCAAUGGCUCGUUUUAUGAGUAUAAUUAGGUCUUUCAUUAAUUAUUCUCAUGAUUAAAUAAAUGUGAUGUUGAAAAAUGAUGGAUCAAAUGAUUAAGGUUUUAGGAUCUAUUUGCCAAACAGUGUUUGUUUCCGGGAGUAGAUUUGGAACAGAAAUGUAUUUGGUAAAAUUUUUGUUCCCAGAAGUAGAUUUGGAACAGAAUCAAGAAUAAAAAAAAAUUGAUUAUUUGUUUUUGGGAACAAUUCUAGAAUCAAGUCAAUCUAUUUUUUCUUUUUCCUCUUCUUUCUUCUUGUUCUUCUUCCCUCUCCCUUGUUCUUCAAGUGUUACUGCCGCCACCAUUGCCGUUUGCUGCCGUCGGUCACCAGCGAGCCUUGCCUGGCCGAGCGAGGCUCAACCUCGCCAAGAUUUGGCUCGGCCGACGAGGCAUGGCCUUGCUGAGGGCCGGUAACGCUCCAGUGAGGUCAUCGGCCCUCGUUUGGCCGGUCGCCGGUCAUCCCAAGGCGAGGCCACCUUGAAAAAAAAGAAGAAGAGGAGAAAGAAAGGGAAAAAAAAUAAAAAAAUAAAAAAAUAAAAAAAUAAUUUAAAAAAUAAAAAAUGAUUUGAAGUAUGAAUUGAAAUUUUGUUAUAUAAGAAUACAUAUUUAAAUUUUGAUUUUGAUUUGUUAUUUAGUAUUUAUAUUUAUAGUUUAUACUAUAGUUUAUUAUUUACUAUUUAAUAAAAAUUUGAUUAGUUAAUAUUUUUAUUACUUAAUAUAAAUAUAAUUAAUCAAUAGAAUUUUAGAAUGGAAUAGAAUUCUAAAUUCAAAUUCUUUUGAAAUUGAAAUAUAAUAUAAUAUAAUAUAAUAUAAUAUAAUAUUAUUUCUUCACUCAUAAGAAGACAUUAUAUUGGUGAGUGGUCCAUGAGAAUUCAAUAUCAAAUUUACACUCAUCUAAGAAUGUAAUUGAAAAAGAAUUGAAAUAUAAAUUUUAUACAGUUACCAAACGCAUUUAUGUUCUUUUUCUAUUCCAAAAUCAGAAUUUUUGUGCAUUUACUAAAUGUUUUAUUUUGCUCAGAAAUUGUUCUCAGGAACAGAAUAAAAAAGAAUCGUUUCUGAUCAGAAAUUGUUCCUGAGAACAAAAUGAUUACCAAACGCACCCUUAACUUUUAUGGAGAUUAUGACUUUUAAGGUGGAGUCUAAUUCUUGUCUAUAUGUUUUCAGUGUUGAGAAAUCCUAAGAGGAUUACACCAUAACCUUCGAAAUAAGUUUUUAACUAACGAAUAUAGCAUAUUCGUUCCAUCGAAUAGUUUUCAAUCCUUAAUCGAAAUUAAUGACUUGUAAUUCAACCCGAAUAUAAGGUCGAACAAGCUUUGGUGCUUUGAAUAAAAACUAGGUUCACCAUGAUAUUAAUUGAUGAAUGCAAUUUUAUAGAAAUUGAAGAUCGAUUCCAUGGACCAUCUGGGAAUUGGAUCGAACCAGAAAUCCAAUUUCUAGGUGGAUCCAUGAAACCAACUUAUAGGUCCCAAUUCCAAUUUUUUUGAACUGGUCCAUGAUGGACAAUUCCCAGUUUCAAGAUGGGAACUGUCAUGCUCACUCCUAGGAACAUGUGGUUUUCUUGUAGUGAGGAAAUAGCCAAGGAUGGAGGUGAUCCUAAAAUUGGUAUACUUAUUUGCAUAAACUCAUCAAAUCUUUAAGUAAAUUACAUCGGAAAUCCAUGAAGCAUUGGCCAGAUGAUAUUGCUAUAUACACAAGACAGAUGAUAAUGCGAAAUACUUAUUCAAAGCGAUCUAAUUUUCUUUUAAAUAAGAAUUGCUUAUAACUUUAAAAGAUGCCUACAAUAGAAUCUUAAGGAAAGAAGACAGUAGAGUAGCCAAGCUGUCAUAACCUAAUAUUGUUUCUAAACUAAAUGGUAAAUCCCUAAGAACUUAAUCAAUUUUAAAUCCAGUUUUCAUCAAAGAUCUUCACAUUUUUUAUGCUAAACUAAUUCUAAACUAGAAUUAACACUAAAAUAUAGUAAAACUACUCAAAAUCUAAUUUCUAUUUUUUUCCUAGAUUUUGAAUUUUUAUUCUUUUAUUCCGAAAAAUGGGGACUCAGAUCAGUUUAGAAGAGCCAGUCCAAAUGCGAGUCUCAUCUAGACCUUGUGUGGAUUAUGUAAACAAGAGCAUUAGGUUACGCUGAACUUAUUCCUAUAAAAUGGUCCUAUUUCUUUUUUUGUUACUAGAAACAAAAAAAGUAGAUUUUUUUUUUUCAAAAUUUUUGUUUCAAAUUUUUUACCCCGUUUACCUUGGCUUCCAUUACCUUGCUUAUUUGCCCCUUUUGGCGUGAAAGGAAUUUGUAGAAGAAUUCUUCGAACUUCAUUUCAUAGAUUGAAGCUAGAUUCACUAAUUGCUUGUCUCCUAGCUCAUCUUUCAAAUCAUCAUCCAUUUGCUUGCAUCUUAGCACAUAUCCCAACUUUAUGGUUCCACCUGAUACGCUGAGUGUGAGGCUAAAUCGUAAGCAAUCAUUGUCAAAUUCAAGAAAAUCAACUGCUCCCUCCAACACUCCCCACAGCACAUUCGGUUUGAGAUAUUGAAUCCACAUGUGAUUCGAAUUAAAUGAACCGAGAGAUCCCGAUAGCCCAUUCCAUUUUUGGCCGUUAAGAUGGGGCACGAUGUCGAAAAAUAUUUCAUUUUCUCCAUCUUCUACAGUGAAAACAACAUAGAGAGCUAAUCCCAAGAACUUAUCAUAGAAGUCUUGUGAAACCAUGAAAGAUAUGGUACUGCCUUCAACAAUGAUGAACUCCUUUGGCAUAUCUCCUCCGGGAAGAAUAUUCAUGUAGUAAGGAGCAAUUUCAGAAUAGCGACACUUCUGUUAUACCAAUAAAUUGUUAGACGUACUAAAGUUGAUAAUUAGUUAAAAUAGAAGAGUUUGAUUUGAGAAUUUUUCUAGUAAUUUAACCAAAGCUAGAGUUUUUGUAAUAAUUAAACAUAUCGAUCUUUCCUUGCCUUAUAUGUAAUACUCAUGAAAUCAUUCACUUCACUUGCAAGUAUUGUCGUAGCACAUGGUGUAGAAUCACUCUACGUUAUAUUUGCUUAUUUGUAUAGAAUUUUCAGUUUUUGCGUUAUACAAACACAGUGCGCCUAAUGUACACUCCAACAACAAAUCAACACAUGCACUUAUCAAUCCACGCGUAUCCCCGGGGGCUAGAGAGAGAGAGAGAGAGAGACCUCAACUGAUAAGUCAGACCAUGACAUGUCACCCAAGAUUUCCUUGUCUGUUUCUCUUUCACUUGUACCAUCUGCCUCUGACCUUGAUUGGUGAUUAUCUUCAUUGAGGGACAACUGCUAUUACAUAUAAGUGUAAAAUCACAAUAUAUUAGCUUGGUUUGUUUACUAGCUUUUGCAGUUUUGCAUUAUAAAAUCACAAACACACCCCAAUCGCGGAGAGAGAGAGAGAGAGAGAGAGGCAGAGAGAGGAAGAGACCUCAACUGAAAAGUCAGCCAUCAUAUCCGUGAGUGGGUAGUUAUCCAUAUCGUCGUCUUUUCUUUUCUUUUUUUUGGGUCGAAUAUUGUCGUCUUCUUUUGAGUUUGUUUGAUAAUUAUCUUCAUGGUCCACGGGCCGCUGUUAUAUAUAGGUGCAAAAUCACAAUAUAUUAGCUUGUUUUGUUUACAAGCACUUGCAGUUUUGCAUUAUAAAAACACAAAGCACCCAUAUCAGUCACACACACACCACAAUCGCGGAAGGGGGGGAAGGGAGAGAGGGAGAGACCUUUUCCAGAUCUAAGAGGUCGGCCGAAAUUUCUUCCACUCCGGUCUUUUCUUCAUUGUGAUGCCAAAUCUCAUAAACCAAACUUGGAUCUAACAACUCAUCAUCUUGAUUCAAAGCCUCCAAAUUGUCCUCUAGUGGCUUGCAUAUUAAUCGAAAUCCGCACUUUUUUACAAUUGCAGCAUUCGAUGCUUUAAUGCCUAACCGGAAAGAAAUUGAAUCAUUUCGACCAAAAGGGUCUACUCCCCAUAGGUCCUUUAUUGCAUGCAACUGUAAUAACACACGUUACAUAUACGAUAUGGGGAACCUCCUUGGCCCUACGAACUCAUGUUCGCAUCUGCCAUUAGUGUAUAAACUGAGCAUUAAUUCCUUUGGUUUCCCUUCCUUUAGUCCUUCCUUUACUAGUAAUACAACACCGAUAGCUAAUUUUAGGAACUUCUCAUACAAAUCCUUCGAAACUGUGAAAGAUAUAUAACCCUCCUUAUUUGGGAGUAACCAUUGCGGCAUCUCUCCUCCAGGUAGAAUAGUUUCGCAAUAUGAACCAUCAUACGAUUUCCAAGAUCGCUGUUGUAAAAGUAAACUGUUAAGAUAUUAUUUCAAAUUCGACACUCGAAAAAGAGGAGUUUCAAUUAGUCAAAUUUAGCUACAAUUAGCGAUAUAUGUACACGACUCCGUAUUAAUCAAAGAGGGAGGGAGGGACGGAGGGAGGGAGGGAGAAACAGAGAGAGUCUAACCUCACUACGGACCGGAUCACGAAAUAAUUGGUUAAUGGACAAUAUGUCGGGGGGAAUUUUGCUUAGAGAUUCACAAUUCCUUGCUAUCACUUGAAGCAAUUGCCUUACGCCUAGCCGUGGCCCGGUGAGGCCGAGCCUCGCCGGUGAAACCUCGCCACUCUCUUGUAGCUGUCCACGUUCUGAAACAUUCAAUUCAAGUAAAUGAUGUAGGUGCCCGCCCGUGCACUCUAGAAGCUUAGCAAAUUUUUUUUUGCACAAAUCCAAACACAUUAAGGAUGGAAAACAUGAAUGAUUCUCUAGGAACUCUACUUCUUGUAGAUUGGAUCCCCUAAGCUCUAAGAACCCUAGCUUGGGAAAUCCUGUCUUGCUACGCAGAUCACUCGACUCCUCCUCCUUUGGAAACUUGUUUAGUUUUGAACAACAAACAAGCCACAAGUUCCAAAGAUUUGGCAACUUGUAAAUGAUGGAUGGAAGGUUUGCCAAUUUCUUGCAAUAAGAUAUACUCAAAAUUUCCAAAGAGACAAGAUUUUCCAUGGAUGCAGGAAGUUCCUCAAUUGAAGUCUCAUCUAAAAAAGUCGUUGCAAGCAUUUCAUUUUAUCCGGAAUAUCAGGGAAUCUACGCAACUUUGAGCAACCACGAAGAUUGAGAACUUGAAGAUUCUUGGGUUGGAGUAUAUCAGGAGAUGAUGAAAGUUAGAGCAACCUCUUAGAUUCAACAACCUCAACUUGGCAUGAUAUGCAACUGAUUCGUGAGCAUGCUUCAAAUUUUGCACCCACUGAGAUCCAAUUCCUCGAGAUUUGGACAAAAAUCGAGGUUCGGCAUACAAACCAUGGACAGACAUUCACUGAAGUAAAGGAACUUCAAAAUUUUAAAGUCCUGCAAGAAAUAUCCACAUGGUUAGAAAAUGAAGAUAAAAAUAUUUAAUGCAAAACACUUGAUCAUCAUUCAAGACCCGUGUGAUAAAAAAUUAGUUGAUCAUAUGGUGUAUACAGAGCACUCCCACUCCCUUUUGAAAUAUGAGUUUAUUAAGCAAUCCUUGGCCAAAAGAGAAGAUUAAAAAAAGAAUAAUACUCGUAAUUUCACCACACAAAAGCUCUAUCAAGCGACAUACAAGAGAAAUCAUUCCAAUGCUAAGUAGCGUGGCCACUUCUACUAUGUAUAUGUUUAGAACCAAUACAUGUAAUUCAGAGAGAGAGUGUGACCUCAAGUGGGAGCACAUGAGCCAUGGUCAUAUCCUUUGCCAGCUAAUUCAUGACAUGAAUUUAAGCUAACAUAGGUGGCACUUGAUGGACCUACAAUCUUAUGCAGAGAUAUGCAAACUUGCCAUAAUGGCGGUGGAAGCUUGGGAAUCUUUGGUGUCAUCACUUAUUAGGUCAUGGUGCUUGGUUGAUCGAUUUUUGAGAAUCACACAUUUCGUUAAAUGUAGUAGACCCUUGAUCCGUUAUAUGUUGCUGAACUUUAUAUUAGUGAAAUUGUGCACCCACGUGGUAUUCCAAAGACAACUCCUUACGUUGUGUAGUGAAUGCAUCUUUUAAGUCCUUUGGAUCUUACACCAUUAUCCACCACUAAUAUGGAGAAAGAGCUAAGACAAUCAGUAAGUUACAUGAGGAAGUGAGGAAGAGAAGUCCGAAGCAAAAUGUCAAAUAUCCCAAUCAAGGCAAAAAAUAAAUAAAUAAAUAGAAAAGCCUGCUGUUUUUAAAGAAGGUGAUCUUGUAUUGAUUCAUUUGAGAAGAGUGCUUUCCACCUAGUCGUGGUGCGACGGACAGUUCUUUUCUAGUUUUGGAACACAUCGAUAAUAAUACCUGCAAAAGUGAGCUUUGUGGAGGGAAUGGUGUUUUCACUAGUUUCAAUGUUGCUGAUCUAUCACUAUGAGGUUGGCCUUGAGGAGGAGUCUUUUCAAGAUUUCAAGAUUCUCUCUUGUGAAUGGAAUAAUAGGGAUAAAAUAUAUUUCUUGAUCAGUGAGCCUGUUUUAUACUUUUUAGUAUUGUUUUAGUCUCGAUUACAAUGUGAUAAUGUAGUAGCUUGUUUGAAUUUUGUAUUUCGGGACUUGGAGGUUACUCAAAGGUACGGUCGGCUCCUACUUAUAAGUGCCCUCUCGGUGUCUCAUGGUAAACACAAUUAAUCUAUUAAAAGAAGUUUCAUUCUAUCUUUUCUUUGUCUUUCUCUCUACCCUUUUAGGGGAUUCAUGAGUGAACGAGAGAGUGCUGCAUCCUUGGACUGGCCUACAAAGGCGGUGAUUUGGCCAAGGGAGACCUAGUGUAUGUUGUCUCUUUCCUAUCCUCCAUAGUGGGGUUUUUCCACUUCAUUAAGAUUGAAAAACCCCUUCUAUUUAUUUGUUCGCUCAACACAUUCCGGCGUCAAUGUGGCCGACAAGCAUGACAGCAAAAUUUGAAAGUCCACGAAGUUUGUCUCUUUUGAGGCAUAGGAAGAGAAAACUAAAAGAGUAUGCACAAGAUUUGAAAAAAAUUGAUAUCUGAAAAAUUGAGCAAAACCACUAAAUUAGAAAUAUUUAAUGGAAAGAAAUUGUUGGUAAACACACAAUACACAAACAUAGAAUGUAUGUAGGAUAUUUCAAGAUUAAAAUUUGCAAUAAGAAAUUUGUUAUGGGAUAGAAAAGAUUAAAAUUUAGAUUGUGAAACAGGUGAGAGAUAAAAUAAAUUAACAGUUUCCGCACCUCUCAACGAAUACAAUAUUUGUAAAAUAAGUAAUCGAGACAUUUUGGGGAAGGAAUUAAAUUGAAAUUUCUGCGGAAGGUCACCUUUACUUUGUACAGUAGUAUUUAUAUGAAUAUAAAUAUAAUACAUAUAUACAUAACUUAAGAUUAGAUUUAAGUUUAAAUAUAUUUAAAUUAGCAAAGUGAGCCUCUUGCUUCUCUUUAGAAAGCCCUAUUAGUCAUGCGUGAAAGCCAUUACGCGCUACCAGCGUCCUAGAUGUGGUGUGCUAGCACGUCUACAAAGUAAGACUUCCAUGAAAUUGUACUCCACGAGCUUUUAUUUAAAAUAGCGGGAGAAGGAAUGGCUGGUCAAUCUAUCUCCCCGAAGAGUCACUUUUCGUCCUGUGAUUUCUUACCUAGGAAUAAAUGGAGUAAGGGCGCAACCAAAUGGCCCGAUUGAAAGGAAUGGAGGGGAACGUGUUACACACUUGGAAGGAGAAGGAGAAACUCCCAGUUAUAUUUGAAAAUGAAUAUUUUACCCAUAAAGAUGAAGAUAACUUUCUUGGAGUUCCGCUUAUUCCUCCUCCUAAAAAUAAAGAAGUACUUGCCAGAAAUCUAUGGUUAGGUCGGCACAAUAAAAAGAGACGGGACUUUUGGGGCUGACUUAUAGUAAAGACUCAACUCCUUUAAAGAUCCUUUAAAGAUCCUUUACUACAUGAUUUCUACAUAUCUAUUUUCAUUAUCGACUGCAUUCUAUUAUAGAAACAACAACGGGAGGUUCAAUCAAAAGUACUUAGCGUGCAUUUGCUUCAAUGUUAAAGCAAAUAAGCAAGAAAAAUCUCAUUCUAUUUUCGUAUGCAAUUUCGAAAAGAAUCUAGUAAGCUCUUCUCUUAUAUAAAAUAUAUAAUCUUUGAUAGCAUUUUUAGUAUCUAUCAUUUCAAAGGCACAAAAUUGAAUACUUAGGCAGUUCAUGUUUAUUAAAAUACUAAGCACAUUCACCAUUCAAUUGUUAAAUUAUGUCACCAAUAAGUUCUUCUUCCAAUUUUCGGUAUUAAAGUUACUGACCGUAUAAGUCCAUCCUUCUUAUAAUUUCGGUACUUCUAACAUUUGAAAAUGAGAUUGAAUUUUUUUAGCAAGUAUCUUUUGUUCGAAUCGACAAUAAAAUUCACAUAGAAAAGUGUUUAAUACUCCCCCAAAAUGGGAAGAAUUUAAUCAAAUAUAAACAAUUUAAUAGAUGCAGAUGUUUCUUAAGCACAAUUAACGAGCAUCAUCAAAGUUAGUAAUUGUUGCAUCCAAAGUUUUCAAUAAGACAUAUACAUAUAUAUAGUCAUAAUCAUAUGCAUACAGAUAUAGAUAUGUAAGAGAUAAGUAAGGACAAUUAAUUUGAAUGCGCACCUUAAAUUGGCCCACCACGACUUGAAUGUUGCUUUUGCACAGAUCAAGUCUAACUAACUUCUUUGGGCCAGGGGGAAAUUUGAGAACCGAAAAAGGACAUUCAGGCCAUUGAAACCAUCUCAGUUCAUUAGGAAGAUAGAUGGGACCUUGGAAAGAGUUAUGCACAUUAAUCAUGAUGAGCAACCUCAAUCUUUUCACGUUUGUGAAAGCAUUGGGAUCUAUGUAUAUUGCUUCUAUCUUGGGUAAAACCAAAACUAUGGCUUUUACUGCAUUUGUUCCCUGCAUUUAUAGAACUUGCACUGCAAUUAGUAUAUGAAGUCAGAGAAGAAGAGAGGCAAAUCAGUGUUUAAACCACCAAAACUUACCAUAUCCCCUGAUAGAACAUCACAGACAUCUUCACAAAGCCAUAACCUGCUGCGUCUCCCAGGAUCAUCGUGACAUUCUUGUUUAACAAUAUCCAUGCCCAUCAACUGAAUCAAGUCAUGCAUCUGUGGGUGCGUUUGGAUGGGCAUUUAGAAAGCCCAUCCAGCCCCCAAAGCCCCUUCAGCCAAAGAGAGGCGUUUGGCAACCAAUUCCCAAGGAGCUUUCAAAUGAAAGCUGGCCCUUGGGAAUGUUGAAGGCUUCAAUUAAUGAAAAAAUUAAAGUUCUCGAUUUUGCUCUCAAAAAUUUGUUGAAAACCCACUUUUGUCCAUUUUGAAAACAGAAAAAAAACCCUAGCUCAUCCGCACUCCUCUCUCCUCCCCUUCCCGUCGCUUCGCUCUCUCCUCCCCUUCUCCCCUUCCGUCGCUCUCUCCUCCCUCACGAUACCAGUUCUUGCUCGAGCGACAGAGAGUCCAAGGGAAAGCGGCGAGCUAGAGCGGCAGAGCUUGAGUCGACACCUCGCCCGCGCGCCAGCUCCACCGACGACUCCUUCCGACUCUCUCCUCCCCUUCUCCCCUUCCGUCGCUCUCUCCUCCCUCGUGAUACCAGUUCUUGCUUGAGCGACAGAGAGUCCAAGGGAAAGCGGUGACCUAGAGCGGCAGAGCUUGAGUCGACACCUCGCCCGCGCGCCAGCUCCACUGACGACUCCUUCCGACUCUCUCCUCCCCUUCUCCCCUUCCAUCGCUCUCUCCUCCCUCGUGAUACCAGUUCUUGCUCGAGCGACAGAGAGUCCAAGGGAAAGCGGCGAGCUAGAGCGGUAGAGCUUGAGUCGACACCUCGCCCGCGCGCCAGCUCCACCGACGACUCCUUCCAAUCGGCACCAUCGAGCCGGCCGAACCGGUAAGCCCUUCGUUCGUGCCCUAUUUCUUGAGGUUCAGGUAGAGACUGAGAUGGUGAUCGCAGUCGUGAUUGUGGUCAUGAUUGUGGUCAUGAUUGUGGCCCUAGUCGGUAUUAUGGUGGUAAACAUGCUUUAGCAAUUGCAAAUGCAGCUGAGAUCAAUCUUGGUCGACUUCUACAGUGGCAUUUGUGACUGUGGAGUGCAAACAGCUUUUUGGUGUCUAGAUGGCUCUUUUGAGGAUAGGGCAAGAGAUUCACCUGUGGAAGUAAUGCGUUUUUUCUAUGCAAAGGAGAAGCUGCCUUAGAAAUGAAUGCUCCUUUUGGCUACAAAUUUUCAGAUGUCUUUCUUUUUGAAAAGGACUUAUUAAGCGGCUAAGCUCUAUGUUUUCUUAUAGACAUUUAGUUAGCACUCUAUUAAUACUGCUAGCUCAUGGCAGGAUUCUUGGCUGUUUGUGGUGUUUUGAUACACGAUCACGCUGCUUUCAUGUCAUAUGACAUGACUGUAGUCUUAAAAAUGCUGAAAAGUCCUUUUGGCUUCAAGAAGCUAUUCCUUUAUGCAAUUAACUCUGUAAAAUCCUGUCUCACGUUCCCUCAAGCUAACCUCUUGGGCGUCCUACGUUGGUGAUUUAUAAGUUUUGGUGGCUUUUGGGGACUGCUAUGACCUGGUGGGACUAAUUGGGUCAUUUAAAAGGUCCAAACUUUCAAUGCCAUAUGGAAGAAAUAGUGAGUACAGGGAAAAGGAGAAACCAGAUUUUUGUACAUUGUUAGGGAUUCUCAAGGAAAAAGAACAAAGAUAGAUUUUUCUAUCCAUGACUUGGACCAAGCACUGGGCACCAAGUAUAUAUGUUUUCCUGAUUGGAUAUUUAAAACAUGUGAUGUUCAUGAGAAUAAAAAAAGUAGUUCAUAUUUCGUUUCUGUGGUGUGUAUUUCUAUGUCUUAUUAGUUCUAAUAUCAUUUUUUGCCUUGGCAGUCUAUGCUUGUUUUCUUCCAUCCAAUCAAAUUUGGUAUCACAUUCACUUUUGGCAAUCUGCUUGCUCUUGGGAGGUUUGUAAUUUGACUAAAUACUACCUUUUCUUUUCUUACCUAGAUAACUUAAUUCUGCUUUUGGUUCUUAGUCAUUUGCUGUGCAUGCUUUGUACAUUUAUGCAAAUUGAUCCCCAUUGGUUGUGUCAGUAUCUUAUAAUUGUUUGAUUUCCUAGAAGUUAAUGAUGCUGUUUUCACAAUUGAGUUUGCUGCUCUUCUGAUCUUCCUUAUCACAUUUAGUUGCUUUUCUUCUUUUGGAUAUUUAUAUUCUUCUUCCCAUGGAUCCUUAUCAUCUUUAUUACUUUUAUGUAGUUAUUGCUAGCCAGAAUACUUGUAAUUUGAACUCAAUUGCUUACUUUUCAAAAAAACAGAUACACUGCUCAAGAGGUGGAAAUAAGCUCAUCCAGGAUUCUAACCAGCAAUCUCUUCUUCUAGAGCCAAAAAAGUUAGUCCCAAUUCUAUCUUUUUCUUCUGGGGUUUCAAAAAAACAUAUCUAUGCUGUGUAUUCAUGUUCCUUGAUGUUUGGUGUCGGUUUUACUUGCUGUUUGGUGAUUGAAAGCUAUCUUAAAUGGUGAACUAAGUAUGAAGUCCACACCACAUGUCUCACCUGCAUUUGUUUAUAUUGCAUUUAUUAGUAGAUGGCAAGUUCAUCAAAAGAAAAGGCAUUUUGGAGCCCUAAAGAUGUUGAAACAUUUUGUAAGUUAUGCGUUGAACAAAUUGACAAUGGCAAUCGUCCUGCAAACAACAAAAGGGAUGGAUGGACGGUUAUAAUUAAGAAGUUUGAGGACCUAAGGGGCAAAAAGUAUGAUAAAGGUCAAAUGAAAAGUAAGUGGGAUAAUCUGAAGGAAGAUUGGAAAAGAUGGAGGACAUUGGUUCAUAAGGAAACUGGAUUAGGAUGGGAUCCAAGAAAGAAUACCAUUGAUGCAAGUGAUGAAUGGUGGGAGAUGAAAAUUCAGGUUUUUUCCAUUCUUUUAUUAAAUUUUUUUAAGUUCAUUUUUUUACUAUAAAACUCAUGAAAAUGUUUAUUACAACAGGAAAAUCCUAAGGUUAGACCUUUUAGGAUGAAAGGCAUACAUCCAGAUCUUCAAGCUUUAUUGGAUAGAAUGUUUGGAGAUACUGUUGCCACUAGGAGCAUCACAUGGAAUCCUGCACAAGGCUUACAUAUUGAUGAGGAUGUUGUCGCCACACAAUUUGACAUUGGUGGUUCAGCAGGAGCAGGAUUUACUGAUGAUAAUAUAGAGGACGAUAUAGGUGGAAAGAGCAGUGACCAACAUCGAAGUGAUAAAAGAAUGUCGCAGAGUUCGGUGAGACAAUCUCAAGGAAAGAAACAAAAGAAAAGUACGGCUGAUAAGCUAGCAUCGCAAAUGGAGAGGAUUUGUUCAGCUAUUGAAAGUAGAAGUUAUGCCAAAGAGGUUGAUCCUUACAAGGAACUCAUGGAGACGUUGAAAGCUAUACCUGAGAUAAAGCAAAAUCAAGAGUUAUAUUUUUUUGCACUAGAUUAUCUUUCAGAAAGGAAAGAUAAUAGGCAAAUCUUUAUGAACUUAGAUGAUGAUCAAGAAAAAGUCACGUGGCUCAAGUAUAAGUUUGCACAACGUAGGGCUCACUAGGAUAUUUGCUAUUUAUAUUUUUCACGUGUAAUGUUAUUGUAAUUUAAUAUAUAUUUGCACUACUUAUUUGUAUUAGUUGGUGAGACAUAUUUAUGCUACGUUAUCAGACUUGUUUUUAAUUGGUGUUUUUUUUAUCGAAUGGAGUUUGCAUACAUAUAUAUGAUAAGUGUUUUUUGUUGAUGAAUGAUUUAAAUAAUUCAUUAUAUAUCUUAUUCUAAUUCUAUUUUGUUACUUUGAUCAGUUAUGGAUGACUCUUCUGAAAGGGAAAACCAUGAAAAAGAGGAAGAAGAAUAUUGGCAACUUUGUGUAGCUGCACAUACUUGCGGUGUUAAUGUUUAUCAGUCAAUAUAUGGUGAAAAAAUACCGUGCAUGACCUCAUCAUAUACUGGAAAUGCAUGGUUGAGAGAGUUGAUGGAUAUAGAUGCUAAUCCAGAAAGGUUUCAUCAAAUGUUUAGAAUGGAUAGAAUUGUGUUUAAUAAUUUAAUGAAUGAUUUAGUGACACGAUAUGGUUUGAAAGGAACUAGAAAUAUUGAUGUUGCAGAAAUGUUAUGAUUAUUUCUUCAUAUUUUAGGACAUAAUAUAGGUAAUAGGUUAGCACAAGAGCGCUUUCAGCAUUCUGGGGAAACCAUAUCCAGGCUAUUUAGCUUAGUUUUGGAUAAAGUAUGUGAAAUGGGAGCAAACUUGAUCCAACCAUCCGAUCGACAAUUCAAGGAAGUUCCAAAGAAGAUCAGGAAUAAUACAAGAUUUUUUCCAUAAUUUAAGGUAAGUUAUGAUUAUACAAUACAAAAUAUGAAUUAAAUAUAAAUCAAAUAAUAUUAUUCUUCUUGUUUUAGGAUUGUAUUGGAGCUAUAGAUGGUACUCAUAUUCCAGCGGUGGUACCUACGAGUGAGCAGCUUCGUUUUAUUGGUCGAAAAGGAACAACCGACGCAAAAUGUGAUGGCAGUGUGUAAUUUUAACAUGGAAUUUACUUACGUGUGGGCCGGUUGGGAGGGAACAGCUCAUGACACUCGUAUCUUUUAUGAAGCCAUCAGGAGACAUGAUUUACAAUUUCCUCAUCCUCCAAAAUGUUAGUUAAUUAAUAGUUUUUAUGCAUUAAUAUACGUAUGUGUUAUAUGUUGAUUAAAUUUACAAAUUUUUUUUUGUGUAGGUAAAUAUUAUUUGGUCGAUGCUGGAUAUCCAAAUCCCACAGGUUAUUUGGGGCCAUAUAAAGAAGUUAGAUAUCAUUUACCUGAGUUUCAACAAGGUCCUCAACCGACAGGUUAUAAAGAAGUGUUCAAUCGUGCUCACUCCUCACUACGAUCAGAAAUUGAGCGAGCUUUUGGCGUAUUGAAGAAGAAGUGGAAAAUUUUAAAGGGCAUGCCAAGUUAUCCAUAUACAAAACAAGUGAAAAUUGUGAUAGCAACGAUGGCUUUGCACAAUUAUAUACGAAGAAAUGCCCUGAAUGAUACACAUUUUGCUAGAGUAGAUUUGGAUCCCAAUUUAUAUACAAUUGAUCCUGAUAAUGUAAAUGGGGAGGGUAAUGCUUCAAAUGAUGAUGUAGCAUCUGAUAUGGCAUGUUUACGUGAUCAAAUAGCUAUGCAUUUAUGAAGUAAUUAAGGAUAUUUGUAAUUUUUAAGGAUAAUGAACUCUUUCCUCAAAGCAUAUGUUAUCAUGUUUUUAUUGUAAUUAAAGUAUUUUUAUUUUAAUUGAGAAAGAGCGCACGUAAAUUUUUUCUAUUUGAUGUCUACGUGAUCAAAUAGCUAUGCAUUUAUGAAGUAAUUAAGUAUAUUUGUAAUUUUUAAGGAUAAUGAACUCUUUCCUCAAAUUAUAUGUUAUCAUGUUUUUAUUGUAAUUAAAGUAUUUUUUAUUUUAAUUGAGAAAGAGCGCACGUAAAUUUUUUCUAUUUGAUGUCUACGUGAUCAAAUAGCUAUGCAUUUAUGAAGUAAUUAAGGAUAUUUGUAAUUUUUAAGGAUAAUGAACUAUUUCCUCAAAGCAUAUGUUAUCAUGUUUUUAUUGUAAUUAAAGUAUUUUUAUUUUAAUUGAGAAAUAGCGCACGUAAUUUUUUUUUAUUUGAUGUCUACGUGAUCAAAUAGCUAUGCAUUUAUGAAGUAAUUAAGGAUAUUUGUAAUUUUUAAGGAUAAUGAACUCUUUCCUCAAAGCAUAUGUUAUCAUGUUUUUAUUGUAAUUAAAGUAUUUUUAUUUUAAUUGAGAAAGAGCGCACGUAAAUUUUUUCUAUUUGAUGUCUUUUAGUAAAAAAAAAAAUUGAAUUUUAAUUUUAAUAAAAUUGUUUACACAACAUCUUUAAAAUUGUUAUCAAAUAUAAAUUAAAAAGGUUACAAAAAUUAUUUUCUUAAUUUUAAACAAAUAAAAAUAAAAAUAUUUACAUUAAUCACCAAAUGGGCUUUCUAAAUGUGUUUUUUUUACCAAACAACAUUUAUCUCAAAGUUGCUUUUCAAAGUAGAAUUUACCAAACAGUCUUUGCAUUCCCUCCAAAGCCCUUUAGGCUAAACUGCUUUGCAUUUUCCCAAUGGGCUUUCCAAAUGCCGAACCAAACGCACCCUGUAUCGUCCCCCUUCCUUCAGUUAUUAAGGACUUCUCAACAAGAACUCGCACUCCAAUAGUCGUGUCAAAGUCGCAACUGUUAAGGACUUCCAUAAUGUGCUCUAUAGAUCGCCCCUUGAAGAAACAUGCAAUAUCAAGGAAUAUCUCCUUUGCAUAGUCCUCUAGUCCAUCGUAACGUAACUUGAGAACAUCAUUGAUGGUUUUGUCAGGACUUUUAGCAAGUUUAUUCAAUGCGCUUUCCCACUCCUGUUCUCUUCUACCACAUAAGAAAGAGCCCAAUACCUCAAGUGCUAAAGGAAGUCCUUUAGCAUAAUGCAAAGCACUAUCCAAAAGAUCCCUCCUUAUCACUAUUUCCUUACUUCCAAGAAAAGCAUGUUUAUUGAAAAGUUCAAGAGCUUCCCAAUACACUAGAGUUUUAACUUCAUAGAUAUGAUCUUCAUCUAUCCCAUGGACAGUUAAUAGAUGGUUAUCUCUUGUCGUGAUGAUGAUUCUGCUUCCUUUACCAAACCAUUCACGCCCUCCAGCUAAAGCAUUCAAUUGUUUUACGUUAUCGACAUCGUCGAGAACAAUGAGGACUCUUUUGCGGCAAAGUCUAUGUCGCAUCAAAUUAAUACCUCCAUCAACACUAAACAAUGUUAAUUCUUUUCCCACUAAUAUCUCGGACAACAAUUUUUCUUGUAGAUGAACUAAAUCCUUGGAAUCUUUUGAAGUUUCACGAACGUUUGCCAAAAAACAUGAAGCCUCAAAUCCUUUGAAUAUAUCAUUGUAAAGGGCUUUGGCUAAUGUUGUUUUUCCUAUGCCUCCUUGUCCCCAUAAUCCUAUCAUGAGAACAUCAUCACUAGACACAAGAUUUAACAUAGAUUUCAGCUUUACCACUUGUCGAGGUAUUCCAACCGGAUGCUUGGCAACCUGUAAUGGUGUUCGGUCUAGCUGCAUAGAGAUCUCCUGCACAAUUCUCUUGAUAAGAUCUGCUUCAUCUCUGACAAAAUCCAGAAAGGUACUUGAUACAUCAAUUUCCAAAGAUAAUUGACUUUCAUGGAAAAAGAAGAAGAGAUUCAGCAUAUAAAAAAGAAAUAACAAAGCAGUGUCACAUCAAUCACUACUUGGUACUUACUUAUCCUUCAAAUCCCACCCAGACAAGCUACCGGCAUCAAAGAGAGCCUUUUUCCAUCUCUUCACUUUCUCCGAAUCUCUCCCAAACUUUCUCUCAUGCUUAUCCAUAGCUUUUCGGUAGCUCUCUCUUGGUGUUCUCACUUCUCUAGGAUCCACUUUGUAAAACACCGGAAAUACCGUGAGUCCUCUUUGCUCCUUGCACUCCAUGAUUUUCUCCACCUCUUCCAAACACCAUAGUGAGGAAGCAUAGUCCUCGGAGAAAAUGAUGAUUGCGAUGCGCGAGUCCUCAAUCGCCUUAAUAAGCGCCGGUGUUAUUCGUUCACCUUUCCGAAGCUCCUCGCUAUCAACGUAAGUGUAGAUUCCUUUCUAGUCAAGAGCCGCAUAGAGAUGACCAAGGAAGUUCUUUCGAACGUCAGUACCUCGAAAACUCAAGAAGGCAUCGUAAUUCUAUUCCAGAUUUGAAGAAGCGGCCUUUAGAGGAGAUGAAGGUUGAUGUGCUUCCUCAGAAUGCUUAGUGUCUGGUCGGGUUGCAGCUUUCUCUCUCAUGUGGAUAUCACUUUGUACUAACAAAGAAAUAGAAACGAAAACCAAGAUCAUUUCUGAUGCUUCGAGUCGAUAUGCAUAGUCUCCAACAGCUAAUUUAACAAAAAGCAGCAUUUUGCAUAAGGUGCACGGAACCAUCUUAUAUAGGUGCUUCUUGACUUGACUUGCCUUUUCCAUUAAUAAAAGAAAUAGAAAAGAAAACUAGCAACACUCCCAUGCUCCUGGUGCUAAUAUACAUGAGUCAAUCGCAAAACACUGCAUGUUGGAAUAUUAUUUAUAAUGAACAAUCUGACUUUUUUCUUUCAAAAGGGAUUCUACAAAUGCAAAUCCCAAAAUAAAUUUUCCUCACUUUUCAAACUAAAUUUCUCCAUCCCAUGUCUUGUAUUGAACAGAACGAAUUCGAAUCUGUCCAGGCAUUUCUUCAAACACGAAGUGGGCAGCGAGUUGGAGAGAGGAUAUGGACCUAUUCGGAGCUCGAGCUCACACUUAAACUCAAGAGAAAUCAGCGAGCAACGUUCAAACUUAAGAAAAACCGACUCAUUCAGAUCCGACGCAAGUGAGGACUAAAGAAAUUGAGCUUGCUUUGCUCUUUCAAAAUCAAGCAGGACGAGGCAAAAAAAAAAGAAGGAACGAGAACUCAAUCGCGGGGGCCCUACCUGGCUUGGCUUCCCCGGGCAUCGUUGGCGGUGAAGGUUGAGAAUAGCGACUCCAAACUCGUGUCAGGGCUUCAGUCGACUCCACCGAGGUCAGGGACGGCGACGACGAAUGGCAGCGGGCGGACGAUGCUCUGGAGGUGGCGGACGACAUAGAUCGGCUGUGGCUCUGAGGUUUUGUGUGGGGCUUCAAUGGCAACCGUUCACGUAGUAGAGAAAGACCAAGAUGCUUCUUUUCUUUUUCUUCUCCUUUUUCGUGAGAGUAAAGAAGUAGGUGACAGCGAAGGAAGGAGUGAGGGAGGAAUUCGGGAAUGGGAUGUGUCACGCCCCGAACCUCGAGCGCGCCAACAUCCCACCAUGGUCAUGCAAAUGCGACAUUCCCAGGUAGUGUCGCCGACCCCAUUAAUUUAUUAUUGCGCAAGCGGAACGUAUUAUAAAACCCCUGAUAAUGAAAUACGUGAUAGAAAAGCAAGAAGCAAAACUACAACAUAUCACUUUCAUAAUUCAACAGAAUUACAAACAGAAGCCUACAGCCAAAAGUCUACAAAAGACCGGCUCUUAAAAAGGAACUGUCCUACGACCUACAAGUCGGACACAUUCUCCAAUCCUUAUGACUUCACCUCUGCAACUCCUCAAAGCCAACCAAAGCUAUAUGGUCUCUCCGUCCACCAGGGACCUGAAAUUUUAAUCCCACAACCGGGAUGAGACGAUGUCUCAGCAAGUUCAACCCUCUAAACCCCUAUUAGAAAGAAAAUACACCCCGGGUGGCCUAGCCACAUCACACAGAGAACUUACCUUGCCUCAAUUCUUUCCUGCAGGUUAGCACAGUUCAUAUCACUCAAUCAUAUGCAGUAAUAAGAACUUAAACAACCGGAACGCAUUCACUUUCAUAUAACCAACAACCGCGGGGGUCCUGAUUAUAAGACUAAAUCGUUAUGACACGUCCCAUUCCAUGCCACACAAUUCUGUCUCAUAAUCCGACACAUCAAUUUCACUCAACAUGCAUUCCAAUUGUUAUUCACUGCCACACAAGGGCAUAGCUUACUCGCUGUUCGGCUAUCUACUGACAUAUAGCCAGGCAUCGCCUCCCCACCUUGGAGCGCGGCUUCGUCAGUACAUCGACGGCGUUCCCGAAGGAGCAUGGGCCCAGAAUCAACUGCGACCCGCAACCACUGCGUGGGCAUCCCAUAUAGGGGCAAGUCCGGCUCAGCAGCCCAGGAUGAUUCCUCUUAGUUAUCACACAGUCAAAGCAUACUCGGCCCUAGGACACUUUAUAUUUCAAUCAAUGCUUCCACUUAAAAUAGUGAUCUCGGCCAUUUUUCUCCAUAUUAAAAAUAUUCCAGAAAUUACUUACGUGUGUGGGGACAUGCUAAGGCAAGGAGGGUGUAAUGUUUUGGGCAGAGUCCCUUGAAGUAAAGUGUGUGCUUUGUGAAAAUCUCUCCAUGGCUUUCUAAAUUCCUCUUCUUCUCCAGCCUGGUAGGAUCCUUCAAGAAAUGCAGCUUGGGUAGGUUAGAAACGAUUCCAUCCUGGCAUCUCUGAGUGUCUCUAGGCUCUGAACUAAAGGGUUGAGUUGUUUUCCUGCUANNNNNNNNNNNNNNNNNNNNNNNNNNNNNNNNNNNNNNNNNNNNNNNNNNNNNNNNNNNNNNNNNNNNNNNNNNNNNNNNNNNNNNNNNNNNNNNNNNNNNNNNNNNNNNNNNNNNNNNNNNNNNNNNNNNNNNNNNNNNNNNNNNNNNNNNNNNNNNNNNNNNNNNNNNNNNNNNNNNNNNNNNNNNNNNNNNNNNNNNNNNNNNNNNNNNNNNNNNNNNNNNNNNNNNNNNNNNNNNNNNNNNNNNNNNNNNNNNNNNNNNNNNNNNNNNNNNNNNNNNNNNNNNNNNNNNNNNNNNNNNNNNNNNNNNNNNNNNNNNNNNNNNNNNNNNNNNNNNNNNNNNNNNNUGUCUGUUGAACAUGUGUUCUUAUCAGUGGUGGAUAUCUCUAAUCACGUAACGUGUUUUGAAGGUGUCCCUAGAAGAGUAGAUAAAUGUGGAGCCUACACCAUAUUUCUCCCCUUCAAGAGGAAUUAGACAAGUCCCCCUCUUUCCCUAUAUUUAUUCAGAUGAGUAGCAAAUGUUUUCACAGGGAUGUUGAGCCCAGCCUUAAGGAUUGGAAGCAUUAAAGGGAUAAAGCUAAACAAGUUCUGCCCUACACUAUCUCAUUAACUCUUUGCAGAAGAUUCCAUAUUUUUUUUGGACGGGGCUACAGUGGAAGGACUAAAGGAGCUUCUAUUAUCUUGAGUUGGACUUUCAUAAAAGAAAGUAACUGAGGAUCUGAAAGAGCUAUGUUGAAGUUGGGAUAUAGAGUGAUAAAGACCGUUCCAUCAAAUUUGGCAAAGAAAAGGAAGAAAGUCCUUCUAUUUUCCAAACCCUGCUCAUGAUUGAACCAUGUGUUCCUCCAUCCAUUUCCGAGCCAGAUUCAAAAAAGCAUGUUCGACACUUUGAUGGUAAUGGACAUCCUGUUCAUUACUAUAAAGACAAUUAUGGUCACUGUUUUUGGGAUCCUUUUUGCCAAUGUUCCUCCUGUAUAAAUUCGCCGGACGAGGUAAACCCGUUUGAAAGAUCUCCACCUCGAAAGAAAAAACCAAAGGAUAAGAUGUUCCAAAAGUACUUAGAUGGAGAUACAUCCAUCGACACUCUUGGUGAAAGCCACAAAUACCAAUUCAUGGUUUCUUAUGCACCACCGCCAUCACCAGAGUCCAGUACCACAUCCCAAGCCUUACAAGACUUACCAAAAACACCACCACCUCCAUCCCAGAAAAGGCAAACCCUCUCUCCAUUUUAUAAGCCAAUCCUUAAGUGGGCUAAGAAGCAUUCUUAUCCCCUCGAAGUUCCGGAAGAAGCACCACCUACUUCUUCUAUUGCCAUGUUCCAGGAUGCUGACUUUCCGCCUCUAGUCAAAGAAGGUUCUAAACUCUCUUUCCCGGCGGCAGAAGAGUUUAUUGAUUCUCAAGGAAGAUAUCGACAUGUUCCUAAAAUUUCUACUCUCACUGAUGUGGACGAACAUGGAAGACAGAAAAAAACCCCUGCUGCUGAAGCUGUCCUCAAUUGGCAAUUAGAGACUCUGCUUGCACAAAAUAAUGCCUUCAAAGCAAUUGACUCCCAAAUUGGAAAUGUGCAACAAGAUCUCCGAAGAUAUGAUGAAAGUACCAAGAAGAUACUCUCUGAAUUCCAAAAGAGGCUUCAUGCCUUGGNNNNNNNNNNNNNNNNNNNNNNNNNNNNNNNNNNNNNNNNNNNNNNNNNNNNNNNNNNNNNNNNNNNNNNNNNNNNNNNNNNNNNNNNNNNNNNNNNNNNGCUCAAGAACCAAAUCCAGCUUCUUGAAGAAGGAAGGUUCAGACCAUUUGAUCCCCUAGCACCUCCUGUUAAAACUGGAUAUUUACCUCCACCACCACAAACAUCCAUUUUCGCCACUAUCCCAACAGAACCCUAUAGAAGAGAACCAGACAUGGCAGAUUUGCGAAAUCGCCUCAAAACCAUGCAGAAAGAAAAGGGGAAAGAAAAGACACCACCUACAGGAUCAAGUCCCAUCAUUAUAAGAGAUAGGCCAGAACAGAUGAUGCUCUCAAAUCCACUAGAAUCUUUUCUAAAGGAUUUAGGCACUCAGAAACCCAACUCUGUUAUCCAACAACCUGAUCCUUUGAAAAACCAGACUUUUCUUUCAAUAGAACAAGCUCCUCAGGAUCCUCAGGAUACUGAAACAGAAUCUUCAGUAUCCUUUUCCUCCUCUUCAGUUGAUACCUUCCCCAUUGCACCAAUUACCUCAUCAAUAUUCAUGGCUGACUCCCUAGACGAUGAUAUGGAAUCAGAUUAUUCUGAUCCAGAAGUAGGCCAGACAAGCAAGCCCACUCAUCAGGUAUCCACAGCAUCAAAACAAUUCUUCACCAUUGAUGAUAUACCUUAUCAAAAGUGGCCGUUGAGGCUUGAAGAAUUCCAUGCUUGGAUGAACACCCAGGCUAUCACCAACCAUGAUAUGAAUGACGUAUUAUACAACUUUGUUACAAGAUUCACAGGAAGCCUGAAGCACUGGUGGCAAUCCCUUUCAGAACAAGACCAGCUCCAUUUCCUGAUGUCACCCACUUUCAGCCAUGCUAUCACUUUGUUAUAUCAUGUCUUUGUGGGAAAACCCGGUGAUCUCAUAGAGAUAAAAAAGAGAGAAUUUUUCGAAAGGCGAUGCUGCUCCCUCCAGAGGAGACACCUUGAUAAGCAUUUUAAGGUAAUGCUUCAAACCUUUUAUCAGGUAGGAGCAGAACCAAAUCUGAAGCAUGUUUUCCUUACUUCCAUCCCGAAAGAACUAUCCCAGAUGGUUGAGAGAUCAUUCGCUGGAAAACAAAGGCAGAUACAGAAUAUUCCCUUGGGAGAAAUACAGCAAGAAAUCCAUAUAUGUCUAGAAGAAUUAUGCUUGAAGCGCAAGAUGGUGCAAACAUACAUCACAUAUGACAAACAUCUAAAAGCAGCCUGCUCCCGACAAGAGUUGAAGAUCAAAUGCUCCAAAAAAGACUGUGAUGGAACAUGUUGCAAGUACUCCCGCAAAAAGAAACACUACAAGAAGUUUUGGAUAAAGAAAUCCAAACAUGGCUCCAAGAAUUUCCGGAAGAAGAAGAAAUGGCGAUACCUACGCAAAAGAAAGGAUCGCACAAGCCACAAAAAAUCAAAUCGUUGCUACAUUUGCAAUCAGAAAGGACAUUUCGCCAAAAGUUGUCCUCAAGCGAGAAAAGGUCAGAAUCAUCUAAUCCAUCAUAUUGAAAACGAAAUAGGAAUUUCUCUUGAGAAUGAUGAUAUUGAAUCCUUGUUCUCCGCUGAUGAAGAACCAUCUGAACAAACUCUUUGUGCCAUCCCCUCUUACCAAACUUCCAGUGAAACCGAGUCAGACUCAGAGUCUGAAGAUAUUUUUCAUAUAUCACCAUCAUCCUCAGAACCAAACUUUGACAUAUUUUCAAGCCAAACUCAUUGUCCACACUUCCCAGUCAAAAUCCUCACCUCAAAGUUUGCCAAACCUAUCACUGUCAUUGCUCUCAUUGACACAGGAGCAAGUUGUUCAAUUCUGGACACCAAAAUUCUGCCUGAAGAAUUCUGGACUCCCUACGUCCGAUACUUCAAUUCAGCAUCAGGAGAUACUUUCUCCACAAAUGUCAGAACUACUCCUGUAACUAUCCAGUUCUUCCCGCAGUGCUCCAUAACUGCAAAAUUUUUUGGAUCUAACCUUCCCAAUAAAGACCUGAUAAUUGGGUGGGACAUUAUGACUCAAAUCUCCCAGCUUCGUAUUAUUCCUGGAAAAGGUCUUAGGUAUAAAGAUCAAUUCUCUUAAUUUGUCAAUAUCCAGAGACUCUUUUCUAUUCAAAUGAGUCUACUAGAUCCGAUUAUGCAAAAGUUAUUGGAAUCCUGUUCAGAAUCCCACGCAGAAUUUGCUCAAAAGUGCCCUCAUCCUUUAUGGCAAAACCCAGAGUUCUUUGUUCGUCUCCCUUUUAAGAAGAAUGAAGACAUAAACCCGACCAAGGCGAGCCACAUGGGAAUGAAGCCGGAACAUUUAGUUCUAGCUCAAAGGGAAUGCUCGGAACUCUUGCAACAAGGCCUUAUUGAAGUUUCCAACUCACAAUGGGCUUGUGAAGCCUUUUAUGUCAAUAAACGAGCUGAGCAGAACAGAGGAAAAAUGAGAUUAGUAAUCAACUAUCAACCUCUCAAUCUUUUCCUCCAAGAUGAUAAAUUCCCUUUACCAUCCAGAGACUCUCUCUUCAGUGGUCUAACCAAGGCCCACAUCUAUUACAAAUUCGACCUCAAAGCCGGAUUUUGGCAAUUGGGCAUCCAUCCUGAAGAUAGAUCCAAAACAGGAUUCUGCAUCCCGAACCAGCAUUUCCAAUGGAAAGUUCUUCCUUUUGGCCUAAAGGUAGCACCAUCCCUAUUCCAAAAGGCCAUGUGUCGCAUUUUCCAACCAAUUCUAGCAAGUGCGGCCGUAUACAUCGAUGAUAUCCUGCUCUACAGUCCUGAUGAGCAGUCACAUUGUCAACUUCUUGAGCAGUUUGCAGAAAUCAUAAAAAAGCAUGGUAUUAUGCUUUCCCAAAGGAAGAUGAAUAUUGCCCAGACAGAGAUUGAAUUUCUUGGUAUGCACCUUAGCAAAGGUACAUACUACCCAGGGUCGCAUAUAGCUCAAGAAUUGUUGAAGUUUCCUCAGGACAAUUUCACAACAAAGCAAGUUCAGCAAUUUCUCGGGAUAAUCAAUUAUCUCAGGGUCUUUGUCCCAAAUAUUGCAAAACUUAUGAUCCCUCUGCAAUCCAUGCUGAAGAAGAAUUCCCCACCUUGGGGAAAAACUCAGACCAAAGCAGUAGCAGAACUUAAGGAGAUUAUGCAGAAUCUCCCACCAUUACAAAUACCAUCAACAGGCAAAAGAAUUCUCCAAACUGACGCCAGUGAUGAAUACUGGGCAGCUGUCCUCUUUGAAGAAAUCGAUGGUAAGAGACUCCUCUGUGCUCAUAAAAGUGGAAAGUUUUCCCAAGCUGAAAUGCAUUACCAUUCCACUUUCAAAGAAAUCUUAGCAGUCAAAAAUGGAAUCAAAAAAUUCGAGUUCCACCUCAUUGGCCACCACUUUCUGGUAGAAUUAGACAUGGCAUCUUUCCCUCAGAUGACCAAGUUUAAACAAAAGCAGAUUCCAAACUCCCAACUGCUUCGAUGGGCUGAAUGGUUUUCAAAAUAUUCCUUUGAAACUAAGCAUAUCCCUGGAAAGAAGAAUGUGCUUGCUGAUUUUUUAUCAAGACCAAAGGUACCAGCCGAGAUCAACAUGUAUAUCAAAAGGCCAGCUUUCCAUAUGCUCAACCAUGGAGUAAAAUACAAAAUUGAGAACAUCAGGGACUUGCAAAGCUGGAAAUAUCCCCAGGAGAUUAUUCAACAAAUCCAGAACGACAGCCUUGCUGAAAAUUUGGAGAACCUCAUGUGGCAAAGCCAUGCAGACCUGUUUAGGUUCAAUGGAGGUUCGAUUCUCUAUCCUUUUGGGUUAAACAUGAAUUAUCCAUUCAUUCAUCCUCUUAUCUGGAAAGAAGAUGAUUUUCCUGAACAGCUCAAAACGUUAUUAUGGUACUUAACCAAUAAGUAUCUAAUAGCCUUUGAAAUCCCAACCAGAAGAUUCAUUGCUAACCUCACCAGGAUAUUCUUGCUCGGAAGAAACAUUGAAAAAGAAUGUGAUAGAAAUCUUUUAGAAUUUCUAAACUGGUUCUAUCAUCCUACAUGUUGGAAACAAGACUUGGAAAAAGAACUGAGAUCCAUGACACCAGAUCCUGAAGUCCAUACCAUCCUAUUUUUCCGACGCCCUUGGAACUUUUGCAGAAAUAAUGGUAGUAUUCUUGAUGCACCUUUGGAAAUAGGAACUACAUCCUAUAAACCUAACCUGAACAGCCGAGAAUCCCGGAUUUACAAAUCUUAUCCUAGAUCUGUUCGAAUUUGUGAACGAGAAUAUCGAGAACUCCAGAGAAUCCUAUGCCAGGAAAACAAGACCAUUCCCGAAGACGUCUGGAAUAAUGCACCCACUACAUGGGAUCAUUAUGACCUAGCACCAGAAGCCAAGGGAAGCACUGGGACAAUACAGGCAAGCCUCAUCGUCCCAAGAGCCUGAAAUGACAAAUGAAGAUGACAUUGUCCAAUCCACCCAAGACCCCUAUGCACGCUUUGGAGGACCUCUGUCCCAGGACCCCUACGAACAGUUCCAAAGCAUGGACACAUCUUUUUAUGCAGAACCAUCCAACUGGCCUCAGCCAAGAAUUGUUGACCUCCAGCAAGAUGAAGAUACAAACUGGGCUGAAGAAGAAGCAUCACAUUGGGCUCAUGAACAAGCAUCCUCAUCACGAAGACUGAAUCAAAUUCUCUCACCAGAAGACCUUGAAGCUCUUGAACAAAAAUACGAGGCACAUCUCCUAGAAGAAAACUCGGAUGAUUCAGUUUGCAGCUACAAUGCUCGAGACGGACGUGACCGUUGAGUCCGUACAUUUUCACUGUAGCAAAACACUGUUCACUUUUACUGUAGCACUAGGCUAGGGAAAGUACUGUUCACAGUACAGUUUCUGUUCAUAGUGUUCGAAUAAUUCCCUUUCGGUGCCCUGUUUGUUUCCAGACCCGUGAGCUAGGUCCCUGUGUGUGUCCUUGUGACCUCUUAUUGCCUAUAUAAGGCAAGGAGGGUGUAAUGUUUUGGGCAGAGUCCCCUGAAGUAAAGUGUGUGCUUUGUGAAAAUCUCUCCAUGGCUUUCUAAAUUCCUCUUCUUCUCCAGCCUGGUAGGAUCCUUCAAGAAAUGCAGCUUGGGUAGGUUAGAAACGAUUCCAUCCUGGCAUCUCUGAGUGUCUCUAGGCUCUGAACUAAAGGGUUGAGUUGUUUUCUGCUAACAGGCCGUCCCUGAAGGGCUAGGUUCGCCCAUGUGGGAUGCAUACCUGUAGAAAAUUUACUCUCCUUCCCUGGUUCUAAGUCUAGGUCCAUCCAUUGGUAAAGCCAAUAUCUCACUCUUUCAAACCCCACUAUUGAAUAUAAUAAUUAAAAUCCAAUUUUUGCAUCAAAACCCGACACUUGGGUUUUUAUGAAUAAAAUCUCUAUUUACCACAAUCAACACUCAAUUUGCCACAUACAUUCAUCAAAUUCAAAUUAUAAAUGCACAGCAGCAAUCAGCACGAAAUUCUGAGAAUUUAGGGUCCCAAAUUAGUUUUUCGGAAUUUAUUAAAUAAUUAAAUUUAUUCCGAAAAUUAAUAUAAUAAUGAUAUCCAUAUUUUUCACGAUCCACACUCAAUUUAUAAUAUCCAAUCAUCAAUUUCAAAAUCCGACUACACAGCAGCGAUCGGCAUGAAAUUCUAAGCAAUCGGGGUUAAAAAUAAAUUUUCCCUUUUAAAAAAAAAUAAUAAUAAUAUUUUAAUAUCCGGAAUAUAAUAUAAUAUUAUAAAUUCCAGAAUUCGAAAUCAUUAAAUAAUUCAAAAAUAAAACCCCGUUAUGUCACAUCAAAGCUUUAUAUUAAAAUAAACAUACUUAACUUUAAACUAAACACACAUAAAACCCCAUUAUGUCACAUCAAAGCUUUAUAUUAAAAUAAACAUACUUAACUUUAAACUAAACAUACUUUAACUUAAUUAAACAUCCUAAUCUAAUCCUCAACCAAAUAAACUAAUCUAACCACCUAAACUUAAUUAACUUAGACUAAGCACACUUAGGGCAUCAUUAACCGUCUAAUCAAGAUUUAGUGAGUUAAACUCACCGGAUUAGCGAGCCGAGCGAACCAAAACGACGAGGACAACGCGAGGAUCGACUUUCCUCAAGGCGGGCCGAGCAUCCGGGCUCGGGAAGGCGGCCAAAACGGGCCAAAACCGAGCUGGAAUACCCAUUUUUCCAGCUGCUGGUUGCGGCCGAGAAGGGGCUGAUCCGGCGGCGAUUCGGCGGAGGAACGGCGGAGGAGGACCGGCGGAGCUUGAACGGGCCGGGCGGCGGCCAGGCGAGGCCUCACGACGGCGGGGACGAGCUCCGGCAGCUCUUGCGCGAGCUGAACAGCAGCUCGGGAUGUCGGCCAAGCGCGGGCGAGCGCGGGCGGCGGCGGAGCGCGAGACGACGGGCGACGACGGCGGUCCUGGCUUCGACGGCUUCGGCUGCUCCGGUGACCAAACGGCGGCAGCGGCAGCAGCUUGACGGAGGGGCAGGAGCUCGGGGCCACACGAACGAAAGCUGGAGGCGGUGGAGGCGGUGCGAUGACGAGCGGCCGCGGUGCGCGGGCGACGCGCACGGACGACGGCAGCGGCGAGCUUCUCCGGCGAAGCUGGCGGAGUCGAGCGGCGAAGGGGCAGCGUCCGGGCGGUCGGCUUGGCUGGUCCGGCCGAACUCCUCUCUCUCUCUCCUCCCUAUUUCCAAGAAGCCCAAGGUUGAAGAUGAUGGAGAUGGGUUGGAGGUGACAUCCCACCUUUUGAAGAAUAAAACCCUACCCUCCACUUGUCAUGAUCUUAUGCCAUCUUGCCCCCACACCAUGACAUCACCAAGUGAUGUCAUACUCCACUAACUUAAUUCCCCACAACCUCUUCCAAUGGGUGCAUUUUAUUUUUCCGCCGGGGCAUGAAACUUUGUACAUCCAAUUUCUUCAAUUCUCAUUAAUUCUCUUCCAAUUGAAUCAAAUUGAAGUCCAUAAAAUAAAUUCAAUGUCACCACACUUCAAUUCACGUCUUCACUUGUCCAUAGAAUCAACUUAAGUCCCAAAAGCGCGACCAGAGACGAGCCUACUAAUUUCUUGAGCCAAAUUAGCCAUUCUCUGAUUUAAUUACUGAAAGAUUCUGAUUACAUGAAAAAUCUUCUAAAGAUGAGUUAAUAUUCCUAAAAUGAUUUAUGACACACCCUGACUUCCAAUUUCUGAAUUCGAUCUCAAUUUCACGAUUAAUUUCACUUUGGCACGAUACUAGUGCGGCCCAACCUACCGGGUAACCUUUGGAAAUUUUCAUGCAUUUGACUUGUGGUUGAUCAUCUCAAGCCACAAUGUACAUCUUUGAAACAUUGGCGACUUUCGGUUGUCGGGGUAAUCUCAAGGUUUCAAACACGAACACAGGGUACCAAAUCGAUAGAAAAGUCGGUCCAAUGCCGAUCGACAGGAAUUGUGCGAUCUGGUGGAUCACCCACACUCGAUCACAUGCCUCUGUCGAGUCGACCUAUCUCCGAUCUCUAAUCAAUUUUUAAUUGUGUCGUAAUGACCCUUGCAGAUUAGCUCGGUCGAAAGGUCGCUUCCUGGUCAAAUUCUCGGGUCAGAUGCAUUAAAAACUCUUAACAGCUUCACCCGAUAAACUAGUUUUCACAUGAGUGGCCGACUCAAGGAAAAGAACUAUAUGCGUGCCAACGAAAUGCCCGUCUCAAUUUAUUGAAAAUAGAAAUGGAAAAUCGGGAUGUCACAGGAUGCGAGAGCAGUCGCGGGCGGGAGGUAGUCGGACGGAGAUGGAGGAGGCGGCUGGUCGGUUGAGUUCAGGAGAAAGGGUGGAGAAUGCUUUUUUUUUUCUUUUCCAGAAAAAUGCUGCCUGAAGAUGGUGGUAGAGGAGAUGAAUGUCGAUGUGCUUCCGUAGAAUGCUUAUAUAUUCGAAGAAGCGGCUAUUACUGUCUGGUUAGGUUGCAGCUUUAUCUCUCCCGUGUAUAUCACUUUGUUCUUUUUUACCCUGACUUUCUCGAAUCACGCGGCAGUGCUAACCAAAGAAAGCCACAGAAAAGAAAGUAAAGGUGAAUUGUUGCACGCGUAAUUUCAACGGAAGGUGCAUAAAAUUUACGCUGGUCCUUUCUUUCUUUUCCUCUGUUGACUUGACUUGCUUUUUCUACUAAUAAAGAAAUUGAAACAAAAACCAACGAGCAAUUUGAUGCCCCAAGCCAAUAAAGCAUAUUAUCCACCAGUUAAUUUAAUAAAAAGUAGAUAGCAAUAGAAAAUAAAAGAGAAGGACAAUCAACGCACAAAUAAUAUCUGUGGGAGGUGCAUAAAAUUUAUGUCGUAUUCUUAUUUUUUUUUCUUUUAGUUUUCCUUUCUUGUCUUGGCUUGCUUUCUCUACUAAUAAAAACAUAGAAACGAAAAUCAACCGAUAAUUCUGAUGGUUGCAUACUCUCGACCAUCGACCGAACUAAUUUAAUAAAAAGUAAAUAGCGAAAGAAAAGAAAAUGAAAGGACAAUCAAUACAUGCGUAAUUUCCACUGCAUUUUGUAGAAGAUGCGUGUAACCUGGUUCUUGACUUGACUUGCCUUUCUCAUUAACAAAAGAAAUAGAAAAGAAAACUAGGAAUACUCCCAUGCCCUUGACAUGCACACGUAGGGUGCGUAUGACAAAAUUUCUGGAAUAUAAAUUAAUUUCUGGCUAGAAAUUGAUAUCUUAAUUUCUAUUUCAGAAAUUAAGAAGUUAAAAAUUUUAGCUUCUGAUUUCUUUUUUCAAAUUUAUUUCUAUAAUAGAAAUCUGUAAAUCAAAUUGCGUUACUAAAUGGAUUUAUAUUACAUACUUGUUCCGGGGAACAGAGAAACUGAGAAAUAGAAAAGUAGAAAUUUUAUUAUGUGCGCCCGUAAUUUCCAUGGAAGGUACAUAAAUUUUACAAGUGUCCUUCCUUUCUUUUCCUCUGUUGACUUGACUUGCUUUUUCUACUAAUAAAGAAAUAGAAGCGAAAACCAAUGAACAAUUCUGAUGCUCCAAGUCAGUAAAGCAUAUUCUCCACCAAUUAAUUUAAUAAAAAACAGAUAGCAAGAGAAAAUAAAAUAGAAGGACAGUCAAUGCACAAAUAAUAUAUGUGGGAGGUGCAUAAAAUUUAUGUCAUAUUCUUUUUCUUUUUUCUUUUUUCUUUUUUCUUUUUGUUUUGUUUUCCUUUCUUGUCUUGACUUGCUUUCUCUACUAAUAAAAAAAAUAGAAACGAAAAUCAACCGAUAAUUCUGAUGGUCGCAUACUCUCGACUGUCAACCGAACUAAUUUAAUAAAAAGCAGAUAGCAAUAGAAAAGAAAAUGAAAGGACAAUCAAUGCAUGCGUAAUUUCCACGGCAUUUUGUAAAAGGUCCGCGUAACCUGGUUCUUGACUUGACUUGCCUUUUUCAUUAAUAAAAGAAAUAGAAAAGAAAACUAGGAAUACUCUUAUGCCCCUAGCAUGCACACGUAGGCUGCGCAAAACAAAAUUUCUGGAAUAGAAAUUGAUUUUUGGCCAGAAAUUAAUUUAUCAAUUUCUAUUUUAGAAAUUAAGAAAUUAAAAAUUUUAGUUUAUGAUUUCUUCUUUAAAUCUAUUUUUGGAAUAGAAAUCUGUUCCAGAAAUAGAAAAAUCAAAUUGCGUUAUCAAACAGAUUUCUGUUCCAAACCUGUUCUGAGAAACAGAGAAAUUGAGAAAUAGAGAAGUAUAAAUUUUAUCAUGUGCGCCCAUAAUUUCCACGGAAGGUGCAUAAAUUUUUUGCAUGUUCUUUUCCUCUGUUGACUUGACUUGCUUUUUCUACUAAUAAAGAAAUAGAAGCGAAAACCAACGAACAAUUCUAAUGCUCCAAGUCAGUAAAGCAUAUUCUCCACCAAUUAGUUUAAUAAAAAACAGAUAGCAAUAGAAAAUAAAAUAGAAGGACAGUCAAUGCACAAAUAAUAUCCGUGGGAGGUGCAUAAAAUUUAUGUUGUAUCUUUUUUUUUUUUCUUUCUUGUCUUGACUUGCUUUCUCUACUAAUAAAAAAAUAGAAACGAAAAUCAACCGAUAAUACUGAUGGUUGCAUACUCUCGACCGUCGACCGAACUAAUUUAAUAAAAAGCAGAUAGCGAUAGAAAAGAAAAUGAAAGGACAAUGAAUGCAUGCGUAAUUUCCACAGCAUUUUGUAGAAGGUGUGUGUAACCUGGUUCUUGACUUGACUUGCCUUUUUCAUUAAUAAAAGAAAUAGAAAAGAAAACUAAGAAUACUCCCAUGCCCCUGAUAUGCUGACGUAGGGUGCGCAUGACAAAAUUUCUGGAAUAGAAAUUGAUUUUUGGUCAGAAAUUGAUUUCUCAAUUUCUAUUUCAGAAAUUAAGAAGUUAUAAAUUUUAGCUUCUGAUUUUUUCUUCGAAUCUAUUUCUGAAAAAGAAAUCUGUUCAAGAAAUAAAAAAAUCAAAUUGCGUUAUCAAACAGAUUUCUGUUUCAAACCUGUUCCGGGGAACAAAGAAAUAGAGAAAUAGAAAUUUUAUCAUGUGCACCCGUAAUUUCCAUUGAAGGUGCAUAAAAUUUACGCGUGUCCUUUCUUUCUUUUCCUCUGUUGACUUGACUUACUUUUUCUACUGAUAAAGAAAUUGAAACGAAAACCAACGAGCAAUUUGAUGCUCCAAGUUAGUAAAGCAUAUUAUCCACCAGUUAAUUUAAUUAAAAAACAGAUAGCAAUAGAAAAUAAAAUAGAAGGACAAUCAACGCACAAAUAAUAUCUGUGGGAGGUGCAUAAAAUUUAUGUCGUAUCCUUAUUUUUUUUUCUUUUAGUUUUCCUUUCUUGUAUUGACUUGCUUUCUCUAAUAAUAAAAAAAUAGAGACGAAAAAUCAACCGAUAAUUCUGAUGGUCGCAUACUCUCGACCUUCGACCGAACUGAUUUAAUAAAAAGCAGAUAGCGAUAGAAAAGAAAAUGAAAGGACAAUCAAUGCAUGCAUAAUUUCCACAGCAUUUUGUAGAAGGUGCGUGUAACCUGGUUCUUGACUUGACUUGCUUUUUUCAUUAAUAAAAGAAAUAGAAAAUAAAACUAGGAAUACUCCCAUGCCCCUGGCAUGCGCACGUAGGGUGCGGAUGACAAAAUUUCUGGAAUAGAAAUUGAUUUCUGACCAUAAAUUGAUUUCUCAAUUUCUAUUUCAGAAAUUAAAAAGUUAAAAAUUUUAGUUUUUGAUUUCUUCUUCAAAUCUAUUUCUAGAAAAGAAAUAUGUUCCAGAAAUAGAAAAAUCAAAUUGUGUUACCAAACGGAUUUUUGUUUCAAACCUGUUCUGGGGAAUAAAGAUAUAGAGAAAUAGAAAUUUUAUUAUGUGCGCUCGUAAUUUCCACGGAAGAUGCAUAAAAUUUAUGCGUCCUUUCUUUCUUUUUCUCUGUUGACUUAACUUGCUUUUUCAACUGAUAAAGAAAUAGAAACGAAAACCAAUGAGCAAUUUGAUGCUCCGAGCCAGUAAAGCAUAUUAUCCACCAAUUAAUUUAAUAAAAAGCAGAUAGCAAUAGAAAAUAAAAUAGAAGGACAACCAACACACAAAUAAUAUCUGUGGGAGGUGCAUAAAUUUUAUGUCGUAUCCUUUAUUUUUUUUUUUCUUUUAGUUUUCCUUUCUUGUCGUGACUUGCUUUCUCUACUAAUAAAAAAAUAGAAACAAAAAUCAACCGAUAAUUCCGAUGGUCGCAUACUCUCGACCAUCGAUGGAACUAAUUUAAUAAAAAGUAGAUAGCAAUAGAAAAGAAAAUGAAAGGACAAUCAAUGCAUGCAUAAUUUCCACAGCAUUUUGUAGAAGAUGCAUGUAACGUGGUUCUUGACUUGACUUGCCUUCUCUAUUAAUAAAAGAAAUAGAAAAGAAAACUAGCAAUACUCCCAUGCCCCUGGCAUCCAUCCACACGUAAUUUCCACAGCAUUUUGUAGUAGGUGAGUGGAACUUGCUCCUUGACUUGACUUGCCUUUUUCAUUAAUAAAAGAAAUAGAAAAGAAAACUAGCAAUACUCCCACGCCCCUGGCAUGCACAGGUAAUUUCCACAGCAUUUUGUAGAAGGUGUGUGGAAUAUGCUCCUUGACUUGACUUGCCUUUUUUAUUAAUAAAAGAAAUAGAAAAGAAAACUAGCAAUACUCCCAUUCCCCUAGCGUCAAUAUACGAGGGUCAAUCGCAAAAAUAUAGCAUGUUGGAUUAUUAUUUAUAAUGAACAAUUUGACUUAUUUGUUCUCUCGGAAGCAAUUCUAGACAAGCAAACCCUAAAACAAGUUUUCCCCACUUUUCAAACUAAAUUUCUCCAUAUCAUAUCUUGCCUAAAGAUUAUCGAGUCAUCCCCUUUAGCCAAAUCACGUUGAUCUAACUCUUUAAAUUAUUUUUGUUUUCGACAAUUUACAUUUGUUUUAUACUUUUAAUGUCACAUUUAGAAUUUAUUGGCUAAUAAGUUAUCCAUGAUCGAAUAACUAUUUAGGGAAUACUUUUUUCCUUUCUAUUUCAUUUUUGUCGAACCUUUUUUUUUGGUAAAAAAAAAAUUUUGGUAAGAAAUUUUACUCUAACCUUUUAUUUCAUGUUAACACUCUUUUUUUUCCUAACUUCUCAGUAAAGAUAAUCACUUAUUCAUCUGAAGGUGUUUGUCAUUAGUGAUCAAAUAUUGUGAACCAACUAUAUUACAAUAUCGGCUUUAUCUUCUAGUAAAAGCUGGAGCCUUACAACUUUGAAUAGCAAUGACAUACAAAGGAUUCGUGGAAUGGGAGCUUUUGCUUCGAUGUCUCAAUUAUAUUAUUUAGUGCAUGUACAGCUACCUUUCGGCGACGUUCUCAUGCAGGAGCUUUUGGACACUUCUUGUCGAUAAAAGGAUUGCGAAAGGUUGAGAUUUUUAUUUUGCAUGGGUUAUAGUAUGACUAGUGGAUGAUGUUGAGAGAACUUGCAAUCUAGGGGUGAUUUUGAGUGUUUUUUUUCUCCUUUCAUAUCAAAUGAGAAUUACUAAAUCCUUUUAUAUAAGGGUUAAUACCCUGAAAAACCCUAAACAGGUACACCUGUGACAAAUUUAUCAAAAACUAUUUUUUUGACCAUAAAAAACUCAAAACUGGUAUACUUGUGACAAAUUUACCUCGACUGGCCAUAAAAAACUCUAAAGUGGUACAUUUAUGACAAAUUUACCCCAAACUAAUUUAUUCAACCACAAAAAAUCUCAAACUGGUAAAUUUAUGACAAUUAUACCCUGCAGUAAAUUGGAUUAAUAUCACAAAAAAAUCACAAAAAUUGUAAACUGUGAUAAACAUAGUGUAAAAUCCCAAAUCGAUAUACCAAUUAACUGUCACGUGUCAUUUGACUUAAUUAAAAUUUAACGAAAACUAACAGAGGGUAAAUUUGUCACAAAUGUACCAGUUUGGGGUAAAUUUGUCAAAAAUGUACCAGUUUGGGGUUUUUGGUGGUAAAAAAAAUAGUUUGGGGUAAAUUUGUCACAAGUGUACCAGUUUGGGAUUUUUCAGGGUAAUAACCCUUUAUAUAAAGUUUGUGCGCUCUCUCUAGGCUUGAAUUGCUGAAUUCAUCUGGUACUAUCACGGUAUUUUGGUACUCUGUGGAGGGCUUUAUGGAGAGUUGACAUGUGGCUCAUUUGAUGGCCACCUCACUUUCGUUUGCUUUAAUUUAUUCAUCCUUCUUUUUCUCUUCAUUUCCAAGAAGAGCGUAUUUUGUCUAAACAUGGAUGAUGUGUACCAAGGUACCGUGGCACCGGGAACAACAAGCAAAUGUCGCUUGCGUGAUUUUGGUGGUUAAAAUUCGCAUGAUUAUUUGGUAUUCCUUUCAUGAUUCGCUUACUAGAGAUAUAUUAGUAUACAAUGAGAAUGAAGAUAUCCAAAUUCAGAGUGCAUUGAGAGGAUAGCUUUGACAUGCAAAUUAUUUUAAAUAUUUUUCACAAGAUGUAUUGUUUAUGCAAGUAUGAAGAUACUAGUGCUGAUCUGAGAAAUGUGUUUUGAUUUGAGUAGGUCUUCACCAAUAAUUGGUACGUUGUAUUUUUCUUUAUGCACUAGACAUUCCAGUUACAAAUUGGAUAAGUAUUACCUUUUCCUUUCAUUGUUGGGGCAUGAAAAUAGACCAAGCCUUUUAUUUAGUUGAAAGUGACGCUAUUGGUUCAAUGUAUAAAUUCAAAGAAAGUAGAAAGUUUCUACAAGAACACCUGUAAAUGAUUUCUUGGUACGCUAAUAGCUUAGUUUUUGAUACUUUGGAGAAGGAUCUUCCACUCAAGUAGGGCCCUUUUCAUUGGACACUUAGCGAUGAUAAUCCCAGGCAAAUCAAAGUGCAAGUCCUUUUCGAAAACAUUAGAUACUUUGGAUGAGAGAUCCUAAGAAAGAUUCUAUCUAAGUGUUCCAUUUAAAUUAUUUAGUCCAAAAGAGGAUUUCCGUGUUAAUCAAGCGCACUAAUUACGCCAAUCAUUAUGAAAUUAAUGUGAUUUGACGAUAUCUCUUAUUGUCUUUUUUGCUUAGUCAAAAUUGCAGGGGACUAUUUGCUCAUCACUUUCGUGGUAGCUUCACUUCUUGCGACUUUACUCUGGAAAGAAAAAUGAUCAAAGUUGAUUUUGAUGCUUAUAUCUGGAGUAAAUCCAAGGAUAGAGUGAGUCCAGUGAUAGAUUUCCAUUGCAUUUCUGUUACAAAAAUGCUCAUAUUCCAACCCUUGAAAAUAUCACAUGCUCACGAGCCAAUGAACAUUCGAACCACUAUGAGCUCAGAGAUUUAUUUUAUAUUAAUGUAGUCACUUCAAGCUAUUAUUAAAGUAAUACUUACUCUAGGCUUUCUCUUUAAAAAACAACCUCAUUUUAUUUGGAAUUUUCAUUUAUUAGUUUUGAAAGAUGCCUCAUGCUUCGGACUAAGAUGACUUAUAAAGCUGCAAGCCUACAAUAAGCCAUGAUUUUGAUUGAAUAUUUUUAUCCAAAUUCUUUGGCUAACUUUCUAAAAAUAAGCCCCAAUGCCAGUGUCACUUCUUUGGCCCCAAUAUAAUCAACUCGGCCUAUUUCAUUUUCAGGAAUUCAUCUACUUCACCAGUUCACCAGUUCGAACUGCAUGAUCACAAUUUGUUCGCUCGCACAUGCUUAAAAGUCAUUAGUUCCAAGAACUAAUUUUCCAAGCCACACUAGCAAUCACCUAUCAGCCCAAUUUCCUUCAAUUUGGUAUUGACAUUUCCAAAGUGUGAAAUAGCUUUUAUCAAAUCAUUAGAUUAUUUUCUUUAGUGGAAAAUCGUGAGCAUAAGUGAUAAACAAGUUAAAUAUUACUCAAAUUGACAUUAAGCGCCAUUAAAAAUGAGAUGUCGUGAAAAUGGGAACCAAAAUGUGUCCCCAAACAUUACUUUGAAUGAUUUUACUUCAGAAUAACGUUUACUUAUUAACCUAUUUUUACUUGUAUAGGCACAUACUUGGACCUCGAUUCAUAUUUAAUGAAAUCUAAGUGUGUAAUACGUGCAUGGACUUUUUGACAUCAUACGUGGACCUCGAUUCAUAUUUGCAUUAACUCGGUCCUCAUGAUAUCUUUUUUCUCCUUUUCUUUUCUUUUCUUUCUUUUUUUUUUUUGGCUCAGACACGGGCCGAACACUAGUCUCACAUAUAAGAUCUAUGGGCAAGGGUGAUCAGGUUUAUUGCCUUAAGAGGCUUCGAUCAAAAAUUCAUACUCGUCUCAAUUCCUCUCAUGCUAAAUCCACAAUUAUUUCUCUUGUUUUUUAUUCUUCUUCUUUUUUUCCUAUCGUCUUCUUCUUCCCUAUCAUCUUCCUUGUGCAUAUCUCGAAAAGCUCUGCUCUACUAAAUAAACAAACUCAACCUCAUCAGGGAUCGACGUAUUCGAGCAUUGAAUGGAACGUCACCGUUUUCUGGCUUCGGUCACCCGGAGCACCACCAUCGUCCAUUAACCGUCAUGCAUAAGCCGAGAUUUGCAGAAAGACACGCAGGAUAUGACGGGAAGAACUGGACCUUAUCCAGAGCGAGAUUCACCAAGCUAAUCAACGUAUGGGGCAAAGAUUUCGAGCCACGAUUCCCGCCAAGCAAAACGAACAAUCACCAUUCGGGCCGGAUAGAUGCAAAAAAUAGCAAAAAUAGAUAGUCGGUGACAUAUUUGGAGACCACAAAGUGUACUGGAAAGGAAAGCAGAUCCGUAGUAAAUGGGGAAAAACAUUUUAAUCCACAAUGCAUAGACUAACAACCACAUCCCAUAAUCAGUAUCGUUCAACAAAAUCAAUCCGAAUGUGUCAGUUUUGCUUCCUAAUCAAUCAACAGCAUGUGGCAAGGAUCACAUAUUUGACCCGCGCGUUCCAUCAAACACUUGGUGAGCAUCUCAGGAAAAAGACUCAAUGUAACACCGCACCACAAUCCAAGUACUUCUUUCUUUGCACAAAGGGUUUGAUUCACCAAGGAAAAAAUGAUUUCAAUCCUGGUCUCUUCCCAGACAUACACCAGCGUCAACUUCAAACUAGAUCUUCACUCAUGAAAUGACCGAAAGAAAUGUUCCAAAACCAACCUUAGCGAGGUGGGAUAUUCAACCACGACUGCUGAGUAAACUCGUCCAAAGAGGUUCAGGUAAGCGUCGAUCAACGAAUUUGAGAUCGAUACAUGGAGAUUGAGCGGGACUUGACAGCUUCAGAGUUUUCGCCUACAAAACGAGGCAAGGCAACGCUUCUUCUGAUACUUCACAGAAACGAGAUCCGCGGUGACGAGCAAUAAUCGAAUGCUGGAACCGGGACUCCAAGUACGCCAGCUACCGUGAUCAGUGUCGAUGGAAGAGGCUUUGGGCAAAAGGCUCAACUCCCUUUGAUGGAAUGAAUGUAAAAACAGAGGAUAACAGAGAGUUUCUGGGCCAUGGUAAGGGAAUGGUCGCGAGUGAUGACGGAAGAUGUCCGACUGGGAAGGAAGGAGUCCGAAAAUCUCCCGGAGUGCUCUCAAAAUUUAUUUUUAUCCCCGCUUAUGGAUUUGUCCGUCCAAUCCAGCUGAUGUCUGGCUAUUUACCCUCCUCUUGUAUUCUUGAAGAUCCCGAACAUAAAAAGAGGCAGAGAGCACUUUGAUACUUUAAAAAAGAGUAAAAAGGGGCUGUAGGCAAGUGGAAUUUCAAAGAAAUGAAUCCCCAUCUUAACAUAUAGGCUAUAGCAUAUGUUCUUUUAAAAAAAAAAAAUAGAUAGACUCAUUUUUAUUACCAUUUAAAUAUAUUGUAUUAGCCGCAACGUUUGUUUUUCUCUUGAGAGUUUUUUUUUUUUUUUUUUUUGGCUCAGCCGCUCAAGGAGAGAGGCAAAAUAAGAUUACAAGCCAAGAGUCUCUGUAGCUUCUUCACGCGGGCUUCGCUUCUUAAGGAACCUGACCAAUUGCCCUCAAACAAAUUACUUUUUAAUGAUCUGAACUUUUGAGUAGAAAUCCUUAACAAAUAAUGUAAAUGUGAGAUUCAACCUUGUACUUUCUCUUCGCUCUCACCAAGCCCACCACCCGAGGCAACCUUCAUUGGUAUGAUGAGUUACUAAUUUUUCCGUAACAAAACUAACUUGGAUCUUGAUAUUUUAUUUCUAAUGGCACAUUUCUAAAUAGCUUGGUGACUUACCAUUGAGUUUGGAUUUUAUAAAUUCCUUAAAUUAUUGGUGACAUGCUACAGUAAAAAUGGGCCUAUGUUGGCAAGUUGCUUAAUCCAACCAUAUUUUUACUAACUUCUAUUUUAACCAUAAUGGCAAAUUCCUUAUUUAGUGACAACUAACUAGUUUGUAAGCAGAUUAUGUGGGUAAGUUGCUAAUUUCACUGCUAAGUUUAUGUUUUGAGUGGUAAUUUCCAUAUAUGAUAAUUUACUUUCCACUCAAAGUUGGUAAAUUCCUUACUUUGGCGAUCCCUUUGUUACCUUUUAAAAAAUGGAACUGUGGCGGUGAGUUAUUAAGGAUGCGUUUAGUAACAUUUCUGUUAAAAAAUUACUUCUGAGAACAGAAAUAGAAAAAAGUAUUUCUAUUCCGGGAAACAAUUUUUGAACAGAAGAAUGCGUUUGAUAAAUUUAUUCUAGAAAUAGAAAAAGAACAGAAACACGUUUGAUAAAUUUUUAUAAUUUUUUUUUAUUUCUUUUAAUUUUUUAAUAUUUUUAUUUUAUUUUUCCUAUUUUCUUUCUUAUUUUUCUUAUUUUCUUAUUUGUUUUUCCUUUUUUCUUUUUUCUUCUUUUGGCCGAUCGCCGGGCCGACAGCCUUGCCCAGCCACGGCGAGGCUCACCGGCCCUCGGCGAGGUCGCUGGCCAUGGCCAAGGCCGGCGACCGACCAAAGAAAAAAGAAAGAAAAAAGAAGAAGAAAAGAAGAAGAAAAAAGAGAGAAGAAAAUAGAGGAAAGAGAAAAUCUGUUUUUAAAUUUUGUUUCAGAAACAAAAAAACAAGAUUUUCUUGUUUCUUGUUUCUUGUUUUUGUUCCAAAUGUGUUCCUGGGAACAAAAAAAAAUAGAUUUGGAACAAAAAUGCAAACAAACGCGUUUCUGUUCUUUUUUUGUUCCUUAGAACAAAAAAACAUAAAUUUUGUUUAAAAACAGAAAUAAAGAACAUUAACAAACAUGGCCUAAUUUCAUCGGUAAAUUACUAUGUUCAGCAUUAAGUUUUUGUUUUGAGUGAUAAAUCUAUGAAAAAGUUGAUUGUUAAUUAUCGCAUUUCUUAUUGAUAAAUUACCAUGAGUUUACCUGAUUAAUAGGUUGCUAGUUAUAUGAUUUCGCCAAUAGGAAAAAUCUACGAGCCAUAUUAGGAAAUUAACCAUGCUCGAAACAUUUUUCCUAUUAGCCAGUAGGUGUAAUUAUCAUAAAAUGAUUUGGACUCCAGUUAAAAGUACUCGCUACUCAUGACUAUUACAAAGAUACGCUAACGCCAUUUAAAUCAGUAAACAAUAUGUAGUUAAGCAUGCUGUGCAGAACAUGACAUUUAUUAGUGACAUCAUGAUGCGAUUGGCAAGGAAAGGUCAAACAUCUCGGGAUACUUGGUGUUUACCUUCUCUUUGCAAUUAAUGGAUCCCGUAAGCAUAAAGUGGAGAUCACCCUUUGCUUGAAAUACAACACAGUAUGCUACUCCUAGAAUCUUAUGAUACAAGUCCUUUGAAGUCACAAAAUAUAUAUAACCCUCGGGAAGCAAUUACUUUGAUGUCUCUCCUCCAAGUAGAAUAACUUGGCAAUAUAUUUUGUGAUGAAAUGUCUGUCAUAGAAGUAGACUGUUAGUUUUUUGAAAUUAGCACCUAAAAGGAGUUUCAAUGAGUAAAGUGGGUAGUCCUACAGUUUAGAUAUAGUUAGCAAUAGCAUUACAAAGAUUUUCUUUUUUUCGUACUUAAUUGGUGGAGACUAGACAUGUAUUAUUGAAGAUUUUGCAAUUGGAUGAACAUGUUUUAUUAAAUUUUUUCACUAGGUGAUCCUUGUAAUUCAACAGUGAACAAGAGUUCCAUAAAUAAAUAGAAUAUCCUUUGCGUUGCCUUAUAUAGAACCUCCAAUACAUAUACACGUGGAAUCACUUUCCAUAUGUUUGGUUUUUUUUAUUAGCCCACCAAUUCAAGAUUUUCAGCCUUUUAUAAUACAAACACACUCAAUGCAACCAACAUGUACAUGACUCCAUACUAAAGAGAGAGGGAGGGAGGGAGUCUCACCUCAACAAUCUCAACGUCACAUAAGUUAGAGGGAAUUCUACUUAGAGAUUUGCAACUAGUUGCCCAUAGUGUUAUCGAUUUGCAACUAGUGUUAUCGAUUUCACUAGAGAGAGAGAGAGAGAGAGAGAGAGUAAAUCUCAAGUGGGAACCCACGAGCCAUGAUCAAUCCUUUGACAACGAAUUUAUCACAUCAAUUUAAGCUAACAUAUGGAAUCUUAUGUAGAGGCAGGCGGUGGAAGGUUAGGAAUCUCUUUUUGUCAUCACUUAUUAUAAAGUGGUGGUUGAUUAAUCAUUUUUAAAAAAUUAGUUUGCAUGUGACAAUUCAGUGAGUCAAACUACUGAAAACUCAUUUUUCCAAUCCUUUAGGUCUUUUAAUAACCCAAUAAGCACCAAUUUAAUGUCGAAGAAAUAGCUAAGGAAAUUGAGCAAUUAUGGAAGGAAUCAAUCAGUUAUGUGAGGAUGUGAGGAUGAGUCCAAAAAAAUAGGAAAGGAAAUCAAGCAAUUAUCAAAGUGAGCUUCAUAAAAUAUACGUAAUUUCAAUGUUGCUGAUCAAUCACUACAUCAUGAAGAUCAAGAACUUCAUGGAAUUGGCCUUUGAGGACAGUCUUUUCCAACAAAGGGAGAAUGACAUUGGAAGUAUUCGUAUCUGUAUUGGAAGAUUUCAAGAUCCUCUCUUGUGAUUUCCAUAAUAGGUAUAAUAUGUUCUCUUGAUCCUCUCUUGUGAUUUCAGACAAAAAGAGAUUCCCAAAGUUCAUUAGUGAUCAAGGGAGUACUGUAUCCUUGGAGUGGCUUUACCAAGAUGAUGAUUUGGUUAAGGGAGACCUAGGUUAUUAAUCUCAUCCCUAUCCUUCCCAUCCUUCGUAGUGGGGUUUUCUACCUCACUAAGAUUAAACAACAUCAUUCCUAAUUUGUUCAUUCAACACAAUCCGACGUCAAUGGGAUCGGCAAGCAUGAUAGGAAAAUUGAAGUACCAAAAAGUAUGUCUCGUAUUAGGCACAUAAAGGGAAAAAUUUAAGGGACUUUUUACAUAUAUAGUACUAUAUGCACACCUGUUAAGUGUAUGCACAAAAUUUAUAUUUGAAAAAUUGAGCAAAAACACUAAAUUAGAAGUACUUAAUGGAAAUAAAUUGUUGAUAAAAUAUACACUACACAGACACAUAUAGAAAAAGUUAGUGGAAAAAGAAAGACUUCUCAAGAUUUCAAUAAAAAAACUUGUUGUCGGAUAGAAAAAGUUCAGAUUUUGAUAUUGAAACAUAAGAGAGGUCAAAUAAACUUGGCUUAGUCUGUACUCUCCAAUGUACACCAAUUUGUGACUUAUGAUCUGAAUUUUUAACCAACAAAUCAUUUUCAUUUAUGAUUCGCCAUUAAUCAUUGUGAUAGGUAGAUCAGAAACUUAAGUAAAACAUUAGAAGAAAUACUUUACUUCUGCAACUAGAGAAAUUAAUAAAUUAAAAUCGAGAACUUGAUUACUCUAAUUAAUCAACUAUUGCCCUUCUGCAACCUAAUUUUGUUUAAAUUUUGAGAUUUGAUGAUUUUUUUUAAGGAUUUUUAUGCAAUUUUAGAAGAAAUAUAUUCGAAACCAUUUUUAGGCCUUUCCAUAAUUUUAAAAAAGAAAUUAAAAUAACAAUGUAAUAUAAACUGACCUGGUCGGCCAGACCGCGAGUGCUCGAUUCGGAUUCGGCCCGGCCGACCUGGGUCACGCCUCCGGAUGGCCAGAGAAGAGCCCGCCCCCCAUUUGUCCUCUCAAAUUUUUUACUUUUCUACUUUUACUUUCUUUCUCCUUCCCUCUCUCUUGUUCUGUUCUCCGCGUGUGGUCGGACUGAUGGUUUUAUAUGAGAUGGGCUUAAGGCCCGUCCGCCCAAGUUGAGUCCAAAAAGCCCGGCCCACGGGAAUAUGGCCCGUGGAUGGAGGGACAUAUAAAAGGGAGGAGAGAGAGAGAGAGAACAGUUUGUUGAAAACAGAAAACGUACGUACGCAUCAUUCCUUCUCUCUCUCUCUCGCUUACUCUCCCAAAAGGAAAACAGUGAAGUGCGAAGGCCAAUUUGCUUCACCGGAUCGAACAGGACCAAGUUUCUCUUCCUCUAUCGGCGUCGGUGUUUAAUCUGUGACUUAAAAAGUACGCUCGAAUCCGUGGUGUGCUUUAGGAUCGGUGAUACGUGUUGUUUUCCCGGGCUUGUCUUCCGCAUUAAUUUAGGGGUUCGAUUUAGUGUCGAAUCCGGUUUUCGGGGAUCCGUUAUUCCCAACAUUGGUAUCAGAGCCCUAGUUCACGUUUUCCCGACCUGUGAGAUGUUUUUUGAUUGAUUUUUUGCGGAAAGUAAAUUCGGCCGUACGGAUUGAGGCGAGAAAUCCCGACACCCGCGCACUGUUCGGGCCAUUUUUUCCGAAGUUUUCGUAAAUCCUAAUCAAAUUCUGAAUGCAUAGGGAGAAAGGGGUUGUCGAGACGAGUCUGGCGAUAUGUCGAAAUGUCGCCGGAAGACGCUGCACGCGCCCACACGUGCGGCCCAGAAGCGGCUGCGCGUGGGUGCGACGCGCCCGGAAGCGCUGGCUCGCCCCAGCGCGUGCGACACACACGCCGGUUGGCGAACCGGCACGUGCUCGCCGCUGGCCAGCGAACCGGCACACACCCGGUCGGCGGACCGACGCGUGCUGACGUCAGCAUGACGUCACCCCAACGGUCAGUAACCGCUGGGGUGACGUCAUCGAUGACGUCAGCACGACGACGGUUGGCCGGGCGGUCACCGGCUGGCGACCCGACCGGCGACUCGACCCGACUCGAACCGUGGACGCCCGACACGCGUGCGGCACGUGCCGGCUGACGUCUGCGUGAUGUCAGCCCGUGCAUGCGUGCGGCACGUGUUGUCGGUUCGCCUGAACCGGCUGACCGGUCCGACCGGUCCGACGAUCGACGACCUGACCGUUGACCGUUGACCGUUGACCUAAAAAAAAGAGAGGAAAAGAAUGUGUUUUUUUUUUCAAUUAAGUCUAUGUGGAUUAUUUAUGAUCCCUUAUUUGUUCUGCAUUUGUUGUAGGAAUAGUUCUGCAUUUGUUGCACGAACAAUGGCUCCCUUGAGGUUGCGCACACCUAUUCGCGCAGUUACCGAUGAACAAAAGGAUGGGCUGUCUAAGUUGAUAGCUGAGCUAACUGAUCAUCGAUGAGAGAGUGGAGACUUAAUUGAUCAUGUCCUUGAGGUCAAUGGGAAAAUUCAACAGGUCAUAUGGAAUGGUCGUCCUAUGCCACAGUCAGAGAUGGUGUGAUUUUUCAUAAACACUCUUCCACCUAAAUGGCAAGAUGUGUUGAAUCGCAUAUGGGAUGUCAACGGAGCUGCUUCAUAUAAGAAAAUUGUGAUGGAUUUUGUAAAUGAAUAUUACUGCAUUGUUACAAGGGAAAAGAUCAAGAAAUUGAACAAAAGAGGAUCUUUCCCAGUUCGUGUGCUGGCUUGGUGUUAGAUGUAUUGGCUGUUUUUUCAGUUAAGUGUGCUUUUGUGGACAUCUUAUGUAAUGCUUACUACCUGAUUGUUGUUGAUGUAGCAACCUAUAUGUUAGUUGUAUUAUAUGAAAGCAUUAUUAUAUUGUAUGUCAAUUAUCUGUUGCUUUCUAUUAUUGCUGGUUGCUGUGAGUAGUUAGCUGUGGGUAGUUAUAGAAGUUUUUGUAACUUCAUAGAAUUUAUGUUGCAUAAGACAAUUAUAUUGAUGAUAGUUUUAAGUUAGGAUUUUGGGGGAUGAUUGGAAACAUAGUGACUUUUUGAUUCUGAAGCCUUACUUGAAAUUAUUCAUUAAUAUGAUGGGUCUAUGCAAAUAGGGAUGCAUAAAUGAUAGGCAUUAAUAAUUCGUGCAUAUAUGUCUGAUGUGUUCAGAUCAAUGGCUUCAGCCACAAAGAGCAUAGUUGCCGAGCUGGACAAAGGUGAAAAGCUCAAUGGUGACAACUAUGAGAUAUGGCACAUGAAAAUCCAAUAUGUGCUGGAAGAGCAAGAGGCACUUGAGGCUCUUAACCUGACCAUGGUAGAACUUGAAGAAGGAAAUACUGCACAGCACAAAAGAGAUAAGGAAGCUUUUGCUGCAUGGAAACGAAAGAACUCUCUUGCUUGCAUCACGUUGCUGAGCAGCAUGGAAAAUGACGUCAUGCGAGAGUUUAGGCGAUUUGACAAUGCUAAGGAAAUGUGGGAGGCAUUGGCAGCUAGAUUUGGUUAUACUUCGGUGAUCAGACUGAGACAACUCACUAUUAGGUUUGACUCCUAUAAGAGGCCUCAUGGUCAGACCAUGAAGCAACAUCUUAGAAAGAUGUCAAACAUGAUAAAUGAGCUGAAAGAUGCUGGCCAUGUCCUCACAGAUGAGCAGCAGGUGCAAGCAGUGAUUCGUUUCUUGCCUCAAAGUUAGGAGCAUAUGAAGGUGCACCUGACUCAUAAUGAAAAUAUCAAAACCUUUGAGGAUGCAAUGCGUCAUCUUGAGCUGGAAGAGGACCGCUUCUUGGCGGCUAAGCCGGAUGCUGAACUCUAUCAUGCUAGUUCUAGCUCAAAUGGAGCUUCGAGCUCUCAAGCGCAAGCGCUCUAACUGGUUUGAUAAAGGGAAAGGCAAGGAAGAAGGUCCUUCAGGGAAGAAACCCAAGUUUAACCAACAUGAAAGAGGAAAGCGUCCUCGCAUGAAGAAGCUUGUAAGGGUGAAAUGCUACAACUAUGACAAGAAGGGUCACUAUGCUCGUGACUGUCGUGAGCCAAAGAAGGUAUGCACCCCUUGUACUUUUCAGAACUUUGCUUAUGUGUCGAGUUCUGUGUUCUUAACUGAGUUUAAUCCUUUGUGGACUGUGGAUUCAGGAGUGACGGACCAUGUAGCGAAGGAUAGAGGAUCCUUCGUGGAAUUCUGACGAGUACCAACUGGAACUAAGUGGAUCUAUGUGGGAAACAACUCCAGAGCUGAAGUGAAAGGAAUUGGCACAUGCCAACUGAAUAUGCGUGGUGGACGCACUUUGUUCCUUCAUGAUGUGUUGUAUGCUUCGGAGAUUCGUCGGAAUUUAGUGUCUGUAUUAGUGUUGGUUAAAUUAGGUUUUAAUAUGAACUUCUAUAGUAGAGUUGUGAAUUUGUUUUUGGAUACAAAUUACUAUGGUUGUGGUUAUUUUCUGGAUGGUUUCAUUGUAUUAGAUAUUGAUUAUGUUAAUGCAAAUGUUUGUUAUUCCAUCCUCACGUCUCCUAAUAAAUAUGAUAAUGAUGUGAAUGUGUGGCAUGCUAGACUUGGUCACAUUGGCCAACAGCGUAAGAAUAGACUAGCCAAAGAGGGCUUGUUGGGCAAUAUUGAAAAAGUCGAUUUGUCCAUAUGUAAGCAUUGCCUAUAAGGGAAAACGACAAGGAAACCAUUUGGAAAAGGAAAAAGAGCUGAAUUUCCUCUGCAUUUAAUCCAUUCUGAUGUCCGUGGUCCAAUGAAUGUGAAAGGAAGGCAUGGGGCUGUUUAUUUCAUCACUUUUAUUGAUGAUUAUACUCGAUUCGAAUAUGUCUAUUUGAUUUCUCAUAAAUCUGAAGCAAUAAGUUGUUUUAAAAGGUUUAUGAACCUGGUAGAGAAUCAAUUGGACAAGAAAAUAAAAGCAUUGAGAUCCGAUCGAGGUCGAGAAUAUUUAUCUGAUGAGUUCAGAAAAUUAUGUGAUGAAAAAGGAAUAGAAAGACAGUUGUCUAUUCCAUAUACUCCCCAACAAAAUGGUGUUGCGGAGAGAAGAAACAGAACCCUACUGGAAAUGGUUAGGUCCAUGAUGGCGUAUGCUAACUUACCUAUUACCUUCUGGAGUGAUGUGUUGUUAACUGCUACCUAUAUACUUAACCGUGUGCCUUCCAAAUCAGUUACUUCCACUCCAUAUGAGUUAUGGACAGGUAGAAAAUCGGACUUAAGUUUUCUUAAGCCAUGGGGUUGUACCGCCUAUACACAUGAGUCCUCUCACAAAUUUGGGAAAUUGGGUUCCAGAGGAAAAAAUAGUAUUUUCAUAAGGUACUCAGAACACUCGAAAGGAUAUGUGUUCAUAAGUGAGCAGGAAAGUGGGAGUAUAACUGAGUUUGAAUCACGAGAUGUCACAUUCUUAGAGGAUGAAUUUCCUAAGAAGGGCAAAAUAGGGGAAGAUUGUUCCCUAUUUGAGACAUUGGAUCAGGAUAAUGAUGUUAGUGGAGUUCGUCUAAGUGGGAGUACUAUGGGAAGUGAUGAAUUGAAUUCAACUCAUUCUCAAUUGCAACCACAUGAUGUGACAACAUCAUCAUUGUCUAAUCCAAGUGGGAGCAUGAUGGGGAAUGAUGUGCAAAGUGUACAAUCUCCCAUACAGCGAACAAGUCGCCAAAGCAUUCCCCGUCGACGUUUUGACAUUGAAGGGGAAAAUUUUAUGGUUGCUCCACAAGAUGAGGAUGAGCCAAGAAAUAUUAAUGAAGCUCUGAAUUGCCCUAGUAAGGAAAAAUGGAUUAAUGCAAUGGAAGAGGAAAUUGAGUCAAUGAAAUCAAACCAAGUCUGGGAACUGGUUGAUCUUCUAAAAGGACGCAGAGCUAUUGGGAACAAGUGGGUUCUCAAAAUAAAGCGAAAGGCUAAUGGCUCGAUUGAAAGGCAUAAGGCUCGCCUUGUGGUGAAAGGGUAUAAUCAACAGGAAUGAAUUGAUUAUGAAGAUACAUUUUCUCCUGUAGUGAGAUUUACCUCGAUUCACAUUAUUCUGGCAAUAAUGGCUAGUCUGGAUCUUGAGUUAGAUCAAAUGGAUGUAAAGACUACUUUCCUCAAUGGAGAAUUAGAGGAAGAAAUAUAUAUGGAACAACUUGCUGGUUUUAUAGUGAAAGGCCAAGAAGAAAAAGUAUGUCGACUUUUGAGGUCGAUAUAUGGUCUUAAGCAGUCAUCAAGACAAUGAUAUAUACGUUUUCAUAAUGCCAUAAUGGCAUAUGAUUUUACGAUGAUUGAUGAGGAUCAUUAUGUAUAUAUCAAAAGAUCCAAGGAUCAAUUUGUGAUCAUAUCAUUAUAUGUUGAUGAUAUACUAAUUGCUGGAAGCAAUGUGGAGUUUGUUAAGACUGUCAAGAGUUGGUUGUCUUCCAACUUUGAGAUGAAGGACAUGGGUGAGGCUGCAUACAUUCUUGGAGUUAAGAUUUCAAGAGAUCGUUCGAAGAGAUUGUUGUCUCUUUCGCAAGAAACCUAUAUAAAUAAGGUUCUUGAAUGAUUUCGUAUGCAAGAUUGUAAACCCAUAGACACUCCUAUUGCAAAAGGUGAAGGAUUGAGCCAUAGACUAUGUCCAAGGACUCCACAAGAGAAGGAACAAAUGAAACAUGUUCCUUAUGCUAGUGCUGUUGGGAGCUUGAUGUACGCUAUGAUGUGUACAAGACCUGACAUAUGUUUUGCAGUUGGAAUGGUGAGUAGAUACUAAUCCAAUCCAGGUCCAGCACAUUGGAAGGCCGUUAAGAGAAUACCAAGGUAUCUGAAGGGAACUGCUGAUUACAAGUUGAAUUAUCAAGGAAAGGAUCUGCGACUUGAAGGCUAUUCAGAUGCUGAUUGGGGAGGAGAUUUAGAUGAAAGGAAAUCUACCUCAGGAUUUGCUUUUUUACUGAGCAAUGGCGCCAUAUCAUGGAGUAGUAAGAAGCAAACGUGCAUAGUCUUAUCCACGAUGGAAGCUGAGUUCGUGGCAUUAUCAGCAGCAGUACAAGAAGGAGUUUGGCUUAAGAGAUUCUUUGAUCAUUUAGGUGUUAUUGAGAAAGCUGCAAAUCAAUUAUUGGUUAACAGUGAUAGCCAAGCAGCUAUAGCAUACACCAAAGAUCCAAAGUAUCAUGGCAAGACCAAACAUAUAGAUACAAAGUAUAACUUUGUAAAAGAUAUGGUUGCACAAAAGGAUGUGAACUUACAGUACAUAUCUACGCAUAGAAUGGUAGCAGAUCCUAUGACAAAGCCAAUACCUAGAGAUGUGUUCUGUGGUCAUGUAAAAUCUCUAGGAUUGCGUAGAGUCUGAUGUACUGGAUUGUAAUUUCCCUGAGUUGUUCACAUUUAUGAACUAGUGUUGUUUCAUUAUUAAUGCCUAUAAAUCUUUGUUUGAUCUUUAUGCAUCUUAAUACUCAGUGUAUUAUUUUAAGUUGAGGAAGUAUGUCAGACAGAUAAAAAAUUAGCCCACUCACACGGGUAAUCGCCUCUAUUUACUGUGUGAUAAAUAGAGAUAAGACUGUUUUUAAGCUUAUUAUCUAGGUGAUAAUCGAGAGCUCAAGCUUAAAAUACGUAUGUUGCCUUAACUGAGUGUUAAGAUGAGGACAUAAUACUUACUAUGUCCGAAAGUAAAAUACCCCACAUAUUUUACUUUAUUUGUCUAAGAUGCCAGAUGUGAGUUCUGAUGAAUUUUGUAAAAGAGUAGAUACGUGAACUCAAGUUAGACAUUGAGUAUGUCUGAACUAUCAUCUGUACGGUAUUGAAAGGUGUAGACAUACGCUUCAUGGGAAAUGAGUUAAUACCAUAAUACGUAUUUCAUACUACGUAUGCAUAAGCCGACCAAUAAGAGUGGCAAAAAGUUUGAUCUCAACUUUUAUGACGUGUGAGACUCUUGAGGAAAAUAGUUCCUCAAUUUUAGUGCCCUCAUGACUUUUACUUAUUCUCAAGAUUUCUAUUUAGUGUUUGUUAUCUUAGGAUGUUGCCAAUGGUUAUGAGUUGAUUCGAUCUAAUGGGACAUUUCUAGAAAAGCAAGCUGAACUGAAAUUGAGAGUUUGAAGGAAAGAGGAAGAUCGAUUUUGGGGAAUCACAUUGUAGUUUUGUAUUCACUGGUCGACCAAUUAUGAUUGUCUUUGUGAUAAUUAUAAUUGUGAAUACAAUAUAUAUAUCAUGUUUAAAAGAGAUCAAGAGAGAUAUAAAAUGUGAUCGAUCGAUCUAGGGUACUGCAUACUAUAUCUACUCAAAGCGUGACGCCCAUUAUGAGCUCCUAUAUAUUCCUAACAGAUGUAUAGUAACGAGCUCUUGAAGUAUGCUGGUCGCACGGAUUAUUCACCGGUAUGAAUAUUGAAGAGAGGUCAAGAGAAUCCUGUUCGGCCCACCAUGUGCGAGUGAGAGAUGAUGGUUUUAUAUGAGAUAGGCUUAAGGCCCGUCCGCUCAAGUUGGGCCCAAAAAGCCCGGCCCACGGGAAUAUGGCCCGUGGAUGGAGGGACAUAUAAAAGGGAGGAGAGAGAGAGAGAGAACAGUUUGUUGAAAACAGAAAACGUACGUACGCAGCAUUCCUUCUCUCUCUCUCUCUUACUCUCCCAAAAGGAAAAUAGUCAAGCGCGAAGGCCAAUUUGCUUCACCGGAUUGAACAGGACCAAGUUUCUCUUCCUCUAUCGGCGUCGGUGUUUAAUCUGUGGCUUAAAAGGUACGCUCGAAUCCGUGGUGUGCUUUAGGAUCGGUGAUACGUGUUGUUUUUCCGGGCUUAUCUUCCGCAUUGAUUUAGGGGUUCGAUUUAGUGUUGAAUCCGAUUUUCGGGGAUCCGUUAUUCCCAACAUGGACUAAAGUAGAGAGUCCCCACUUUUUGUACUUUAUUGAGCAAGAGACAAUAGAAAGACCCUUUUUUUAAUUCUAUAAUCUUGUUGCCCCUCCCCAUUUUGUUUACUUUCUUGUUAUUUUUAUUCCCUUCUCUUCACCCCGCACGUCUCUCGCCCAUCUCCCCUCUCGCCCUCGCGACCUCACAGAAGCAUUCUCGCUUCAAGUUCUCCCCGAGGGCCAAGAACAACAGCGGAUGCAGACCAUUAAAAAGACUCGAGCUCUAAUCAAGAUAGUUUAGGCACGCGCAGCACAAGCCGCGGCCAGUCAUCGCGCGGUGAACAUUCGUGGCCACAAUGACCAUCGCCCCUCGUCUUCGCCAGCCGCAGAGACCGGUCAUCCCCGGAACAGUGCCCUGUAGUGAAAGAUACCGCGCAGCAAGAACGCACAGCGCAAAGGACAGCGGCGGAAAUCUACCAUGAUGCUUUUGACAAACCACGAACACCAGAAACGGACGGGGAUCCAAGAACAAAUUGCAUACGUUUCAGUUAGGCAUUUCAUCGAACAUACAUAGGGUGCAUCGGAGGAUGGGGGUUAGAAACUAGACCAACGAGCCCAAUUUAGCUCACUCCUUGCUUGAUGCAGAACAUGUCGCCUCGGUGGUGCAAACGCAAUUUUGAUCAGCCUGGUGCUGUAUGAUCCAUUGUGAGUAUUCUUAAUCCACAGCCUGAUGAUGUUUUUGGCAAAGCAAGCGCUCAAAUACUGGAUAAAAUCUGCCUCUAUCUGUAUACAGUUAAAUAAAUUACCUUUUCUUACAUUUUACUUUCCCUAAAAAAAUUUGAAAAUAGAAGAUGGUUUUCAAAUUUUUAAGAGAUUAUGAAGAUAUUGUAUGUUUCUCCAGGUCAAUUAAGUGUAUUUAAAAAGGUUUUAGGUGUUUCGAGUUUCUUAAAAGUCAAAUAGCAAGAGCCGCAAGAUUUGGGAAAAAAAAAAAAAGCUAUAGUACGGGUUGUACAAACAAACUGGCUCAUUACAUGAGAAGGUACUGCAGCUUGUUCAGGGAGACUGCUGAUUUGUGAAAUUAUUUUGGCAUGCAAGGAAGUUGCAGAUAUGAGUGUAGAUGCGGUGUUGUUAGAUUUAAUUCUUUUCCUAGUUCGAGAGAUGUUUUGGUGUGGUCAUGAGGGGAUAAAUUACUGGCUAAGCAUACGUGAUAGGAGACCAAAAUGUCACUUUAGCCUUUGUUUCUUCAAUAAUUUUUUAUUGAAAUUCCCAUGAACAGAUAUCCUUCAAUGAAUGCAUGCCAGGAUAUUCUAAGUUAAGAUUGACUGGCUCUGUUGAGGUAGCCAUUAUGAUUUUGGAUUGUCACGACUGUCAUGAAAUCUAGUUGAUAUAUGAUAUUCCACACUUUACUAUCUUUGAUAAGUGUCAUCAUUCGAAGCAAGUAAGCAUAAAAAAUAUGCAUUGUGCCUUUAUUGUUUUGUGGAUGAGGAAAAUCCUUUAGUAUUGUUGUACUGAUUGGUGUUUAUAUGUGCAUUAUUCUAGCUUAUAGAUUUUGCUUUGUUUUAUUAGACCUUAUCAUGAUGAGGAACUUUAUAACAGUGUGAGGUUAAAGGAAGACACUGGGGAUGGGCCAGCUAGGCCAAUUACAAUCAAGGUUGCUACUGGAAUUUAAUUUUAGUUUACCAAGUCAGUACGGAAGUUGGACAAAUUUGUGAAUUGAAGUAUGUGAUUUGAUAAUUUCUUUUGCUGAAAGGCUGAUUCUAAUCUCUCUUUGUCAUCUCACCAAGCAAAAGCUAGGUCAAACAAGUCUAAGUCAGAAGCUGGUAAGGAUACUACUGAUGCAGGAUCCAUCAAGCUAGUCAUGGCAGGAAGUGGUUGUGAGAAUAUCAAGAAAGUUGAGCCGGUUAUGUCCUCUCUUCUUCUGCUUGCAUGUUUGCAUUAGAUGCUUACCUCUCAUUUGCUGGGUGAAUCUAGAAUUAGAAUGCAAUGUUUUGGACCUUUUUCUGAUUUUUGUGUGAUAUGUGAGACUUUUACAGACAUUGCUGCAAAUGUAUGGGGAUGUUGAUGCUGCCAUAGAGUAUCUGAUAGCAGAACAAGGUGUUGAAGAUUUUUCAGAGGAAACUAUCUGGUCUCCCUGCCGUACAGAUUCCAGAUCCUUCUCAUGGUAAUGGCUGGUCAGUAUUUAUCUCUCUAUAUUUUGAUUAAUUAUUUAACUUCAUAGUUUCAGAUAUACUGUGUUAAGCUUCACAAGAAGCUUAUAUGGAGUCAUUUUGAUGUAACUCGUAGGAUUAGCAUAUUUUGUCUUGUCGUUCAUGGAUUUGUGGGGUAGUCAAACAUGCUAAACCCAAAACUAUUUCAUAUUUUUUUAUGGUAAUUAGGUGAUGAUGCCAAUGGAAAUUCUAAGGAACAGAGAGAGGAGCCUGUGGAAGAGACCUAUAAAGAGAAUCCACUUAGCAAAAGUGCUAAUCGGACUCAUGAUGAUGGCAGUGCCCAGCGAGAAGACAAGGUUUCCACAAGUGAUGAUUAAGCUCAAAAUGCGAGAAUUGUUGGUGACAUGCCUCUUCAUUUUUAUCUGCUUGUUUUAUUUUGAAAUGCGGAAAAUCUAAAGAAACAAGGCUUGUCUAUGUGGUUCAAAAAAGAGAUACAAGUCCUGUUGUGGGUCAGGGACAGAGAAAGUCUCUGCAAUUUCCAAGUAUUUCUCGUUCUCUCUGUGCUUUAUAUGUCAAGUUAUAGUUUAAGUUUGUCUUUUGUUGAAGCAUUUUUCCUGUUUCCCUGUGAUUGGGGUUGAUACUUAUCUUGAAAAUUUAUCGUUUAUGUAUCUAACAUGGUAUCGAUUACCUUCCUUAAAUUCAAGUCUGGAACAUUUUCUCACUCUUACACUUUGUUGAAUAAUAUGUACACUUUGGAAAAAAAAGGUUAAUGCAUGAGUAAUUUAAAUUUAUACUUACAAAAACAAAGACAGCAGUGAAGAUUUCUCCAUUUUUAUGUCUAGAUGUUGUUUUGCAGUGAUCAAGCUCUUGAAUUCAGAAAAAGUAGAAAGGAAAAGAAGCGAGGCAAGAGAGGGUCUGACACAGCUGCACUUUCUACUGGAUCUGAUGGAGGGCCACCUGAUACGGGGGCUCUUUGUAUCUGAUCUUUUGCCAAUGUAGUGCACCAUUAUCUAUUGAAUUUCAGAUAUCAGUAUGUGUGUAGUCUUUCAAAUAUUUGAUUAGAUUAGACAAAAUGUUUUUCUAUCUAUAUUAGCAUGUAUUUGAUGCGUGCAUCUCUUCUUCGAUCUUUGGGAUAAGUGCACUUUCUAGUUUUCCAUCUGUUGCCAAAUUUGCAAAGAUCUACAGGUACACAAUUUUCAAUGGUGUUACUUUUCUCAGAUAGUCUGCUCGUCUAAUGCAUUUUAUACUGGCAAUUGUAAUUUGGAUAUUCUUUGUACACAUAAUUGAGGCGCAUGCACAUAACACCUACCCUGGUAGAUUUGUUGGCAUUGGCAGGGGUGAGUUCGGUCAGCAACCAAAGGGGAAGGAGAUAAGGAAAUUCAGUUAUUGCCAUCCCAGGGUUAAACCUUUUCAUGAAUAUAAAAGAGACGUUCACAUGAAUUUGACUAGUGAUGGUUUAAUUUUUAAAUUCCCUUCCAAAGUAUUGGUUUUGCUAUAAUUGUAGUUUGGGGUUCCUGUGAAGACGUUAUUCUUUUUCUUGUUAUUUCAUUGACAAGAAAUGCACUAAGCAUUUAUGCACACAACUUCUUGUAAUUGAUGAAUGAUUUGUAUGGAUCCAAAAUGCACUUAACCUUCAUCUACAAGGAUCUGAAUGCAAACCAUUUGUAGUUGGAGACGACACAGAUAUUACAAAUGCUAGCUCCUUCAUUCAAAUUGGUGCAGAUUUCUAAGAUUAAACAAUUUUGACUGUUAUGUUCGGUUAUUUUGGCGCAAAAUUGUGUCUCAUAGAUCUUUUGUCGGUUGUUAUUAGUUGUUAUAUCAUCAGUUAUGCCACAAUUUAAAUCCUGACUUUUUUCUCGUUGUUUUUGUGGAAUUGCAUUGUGUCAGAUGUGGCUUGUCCAGUCCUCAAGAAUCACAACAAUAUUGCGGGUACAUCAUUUCAUCCACUAGGGAGUGGGAGAGAGUUGAAUUGUGAGCAGAAAACUAAUGCUGAAAGAAGUCUAUAACUUGAGCUUCUCUCUGGAGCAAGUUAUGAGGUUACUUAUAAUUUUUUUUCUUUGGCUUGCCUCAAACAUAAAUCUUUUCAUUCUCUAUAAGCAAACACAGAGCAGAUGUUCGUACAAGGCUAUCCUCUGUCUUCAAAGGCUGGUACCUUACUAGUCUUGUAUACUACUUUGUCCCAAAAUAGGGAAAUAAAGAAUCCUUACUUCUUCAUCUAACAGCUUAACAAGCAUUGAACCUUUCAUGUUGAUGCUGCUCUAAUACUGUAGGGAGUUAAGCGAUCUGUUAAGCUAAUAUAACUCGACGUGUAUAUUGAUUUAUUCCAUGUAAGAAUUGAAAAACAGUUGCUUCUUCUGCAAGAUAGCAAGGCGUACCCUGUGAGCCCCAUUUUCAUUCAAAUGGUGAUCCAACAUAUGGGAGGGCAUAAUUGCUAAAUGAUAUGGGAGAAUGUAGACAUCACGAGAACUUUAAUGCGAUAAAAGCAUCUUCGGCUUGGCCUACGCUGUGAUGUUCCGUGGAAGUCUAGGCCCAUAAGUGGACUUUUCCCAUCAUGUGCCGUUGUUGAACGGGCUUGGUCAACCCGCUUCUUCAUUGUCAUUGAGAAGGUGGUCUGUAAAAGCCAGGAGACCAAACCUAGGUCCCUUACAUGAGAUAAGUGUACCUAGCCAGUAACUCAGCGUCUAGUAUAAUAGACUUCCUUUGUUUCUCUGCCAAAGAAAAAGACUUCGAUAAAGUUCUGACUUUCAAUCAUUGAUCUAGUUGCUAGGCAUGUAUUUAAGUUCUAUCCUGCGGUUAUGUUCAACCAUUUUGUAUUAUGAAUUUAGAAGAACUUUAACAGGUAAAUACAUGAUGCAUUGUAUUCAAAUUUUUCGUCCAUUAAUUUUGCAGGUUGGCUCCGCCGGGUUCAUUCCAAUCAGAGUAAAAAAGGGCCAAUAUUAGAUCAAUGAUAGUUUAGUUGGAAUAUAGGUAGUGUAAGAGGAUGAUCAUCGAAGAGUGCUAACAAAGUUUAGAAUCACCAUUGGGAGAGUUGUGUCAUAUAAGGGACAAGGUCAUGAUGUUAUAUCAUGAGGUAGGGACGUGUCGUGCAACAAGAAAAUCAAUUUAAAAAAGUAGGUGUCAAAGUAAAGUGAUCAGCAUUUCAUAUGACCAAUUUUUUAUCCAUUGAUUUUGUAGAUGUGCUCUGGCGGGUUCAUUCCAAUUAGAGAGUACGGAAGGGCCAGACUUUGGUCAACGAUAGCUUGGUUGGAGUAUAGAUAGUAUAAGAGGAUGAUCAUUGAAGAGUGCUGAUCAAGUUUAGUGUCACCACAAAAGGAGGUGUCUUGUGCAAGGGACAAGGUCAUGAUGUUAUAUGACACGGUAGGGACCUAUGGGGCGGCAAGUAAAUCAAUUUCAAAAUUUAAGCAUUAAGUAAAACGAUCAACAUUUCAUAUGAUCAAUUUAAUUUACUAGUCACAUCAUGUCAAUCAUCAGUGAUUUGACUACCAAAUAGAAUAUCUUUUUCAAAUGAGGGGAUAGUCCCUCAAAAAGUUUUUGAACUAGAACUUCCCAACUCACAAGAACUUUGAGGAAACCUACUCCCAUUGAAGAAAUGCUACUCAUUGUCACCUAAAGUUGCGAGGACUUUCCAAGAUGUACCACUGUUGAUAUACUCUUACUAGUUGCUAAAUAGACAUUCCGUCACUUAAGAGUUCGUAGAAGGAAUUUACUAUGCUAUCCAAUGAUUACUAAGUGAUAGGAUCAACAAGACAUAAAUUCUACAACCAAAUUGCUAACCUUAAAAGAAAGUUAGCUUACUACAGGUGUAGCGAUGAUCAUGAGGACUCCACGAAACUUACAAUCGUCGUAAAAAUAAUUUACGAUGCACAAAUGCUAUCAAUUACAAAUAAAGAGGGAAAUUACUGUAUCAAUGGAGAAUUGCAAAAUGACAGCACCCUCAACUUAAGAAUAACGAAAACCACUGGGGUUCGCCUCAAUGGCCACCCUUCCAAUUUGGAAGGGGGAGGUGGGGGGUUUAAAUCCCCAUCUUCUUAGGGGGGAUUGGGGUUGGGACAAUUUCAUUUCAGGAGUGGGUUUCGACUCCCAUGCCCUGCAAGGAGGCAGAACAAAAGUCUGAAAGUGAGUGUUACUAUAGGAUUAGAGUAUGAUCGACAAAAAAAAAAAAAAAAAAAACUUAAGAAUAAUGAAGAUAUGUUCGCUAUGGAAAGUUAUUAAUCAUGGGCGUAGUACAACUUUUUGAGGAUUUCGCGUGAGUGACAAUUGUUCUGGAAUAUUUACUGAGAAAUUUCAUUAUUUGUUAUGACUAUUUGAUGAAAUUAACUAAAUUAAUUUAAGUCUACUAACGACUAGGAUUGACAUACGGGUAUAACAAUGAUUAUUUGUGGCGAUGAGUAAAGAUUAAAAUACAGCCACAACAGGAAUAUGUGUAGAAACACAUAAAUAGUGCCGUAAACCUUUUCUGCUUCAUCUAUAAACCGCGUGAAAAAAAUUUGAAAUUGCCCAAGCAAAGGGAAAUGAUCCUGAGAAAUAAAAUAUGAAUAUUGUUUCUUAAGGGAUAGAGCACACCAUAAGUUCUAAAACUUGCUAUAAAAAUACAAUUAAUUCCUAAAACUAAAAAAAAAGAAAAAAAAUGCAAUCGAGUUUUAAAACUUAUGUAAUCAAGAACUUCCAUCAGUCCUGUCCAAUUUGAGUGUCAGAAUAUACUAGAAUUGUCAUCUUUUGAUAUGUUUUGAGCACACAUCCCGAAGAUACUCCGGCCAUACAUGAUGCCUGGUUCUAAUGACUAGAAGUGUACCAAGUCACCCUCUAUCUCUUCAUAUAUGUUUGAAUAGGACAUGAGAGAUUGAAUUGAAUGCCAUCUGUUACUCCAUCAACAAGAUAGAUGCCUGAGGCAUCAAGAGACGUAUUGCCAAUUCUAUUUUGUUUUGUUGGCUUCUCAAUGACAGCUUCCUUAAGAUCUGCAACCCAGUACUAGCCGUCUAGCGUCUUCCCAGUUAUUCUUUCAUAUCUUUCCAUUUCCUUCAUUCGACACGGGAGAGACGCGGGAGAAAUUUGCGGAACAACUCUCUAUUCUCUUUUUCACAGAGUGACGCUGGAUCCACUAAUUGAUUGUCUUCAAGCACAACCUUCAAAUCAUCAUCUAGUUGCUCGCAUAUUAGCACAUAUCCCAACUUUUCCACGGUUCCACUCGACAGUGUGAGUGUAAGGCUAAAUUGUAAGUAAUCCUCAUCAAAUUCAAGAAAAUCAAUAGCUCCUUCCAACACUCCCCAUAGCACAUUUGGUUUGAUAUACUAAAUCCACAUGUGAUCCGAAUGAAAUGAACCAAGAGUUCCUGAUAGUGCAUUCCGUCUUUGGUCGUUAACGUGGGGCACGAUGUCAUAAAAUAUUUCCUUUUCUCCAUCUUCUAUGGUGAAAACAACACAGAGAGCUAAUCCCAGGAACUUAUCAUAAAAGUCCUGUGAAACCAUGAAAGAUAUGGUAUUGCCUUCAAUGGGGACGAACUCCUUUGGCAUAUCUACUCAGGGGAGAAUAUUUUUGUAGGAACGAUAAAUUCCAGAAUAACGAUGCUUCAGUUAUACCAGUAAAUUGUUAGACAUGCUUAAGUUGAUACUCAGUUCAAAUAGAAGAGUUUGAUUUGAGAAUUUUUCUGAUAAUUUAACCAAAGCUAGAGAUUUAUAAUUAUUAAACAUAUCGAUCUUUCCUUGCCUUAUAUGUAAUACUUAUGAAAUCAUUCACUUGCGAGUGUUGUAGCACAUGUAAGUGAAGAAUGACUUUAUGUUAGAUUUGUUUAUUUGUUUAAAAUUUUCAGUUUUUGCAUAAUGCAAACACAGUGUGCCCGACAUAUACCAACAAAUUAACACAUGCACUUAUGAUCGCACGUGCAUCCGCCGCCCGGGGGGGAGAGACCUCAACUGAAAAGUCAGCCAUGAUAUCGGUGCGUGGGAAAGAAUGCCUAUCGUCGAAUUCUUCUAAGCUUGUUGGGUUUGUUGAGUCUUUAUCUUCACGGUCUAUCCACCGCUAUUACAUAUAGGUGUAAAAUCACAAUAUGUAAGGUUGUAUUGUUUACUGGUUAUAAAAACACAGCACCCAUAUCAAUCAGACAUACGCACCACAAUCACGGAGAGAGAGAGAGAGAGAGAGAGAGAGAGAGAGAGCUCAACUGAAAAGUCAGCCAUGAUAUCGGCGGGUGGAAAGUCAUCCAUAUCGUCGCCUUCUUCUGAGCUUGUUUGGUAGUUGUCUUCAUGGUUUAUCCCCCGCUAUUACAUAUAGGUGCAAAAUCACAAUAUAUUAGCUUGUUUUGUUUACUAGCAUUAGCAGUUUUGCAUUAUAAAAACACAAAGCACCCAUAUCAAUCACACACACACACCACAAUCGUGGAGAAGGGGAAGGGGGAGGGAGGGAGGGAGAGACCUUUUCCAGAUUUGAGAGAUUGGCCGAAAUUUCUUCCUCUAUGGUCGUUUCUUUAUUGUGAUGCCAAAUCUCAUAGAACAAACUUGGAGCUAGCAACUCGUCUAGAUCCAAAACCUCCAAAUAGUCCUGUAAUGGCUUGCAUAUUAAUCGAAAUCCGCAAUUUUUAACAAUUACACCAUCUGAUGUUCUAAUGCCUAAUUGAAAAGAACUCGAGUCAUUUGGACCAAAAGUGUCUUCUCCCCAAAAUUCCUCCAUUGAAAAAGCCGAAACAUACGCAUGAUCCGAAUGCCAUUGACAUGACGUGCCUAUGUGCACAGCCUUGCAUUUGCCAUUAACGUAUGGAUGGAGCGUCAGUCUAUUUUGUUUCCCUUCCUUUGCUCGACAUGCAAUGCAGAUAACUAAUCCUAGGCACUUCUUAUACAAAUCCUUUGAAGUAAUGAAAGAUAUAUAACCCUCUUUAUUCGGGAGUAACCAUUGCAGCAUCUCUCCUCCAGGUAGAACAAUUUCGUAAUCCAAUCUGAGACGAGAUUGCUGUCAUAGAUGUAAAUUGUUUNNNNNNNNNNNNNNNNNNNNNNNNNNNNNNNNNNNNNNNNNNNNNNNNNNNNNNNNNNNNNNNNNNNNNNNNNNNNNNNNNNNNNNNNNNNNNNNNNNNNNNNNNNNNNNNNNNNNNNNNNNNNNNNNNNNNNNNNNNNNNNNNNNNNNNNNNNNNNNNNNNNNNNNNNNNNNNNNNNNNNNNNNNNNNNNNNNNNNNNNNNNNNNNNNNNNNNNNNNNNNNNNNNNNNNNNNNNNNNNNNNNNNNNNNNNNNNNNNNNNNNNNNNNNNNNNNNNNNNNNNNNNNNNNNNNNNNNNNNNNNNNNNNNNNNNNNNNNNNNNNNNNNNNNNNNNNNNNNNNNNNNNNNNNNNNNNNNNNNNNNNNNNNNNNNNNNNNNNNNNNNNNNNNNNNNNNNNNNNNNNNNNNNNUAUCUGAGUUUUUCUCUAUUGAAAUUAAUGUAUUGCUGCCAGUGAGGAUUUAGGCACCUGUGUGUUGUUUGAUUGAAUUCAGCUUUUGUCAAAUGCAUGAUUAGUGUUAUUCAUAUAUGGGUAGUCUUGCUGAUGUUUCCAAGAUCUUAAUAGGCUGAGAAAUUGAUUGCUAUCUGUGAAGCUAUUAUGUUUCAGUUGCAUAUUUUUUUCCCUUGUAUCAUUGCUUUAUCUAUUAUUAAUAAGUAAGAAUAUGAUCCUGAACCUCAAUGUUCCCAACGAUCUCUCCCCUACCCCCCCCCCCCCCCCCCCCCCUUUAAUAUUAAAAAUUGUUAUUUUUAAAUAUUUUAAAUAAAUUUACUUUUAAAUUAAAUUUAAUUAUUUAAAAAAAAAUAUUAAAAUUGUUAUUUUUAAAUGUUUUAAAUAAAUUUAAUUUAAUUAAUUUAUAUAUUUUUUCCACGUCAACACUAAAACAAUGCCGUUUUGUCUUUGCUUCGUCGGAAAAUCACCACGUCAGCGUUUUGACCGGAUUGGCACUCAAGUGAUCCAUUUUACUCCGAUCUUGGCACUUAAGUGUACAUUUCGUAACUUUUGGCAGUUAAGUGUCCCUUUGUGCCAACUUUUGGCACUCCAAGGGUCAUUGUCUCCAAAUUUGGCACUUGAAAAAGAGGAGUUUCAAUGAGUCAAAUUUAGCUACAAUUAGCAAUACAUAUACACGACUCCGUAUUAAUCAGAGGGGAAGGGGGAGAGAGAGAGAGAGAGAGAGAGAGAGAGAGAGAGAGAGAGAGAGAGUCUUCAGAGGGGAAGGGGGAGAGAGAGAGAGAGAGAGAGAGAGAGAGAGUCUAAUCUCAUUACGUACCAGUUCGUGAAAUAAUAAGUCAAUAUGAACGGCCCGUAUGUCGGAGGGAAUUCUACUUAGAGAUUCACAAUUCCUUGCCAGCAAAGCAUGCGAUUGCCCUGGGAUCCCGCCAAUCUCUUGUAGCUGUCGGCAUUCCGAAACAUUCAAAUCGCGUAAAUUAUGAAGCUGCUCAUAUACUGGAAGCUUAGCAAAAUUGUUUUCGGACAAAUCCAAAAAUAUUAAGGAUGGAAAACUUGAAUUAUUCUCUAGGAACUCUACUUCUAGUAGAUUGCAUCCCCUCAGCCCUAAAAGCCGUAGCUUGGGAAAUCCUGUCUUGCUAUGUAGAUUACUCAAAUCCUCCUCCUUUUUUGGAAACUUGAUUAGUUUUGAACAACUAGAAAGUAUCAAUUUCUUAAGAUUUGGCAACUUGUAAAUGCUAGAUGGAAGGUUUGUUAGUUUCUUNNNNNNNNNNNNNNNNNNNNNNNNNNNNNNNNNNNNNNNNNNNNNNNNNNNNNNNNNNNNNNNNNNNNNNNNNNNNNNNNNNNNNNNNNNNNNNNNNNNNUUUUCUAUGGAUAUAGGAAGUUCCUCAAUGAAAGUCCCUCUUAAAUAAAGUUUUUUGCAAGCCUUUGUUUUUAUUUGGAAUAUCAGGGAAUCUUUGCAACUUUGAGCAGUCAGUAAGAUUGAGAAGUUGAAGGUUCUUGGCUUGGAGCACAUCAGGGAGAUGACAAAGGUUAGAGCACCCUUUUAGAUUCAACAACCGUAACUUGGUGUGAUACGCAACUGAUUCGUCAACGCGCUCCAAAUUUUCGCACUUUUCGAGGACCAGUUCCUCGAGAUUUGGAGUCAAAUUGAGGUCCAGCAUAAAAACCAUUGACGGGCAUUCACUGAAGUUAAGGAACUUCAAUUUUGUAAAGUCCUACAAGAAACAUCCCGACAGAAAAAAGAUGAAGGAUAAAAUCUUUUAAUGAAAAACACUUGAUCAUCAUUCAAGCCCCAUGUGAUCAGAAAUUAGUUGAUCAUAUGGUGCACACAUAGCACUCCCUCUCCCUUUUUAAAUAUAAGUUUUUUAAGCGAUCCUUGGCCAAAAGAGAAGAUAAAAAAAGAAUAAUACUCGUAAUUCCACCACACACUAAGCUCUAUCAAGUGACAUACAAGAGAAAUCAUUCCAAUGCUAAGUAGCGUGGCCACUUAUACUAGGUGUACGUUUAGAAACAAUACAUGUAAUUCAGGGAGUGUAACCUCAAGUGGAAGCACAUGAGCCAUGGUCAAAUCCCUUGCCAACUAAUUCAUGACAUGAAUUUAAGUCGACAUAGAUGGCACUUGAUAGAUCUACAAUCUUAUGCUGAGAUACACGAACCUGCCAUAAUGGUGGUGGAAGCUUAGGAAUUUCUCAUGUCAUCACUUAUUAGGUCAUGGUGCUUGGUUGAUCGAUUUUCGAGAAUUGCACAUUUUGUGGAAUGUAGUAGACCGUUGAUGCGUUAUAUGUUGCUGAACUUAUAUUAGUGAAAUUUUGCGCCUACAUGGUAUUCCGAAGACGACCACUUAUGUUGUGUAGCGAAAGCAUCUUUUAAUUCCUUUGGAUCUUACACCAAUAUUUACCACUAAUAUAUAAUCAAUAAGUUAAGUGAGGAAGUGAGGAAGAGAAGUUUGAAGCAAACUGUCAAAUAUCCCAGUCAAGCGAAAAAACAUAGAAAAAGCCUGCUAUUUUUUAAGAAGGUGAUCUUGUCUGGAUUCAUUUGAAAAAAGUGCUUUCCACCAGGUCGUCUUUCUGCGGAUGGUUCUUUUGUAGUUUUGGAGCACAUCGAUAAUAAUGCCUACAAAAGUGAGCUUUACCGAGAGAAUGGUGUUUCCACUAGUUUCACUGUUGCUAAUAUAUCACUAUGAAGUUGGCCUCGAGGAGUCUUUUCAAGAUUUCAAGAUUCUCACUUCUGAAUAGAAUAAUGAGGAUAAAAUAUAUUUUCUUGAUCAGUGAGCCUGUUUUAUACUUCUUAGGAUUGCUUUAGUCUCGAUUACAAUGUGAUUAUAUUUAGCCUAUUUGAAUUUUGUAUUUUGGAUUCAUUUUUCUUUACUUGGAGCUACUCAAAGGUAUCUUNNNNNNNNNNNNNNNNNNNNNNNNNNNNNNNNNNNNNNNNNNNNNNNNNNNNNNNNNNNNNNNNNNNNNNNNNNNNNNNNNNNNNNNNNNNNNNNNNNNNNNNNNNNNNNNNNNNNNNNNNNNNNNNNNNNNNNNNNNNNNNNNNNNNNNNNNNNNNNNNNNNNNNNNNNNNNNNNNNNNNNNNNNNNNNNNNNNNNNNNNNNNNNNNNNNNNNNNNNNNNNNNNNNNNNNNNNNNNNNNNNNNNNNNNNNNNNNNNNNNNNNNNNNNNNNNNNNNNNNNNNNNNNNNNNNNNNNNNNNNNNNNNNNNNNNNNNNNNNNNNNNNNNNNNNNNNNNNNNNNNNNNNNNNNNNNNNNNNNNNNNNNNNNNNNNNNNNNNNNNNNNNNNNNNNNNNNNNNNNNNNNNNNNNNNNNNNNNNNNNNNNNNNNNNNNNNNNNNNNNNNNNNNNNNNNNNNNNNNNNNNNNNNNNNNNNNNNNNNNNNNNNNNNNNNNNNNNNNNNNNNNNNNNNNNNNNNNNNNNNNNNNNNNNNNNNNNNNNNNNNNNNNNNNNNNNNNNNNNNNNNNNNNNNNNNNNNNNNNNNNNNNNNNNNNNNNUGAUGACAUUUGGGGAAGAAAUUAAAUUGAAAUCCUGUGGAUGUUCACCUUUACUUUGUACAGUAGAAUAAAUAUGAAUAUAAAAAUAAUAUGUAUACCAACAUACAUACAUAUAUAACUUUAGAUUAGAUUUAGGUUUAAAUAUAUUUUAAUUAGCGAAGUGACCCCCCUACUCACUUCUCUUUAGAAAGCCUCAUUAGUCAUGCGUGAAAGCUGUUAUGCACCACUAGCUUGCUAGAUGCAACGCCUUUAUGAAGUGAGACUCUUCCAUAGGAGAAAAUAUUCAGUGGUUAGUGCGCGCCACGUCAUCCGCUGACCUGGUGCGCACUAACCAAUGAAAUACCGGCACGUGUCCCCGAGCGGGACCCGCUGAAAAAGGAAGGCGCUGGUUUUUGAUCUCGGCUCGGCUCGGCUCCACGCAGAAGAAAGGACGGUCAGCGCAUUCCUCCCGCUCAAAAUUUUUCUCUCUCCUCACUUGAAUGCGCGGGUUCUCUCUCCUCGUAAAAGAAAAAAGAACGCUCAGAGCCUUCCUCUGUUUCCUCCUCCGCCUCCGUCUCCAGCUCUGCCUCCGUCUCCGCCUCCGCCUCGGCCUCCACCUGCCCAAAAGCCUCGCUGGUCAUCUGCCUCUGUAUCUCGGUCUCGUUCCCGAGUGGCACCAGGCUCCCCGCCGCUGACCAGGCGCUGUCCCUGACGCUGGCCCGCUCGGUCGCGAGGGAGAUCUCGGCGGACUUUGGCGGGGUCGACGGCGCGGCGAAGAAGGAGAGGCCUGCUGCAUUUUCUCUCUCUNNNNNNNNNNNNNNNNNNNNNNNNNNNNNNNNNNNNNNNNNNNNNNNNNNNNNNNNNNNNNNNNNNNNNNNNNNNNNNNNNNNNNNNNNNNNNNNNNNNNNNNNNNNNNNNNNNNNNNNNNNNNNNNNNNNNNNNNNNNNNNNNNNNNNNNNNNNNNNNNNNNNNNNNNNNNNNNNNNNNNNNNNNNNNNNNNNNNNNNNNNNNNNNNNNNNNNNNNNNNNNNNNNNNNNNNNNNNNNNNNNNNNNNNNNNNNNNNNNNNNNNNNNNNNNNNNNNNNNNNNNNNNNNNNNNNNNNNNNNNNNNNNNNNNNNNNNNNNNNNNNNNNNNNNNNNNNNNNNNNNNNNNNNNNNNNNNNNNNNNNNNNNNNNNNNNNNNNNNNNNNNNNNNNNNNNNNNNNNNNNNNNNNNNNNNNNNNNNNNNNNNNNNNNNNNNNNNNNNNNNNNNNNNNNNNNNNNNNNNNNNNNNNNNNNNNNNNNNNNNNNNNNNNNNNNNNNNNNNNNNNNNNNNNNNNNNNNNNNNNNNNNNNNNNNNNNNNNNNNNNNNNNNNNNNNNNNNNNNNNNNNNNNNNNNNNNNNNNNNNNNNNNNNNNNNNNNNNNNNNNNNNNNNNNNNNNNNNNNNNNNNNNNNNNNNNNNNNNNNNNNNNNNNNNNNNNNNNNNNNNNNNNNNNNNNNNNNNNNNNNNNNNNNNNNNNNNNNNNNNNNNNNNNNNNNNNNNNNNNNNNNNNNNNNNNNNNNNNNNNNNNNNNNNNNNNNNNNNNNNNNNNNNNNNNNNNNNNNNNNNNNNNNNNNNNNNNNNNNNNNNNNNNNNNNNNNNNNNNNNNNNNNNNAAUGCGCAGAGAGAGAGAGAGAGAGAGAGAGAGAGAGGGUAUUAUCAAGAUCUACCUUUUGUCCAUUUAAACUUCUGCUCUUCGCCUCUGCCCAUAAAUUGAAUGUAAUUGUUACACAAAAUACUUUUUAAGAAUUGGUCAUGUCCAUUAAAACUUCUGCUCUUCGACUUGUCAUUGAUCGAUACCUUCGACUUGUUCAUGUGCUGCGGAGCAAUUGGAGCAUGUUUGCUUGACCGAAGCGUCUUCUUGGCCAUCGUCAGGGGGAGGAUCGGUGUUACCUGGUCUGCUGAGUAGGACAGUGAAUCCGGGGAAUGGCUAGCGGUGACUGGGGUUUUGGCUCGGCUAGACCCAGUGUCUUAUGAGAUCCGACCUUGGCUUACUGAUAUCAAGAUCCGUGCAAGCUGUGCGUGCUAUAGUUUUCUUUUCAUUUUGUGUGUGGAUUUUGUGUAUCUUCAACAUCAUCGUCUGAUCGAUCGCAAGCUGACUUCAUCAUUCUGAAUAGCAAAGCCUCCCCGAACUCUUCAGCUUCUUUCCGACUUGGUCUCUACCAACUUCUUCCGAUGCUUGGGUUUCGUUCGACAGACGUAUUGGUCCACAUGCUCUUCAAAGAAUACUUGCAAGAUAGCUGGCGUGUCAAUAAUCUUUGGGAGAAACAUUGAACAAAAUGUGAAACAACGUUUCACUCAGUGCGGCAAAUUGUCGUAACAAAGUUUGAGCUCCCGAAGGAUGUUGCUUCUUUGUCCUAUACGUUGUCUAGCACGAGGAAAAAUUUCUUACUAUUUACUAAGUAUCGCAAAUGGGUCCGCAAUUGCUCAAUGUCCAAGGUAUCUAAUAGCGGCUGAAACACUAAUCAAGUCUCGACCGAGGGUGUCUCUCCAGAAUUUUUCAAAAGUUCUCUUUAGAUCAAAAUCACUGGAAAUGCAUACCGAUGUUCGAAAAUCGAAAAUUAUUCUUGGACCUUUUCGUCAUUGUACACAACUUAGCAAGCAUUGUUUUGCCUAAGCAUCCCAUCCUAGUUAUCAUGGGAGGGCAUAGUAUUCGAACUAGUGACAACUUACCAUUCUUGGAAAUGAUCACUCAUGGUGGGAAAUGACGUGAAGGGCACCCAAAAUGAUGGGCAAGGCCCAAAAAAUGAUGCGCAAGGUUUUAGGUACACAAAACCUGGCCAGAAUGACCACCCCACCCUCCAACACAUUCAUGGAGAAUUCCUUAGAGCCUGUUUGGUAUAUUUGUGGUUGAAUUGUAACCGUGCCAUACGGUGUUGUAAUACAUGUCUUAAAGUUGCGACACCUCAAAGCUGGAUGAAACGAGAAAAUAUUCAGUGGUAUGUGCGCGCCACGUCAUCUGCUGACCUGGUGCGCACUUACCAAUGAAACGCCGGCACGUGUCCCCGAGCGGGACCCGCUGAAAAAGGGAAGGCGCUGGUUUUUGCUCGGCUCGGCUCGGCUCCACGCAGAAGAAAGGACGGUGAGCGUAUUCCUCCCGCUCAAAAUUUUUCUCUCUCUUCACUUGAAUGGGCGCGGGUUCUCUCUCCUCGUAAAAGAAAAAAAGAACGCUCAGAGCCUUCCACUUUCCUCCUCCGCCUCUGUCUCCGCCUCGGCCUCCGCCUGCCCAAAAGCCUCGCUGGUCAUCCGCCUCUGGCAUCUGGGUCUCGUUCCCGAGCGGCACCAGGCUCCCCGCCGCUGACCAGGCGCUGUCCCUGACGCUGGCCCGCUCGUCGGCGAGGGAGAUCUCGGCGGACUUUGGCGGGGUCGACUGCGCGGCGAAGAAGGAGAGCCUGCUGCAUUUUCUCUCUUUUUUUCAACGAAGCGCGCUUUUUCUUCCCGCUUCUGCCCCUCUCUUCCUCAAGCACUCCUCUCCUCUCUGUCCCGAGCCCUCUCACUCACCCCAAGCGCCCCCCUCCUCUCUUUCUCGAGCCCUCUCACUCACCCUAAGCGCUUCCCUCCUCGCCUCUCUCCUCGUCGCCGUCAUCGACUUUCCAGCCGCGACUCUAGAAAUCGCCGGCUGCCGACUGGCCUCUCGAGCUUCUUUGAAGCAAAAGAGGUUUGCGAGGCUAGAUAUACUGGUGGCGGUGCUAAGUUUUGGGGUUUCGCCGCGACCAGUGAACUUCCAAGAUCACGGUCGAGCACCGGCACCGACACCUGCACAUUGAAGAAUUUACUUCUGGGUUCCAGCUCUUUUCUAACGCUUCCUCCGGACAUGAAUUCGCCGACCGUUUUCAUCUCCGCCGUUGCAUUGGUCCUGCUGUCCAACAGUUCUCUCCGCGUGUCGUCCUCGACUUCGCCGCCCAAAGACCCGUUUCUCGGAUAGCUCCUGAAGGUUCGAGCCCGUCGCUUUCUUAUGGGUGCCUCGUUUGUAAAGCGUUUUUUAUUGGACAGAGCUCGCUGUAGUGGGGGGUGGGGUGAGGGGUUUUGACUAUUUGAGGAUGUGGUUGGGUGACUGAUGACAGUCUGCGUGAUACCCAGAUGUGAAAUAUUACAGUUCAUCGAACAGGAUGAAGUGUAAGGAUGGGUCAAAGAAAUUCACCAGAGCCCAGGUCAAUGACGAUUUCUGCGACUGCCCAGAUGGGACAGAUGAGCCCGGUCCUUUUUGAGCCAUUUUUUUUUUAGUAAUCAGUUUGCUGUUGUCCUUGAAUUUAUUGGUUGGUCUUGCAUUGUGUUUAGAUGGAUGAGUUGAUGCGGGAAAUAAAGACAGAGAUUAUGAAUAGGAUAAAUAAUGGAAAUAGUACGAUAAAUAUUUCUUUUUGGGCCAUAGACCACCCUGGGGCAAAAUUGGGAGGAGAUAGAAGUAAAUUCAUGAAUCACUGUCGCCCUUCUUUUCUUUUUGAUGAGAUGCAUAUGAAGAACUCCCAGUUUUCUUUCUUGCUGAAUGAAGCAGACGAAUUGUUACCUUAAGCAAUUUCACCAGAUAUUACGAACUUGGCAGGUAUAUUAUGAGGACUUAAUAUUUUCCUUGGUAAUUGUCAUGAAUAAUCGGUUUUGCAUCAUAGAUCAGCAAAACUGCGGAUUGCUUUAUUUGAUAUAAAUGCUUUUGAAGAGCAAAGAAGUGUAUUCAGUUUAUAUGGGAUGGUCUGGCCAACUUCCAUAAACUGGCAUAGUUGAGGGAUGCUCUCCAUUGAUAUAUUAGUAAUGAUGGUUCAUCAAGAAGCUCAGCUGGACUCAUGUUAGUUCAGUUGUAUUGUGGUUAUCACAAACCAUGGGUUUCUUUUUGUUAGGCUUGUACUGGUUUUAGAUAUUACUUAUCCAAAAAGGACUGUUACUAAUCCUAGGCUUUAUUUCUUCUUAUAGAACAUAGUAUGUGUGCAAACACCUAGUAGUGUCCAUAUCUGGACCUGCUUUGAUGUUUAGACUAUUCUAAAUGACACUGUUACUCGUACCCGGCUUUGUUUCCUUCUUUAGAACAUCUCAUGNNNNNNNNNNNNNNNNNNNNNNNNNNNNNNNNNNNNNNNNNNNNNNNNNNNNNNNNNNNNNNNNNNNNNNNNNNNNNNNNNNNNNNNNNNNNNNNNNNNNNNNNNNNNNNNNNNNNNNNNNNNNNNNNNNNNNNNNNNNNNNNNNNNNNNNNNNNNNNNNNNNNNNNNNNNNNNNNNNNNNNNNNNNNNNNNNNNNNNNNNNNNNNNNNNNNNNNNNNNNNNNNNNNNNNNNNNNNNNNNNNNNNNNNNNNNNNNNNNNNNNNNNNNNNNNNNNNNNNNNNNNNNNNNNNNNNNNNNNNNNNNNNNNNNNNNNNNNNNNNNNNNNNNNNNNNNNNNNNNNNNNNNNNNNNNNNNNNNNNNNNNNNNNNNNNNNNNNNNNNNNNNNNNNNNNNNNNNNNNNNNNNNNNNNNNNNNNNNNNNNNNNNNNNNNNNNNNNNNNNNNNNNNNNNNNNNNNNNNNNNNNNNNNNNNNNNNNNNNNNNNNNNNNNNNNNNNNNNNNNUGGGGCACUGAUUAAUCAUAAUUGUGCAACAACAGAUUUAUUUAUCUGCUUUAGCAACUUCAUGUCCUGGAUUGUCUUCCUCACCAACAAACAUUACUUUUUAAAUAUUACUUUACAGACUAUUUAAUGAACCCUAAUACCAUGAAGACAAGUAAACAAGGGUAUAUUUCAAGUGAUGAACAGAUUUGAGACUACUUUUUAGGAACUCUCCAACUUUUGAGGACAAGGACAUUGAUUGUGACAUAUAUGCAUAUGGGAAAUGAAUAGAAACUAUUUUUUUGGGUUUACAUCUUAAGGAUUGUUUCAAAAGCUAGACAAGAGUGGCUUCUUCAAUUGAGAACAGUUUGCAUGCUUGGUCUGGUUCAAUCUAGUGAAAAGAAAGUGGUCAAAACUAGGUGAGAUGGAGAACUGGUUUAGUUCGGAUUGAUCUUUUCCUUAACGCUUGUCAAUGAACGGUGUUUCUGAGAAUACAAGAAAAAUUGCAGGAAGGGGGAAAGGUUGGAGAGAAAACAAAAGGUACAUUUUUGAAUGAAAUCUACGUGCUUAUCGUCAUAUGCAAGGAUCUGCAGAGUGAUCAAUUGUUAGUAAAAUGGAUGAUGAAUGUGUGGAUUAAGUAACAUUAUAAUAUUGUAAUAAGAUACCAAUUAAUGCUUAGAUUAAUUUUCCCUUUUCAUUGUUUAGGAUUUUUGUCAAUUGGACAAUUACUAAAUGCUAAGGUCCUAUAAAAAAUUUAUAUGCUGACAUCAUCUGACCUUAAUAGGUUGACGGAAUUACUAGAUCGUUCUGGUUCUUGUAACACUGAUUUUAGCAUCCGCUGGACAAAGGUUAACUAGCAGGUGGUCAUUCNNNNNNNNNNNNNNNNNNNNNNNNNNNNNNNNNNNNNNNNNNNNNNNNNNNNNNNNNNNNNNNNNNNNNNNNNNNNNNNNNNNNNNNNNNNNNNNNNNNNNNNNNNNNNNNNNNNNNNNNNNNNNNNNNNNNNNNNNNNNNNNNNNNNNNNNNNNNNNNNNNNNNNNNNNNNNNNNNNNNNNNNNNNNNNNNNNNNNNNNNNNNNNNNNNNNNNNNNNNNNNNNNNNNNNNNNNNNNNNNNNNNNNNNNNNNNNNNNNNNNNNNNNNNNNNNNNNNNNNNNNNNNNNNNNNNNNNNNNNNNNNNNNNNNNNNNNNNNNNNNNNNNNNNNNNNNNNNNNNNNNNNNNNNNNNNNNNNNNNNNNNNNNNNNNNNNNNNNNNNNNNNNNNNNNNNNNNNNNNNNNNNNNNNNNNNNNNNNNNNNNNNNNNNNNNNNNNNNNNNNNNNNNNNNNNNNNNNNNNNNNNNNNNNNNNNNNNNNNNNNNNNNNNNNNNNNNNNNNNNNNNNNNNNNNNNNNNNNNNNNNNNNNNNNNNNNNNNNNNNNNNNNNNNNNNNNNNNNNNNNNNNNNNNNNNNNNNNNNNNNNNNNNNNNNNNNNNNNNNNNNNNNNNNNNNNNNNNNNNNNNNNNNNNNNNNNNNNNNNNNNNNNNNNNNNNNNNNNNNNNNNNNNNNNNNNNNNNNNNNNNNNNNNNNNNNNNNNNNNNNNNNNNNNNNNNNNNNNNNNNNNNNNNNNNNNNNNNNNNNNNNNNNNNNNNNNNNNNNNNNNNNNNNNNNNNNNNNNNNNNNNNNNNNNNNNNNNNNNNNNNNNNNNNNNNNNNNNNNNNNNNNNNNNNNNNNNNNNNNNNNNNNNNNNNNNNNNNNNNNNNNNNNNNNNNNNNNNNNNNNNNNNNNNNNNNNNNNNNNNNNNNNNNNNNNNNNNNNNNNNNNNNNNNNNNNNNNNNNNNNNNNNNNNNNNNUUCUUCCAUGCUUUGGCACUUAUGAUGCUUAGUUUAGAUUUCUUUUACAUGCGUUCGUUUUUGUGUUACUAUCAAUUGUUUUGUUGCUUUUUCAUCUCUAAAUAUAGAGCGCAAAGAACCAAAUAGAGAAAGCAGAGGAGAAAGAACAAAUGAGAAAAGAAAAAAGAAGAGAGGGAAAAAAGAGAAGCUGAGGGGAAAGCUGGCAAAGAGAAAGCAGUUUCAGCAGGGUUGGGUGUUGGAGAUCUUGGAUCACGUAAGGAUGGGAGGAGGCAGGCUAGCAGAGAGGAACAAGAGAAAAUCGAGGCUGAGAUGAGAAAGAAUGCCUACCAAUUGGCCUAUGCUAAAGCAGAGGAGGCAUCUAGGUUACUGUGGGUGGAGCAAACAAGAAAGGGAAGAGAUUCUAAGAUGUUUUGCUGUUGCUUUUUCUUGAAUCUCUUGGGCCUACCAAAAACCCGCAGUGAAAGACUGCAAUUCCAUUCUGCCAAAAACAUACUGGUGGGACUGGAUUUCUAUCCGAGGACAUAGCUUUGAAGUGUCAUGGAAAUAUUUUCAAGGGAAGAGGUGUGAUUGCUUCUGCUUUUAAGGUUUGUGACCUGUGGAUAUGGGUAUCAUCUUAGUGGUAUCUUCGUCUUGCUAUGCAAGAAAAACUAAUCUCCAAACAAUAAUUAUGACAAAUAAAAAAGGAAAAUCUACAUUGCAUUAUUAAGUAUCAUUUCAGCUUUGAGCUGUAAGUGUGAGUCUAGUUAUUAGUAUUUUAGCUUCAAUAAUUCUCCAUAUUGCGAUAUAUUUCAUUUUUUCUAUCGGUUCAUUUAUAUCUUCCAUUCUAAUUGUUUUGGCCGAAUUUUAAUCUGUAGCUCCCUCCUCAUACAAUUCAUAUUCGACCGUCGAUGAUCAAGGUUGAAAAGGACUCAAAGCUUUCAGAUAUCAGGACCGUUGAUGCACUCGAAAUAGUACAAACAAGGUACAACCAACAUAUUUUGCCAGCAGGCUAUCAUUGUUUUAAUUAAUUCUCUUGAGGUUCUUAUGGUACCUCUGACCCCUAGUACUGUGAUCACAGUGUUAUCUGUGGGUUUGUUACCUGGCUAUGCUAUUGAUUUGUUGAUCAUUGUGUUAAGAUUUUCCUUUGGAGUUAGCUGGUUAAAAGACCCUUACAUAAACAGACUGAAAAGUUAGCGGCUUUCUUGUUCUUUCAGCAGUUUAAUUUGAACAUGGGACAUGUUUUUCUUGUGAAUUACUAAAUCCCAUUGCUUUAUGUUUGGAGCUUUUUCUGCCAUCAAAUUUUACCUUUUCGGAAGAACUGAUUAGACCUUGGUCCUCAUUGAUGCAGUAAUAAACCAAAGCCUGCAUAUCUUUCAAAGAUUUUGAUUGCACUUUUAAGCUAUGGUGGGGUCCCUGAUGAAUUUCUUUUGGACAUGGUGGAGAAUGCUCUGGGAGAUGCAAAUAGUGUCUUCUCUAGUAAACGAGCAGCUCUAAGAGGUAGUAUUCUUCUGAACAUUUGGACUGUUGAAAUAAAUGUCUAUUCUUAAAACAGUCCAAAAAGAGAUUUUUCUCCAAUUUUUUUUUCUAUACUUGGAUGUUUUUUUUUUCUUGAUUCAAAAUAUGCAUAAGUAAAAAAAUGCAUCUCUAUUCAUCUUUGCUGCUUUUACUUCCCCUGGGUGCGUGUUUCCUUCAAUUGCUAUUUGACGUGUAAACAUUUUCCCUUGUAUUUUCCUUUUGUUCUUUUACCGUAUGAACAGUUUAGGUGAAUCAUGGUGAGAAGGAUGGUUUGACUGCAGCUAGAAUGAUCUUAUCUGGGAUUCCUCUGGACGAAACAUACCUACAGAAUCGUCUGUCCAUCCUGAUGAACGAUGAAAAGAAGAGUUUGAAAGGAGGAAGGAUUCCUAUUCCAGAUUCUUACUAUCUAAUGGGGACAGCCGAUCCCACUGGAAUUCUUAAAAGUGCUAAAGAAUAACUAUAGCUAUGCUUGUCUGGGGCUUAGAUGUUUAAUUUAGUUACAUGCCUCCAUAUCUGGUCCUUGGAUUUAGACAUCAAUGGUGUUAUAUUGCUUUGAUGACAUCCCAUCUCUGGUUCUGUUCUUGUUAACCCACGUUUGAGUUUGAUAUUCACAACUUUGGGGAAAAGGUGUAAUUACCUAUUGGACUUUGAUGUUAUAAUGCUGUUUUGGGUGUCUUUACUAUUUAAUAGUUUGCUUGAAUCAUCAAUGUAGUGACAGUGGACAAAUUUCAGGGAAGGUAUUAGUAUACUGCAAUCCUGGUUUGCACUUCGGGGAUAUUCUUGUUUUGAACGCUACAUAUGUGGAAGCUCUGGAAACAAAAGUUGGAAAUUCAAAGUAUGCUAUAUUUUUCCCUACUAGUGGACUGCGCUCCUUGGCCGAUGAAAUAGCUGGUGGGGAUUUUGAUGGGGAUAUGUAUUGGGUUUCACGUAGCCCUCAGGUUGGGAUAUGUAUUCGAAUGCUUGGUGGCUCCCAUUUUCCAAGCAAGAGGUCUUUGAGUGGAGGGAAUUCUGUUGUAACACCUGAAGUUCAGCCAUCAGAAGGUAAGCCAGAUCUGUCCCCAAGAGAGGACCCAUGCACCAUCAAGUCUGGUUGCCCAAGGUAUUAGUUUCCCCAAUUCUAUUCAAUUUAAACAACUAAUCAUGUAUUGGUGCAUAUGUAAAUGGCAUUUGAGACAGCACAUGCAUAUAAAUAAUCGAAUGUUUGUGCAGAUAUAUCACUUGCUACUGGAGUCACCGAGGGGACGAUUAGGAACUCCAAGGAUCUGUAUCCUCACAUUUCGAAGAUUAAUACCAAGCUGAUAUGCCAAGAAAGAGGAUCUAAAGAGUUUCUGCAGCUUUUGAGUGUGUAGAUAUACAAUCAAAAUCGACAUUACUUAACUUUCAGUUAGUUUUGCAAAUCAGAACAAUAUUGAAUUUGUAAUUAUUGUUAUAAAGAAUAAGGUGGUUCUUAAUUCUCACUCUUUGUAUUGUUAGAAGAUAUCUUGAAAACUUUGUUAUUCAAAUAUCAAAAUGCUGUGUUCGAGUUCUUUUUGGCCCUCAACUACAGAAUACCAGUGUCAUACAAAAUACAUUGCUUCGAUUUCGCAUGAUAAUGUGGGCAAGCAGACGUAGCAUUGUUCCACUCUGACAAGAUGUUGAUUUAAUAAGUUAUUAGUCCGUUCACUUUGGUCCUUUACGCUCUCAAUUCAGCUGGUUAAAUCUCAUUAGUAGUCUCCAUACCCGUUCCUUACUUUGAUUGGUCAUCAUAGUAAAACUCAAUUUCACCAGGUAUGUUUCUAUGCGUAAAGAGAUAAAACUCUACCCUUUGCAGUCUCAUAGUCCUGAUUUCGAUUAAUAUGAAUCUAUAAGAAAUUAUGCACAAAUUAGACAAACUAUACGCGCGUUUCCCCUUUUUCCUUUUAAAAGCUUGGCAAAGUUUUAACAAUGGCUUUUUAUGGUUGCUAGUACUACUCAUUAUGCAAAAUAUUCAUCACACUACAACUAGCAAAUGAACCCUUAUUGACAUAGAAAAAUUGUGAUAUUUUGACGAUACAAUAUAUAUGAUACAAGCUUNNNNNNNNNNNNNNNNNNNNNNNNNNNNNNNNNNNNNNNNNNNNNNNNNNNNNNNNNNNNNNNNNNNNNNNNNNNNNNNNNNNNNNNNNNNNNNNNNNNNNNNNNNNNNNNNNNNNNNNNNNNNNNNNNNNNNNNNNNNNNNNNNNNNNNNNNNNNNNNNNNNNNNNNNNNNNNNNNNNNNNNNNNNNNNNNNNNNNNNNNNNNNNNNNNNNNNNNNNNNNNNNNNNNNNNNNNNNNNNNNNNNNNNNNNNNNNNNNNNNNNNNNNNNNNNNNNNNNNNNNNNNNNNNNNNNNNNNNNNNNNNNNNNNNNNNNNNNNNNNNNNNNNNNNNNNNNNNNNNNNNNNNNNNNNNNNNNNNNNNNNNNNNNNNNNNNNNNNNNNNNNNNNNNNNNNNNNNNNNNNNNNNNNNNNNNNNNNNNNNNNNNNNNNNNNNNNNNNNNNNNNNNNNNNNNNNNNNNNNNNNNNNNNNNNNNNNNNNNNNNNNNNNNNNNNNNNNNNNNNNNNNNNNNNNNNNNNNNNNNNNNNNNNNNNNNNNNNNNNNNNNNNNNNNNNNNNNNNNNNNNNNNNNNNNNNNNNNNNNNNNNNNNNNNNNNNNNNNNNNNNNNNNNNNNNNNNNNNNNNNNNNNNNNNNNNNNNNNNNNNNNNNNNNNNNNNNNNNNNNNNNNNNNNNNNNNNNNNNNNNNNNNNNNNNNNNNNNNNNNNNNNNNNNNNNNNNNNNNNNNNNNNNNNNNNNNNNNNNNNNNNNNNNNNNNNNNNNNNNNNNNNNNNNNNNNNNNNNNNNNNNNNNNNNNNNNNNNNNNNNNNNNNNNNNNNNNNNNNNNNNNNNNNNNNNNNNNNNNNNNNNNNNNNNNNNNNNNNNNNNNNNNNNNNNNNNNNNNNNNNNNNNNNNNNNNNNNNNNNNNNNNNNNNNNNNNNNNNNNNNNNNNNNNNNNNNNNNNNNNNNNNNNNNNNNNNNNNNNNNNNNNNNNNNNNNNNNNNNNNNNNNNNNNNNNNNNNNNNNNNNNNNNNNNNNNNNNNNNNNNNNNNNNNNNNNNNNNNNNNNNNNNNNNNNNNNNNNNNNNNNNNNNNNNNNNNNNNNNNNNNNNNNNNNNNNNNNNNNNNNNNNNNNNNNNNNNNNNNNNNNNNNNNNNNNNNNNNNNNNNNNNNNNNNNNNNNNNNNNNNNNNNNNNNNNNNNNNNNNNNNNNNNNNNNNNNNNNNNNNNNNNNNNNNNNNNNNNNNNNNNNNNNNNNNNNNNNNNNNNNNNNNNNNNNNNNNNNNNNNNNNNNNNNNNNNNNNNNNNNNNNNNNNNNNNNNNNNNNNNNNNNNNNNNNNNNNNNNNNNNNNNNNNNNNNNNNNNNNNNNNNNNNNNNNNNNNNNNNNNNNNNNNNNNNNNNNNNNNNNNNNNNNNNNNNNNNNNNNNNNNNNNNNNNNNNNNNNNNNNNNNNNNNNNNNNNNNNNNNNNNNNNNNNNNNNNNNNNNNNNNNNNNNNNNNNNNNNNNNNNNNNNNNNNNNNNNNNNNNNNNNNNNNNNNNNNNNNNNNNNNNNNNNNNNNNNNNNNNNNNNNNNNNNNNNNNNNNNNNNNNNNNNNNNNNNNNNNNNNNNNNNNNNNNNNNNNNNNNNNNNNNNNNNNNNNNNNNNNNNNNNNNNNNNNNNNNNNNNNNNNNNNNNNNNNNNNNNNNNNNNNNNNNNNNNNNNNNNNNNNNNNNNNNNNNNNNNNNNNNNNNNNNNNNNNNNNNNNNNNNNNNNNNNNNNNNNNNNNNNNNNNNNNNNNNNNNNNNNNNNNNNNNNNNNNNNNNNNNNNNNNNNNNNNNNNNNNNNNNNNNNNNNNNNNNNNNNNNNNNNNNNNNNNNNNNNNNNNNNNNNNNNNNNNNNNNNNNNNNNNNNNNNNNNNNNNNNNNNNNNNNNNNNNNNNNNNNNNNNNNNNNNNNNNNNNNNNNNNNNNNNNNNNNNNNNNNNNNNNNNNNNNNNNNNNNNNNNNNNNNNNNNNNNNNNNNNNNNNNNNNNNNNNNNNNNNNNGCUUUCUCUAUUUGUUCUUUACGCUCUAUAUUUAGAGAUGAAAAAGCAACAGACUUGGGUCGACACUAACCUUGCUAUCUCCAAGCAUGGGCGUUAAGCUCCCGGGAUCCUUCUCAAUGGUGGAUCUGACUUCUUUCUAGGAUCACUGUUUUGACUGGAAACACCCCAGAAGAAAAAAGAAAAAAAAAACAAUUAAAUAAACAGGCAGAAAGUAACAAAAAUGUAAUCAUUAUUUUAUCAUUCAAUUACCAUGGUAAAUAGACAUUGCAUGAAGUCCAGCUUACACUUAUUAGAUGGUGUCUGAUUGUCUUCUCAGAUAUAGAUUUUUUAUCAUCAAUCAAGUUAGACAACUCAAAUUUCUAUUAAGGUGCCGCCUUGUUAAGCAUAAAGAUGGAGACAUCUAUAGGUUGAUCUAUAAUGCUUGGUCAUAGGCUAUGAUUUUUAAGUAAACAAAUUCACAAGUCUUGAAACUGGAGAUUCCCCUCAAACGUCUGGGGAAAUAUAAUCUGGAAAGAGCCAUCCAGGCAGUGAUCCAUGGAGCUGUACAUUAGCAAACAGAAACAUCUCCUCAGCAGAGCCCAGGCUCUGAGGGAUUUGGGAUAAAUAGAAAAUUUGAAGCAGCAAAGAAAAAGACAGUCGAGCACUUUGGUCAUGGAACAAGACAUUCCACAUUGACAUCUUAUAAAGUCAGAUUAAUCUAAAAUGCUAUGUACUUAAAUGCCAAUGAAUAAAGAACUAGUAACUUCAUUUUUUAACACAGGAAAACAUACCCAGGCUUAACAUGACCACUAAGCGCAAGAUUAGGUGUCUUCAUUUGAGCUUGAGCUUCCCUCAUCCUCUCUGCAUACAAGAAGGCGUGUCUGAAUUCUUCAUCUGCUUCAAUUCUUCCUGGUAUUGCUUCAUGUGCUUCUCUUGCUUCAUUUUGCCAGGCCCUUUUCCAUGAAAUUUAUGGGAAAGCAAUCAGAAAGCUUCCUGUGGGGUUAACUGUUGCAAAACAUUCAAAACAAGAAGAUUGGCAUAAAAACAUCAAAGUAAUGAAUUGGCGUUUCUUUGACAGAGGCAAAAGAUAUGGCCAAUGGACAAUUUAGUAUUACAAGGCUUUAUGAUAAAUAUCUUUUUUUUUUGUUGAAAACUUACUAUUCGGCCAAAUUCAUCUGUCCUUUCAAUGCGGAUCUCUUUCUGUCCAUCAUCUGCAAUGCGUACGAGCUUGCUUUUCUUCUUAUCCAUGUUUCUACCACCCCACUCAACAGUUUCUUUAAGUGUUCCCUGUUCCUUAAGAGCUGAUAGUUUCCAUCUUUGACAAGCUUGUUCUAGUAAGAUACCCGGCCUCAUUGAGUACAGCCAGAACUCGUUUCUGACGAGCAAAUACUUCUGCUGCUGCCUUUUUCCCAGGUUCGACAACUAAGAAUUUUAGUCGCACUUAGUCGCCAAGAAAAAAGACAGCCAGUUGGAUGAAUUGAUUUAAUUUCUUGACUCAGAGAGGUCACACAUAUUCUCAACAGCAAUAAGCCCAAAACAUAUAGCAAUCAUCUAAUUUAAAUAAGAAUUAUAAGGUAAACUAUUUACCAGGUUGAUGAUAGGCAUUAAUAUUAACUAAUGAGGCGUAUAUCUCAACUGCUCGCUCAUACAAUGCUAUAAGAGCCCCCACUGAUGUAGGGGUCACUUCUACAACAGUGACUGUUAUAGACUCACGAUCAUUGGCAUAUAGAGCAUAGCCCGUUCCCUACAGAAGUUCACCAUAUCUAAAAGAGAUCAAUUGCAGAAAACAACCGAGUGACUAUAAGUAAAUCAUCCACUGAACUCAUGUCUCCUUUCCAAGAGAAGUGUGAGAUCUUAAACUUCAGAAACAAUAGACAUAAGAACUUCAAAAGUGUGUGAAUGUGUGGAUAUCCUCAUUAUGGCAUGGUGGUCAGAUGCUCCAGUAGAAAAAUGUGUGAAUGGCGCUUGGGGCAUUCAGAUUGAGAGAGAGAGAGAGAGAAGAAACAAGAAACGUUUCUGCUAUAUGUGUCCAUCUGCUUUUAUUAAGUGCAUUUUAUGUCUCCGAUUCUGGAUAGUCCUGUGACCAAACUAAUAGUUAACUUCAAUUAUUCCGUUGCCUUAAAAUCGUGCAAAGGAACACCAUAUUGCCCAUGGUUAUAUAAUCACAACUCUCUUAAUUGCUCCAGCAAAAGUAGUUCUCAUCCAUGCCAAUGUAAAUGUAAUAAAAGUCUAUGUACCCUCAUGCACAUGGACAUGGCUGUUUGCAUGCAUCCAUGUGGACUACUCCAGCCAAAAGUUUUGGAUAACCCGUGCUAUAAACAAAUGAUCUUGAGUAGCUAUAUCCUAUGUGACAUUGCAGGAUUAUGAAGAGGAAGAAUUUGGAUGCCAUCAGAACAUGGUCAACACCUUCCGGCUACUUGAUUUUACAUACAUAAAAUUGGUUUUUAGCAGUGUCAAAACACAGCAUGUCAAGCAACCAUGAUGCACAAUUUUCGUUUUCACUUCUAGCAAGAACCAAGUCUAAAAUUAACUUAAGAUAUGCAGAGGGAGAUACCUGGGCAGGAUAUCAAAAGAAUGGCCAGUUUAGUACAGGCUUCCUAGACAACUAAUGAUAUAACACAAUUUGAAGAUUCAACCAUAAUUCCCAACUUAUGGGUGAAGCGACCAAGUUUGAUUCAAAUUUAUAUCUUCAACUUACUUCCAAACAGGAUGUCACAGGAUUGAAAAACUACAAAAGUGUUAAUAACUUAUGCACAUGGAAGGAAUAUGCAAUAAGAAGCUAUAAUAAUAAUAAUGGUCUGUCACAACACUCAAAUAUCUUGGACUUCUCAUAUUCAUAGCUUCAGUACCACCACUGAAAUAAUGACAUUAUUCAAGUUUCCAAGCAAAACUUAAAAAAAACAAAAGGAAUUACACAGCUAGUGUGCCUUUCAUCUAACCGAGUUGAGUGUCUACCCAUGUAAAACAAAACNNNNNNNNNNNNNNNNNNNNNNNNNNNNNNNNNNNNNNNNNNNNNNNNNNNNNNNNNNNNNNNNNNNNNNNNNNNNNNNNNNNNNNNNNNNNNNNNNNNNAUAUCUCCCUACUGUUCUACAGCUAGGCGCGCGGACCCCAACAUUGGGAUGUGCAAAGUUGCUUUCCAUCCCUGUGAUUUCUUACUUAGGAAGAAAUGGAGCAAAGGUGCUACCGAAUGAUAAGCAAUGAGAGAUUUUUGAGUAAAUUAUCCCUAACUAUUUUUGAAAAUCAAUAGUUUAUCCAUAAAGAUAAAAGAAAACUUUCUUCGAGUUCUGCUUCUUCCUCCUUUCAAAUGUAAAGGAAGUACUUCUGAAAAAUCCUCGGUUAGGUUGGUACAACGAAAAAAGACAGGACUUUUGCAGCUUACUUAAGGUAAAGACUAACUUCCUUUAUAGAUCCUUUGCUACACAAAUUUUAAUAUUUGUCUUUUCAUUAUCAGCUGCAAGCUAUUGGAGAAAGAACAACAGGAGGUUCAAUUAAAAGCAUUUGGCGCGCACUCACAUCAAUGAUAAAGCAAAUAAGUAAGAAAAAUCUCUAUCUAUUUCCAUAUGCAAUGUCAGUGAGUACAAUAAGAUUGUCUCUGGUAUUACAUAUAGAAUCUUUGAUGACAUUUUCGUUAUCUAUAUUUCAAAGGCAUACAAAUUGAAUCAUCAGUUUAUAUUUAUUAAAAUACUAAGCACAUUCAUCAUUCAAUUAUAUCACCAAUAAGUUCUUGUCCCGAUUUUUGGUAUUAAAGUUACUGACCUUAUAAGGUCAUUCUUCUUAUAAUUUCAGUGCUUGUAACAUUCUGAAAUUGAGGUGGGACCUUUUUAGUGAAUAUUUUUUUUUUAUUCGAAGUAACUUUAAGAUUCACAUUGGAAAGUGUUUUAUACUCCCCUAAAACGGAGACCCCACUUUGGUUCAUGUAGUGGAUCGACAACUUGUAUUUAAUGCUUUAAUCAAAUAUAAACAAUUUAAUAGAUCAGAUGUUUCUUAAGCACAUUAACGAGCAUCAUCGGCGUUAAUGAUUGUUGCAUUCGGAGUUUUCAAUAAUUCAUAUACAUAUCCACCAUCGUAUGCAUACAAAUAUAGAUAUGUCAGAGAUAAGUAAAUAAAGACAAUUAAUUUUAAAUGCGCACCUUGAAUUGCUCCCUCACGACUUGGAUGUUGGUUUUGUGCAGAUCAAGCCCAACCAACUUAUUUGGACAAGAGGAAAACUCGGGAAACCAAGGACAUUCGGGCCACUCAAACCAUCUCAGUUCAUUAGGAAGACAGAUAGGACCUUGGAAAGAGUUAUGCACAUUAAUCAUGAUGAGCAACCUCAACCUUCUCAUGUUUGUGAAAGCAUUGGGACCUAUGUAUAUUGCUUCUGUCUUGGGUAAAACCAAAACUAUGGCUUUUACUGCAUUUGUUCCCUGCAUUUAUAGAACUUGCGUUGCAAUUUGUAUACGAAGUCAGAGACGAUGAGAGUAAAAUCAGUGUUUAAACCACCAAAACUUACCAUAUCCCUCGAUAGAACAUCACAGACGUCUUCACAAAGCCAUAACCUGCUACAUCUUCCAGGAUCAUCGCAACAUUCUUGUUUAACAAUAUCCAUGCCCAUCAACUGAAUCAAGUCAUGCAUCUGUAUUGUCUCCCCUUCUUUCGUUAUUAAGGACUUCUCAACAAGAACUUGUACUCCAAUAGUUGUGUCAAAGUUGAAACUGUUAAGGACUUUCAUGAUGUACUCUAUAGAUCGCCCCUUGAAGUAACAUGCAAUAUCAAGGAAUAUCUCCUUUGCAUAGUCCUCUAGUCCAUCACAACUUAACUUGAGAACAUCAUUGAUGGUUUUGUCAAGACUUUUAGCAAGUUUAUUCAAUGCACUUUCCCACUCCCGUUCUUUUCUUCCACAUAGGAAAGAGCCCAAUACCUCAAGUGCUAAAGGAAGUCCUUUAGCAUAAUGCAAAGCACUAUUGACAAGAUCCCUCCUUAUCACUAUUUCCUUACUUCUAAGAAAAGCAUCUUUAUCAAAAAGUUGACGAGCUUCCCAAUCCACUAGAGUUUUAACUUCAUAGAUAUGAUCUUUAUCUAUCCCAUGGCAAGUUAAUAGAUGGUUAUCUCUUGUUGUGAUGAUGAUUAUGCUUCCUUUACCAAACCAUUUGUGCUCUCCAGCUAAAACAUUUAACUGUUUUAUGUCAUUGAUAUCGUCGAGAACAAGAAGCACUUUUUUGCGACGAAGUCUAUCUUGGAUCAAAUUAAUACCUCCAUCAACACUAAACACUGUUAAUCCUUUUCCUGGAAAUAUCUCGAACACAACUCUUCUUGCAAUGAGCUAAGUCUUGGAUCUUUGAGUUUCCCGAACGUUUGCCAAAAAGCAUGAAGCCNNNNNNNNNNNNNNNNNNNNNNNNNNNNNNNNNNNNNNNNNNNNNNNNNNNNNNNNNNNNNNNNNNNNNNNNNNNNNNNNNNNNNNNNNNNNNNNNNNNNGGACAAAGAGAGGUCUCACAGUACCCAUACGCCUCUCUCUCCUCCACCACAUAUCCCUCGCGGCCGUCACGGCGUCGCCGAAACCCCAAAACUUAGCACCGCCACCAAUAUAGCCUCGCAAACUCUUUUGCUUCAAAAUCCUGGGCUACGUACUCGAGCCGGAAAUCGGGACCGAAUAAGGAGUAGAAGACAAAGAAGGUCGAGAGGCCAGUCGGCAGCCGGCGAUUUCUGGAGCCGCGGCUGGAAAGUCGAUGACAGCGACGAGGACAGAGGCGAGGAGGGAAGCGCUUAGGGUGAGUGAGAGGGCUCGAGACAGAGAGAAGGGGGGGCGCUUGGGGUGAGUGAGAGGGCUCGGGACAGGAGAUUCUUUUUGUGGAGGAAGCGGUGGCAGAAGCGUUAGUCUCUUAUCUCCAUUCAAAACGAGAAUUGGAAAACCAUCCUUGACAUCUGUGUUCACCUGUGUGAAAGAAUAUUUUUAACCCCAUUAACCAUAGAACUUUGAGCUGAAAAGAGAAGUGACAGGCAACACUAUUUGUGAUUAUGGUAUACAUCAUCCCUUAAUCACCAUUUUUGACUAGUCCAUUGUGUCACAAACCAAGAUAGAUCGCGAUAGGGGACGGAAAAAAAAACCAAGACUUGACGCAUUACAAAGGAGUGAUCCCAGACAAAUCCACAAAAAUCAAGCUUUGGUUCCACCAACAGGCAUUGACACUCAGUAUACCAUCUAACGGGAACAACACAGCAAUAGACUUCAGUGAACGUGAAAACACACUCUUGGGAAAAUUCCACAAUGAUUCAAACUCGUCGUAAUCAGACGGACAGACACAACCCGAGAGCCGAGCAACGNNNNNNNNNNNNNNNNNNNNNNNNNNNNNNNNNNNNNNNNNNNNNNNNNNNNNNNNNNNNNNNNNNNNNNNNNNNNNNNNNNNNNNNNNNNNNNNNNNNNNNNNNNNNNNNNNNNNNNNNNNNNNNNNNNNNNNNNNNNNNNNNNNNNNNNNNNNNNNNNNNNNNNNNNNNNNNNNNNNNNNNNNNNNNNNNNNNNNNNNNNNNNNNNNNNNNNNNNNNNNNNNNNNNNNNNNNNNNNNNNNNNNNNNNNNNNNNNNNNNNNNNNNNNNNNNNNNNNNNNNNNNNNNNNNNNNNNNNNNNNNNNNNNNNNNNNNNNNNNNNNNNNNNNNNNNNNNNNNNNNNNNNNNNNNNNNNNNNNNNNNNNNNNNNNNNNNNNNNNNNNNNNNNNNNNNNNNNNNNNNNNNNNNNNNNNNNNNNNNNNNNNNNNNNNNNNNNNNNNNNNNNNNNNNNNNNNNNNNNNNNNNNNNNNNNNNNNNNNNNNNNNNNNNNNNNNNNNNNNNNNNNNNNNNNNNNNNNNNNNNNNNNNNNNNNNNNNNNNNNNNNNNNNNNNNNNNNNNNNNNNNNNNNNNNNNNNNNNNNNNNNNNNNNNNNNNNNNNNNNNNNNNNNNNNNNNNNNNNNNNNNNNNNNNNNNNNNNNNNNNNNNNNNNNNNNNNNNNNNNNNNNNNNNNNNNNNNNNNNNNNNNNNNNNNNNNNNNNNNNNNNNNNNNNNNNNNNNNNNNNNNNNNNNNNNNNNNNNNNNNNNNNNNNNNNNNNNNNNNNNNNNNNNNNNNNNNNNNNNNNNNNNNNNNNNNNNNNNNNNNNNNNNNNNNNNNNNNNNNNNNNNNNNNNNNNNNNNNNNNNNNNNNNNNNNNNNNNNNNNNNNNNNNNNNNNNNNNNNNNNNNNNNNNNNNNNNNNNNNNNNNNNNNNNNNNNNNNNNNNNNNNNNNNNNNNNNNNNNNNNNNNNNNNNNNNNNNNNNNNNNNNNNNNNNNNNNNNNNNNNNNNNNNNNNNNNNNNNNNNNNNAGCAUAUAAAAGGAAAAAAGAAAAGAAAAAAGAAUGUAACAUCAAUCACUACUCAAUACUUACUUGUCAUUCAAAUCUCACCCGGACAAGCUACCGGCAUCAUAAAGAGCCUUCUCCUAUCUCUUCACCUUCUCUGAAUCUCUCCCAAACUUGCUCUCAUGCUUAACCAUAGCUUCUCGGUAGCUUCCUCUUGGUGUUCUCACUUCUUUGGGUUCCACUUUGUAAAACACUGGAAACACUGUGAGUCCUCUUUGUUCCUUGCAUUCCAUGAUUUUCUCCACCUCUUCCAAACACCACAAUGAGGAAGCAUAGUUCUCAGAGAAAACAAUGAUUGCGAUGCGUGAGUCCUCGAUCGCAUUAAUAAUCGCUGGUGUUAUUCGUUUCCCUUUCCGAAGCUCCUUACUAUCAACGUAAGUGUAGAUUCCUUUCUGAUCAAGAGAUGCAUACAGAUGACUGAGGAAGUUGUUUCGAACGUCCGUACCUCAGAAACUCAUGAAAACGUCAUAAUUCCCUUUUAGAUUUGAAGAAGUGGCCUUUAGAGGAGAUGAAGGUUGAUGUGCACCCUCAGAAUGCUUAGUGCCUUGUCGUGUUGCAGCUUUAUCUCUCAUGUGGAUACCACUUUGUACUAAUAAAGAAAUAGAAACGAAAACCAAGGUCAUUUUGAUAAGCAUAUUCUCCACCAACUAAUUUAACAAAAAGUGGCAUUUUGCAUAAGAUGCACAGAACCAUCCUAUAUAGGUGCUUCUUGACUUGAAUUGCCUUUCCCUUUAAUAAAAGAAAUAGAAAAGAAAACUAGCAAUACUCACAUGCUCUUAAUACCAAUAUACAUGAGUCAAUAGCAAAACAUAGCCUAUUGGAAUAUUCUUUAUAAUAAACAACAUAGCCUGUUGGAAUAUUCUUUAUAAUGAACAAUCUUACUUUUUUCUUUCAAAAGGGAUUCUACAAAAGCAAAUCCCACAAUAAAUUUCCCUCACUUUUCAAACUAAAUUUUUCCAUACCAUAUCUUGACUAAAGAUUAUCGAGUUAUUACCCCCUCAGCCAUGUUAUGUUGAUCUCACUCCUUAAUUUAUCUUUGUUUUUGACAUUUCACAUUUAUUUUAUACUUUUAAUGUCACAUUUAGAAUUUCUCAGCUAAUGGGUUAUCCACAAUCGAAUAACUAUUUAGGGAAUAUUUUUUUCCUUUUUAUUUUUUUUCGAACCUUUUAUUCCAUGUUAACACUCUUUUUUUCUUACCUUCUUAGUAAAGACUAUCACUUAUUCACCUGAAGGUGUUUGUCAUCAGUGAUUGGAUAUUAUGAACCAACUAUAUUAUAACACCAGCUUUAUCUUCCAGUAAAAACUAGAACCUUACCACUUUGAAUAGCGAUGGCGUAUAAAGGAUUCGUGAAAUGGAAACUUCUACUUCAAUGUCUUGGUGAUAUUAUUUAAUGUAUGUACAGCUGCCUUUCAACGAUGCUCUCAUGCAGAUCUUUAAACACUUCUGCCAUAAAAAAUUGUGAAAGUCGAGACUUUGUUUGCAUGGGUAUAGUUUGAUGGUGGAUGAUGUGUGAGACCUGCAUCCUCUGAGUGAUUUUCAGUGUUUUNNNNNNNNNNNNNNNNNNNNNNNNNNNNNNNNNNNNNNNNNNNNNNNNNNNNNNNNNNNNNNNNNNNNNNNNNNNNNNNNNNNNNNNNNNNNNNNNNNNNUAGGGCACUUUCAAUUAGAGCCUCCGGUUGUGCCUUCUUGUUCCGAAAAACAACGUUGUUCCUGUUUUUCCAGAUCUGCCAAAGCAUCUCCGUGACUAUUUCUUCAUCAGGUGAGUGUAUUUUUGCCUCUAAAAAUUCUGCCAACCAUUUGUCCAUUCUGGUAGCCGUGCUUGUACUGUGGCUGAGAUUAAGUCGAUGAUUUGACCAUAUUCUGUGUGCUGUUUUGCAGUGAAAAAAGAUGUGCUCGAUUGUCUCAGGGUGUUUAGAACAGAGAGGGCAUAGCGGGUCAGGUAAAAUCUUCCUCUGGUAGAGUUUUUCGUUUGUUAGUAUUGCAUCCUGGCAUAGGCUCCAUAGAAAUAUUUUCAGUUUGGGGGGGAUUGAUAAUUUCCAUAGCCUAGUCCAUAGGGCACGGGGAGGCUGGUACGAGGAUGAUGCUCUGUUGUUGUCCUGUUGUAGGGACUUGUUGUGCAUGUUGUUAUAACCACUUUUAACGGUAUAAGUCCCAUUUUUGUUGCCUAUCCAAAUCAACUUGUCUUCCUUUGGCUGCAUAGCGAUAGGGAUAGACAGGAUUUCAUUUACAAUUCUUCUUUCAAACAUCCGGUUUAACAUCGUUUCUUUCCAUUCCUUCCUUUCCUCAUCAAUUAAUUCAACCACUGUUGUAGGAUCUUCUCUGUUUUCUGGGCCUCCUAUUACUCCUUGUGAUAGCCAAUGAUCUUGGCGAAUAUUAAUGGAUUUCCCGUCUCCCACAAUCCAUCUUAGGUCUGGUGCAAUGACUUCACAUCCCAUUAGGAUACUCUGCCAUCCCCAAGAUGGUCUUUGACCUCUGUUUGCUCUCCAUAAAUCUCCAUCAGGAAAGUAUAUGCCUUUCAGGAUUUGGCUCCAUAAAGCUGAAGGUGAUUGGGAUAACCGCCACGCCUGCUUUCCCAACAAAGCUUUAUUAAAAGUGAUUAAAUCUUUAAAACCUAAACCUCCCCUAUCUUUCCUAGACUUUAGAACCUCCCAUUUCCUCUAGUGCGUGUUGUUCUUGGCUUCAUUUUGCCUCCACCAUAAUACUGCAAUUCUUUUUUCAAUCGCUUGACAAACCGAUACAGGUAUCUUGAAUAUUGCCAUUGCAUAUUAUGGCAAUGCUUGCACAACAGUUUUGAUCAAAAUUUCUUUCCCAGCUUUAGAUAGAUAUUUUUCUUUCCAUCCCACUAGCUUCAUGUCUACUCUUGCCAAGAUCCAUGCAAACGUGUCUUUUUUUGUUUGUCCCCAAUCUGACGAUAUGCCAAGGUAUUUUCCUACUUUGUCAAUGUUUGGAACUCUCAUUUCUUGGGUCAUAUUCCUUUUCAACUCCUGUGGACAGCUAUUACUAAAGAACAUACUUGAUUUAUUCAGAUUAAUUGCUUGCCCCGUCGCAUAGCAAUAUUGAUUUAGGACAGCCACCAAACUUUGACAUUCUCUAACAGUCCCAUCCAUAAAAAAGAUAGCAUCAUCUGCAAAAAGGAGGUGAGAUAGUGUAGGACAAUACCUAUUUAGUUUGAUUCCUUUAAUACAUCCGUCUUCCAGGGCUUUGUAUAGCAUCCAUGAGAGUACAUUGGCUGUCAAUAUGAAUAAGUAGGGGGAUAGGGGGUCGCCUUGUCUAAUUCCACGUGUAGGAAUAAAAUAUUCUGUUGGCUCUCCAUUAACUUUCACAUUGAAAGAAAUUGUUGACAUGCAUUGCAUAAUCAAAUGAACCCAUUUGUUAGAAAAACCCAUAUUUAGUAUGCUAGACUGAAGAAAGUCCCAUUCCACUCUGUCGUAUGCUUUUUGCAUGUCCAGCUUCAAUAUCGCCUGAAAUUUCUUUUUCCUCUUCUUGAUUCUCAUUUGAUGCAACACUUCUUGAACAAUUAGGAUAUUAUCUGAAUUUGUCUACCUUGAACAAAAGCACUUUGUUCAUGUGAAAUGAUCUGUGGAAGCCAUCGUUUCAAUCUAUUUGCCAUUACUUUCGAUAUGAUUUUAUAGCUGAAGUUGCAUAAGCUGAUGGGUCUGAACUGGCUUAUAUUCUCUGGAUUUUUAACUUUUGGUAUUAGAGCAAUGUAUGUCUUGUUGAGAAUGGGAUCAAGAUUACCUGACUAAAAAAAUUCCUGGACCAUAAGCACGACAUCCAUUUUAAUAUCCUCCCAGAAGUGCUGGUAGAAUUGCCCAUUUAGACCGUCUGGUCCUGGAGCCUUUAGGGAACCUAACUGGAAAAUAGCCUCUUUAACCUCCUCCUCAGAUAUAUCGGCCAUCAAAUCUUCAUUCAUCUCCGUUGUGACGACUGUUGGGCAUUGAUUUAAUAUAGGCUGGAGAUUCCUUGAUCCCAUCGAAUCAUAUAGAGUCCGAUAGUAGUCCUUAAUGUGUUGUUUGAGCACCGUGGAGUCCCGACUCCAGUUCUGUUUAUCAACCUUCAGCAUUGUAAUUUUGUUUUGUUGCCUCCUCUGAAUUGUAGCGGCAUGGGAGUAUUUCGUAUUUUUAUCUCCCCAUUGAAGCUAGUUGAUUCGGGACCUUAAUCCCCAGUACAUCUCUUCCUACCUCCAUAGUUGAUCAAUGUUUGCCUUUAACAUCUGGAUUUAUGCUUUGCUAGUUUCUCUGGGGUUGCUGUUUGUUACUUCCGUUAGGUGCUUCUUGAGUGCUUUAAUUUGACAUGAUGCGUUGGAAAAUUUCUGUUUGCUCCAUUUAGCUAGUCCCUCUGUUACUUGCUGGAUUUUCUGUGUCAAACUUUUUUGAUCUUGGAAUGUUCCAGCCCAAGUAUCCAUAACAACAUCUCGACAUUCUUUUUCAUCUAACCAGUAAGCUUCAAAUAUGAAUUCUCUUUUCCUUUUGCCAUGAACAGGAUACAAGGAGAGAAGAAGGGGGCUGUGAUCCGACCCCACCGCUGGUAAUGCCAAAACUUCAGCAUUUGGAUAGUAACCCGCCAUUCCAUAUUACAUACUGCUCUGUCUAACCGCGUUUUGACCAACUCCUCCCCUUCUCUAUUGUUAGUCCACGUAAACUUACAGCCUUUACUAUCAAUAUCCAUCAGUGAACAUUCAUUUAACAUAUCCCGAAAGGUUGCAAUUCGAUAAUAAUCCGUCUCCCUUUUACCUUCAUUCUCCAAAUUAUAUAGAGUAUCAUUAAAUUCUCCCAUACAAAGCCACGGUAGAUUGUUUGAUGUGUGAAAACCCCGUAGUUGUUGCCAUAACUGAGUUCUUGCCUGGUAGUUUGUUGGUGCGUGAAGGAAGGUAAUCCUCAUUUGUUUGCCACUGGUUGGGUCUUCACAUUCCGUAUCUAUUACAUAGUUUGAGCUACACUUCACUUUCACUUGAAUCUCUUCAUUCCACAUGAGUGCUAAUCCCCCGGCUAUUCCUGUAGGAUGUAUCAAAAAAGACUAUUGAUAGUUAAGUCUCCUCCUUAUCCUUUCCACCAUGAUAUCCUUGUUCUUGGUUUCCAUAAGAAAACCACAUUGAGCCUUUCAAGAGCCAUUAAGGCUCGAAGCUCUUGGAACGUCAGGGGGUUGCCCAGCCCUUGACAGUUCCAUCUCACAAUCCUCAUAAUGUUGCCGAUGGCUUAUUAGGGCUAGCCACCAGAGCCCAAUCAUUCCCCUCUUUCACUAGCUGGAUAGGUGUCUCUAGUAAUUCCAUAUCUUCUAUCAAUAAUGGACUUGAAUCCUUACUCUUCUUCUGUUUUUUUGCUCUUAUUAACUUUGGCCCCUUUCUGUGAAUGCCUCUUGUUUCUGUCUGCCUUGCAUCAGACGAGUCUAAUAAGUACAAUGGUUGUUUCCCUGCUGCUUUUCUAACUGUUGUUUCCCUCACAUCUUCUGCUCUGUUUUCAUUGGAUGACAGAUUUCUUGCUCUUUUUUUGCUUCGAUUAGGUCCUGGAUCUGGUCCAUUACAACCCACAAUCUCAAGGUUAGACUGGAUGGGAGUUUCAGGUACAUAGUCCCCUUCCUCUGAAGUAGUUAUGAUCGUUCCAUAAAAGGCCUCCCAGUGAGGGCUCCUGUCCCUUACCUCUGACUUAAGCCACGGCUCAUAUUUCCCUGGUCUAUUUGCUGCCCAUUCCGUUUUUUCAUAGGGUAUUUCUUCGUAAUUAGAGGCGUAGUGCCCUAGUUUUCCACAGGAAUAGCAGUAAUGGGGAAGACGUUCAUAUUUAAACUCCACCCAUAACUUUUUCCCACCAAUUUUCACAAGAACCCCUGUUUUAAGAGGAGCUUAAAGUUCAAGUUCAACUCUUGCUUUCCCUAUUUUAUAGUUCUGAUUUCCUCUUUUUUCUAACUGAAUUUCCUUCACUUUCCCCACUUUUCCAGCCACCUCAGUAUAUACCUCUUCCAGAACCCAACCAGGAGGCAGGCCGACAAUGUGGACCCAAAAAUCAUACCGAGAAAAGUCAUAGCAGUGUUCGGGAAUAUCAGGUAAACAUUGCUUUAGAACCAGUAGAUUGCUUGCAAAUGACCAGGGACCAGAUAUUAGAACCCGAUCUUUGUCAAUUUAUGAUUCAAAGACAAUGGAGAAAAACCCCGGUUCUUUUUGGAAGAUUUCAACUACUUCUACUUUCCAGGCCUUCUUCAUCGUAUUACAACAUGCUUGAAAGUUUACAUUAGGCUUCGAUAGUAACUUACCGAAUAGAGUAUGUUGGCAUUCGAUAAUUUUAUCUAUUGGGGCUUCCUCCUUUACGGCUACCACAUUGUUUUCUGACCAGAGAUGCCCCAGACUCCUACACAAAGCUGCUACACGAAUAUGGUUUUCCUCAUCACUCUCCAUUUUCAACCUUUCUUUUAUAGACUCAGCUCAUGAGGACGUUGUACCUGAUUUGGAUAUGUUCCGGUGUGCGAUUGAAGAGAGCUCUAGCUAGGGGAUGAGUGGGGGCUAAGUUCCUUUGAAGAAGCGAACCACUCCAUUCUUCCUUUCAAAGCCACAGUUGCGAUUUCAGUAAGAGGAAGAGAGAAAACGUCAAUGGCUAUUGAUUGGAAGGGUUUCUAUGUUUUAGGGUUUGUUUUGAGGGUUUUCGGAUUUUAUGGGUUAUGGGUGGUUAUGUUAUGGGGGUUUGUUGGGGAUGGAUUCGCCAUUAUGGAACGAAUGGAUUCUGGGUUUCUUGGGUUUAGGGUUUGGAAAUUCUACUACCCAAAGGGCGUAGAGAGGAACUCUAUGGGAGAGGCAGCUCUACCAGCGUAGAGAGAAUUUGAUAGCUUCGGUCAUUUCGGAAGCACCUUCAUUGGUAACAAUUAUGUUCACCUGGCUAAUUUAGGUUAAAAAUUACUAACUUGGAUAGAAGUAGUCCUACGUUGCACAGUCAACAUUGACACAGACAAUUUUUUUAAUUUUUAUUUUAUUUUUAAAUUCUUUUCAUUUUCUUCUCCUUUUCUUUUUGUUGUUUGUUUUUCCCUUCUUUCUCUCCACACCAGUUGCCACCUCCAUGAUGGCGAGCAAAGAUUGCCGGCUAAUGGGGAGGGUAAGGGCUAGGAUGCCCUCGCCUGGGUGAGAGCCUUCACCAUCGCUAGAUGGCUGCAAGGUUACCCCUCAUUGGCCUUUGGCGACGGCCCUUUGCUAGAUUUAGCGAGGGACGGCCUCACCUAGAUGGUGAGGGGCCUCACCCAGCCCUUGCUAAAGGCUAGGUAAGGAGUCUCAGCCCUUGCCCUCUGUCAGCCAUCACGAAUGUGGUGAUUGGUGGCGAAAGGGAAAUAAUAGAAAAAGAAAAAAGAGAAAGGAAAGAGGAAAAAAUGAAAAAGAGAAGGAAAAAGAAAAUGUUGCGAUCUCCCCUUUUUGUUCAGAGGGAAAGAACAAUAGGUUUAGGGGUGUUGUCUAAAAGACAAGUCUACGGCCCUUUAUUAGGCGUGGGCUCUCCCAAGCUUUUAUCUCAUGCGACAUUGGGAUAUUUGAUUGAGCUUCAAUUGACACUAUAAAGAUUUUCUAAUGAGGAGUCGUCAUUAGCUUAUUGGAAUCGAUUAGAAACCAAAUGAGGUAUGGAAGUGUACCUCACUUUUUAUGCAACCAAAAAAAUUUAGGAUUGGGGACUUCAUGUAUUAAUUAAUUAAUUAGUAUCAUUUCGUUACCUAAUCUUGAUCAUUUUGAAAAGAUUUUUGUUAAGGCAGUCUAGAUUGAUUUUAAGUUUAUCCACUAACGCGUGAAAUGAUUGCGUAAUAAUUAAAAUAACAAUUAGCAACCAAGAAAACCGUAGAUGAAUUGCAUGGAAGAGCAAUGAUAUACCAUUACCAAAUAAGGAGCAUGCCAUUUCUAACUAACCUAAAGGAAGGCCAUAGUCAUCAUAUUGAAAGUGUGCAAUUAAGAGCGUUUAUUUCUAAAAAUAAUCGAGACCCUAUGGUAAAGUCCUAAAAUCUUGUUCAAUUUUUUAAGGAUUUUUUAUGAAUGAUUUUUCCACAUUUUAAGAGAAAACUAGCCAAAAAAAAAAAAUCUUUUAAGCUUUUUCUGAGGAAUUCUAAUUUUUUGAAUUUUUUGAAAUUUUCUUUUAUAAAAAAAUUAUUCCGAAAAUAUGGACCCGGGUCGGGCCUCGUGGCCCAUCCCGAAAAUGGGCUGCUGCAGGUCACAUGAAUCUGGACUCAAGGACACGAAUGGGCUUUACACAUUGAAAGGCUUUAAUCGUUGAAAAACGAAUUGGGCUCAACUCAUAGAAUUAAGCCCAAUUCCUCCAGCAUUUAACUAAGCCCAAUCUUUUGACCAAAAACUAAGCCCAAUCCCAACGGAUCAAGUCAUCUAACCUAGCCAGAACCUAAAACAUACUAAGGUCAAAUGAGCCCAAAGUCAUCAAAAUCCAGCUUCGGCCCCUACUUCCACGACAUGGAGAACUUCCCUCCUCCCUUGUUCUCUUCAUCCUCCCCACUCCCCAUAACAUAAAUACGUCACCACUUGAUAUUAAUACUUGCGAUCAACAAAAGAAAGCGCCGCUUAUGUAUGGCCCAAAUUCGACACAUUCAGGUCCGACGUGAGUGAGGACUAAAGAAAUCGAGCUUGCUUUGGUCUUUUAAAAUCAAACAGGACUAGGCAAAAAAAAAAAAAAAAAAGAGGGAAGGAGCGAGCAUUCAAUCGUGGGGGCCCUACCUGGCUUGGAUUCCGUGGGCAUCGUCGGCGGCGAAGGUUGAGAAUAGCGACACUAAACUCGUGUGAAUGGCAGCAGGCGGACGAUGCUCUGGAGGUGAUGGACAACGUAGAUCGGCUGUGGCUCUGAGUUUUUGUGUGGGGCUUCAAUGGCGACCGUCCACGUAGUAGAGAAAGACCAAGAUGCUUUUUCUUCUUUUUUUCUUUUUUCGUGAGAGUAAAGAAGUGGCUGACGGUGAAGGAGUUGCGGUAGGACUCCGGGAAUGGAAUGCGAGAGCAGUCGCCGGCAGGAGGUAGUCGGACGGAGAUGGUUGAGGUGGCUGGUCAGGUGAGUUCUGGAGAAAGGGCGGGGAAUGCCUUUUUUCCCUUUCUAGAAAAAUCUCCCCGAAGAUGGUGGUCUCCCCUCCUUUUCCGUGAACGCCCUGCCU
Molecule: long non-coding RNA, 244461 nt
Filed under: Eucalyptus grandis
Lineage: Eukaryota; Viridiplantae; Streptophyta; Magnoliopsida; Myrtales; Myrtaceae
Description: long non-coding RNA (EGRA_LNC004728)
Source: RNAcentral